This 274574-nucleotide long non-coding RNA is filed under the name Triticum aestivum (bread wheat). RNAcentral's name for it is "long non-coding RNA (TAES_LNC018296)". The stretch from base 222882 to 223007 matches the Rfam family "MIR1120/MIR1122 microRNA precursor family". The record is from RNAcentral. Lineage: Eukaryota; Viridiplantae; Streptophyta; Magnoliopsida; Poales; Poaceae.
AAGGACCCGUCGGGAGGCUAUGUUGUGGGAUCGAGCUGCGUUGUGAAGGCGGAUCUCACUAUCGUUGGUUCAUCCAAUGAUGGUUAGAUGUUUACCUCAUGGCCUGAUGGAGAGAUAAUGCCCUUACAUCCUACUUAUAACUAGACUUCUAUUUGAGAUAAUGUUGUGGUAGCACUACUAAAAACUUGUGGGAUGAUUUAGUAGUAAUGAGCUGGAUUUGAGACGUAAGAUGAUUUCACGCAUAUAUUUCUAGAUAUAUGCAUCGAACAGAUUAUGUCAUCGGAAGUACUUCUAUAUGCAUGGAUGAUGCAACUAUGUUAGCUUGAUGUUUGGUUCAGCUGACCAUGUUAUCUCUCGCUUAGUUUUUGUGCAUCAUGGAUGUUCCCAGUUGAUGAAUCAUAUAGUCAUAUGGUUCCAUGUCAAGCACUUUGCGUCUAUAAUUUAUGUUGAGAGCGAAGGUGUUUCAUAGUUUCAUUUGCCCUCCGUCCAGUGGCGGUGCUUCAUGGUGACUAUGAUGUCAAACCACACCAUAGAAUUAAGGUUUGCAACCUAUCUUUUAAUACAUUUAGAUACAGUUUGUGUACGCAUAAACUGAAGUAGUAGGCAAAGUGCGGCGCCACGCCACGUGUCUCAGUGCCCAUUGUUAGAUUAGUUAUCGUUCAUUGGGUCGUUAUUCUUAUUUGAAAGAUCAAGUGAAAAAUGGUAAGCAGCAGCUGUAGUAAUGUUAAUGGAAGAACAGGGUGUUGCGUUAGCAGGUGCCACGGAGUACAUCUUGUGUUCUAAUAAAUGGAUGCGCCAGUUUUCCAUCACGCAUUUUUAAGAAUCUUUACGAAAGUGACUGUGCCAAUGCAAUAUUACUCAUUCAUUCAGGUUCCAGUAGAAUAUCUAAUAGAACAUAUUCUAGCAAAAGCCACAUAGGUUAGUCUGCAAAUACAAAUAUUGGCUUCAGAUAACUGCAAAGAGCUGAAAUAUGGGACAGAGAUAAACACAACAUGAAAAGGCAAAAUGCAUACACAGGUUUCAGAUAACUACAAAGAGCUGAAACAGGUUAGUCAUAUCAGUAGAAGAACAGUGAUGUUCAAUAUUCUUUCCUGCAAAGGAAAAGGGAGCAAUUAAUUAAUGAAGCUCAGAUUCAGGCAAAGUGAGACACCGCUAGAGCAACUGCUAGAGCGCAUAGAUGAUUUCCUAGUACACAAUAUUUCUAGUCACAUUUUUAGGAACUCAAUGAUCAUCUUCAAGGAGAAUUUUAAUCCUCUUCAUGAGGUCACUCUGAAACAGCCACAUAGAGCUAUCCAUGGGAAAAGACUGGCAGAGGAAGAUAAACACAUAUCUUGAAAGUUUGUCAGUGUCGAAUCUUGUAUAGUGUUCGGUACCAAUAAACCACUCACAUAGAUCACUUUUUUAAAAACUGGAAAAUUCAAGCAAAAUUUAUCUGUAGGUCCCAAUAAGUUUUGCCGAGAGAGUUCCUAAUUGUGUAAUGGCCCAUAGUGAUAUUUACAAACCUAAUAGUGAAUAAACAAUGUCGCAAGAUGAACAAUUCUCUUGAUUGGGAAUGAUUAAUACAUACUGAGAUCUCAAUUGUUGCACUCUGUCAUGGUGAAAAGGAAGUAACAAACUACUCCCCUUCCAGUAGUGAUCUCAGUAUUACUAAAGUAGUGAUCUAAAAAAUCUUAUAGUAUUACUUUACAGAGGGAGUAGUUUUUUAUCAAAAGGCAUUCCAGUCGAACAUGGAUCUGAGCAUCCUUAACAAUGCUUAAUUUUUUUUUUCAUCAUCACACAAAUAGACCAACAAUUUCUCACCCUUCACAAUUUAUGGAAGAUGGCCUCACAAUAUGACCUGCAUCAUUUUUGUAUCAGUAGACGGAUGGAGAAGGUACAUUAAAUACAAAGAAACAACUGGAACCGAACCCAAAAACAUAAAAGAUGGAUAGUAAGUUGUCCAGAUAUCAUAGUUUGUUAUCUAAAAGGAAAAGCGAUGUCAAAUAAAUAGAAAUCUUUCCAUACAAAGAGUGGAACCUGUUAGAAAGGCUGGUAUCUGAGAUUUUACAUAUAUGUUAUCUAGAAGACAUCACCUUAGAUCUAAAAGAAGAAUUCAUGCGUGUUACAAAUAGCAUUUGACUGCAAGCUAGAAGAAUAUAUUACCAGGGUAGAUCAUAUUAAGGGACUAAGAACUACAAUGCUUGCAGGAUAAUUUUUUAUUGUGAAUCAACACAGAACUGCAAAUUCAGAAAUAUGUUUGCUUGCAUAUUGACUGACCGCUCCACCUAAAUUCAAUGAUAAUUGGUGACCAAAACAGAGCAUAUUAUUUUCAUCAACUUCAUCUAUCACCCCACAAAGUCCCAGAGUGCAAGAAGGAUGACUUGCCCAUAAAUCACUAUCUAUUUUUGAAAUUCUCAAGUAGCGAGCAAAUAAAUGCCAACUGACUUCGUCAAUUUGAAUUAUGUUGUCCUCGAUCAAAGACAUCGGACUGGAUAUCUGCAACACCAAUCCUCAAAUUCAAUAUGACACAUUUGUGGAAAAAAUUUGAGCAUCUCAACCUUCAACAGAAGGCCCGCAUGAGUAUAUAUUAGCCUGGCAGGGCACACCUCCUGCUAGCGCAUACAUUGGAGAGAUCGAACAUGGUGUUCACGUAAGGAACAACCAACAGAUCGUAUAUGAGAGGUUUAAACAGAAGAUAAGAUUAUAGGAGAUAUACUAAAGUCCUGCCAACUAACUACUCCUGUUAUGUGCGCCUAACAAUAUAUGUGCGCCAACUAACCAGAAUCAUGUAUGUUUUACAUCCCCCCAUAAUCAGAACCUGCCAAGUUCAGAUUACGCUUAAAUUUCUCAAAUAGUCGUGUAGGCAAUGCUUUAGUAAAACCAUCAGCAAGUUGGUCUUUAGAGGGCACAAACCGAAUCUCUAAUUCCUUGUUGGCAACUCUUUCUCGAACAAAAUGAUAGUCUAUCUUAAUGUGCUUGGUUCUUGUGUCGGUGUACAAAAGUAGGGGUCUUUUUUGCACCCCUUUACUUGUGCGCGGGCAGUCGCAGCCCCACGCCCCUGGCCACACUUGGCGGGGCAGAGGAAGCAAAGGCACAAGGCAACCAGAGCAACGCUAAGACAGAGACACAAAGAGCAGAGGGGCGAGGUGAACUUCCCCGGCAAGGCCCUUGCCGGGGCAGCCUCCACAACCCCGGCAAGAACCUUGCGAGGGCAACUUGCCCAACAGCAGCAGGGCUGCCACCCUCGAGCCUGAGAGUUCCAACACCAUCAACCACAUUGAAACCAAGGCUCGGGAGGCACCUCCAUGGUGACAUGCAGAUCUUUGUGAAGACCAGAAGCAUACAAGAUCAGAUGAGAAUCGGAAGACGACGAUCCUCGGCAAGAUCCUUGCCGAGGGUACCCACGAGACCCCUGGCAAGCCCCUUGCCGGGGACGACCACAACGCCACGGCAAGACCCUUGCUGGGGCCUCGGCAAGACUCUUGCCGAAGACAUCCGCGGGGCCGCAGCCAGGCCCACAUCUGCCAAAGCUCCGCCGCCGUUCCCAUGCAGCUGCCAGCCCAUCAACUAGGCGAGCACCUGCGUGGCGGCAUGCGGCCUCUAGGCCAAUUCAGCAAGCACCUGCGUGGUGGCAUGCAGAUACUCGUGAAGACCCUACCACCACGCCAACUCAGCAGCCUGCCAGCUUACAUGGCGCUGCAUGCCUCGUUGGCCUGGACGCGUGUCGGAGCAAGGCGGAGCGGCGACGGACGGGACGGGCCUCGUUACCGCCCCCGAUAAAGCAAGAGGACACCUAAUUAGCACAUUUAAUGCGCUUUGUCCUGUAAUGACAGGCGAUAAGCUUGUGCACUGUAUAGCUUUCCACCUCCUGUGUGCCACUGUGGCAGCCCCUUUGCCUAUAAAAGGAGGCCCGCGGCGUACUGGGAGAGGAUUCGGAUCUUUUGGGCGACGCACGCACCGUAGCUAGUUCAAAAGCUCAAGAACACUCAAAUAUACACCAAAGCAGGACUAGGGUAUUACGCAUCCUCGCGGCCCGAACCUGGGUAAACGAUCUUUGUGCUAGCUCCUAGACCCGCUCUUUGCACAACCCCGCGCCCGCCAACCGUAGAAGGGGUUCCAGUGAUCCCAUAGGUAUCGUUUCCCCUGACAUCUUUAGCGUGCCAGGUAGGGGGCGCAGUUGUGAAAAUCCGGUCUAGUUGGCGCAGCGGCUUCAUCGUGGUCGUCACUCCAAGGAAGAAGACGACCGAAUGAGCGACAUCAUCUACAGACACAGCAACCGCGAGUAUGGCGACAGAAAAGCUAAGUCAUGCAAAACUUUGAAUAAUUUCUUUAUGUAUAAGGUUAUUCUCCUUGGAGAUCGCGCUCUUUGUAUGGAAAACCUGUACGCAAUGGGGCCCUUCCGCUAUUGGCAACGCCUUUGUUCCGUUUCGAGUCCGCUCAACAGUUCGAACGGCCGCGUCGAGAUCGGCGGGGUAGCCUUCCGCUAUUGGCAACACUCUCGUUUUGUCUCGAGUCCGCUCGACGGUUCGAGCGGCCGCGUUGAGAGCGGUAAGGUGGUCUGCCUGGCAGCAAGCACACCCGGCAGGCUAUCGGGGAUCCGUCCUCGAGGCGCCGCGGCUUGGGUUUACGCGCCGGCAAGCCUACCCAAUUAACGUAGGGUGGGCAUACAAAGAGAGAUCAAACAGGAAAAUAACAUGCACCGUUUCAAAGUACUGCAGAGUUAUAUUACAUCAAUUGUUGCUGCGGUUCUAACUAAAGAUAAAAAUUGUCUUGGUCAUGAACCUGCAGCGGCGAUGAGAAACGGGGUGCCUAGUCCCGGCGCUGGCCCUCUAUCCUCCGAACUCCGUCGACAUGGCUGAUGAUGGGCUCGAUACGCUCCUCGAGCGUCGCGAGGUCCACACCCUCCGACAAGCUCUCCAGCGCGGCGUCGAAGUCGAGGUUUGGGUUCCAGUACGCCACCUUGGUGAGAACCUUGGUCAUGGCACCCCGGCAAAGCUUUCGGGCCUCGUUGGCCAGAGAAGUCGCUCUGUUAGAGAGAAACUGCUCCAAGAACGCCCUCGAAGAACAGGGUCAGUUUGGCGUUGGGACUCACGUUCGGCUCCGGGGCGUACCUCACGUUUGGCAUCCCCAUGGCCGCCAGCAUCGUGGUGAUCCUGCCGGCCACGUCGGCGAGGCGGCUGAUCCAGAGGUUUUCGCCCUUCACGUAAUCCUCGUGGUUGGUGGCGUCAUUCCUCCGCAGCUGCCUCUCGUCCUCCAGGGCCUUGGUCAGGGUCUUCUCCCGGGCCCUGACCUUCGAAAGCGUCCCCUCAAGACCCUCCAGCUUCAGCUUCAGGUCUUUGACGGAGUCGUUGGCCUUGGAGAGCUGCUCAGCUUUGCCGAGGACUGCCGCCUGCGCCUCCACCAAGGUGCCGUUGAGCGUGUCUUUCUCCUUCGCCAGUCCCAGGACCUGUUCCUUCAGACCAUCCCGCUCCACCUCCAGCUCCUUCACCUUGCCGGCAUGGACCCGGGCCUGAGCAUUGAGUGCCUCCUUGUGCCUCUGCUCCAGCUCCUGGGUCCGCUGCGUGGCAAGCUUCUUGACCUCCUCAUCCUUGCCGCGGAGGGUGGCGGCGAGCACCUUCUCACGGGCGGCAAGGUCCUCCUCCUGGGAGUUCAGCUCGGCCUGGUGCUGGUGCCGAGCGGCCUCGUCCUUGGCAGCCUGUUCCUUCGCCACCUCCUGGGUUUUCUCGACAUCGGCCUUCAGCAGGAUAAGCUCCUGUUUGCGCUCAGCCAACAAAUCCUGGGCAACCUUCAGUUCCACGUGGGCCUGGCGGAACCAGGCCUGUGUCUCAGCAACGCGCCCCGCGAGAUCCGCCUCCGCCUUGUCCACCGCCGCCAUCCUGGACUUUGCCUUGUCCAGGAGGGCACGGUGGAGCGCAUGGAGCUUCUGGAAGUUGGCGCUCAUGCCCCGAAGGAGCUGCUCCUCUUGGGAAUCGCCGCCACCGGCGCUCGAUUCGUCAACAACCUCAAGCCCGGCGGCGGCGAGCACCUCGUCAUCGAACACCUCCCCCUCGGUGGGCGCCCUGGUGCUCGCCGUCCUUGGGAGGUGGACGAGUAGGUCGUCGCUCACCUUCAGGUACUUGCCCGAGCCAGAGGCAGCGGAGGAGGAAGGUUGGUCGUCAACCACCCCCUCCCUGGCAGGCCCCGUGCUGGCCUCCUCGGCAGCGACCUUGCCGGCCUCCUCGGCAGCGGCCCUGUCGGCCUCCCCGGCAGGCCCCUUGGUGGCCUCUUCGGUGGCAGUCUUGGCAACCUCCCCGGUGGUGAUCUUGUCCGCCUCGGCCUUGGUGUCCCUGGCGACCUCCUCGAUGACGGUAUCGAUGUUCUCCUGGUCCGCCGAGGAAGCGCCUAGAUACCAAGAAGGAGGAUGAGGCAGAGCCAGAUCAAAGUUCAAAAAAGUUCAAAAGAAGAAGGAGAAAGAACAGGGACGGGAAGCAAGCGAACUUACCAGCACCAGGCUGGGAAGAAGUGGCACCCUCCCCACCAACGUUCGUUGCCGGGGUGGAAUCACCAGGACCCAAGUUCGUCUCCUCCUCCUCCAUAGGCGGGGGCUCGGCGGUUGAUGCCCUUGCCGGGGAAGCCCCUCGGGGCGGCAUAGUCAAGAGGGGCGGCGUGUUGGGGGUGGCCCUCGGCGGCUCCUCCUACCGCCAUUCUUCUCCUGCAAACCCGGCAAGAUCAGCAUCAAGGAUUCACACCCCAAAGUUCAUCAAGGGAGGAGUGAGCGAUGGACUUACGCUGGGGGCUGAAGCGGGGGCUGCGUCGAGGGCUGUUGUCCGAGCUGCUCUCCACCACCAGCGGCGUACUCGAAGUACCUGCCGGGGGCUUGUCGCCCGUCGAGGCCUUGGCCCUCUUCGCCACCCUCUGCGCCAGCGUCUCCGUGUCCCUGUGGAGACAAUAUCAAAUUAAAGAAAGAUGACACAUGAGUAAAGUCGGGAGAUAAUGUGGGGGGGGGGGGAGAUACUUACUCUUCCUCCACCUCCUCCUCCACUGGCUUCCUCUUCCUCCUUGGGCUGAGAGACCCAAAAUCGAAGAUGACCUCUGUGUCGACAUUUGCGGGAGGAGGGGAAGGGGAUGGAGACCGAUGACGCUUGGACGAAGAAGAGGCAGUCGCUUUCUUCUUCACCACCGCGGCCUUCACCGCCUUCUUCGCCGCCGCGGCCCUCAUCUGGCGCACGGGCUGCUCCUGGACCUGUUGCCGCGGCACGGCCCUGCCGGGCCGAACUGGUUCGCCAGAGCCAGCCCGGCACAGGACGCGUCUCCUCCCUGGGGCCGGAGGGUCGUCGGCCUCGGCCUCCCCCUCGGUCGAUUCUUCGACCACAUCUUCGACAAGAGGAGCCCCGGCGCCGGCACUGCUGGCCUCCCCAGCAGACUCCACCCAUCCGGCGAGCUCCUUGUCCUCCGCGGCCGCGCCGGCCUCGUCCUCCACAGCGCCAACGCUGCCGGCCUCCCGGGCAAGCUCCGCCUCUGCCGCCCCGGCGGCAAUAUAAUCCAGCUCCUCCUUGGUGGUAUCCCGGAUAAGCGCUGGCUCAUCACGGACGUACUUCUCCGACAAGCUGUCAAAAAAUUCCUGCACCCGCUCCGCUCCCGGCUCGACCCAGCUCGGGUCAAGGCCGUGCGCAUUGAAGUCCGGCAUCAUAGCAAUGAUGUCGGUCUGGCGAGAAUUGUUGCUCAGCGGGACCACUCCCGCCGGCAACCCAAACAAGGGCCCCUUGACGGCCUUGCUGGCCUUCGCGGCCGGUCCUCUCAGCCCUGCCGUCGUGGUCUACGUCGAGAUGGAAGAGCCUCUGGCAAAAGUGGGCAUGCCCCAUCACCGUGAAGUUGUGGUUCAAGCCAGGGCGGAGCCUCAUGACGUCAGUCGCGUUCCUGUAAUCCCAGGCCGGCCUCCCCUUGUUAUGCAAUGGGGCGAUCCAGCGGCGGAUGAAAUCGGCCCCAAUCAUUUCAAGGGUGAGCCCGACCACGGUUAGGCGAUGGAUCCUGGUGGUGGCCACUGUUGGGGAACGUAGCAGAAAUUCAAAAUUUUCUACGCAUCACCAAGAUCAAUCUAUGGAGUAAUCUAGCAACGAGGGGAAGGGGAGUGCAUCUACAUACCCUUGUAGAUCGCGAUGCGGAAGUGUUGCAAGAACGCGGAUGAAGGAGUCGUACUCGUAGCGAUUCAGAUCGCGGUUGAUUCCGAUCUAAGCGCUGAACCACGGCGCCUCCGCGUUCAACACACGUGCAGCCCGGUGACGUCUCCCACGCCUUGAUCAUGCAAGGAGAGAGGGAGAGGUUGGGGAAGACUCCGUCCAGCAGCAGCACAACGGCAUGGUGGUGAUGGAGGAGCGUGGCACUCCAGCAGGGCUUCGCCAAGCACUGCGAGAGACGAGGAGGGAGAAGGGUAGGGCUGCGCCAAAGAGAGAUAUGUUCUCGUGUGUAUGGCAGCCCCAAAACCCCCACUAUAUAUAGGGGAGGGGGAGGGGCUGCGCCCCCAUCUAGGGUUCCCCCCCAAGGGGUGCGGCCAGCCCUAGAUGGGAGUUGGAGGGGCGGCCAAGGGGGGAGAGAGGGGGGCACACCACUAGGUGGGCCUUAGGCCCAUCUGAGCCUAGGGUUUCCCCCUUCCCCCCUUCCUGCGCCCUGGGCCCCUUGUGGGAGGCGCACCAGCCCACCUAGGGGCUGGUCCCUUCCCACACUUGGCCCACGCAGCCCUCUGGGGCCGGUGGCCCCACCUGGUGGACCCCCGGGACCCUCCCGGUGGUCCCGGUACAUUACCGAUAGCACCCGAAACUUUUCCGGUGACCAAAACAGGACUUCCCAUAUAUAAAUCUUUACCUCCGGACCAUUCCGGAACUCCUCGUGACGUCCGGGAUAUCAUCUGGGACUCGGAACAACAUUCGGUAACCACGUAUAUCUAUUCCCUAUAACCCUAGCGUCAUCGAACCUUAAGUGUGUAGACCCUACGGGUUCGGGAACCAUGCAGACAUGACCGAGACGUUCUCCGGCUAAUAACCAACAGCGGGAUCUGGAUAUCCAUGUUGGCUCCCACAUGUUCCACGAUGAUCUCAUCGGAUGAACCACGAUGUCGGGGAUUCAAUCAAUCCCAUAUACAAUUCCCUUUGUCAAUCGGUAUGUUACUUGCUCGAGAUUCGAUCGUCGGUAUCCCGAUACCUUGUUCAAUCUCGUUACCGGCAAGUCUCUUUACUCGUUCCGUAACACAUCAUCCCGUGAUCAACUCCUUGGUCACAUUGUGCACAUUAUGAUGAUGUCCUACCGAGUGGGCCCAGAGAUACCUCUCCAUUUACACGGAGUGACAAAUCCCAGUCUCGAUUCGUGCCAACCCAACAGACACUUUCGGAGAUACCUGUAGUGCACCUUUAUAGCCACCCAGUUACGUUGUGACGUUUGGUACACCCAAAGCAUUCCUACGGUAUCCGGGAGUUGCACAAUCUCAUGGUCUAAGGAAAUGAUACUUGACAUUAGAAAAGCUCUUAGCAAACGAACUACACGAUCUUGUGCUAGGCUUAGGAUUGGGUCUUGUCCAUCACAUCAUUCUCCUAAUGAUGUGAUCCCGUUAUCAACGACAUCCAAUGUCCAUGGUCAGGAAACCAUAACCAUCUAUUGAUCAACGAGCUAGUCAACCAGAGGCUUACUAGGGACAUGGUGUUGUCUAUGUAUCCACACAUGUAUAUGAGUUUCCUAUCAAUACAAUUCUAGCAUGGAUAAUAAACGAUUAUCAUGAACAAGGAAAUAUAAUAAUAACCAAUUUAUUAUUGCCUCUAGGGCAUAUUUCCAACAGUCUCCCACUUGCACUAGAGUCAAUAAUCUAGUUCACAUCACCAUGUGAUUAACACUCACAGGUCACAUCACCAUGUGACCAACAUCCAAAGCGUUUACUAAAGUCAACAAUCUAGUUCACAUCACUAUGUGAUUAACACUCAAUGAGUUCUGGUUUGAUCAUGUUAUGCUUGUGAGAGAGGUUAUUAGUCAACGGGUCUGAACCUUUCAGAUCCGUGUGUGCUUUACGAAUAUCUAUGUCAUCUUGUGGAUGCUACCACGCGCUACUUGGAGCCAUUUCAAAUAACUGCUCUACUAUACGAAUCCGGUUUACUACUCAGAGUCAUCCGGAUUAGUGUCAAAGUUCGCAUCGACGUAACCCUUUACGACGAACUCCUUUUCACCUCCAUAAUCGAGAAAAUUCCUUAGUCCACUAGAUACUAAGGAUAAGUUUGACCGCUAUCAUGUGAUCCAUUCCCGGAUCACUAUUGUACCCCUUGACCAACUGAUGGCAAGGCACACUUCAUGUGCGGUACACAGCAUAGCAUACUGUAGAGCCUAUGUCUAAAGCAUAGGGGACGACCUUCGUCCUUUCUCUCUCUUCUGCUGUGGUCAGGUCUUGAGUCUUACUCAAUACUCACACCUUGUAACACAGCCUAGAACUCCUUCUUUGCUGAUCUAUUUUGAACUCUUUCAAAAAACAUGUCAAGCUGUGCGUUCUUUGAAAGUAUCAUCAGGCGUCUUGAUCUAUCUCUAUAGAUCUUGAUGCCCAAUAUGUAAGCAGCUUUAUCUAGGUCUUCCUUUGAAAAACUCCUUUCAAACAACCCUUUAUGCUUUCCAGAAAUUUUACAUCAUUUCGAAUCAACAAUAUGUCAUUCACAUAUACUUAUCAGAAAUGUUGUAGCGCUCCCACUCACUUUAUUGUAAAUACAAGUUUCUAACAAACUUUGUAUAAACCCAAAAACUUUGAUCACUCCAUCAAAGCGUAUAUUCUGACUCCGAGAUGCUUGCUCUGGUCCAUGGAAGGAUCGCUGGAGCUAGCAUACCUUUUAGCAUCCUUAGGAUCGAAAAAAACCUUUCUGAUUGUAUCACAUACAACCUUUCCUUACGAAAACUGGUAAGGAAACUUGUUUUGACAUCCAUCUGCCAGAUUUCAUAAAUGCAGCUAAUGCUAACAUGAUUCCGACGGACUUAAGCAUCGCUACGGAUGAGAAAAUCUCAUCGUAGUCAACUCCUUGAACUUGUGAAAAUACUCUUUGCCACAAGUCGAGCUUCAUAGACGGUAACAUUACCGUCCAUGUCCGUCUUCUUCUUAAAAUCCAUUUAUCUCAAUGGCUUGCCGAUCAUCGGGCAAGUUCACCAAAGUCCAUACUUUGUUCUGAUACAUGGAUCCUAUCUCGGAUUUCAUGGCUUCUAACCAUUUGUCGGAAUGUGGGCCCACCAUCGCUUCUCCAUAGCUCGUAGGUUCAUUGUUGUCUAGCAACAUGACUUCCAAGACAGGAUCACGUACCACUCUGAAGUAGUACGCAUCCUCGUCGUCCUACGAGGUUUGGUAGUGACUUGAUCCGAAGUUUCAUGAUCACUAUCAUAAGCUUCCACUUCAAUUGGUGUAGGUGCCACAGGAACAACUUCCUGUGCCCUGCUACACAGUAGUUGAAGUGACGGUUCAAUAACCUUAUCAAGUCUCCACCAUACUCCCACUCAAUUCUUUCGAGAGAAAUUUUUCCUCGAGAAAGGACCCGUUUCUAGAAACAAUCACUUUUGCUUCCAGAUCUGAAAUAGGAGGUAUACCCAACUGUUUUGGGUAUUCUAUGAAGAUGCAUUUAUCCACUUUGGGUUCGAGCUUAUCAGCCUGAAACUUUUCCACAUAAGCAUCGCAGCCCCAAACUUUUAAGAAACGACAACUUAGGUUUCUCUAAACGGUGUCGUCUCAACGGAAUUGCGUGGUGCCCUAUUUAAAGUGAAUGCGGUUGUCUCUAAUGCCUAACCCAUAAACGAUAGUGGUAAAGAGACAUCAUGGUAUGCACCAUAUCCAAUAGGGUGCAGUUAUGAUGAUCGGACACACCAUCACACUAUGGUGUUCCAGGCGGUAUUAAUUGUGAAACACUUUCCACAAUAUCUUAAUUGUGUGCCAAACUCGUAACCCAGAUAUCUCUAUGAUCAUAUCAUAGACAUUUUAUCCUCUUGUCACGACGAUUUUCAACUUCACUCUGAAAUUACUUGAACCUUUCAAUAAUUCAGACUUGUGUUUCAUCAAGUAAAUAUUCUCAGCAUCUACUCAAAUCAUCUGUGAAGUAAGAACAUAUCGAUAUCCACUGCGUGCCUCAGCACUCAUUGGACUGCACACAUCAAAUGUAUUACUUCCAACAAGUUGCUCUCUUGUUCCAUCUUACUGAAAAUGAGACCUUUCAGUCAUCUUGCCCAUGUGGUAUGAUUUGCAUGUCUCAAGUGAUUCAAAAUCAAGUGAGUCCAAACGAUCCAUCUGCAUGGAGUUUCUUCAUGCAUAUAUACCAAUAGACAUGGUUCGCAUGUCUCAAUCUUUUCAAAAACGAGUGAGUCCAAAGAUCCAUCUACAUGGAGCUUCUUCAUGCGUUCUAUACCAAUAUGACUCAAAUGGCAGUGCCACAAGUAUGUGGUACUAUCAUCACUAUUUUAUAUCUUUUGGCACGAACAUGUGUAUCACUGCGAUCGAGAUUCAUUUUAGGUGCAAGACCAUUGAAGGUAUUAUUCAAGUAAACAGAGUAACCAUUAUUCUCCUUAAAUGAAUAACCGUAUUGCGACAAACAUAAUCCAAUCAUGCUCAACGCAAACACCAAAUCUCGAUGGUAGAGGGAGCAUGCGAUGCUUGAUCACAUCAACCUUGGAAACACUUCCAACACAUAUCGUCAUCUCACCUUUAGCUAGUCUCCGUUUAUUCCGCAGCUUUUAUUUCGAGUUACUAACACUUAGCAACCGAACCGGUAUCUAAUACCCUGGUGCUGCUAGGAGUACUAGUAAAGUACACAUUCAUAUAAUGUAUAUCCAAUAUACUUCUGUCGACCUUGCCUGCCUUCUCAUCUACCAAGUAUCUAGGGUAGUUCUGCUUCAGUGACCGUUCCCCUCAUUACAGAAGCACUUAGUCUCGGGUUUGGGUUUAACCUUGGGAUUCUUCACUAGAGCAGCAAAUGAUUUGCUGUUUCAUGAAGUAUCCCUUUUGCCCUUGCCCUUCUAGAAACUAGUGGUUUUACUAACCAUCAACAAUUGAUGCUCCUUCUUGAUUUCUACUUUCGCGGUGUCAAACAUCGCGAGUUGCUCAAGGAUCAUCAUGUCUAUCCCUGAUAUGUUAUAGUUCAUCACGAAGCUCUAAUAGCUUGGUGGCAGUGACUAUGGAGAACCAUCACUUUCUCAUCUGGAAGAUUAACUCCCACUCGAUUCAAGUGAUUGUAGUACUCAGACAAUCUGAGCACAUGCUCAACGAUUGAGCUUUUCUCCCUUAGUUUGUAGGCUUAAGAAACUUGUCAGAGGUCUCAUACCUCUCGACGUGGGCACUAGUCUGAAAUUCCAAUUUCAGUCUUCGGAACAUCUCACAUGUUCUGCGACGUUUCAAAAACGUCUUUGGUGCCACAAUUCUAAACCGUUAGCAUUACGCACUGAACUAUCAUGUAGUCAUCAAAACGUGUAUGUCAGAUGUUCCGCAACAUCUACAGACGACGCUGAGGUUCAGCACACCGAGCGGUGCAUUAAGGACAUAAGCCUUCUGUGCAGCAAUGAGGACAAUCCUCAGUUUACGGACCCAGUCCGCAUAAUUGCUACUAUCAACUUUCAACUAAAUUUUUCUCUAGGAACAUAUCUUAAAGCGUAAGCUAUGACAUAAUUUGUAAAGAACUUUUGACUAUGUUCAUGAUAAUUAAGUUCAUCUGAUUAUUUAAUGAACUCCCACUCAGAUAGACAUCCCUCUAGUCAUCUAAGUGAUACAUGAUCCGAGUCAAACUAGGCCGUGUCCGAUCAUCACGUGAGACGGACUAGUCAUCAUCGGUGAACAUCUCCAUGUUGAUCGUAUCUGCUAUACGACUCAUGUUCGACCUUUCGGUCUCUUGUGUUCCGAGGCCAUGUCUGUACAUGGUAGGCUCGUCAAGUCAACCUAAGUGUUUCGCAUGUGUUCCGAGGCCAUGUCUGUACAUGCUAGGCUCGUCAACACCCGUUGUAUUCGAAUGUUAGAAUCUAUCACACCCGAUCAUCACGUGGUGCUUCGAAACAACGGACCUUCGCAACGGUGCACAGUUAGGGGGAACACGUCUCUUGAAAUUUUAGUGAGGGAUCAUCUUAUUUAUGCUACCGUCGUUCUAAGCAAAUAAGAUGUAAACAUGAUAAACAUCACAUGCAAAUCAUAAAGUGACGAGAUAUGGCCAAUAUCAUCUUGCGCCUUUUGAUCUCCAUCUUCGAGGCGCGGCAUGAUCACCUUCGUCACCGGCAUGACACCAUGAUCUCCAUCAUCGUGUCUUCAUGAAGUUGUCUCGCCAACUAUUACUUCUACUACUAUGGCUAACGGUUAGCAAUAAAGUAAAGUAAUUACAUGGCGUUUUCAUUGACACGCAGGUCAUACAAUAAAUUAAGACAACUCCUAUGGCUCCUGCCGGUUGUCAUACUCAUCGACAUGCAAGUCGUGAUUCCUAUUACAAGAACAUGAUCAAUCUCAUACAUCACAUAUAUCAUUCAUCACAUCCUUUUGGCCAUAUCACAUCACAUAGCAUACCCUACAAAAACAAGUUAGACGUCCUCUAAUUGUUGUUGCAUGUUUUACGUGGCUGCUAUGGGAUUCUAGCAAGAACGUUUCUUACCUACGUAAAAGCCACAACGUGAUAUGCCAAUUUCUAUUUACCCUUCAUAAGGACCCUUUUCAUCGAAUCCGAUCCGACUAAAGUGGGAGAGAUAGACACCCGCUAGCCACCUUAUGCAACUAGUGCAUGUCAGUCGGUGGAACCUGUCUCACGUAAGUGUACGUGUAAGGUCGGUCCGGGCCGCUUCAUCCCACGAUGCCGCCGAAUCAAGAUAAGACUAGUAACGGCAAGUAAAUUGACAAAAUCGACGCCCACAACUACUUUGUGUUCUACUCAUGCAUAGAAACUACGCAUAGACCUAGCUCAUGAUGCCACUGUUGGGGAACGUAGCAGAAAUUCAAAAUUUUCUACGCAUCACACAGAUCAAUCUAUGGAGUAAUAUAGCAACGAGGGGAAGGGGAGUGCAUCUACAUACCCUUGUAGAUCGCGAUGCGGAAGCGUUGCAAGAACGCGGAUGAAGGAGUCGUACUCGUAGCGAUUCAGAUCGCGGUUGAUUCCGAUCUAAGCGCCGAACCACGGCGCCUCCGCGUUCAACACACGUGCAGCCCGGUGACGUCUCCCACGCCUUGAUCCAGCAAGGAGAGAGGAAGAGGUUGGGGAAGACUCCGUCCAGCAGCAGCACAACGGCAUGGUGGUGAUGGAGGAGCGUGGCACUCCAGCAGGGCUUCGCCAAGCACUGCGAGAGACGAGGAGGGAGAAGGGUAGGGCUACGCCAAAGAGAGAUAUGUUCUCGUGUGUAUGGCAGCCCCAAAACCCCCACUAUAUAUAGGAGAGGGGGAGGGGCUGCACCCCCAUCUAGGGUUCCCCCCCCAAGGGGUGCGGCCAGCCCUAGAUGGGAGUUGGAGGGGCGGCCAAGGGGGGAGAGAGGGGGGCGCACCACUAGGUGGGCCUUAGGCCCAUCUGAGCCUAGGGUUUCCCCCUUCCCCCCUUCCUGCGCCCUGGGCCCCUUGUGGGAGGCGCACCAGCCCACCUAGGGGCUGGUCCCUUCCCACACUUGGCCCACGCAGCCCUCUGGGGCCGGUGGCCCCACCUGGUGGACCCCCGGGACCCUCCCGGUGGUCCCGGUACGUUACCGAUAGCACCCGAAACUUUUCCGGUGACCAAAACAGGACUUCCCAUAUAUAAAUCUUUACCUCCGGACCAUUCCGGAACUCCUCGUGACGUCCGGUAUCUCACCCGGGACUCCGGACAACAUUCGGUAACCACGUAUAUCUAUUCCCUAUAACCCUAGCGUCAUCGAACCUUAAGUGUGUAGACCCUACGGGUUCGGGAACCAUGCAGACAUGACCGAGACGUUCUCCGGCCAAUAACCAACAGCGGGAUCUGGAUACCCAUGUUGGCUCCCACAUGUUCCACGAUGAUCUCAUCGGCUGAACCACGAUGUCGGGGAUUCAAUCAAUCCCGUAUACAAUUCCCUUUGUCAAUCGGUAUGUUACUUGCCCGAGAUUCGAUCGUCGGUAUCCCGAUACCUUGUUCAAUCUCGUUACCGGCAAGCCUCUUUACUCGUUCCGUAACACAUCAUCCCGUGAUCAACUCCUUGGUCACAUUGUGCACAUUAUGAUGAUGUCCUACCGAGUGGGCCCAGAGAUACCUCUCCAUUUACACGGAGUGACAAAUCCCAGUCUCGAUUCGUGCCAACCCAACAGACACUUUCGGAGAUACCUGUAGUGCACCUUUAUAGCCACCCAGUUACGUUGUGACGUUUGGUACACCCAAAGCAUUCCUACGGUAUCCGGGAGUUGCACAAUCUCAUGGUCUAAGGAAAUGAUACUUGACAUUAGAAAAGCUCUUAGCAAACGAACUACACGAUCUUGUGCUAGGCUUAGGAUUGGGUCUUGUCCAUCACAUCAUUCUCCUAAUGAUGUGAUCCUGUUAUCAACGAUAUCCAAUGUCCAUGGUCAGGAAACCGUAACCAUCUAUUGAUCAACGAGCUAGUCAACUAGAGGCUUACUAGGGACAUGGUGUUGUCUAUGUAUCCACACAUGUAUCUGAGUUUCCUAUCAAUACAAUUCUAGCAUGGAUAAUAAACGAUUAUCAUGAACAAGGAAAUAUAACAAUAACCAAUUUAUCAUUGCCUCUAGGGCUCCAACAGCGACCAUGAGCUUCUUAUCAUUGGCAUCGACGUCGCCCCAGUCAUAUCUACGGACCGGCGGCGCCUGACGGACCCGGCAGAACUCCUGCGGAUCUUCCUCUUUAAUCCAGCACCAUCGGCCCCGCCACUCUUCCCACCUCUCCUUCUGGGCGCCCUCCGGGUACGUACCCUUCUCCUGGCUCCUUGGGAUCCAGGCGACAUAGCCAGAGAUGGUGCCUCCUUUCUGGAAACGAGGGUAAAAAUAGUGGCGGAAGUGCGCCAUGCUGGGAUGCACUCCGGCGAAGCCCUCACAGAGAUGGGCAAAAAUGGCCAUGCACGCCACCGCAUUUGGGGUGAAAUCCAGAAGGUGGAAGCCGUAGGUGUGCAUGACGUCAUUGAAUAAAUCGGAGAAGGGAGGGUAGAGACCGCAGGAGAAGUAGUCAACAAAGAAAGGGUACCGAUUCGGGCCGGCCUUAGCAAAAUCGGCGGGGAUGAUGUGCGUGGCCGGAUGCCCCGUCAUCUUCAUCCCCCCACAGAGGCUUGAAGUAGUCCCUGAGAUGGACGGCAUCGACCGUAGAGGGGAAGUAGGCGUGCUGCGUCCGAAGCGCUGCCAACUCGCUCUCCGGCGGCUCCCUUUUCCCGGCAUCCUUGGCCGCUCCCUUGCCCCUGUUGGUUUUGGGCGCCAUGGCAGCUGGAGGUGGGCGACGAAUCAAGAGCAAUGGGGGCGGCGGCGGCGAGCAGAGGCAAGAGAUUUUUUUGCUUUGAGGAAGAAGAGAGGAACGAUGGUUCCGAGAUUGAAGAGACGCGGAGGGUAAUGAGCAGCGCGCCUGUAGUUUCCCCUUUAUUUUUGGGGAAGGCGCGGGCCGCCUCUUUACCAUUUACCGCGAUGUGACGCAUGAGGGCAGCAACCGCCCCACGCAUGACCCCCACGUCACGCACGACCCCCACGUCGCGCAUUCAACGCGGGUCGUGGGGAAGCGCAAGCGAGCGGGGGAAUUACUGCGGUAAAAACUCCACCGCCCGCGCGCCCGCGCACCGUUCUGGGCCUGGCCCAAUAACGUCCCACGCUUAUAUGUGGCCCAGGCCCGGGGGCUCCUGUCAGUGUACAAAAGUAGGGGUCCCUUUUUGCACCCCUUUACUUGUGCGCGGGCAGUCGUAGCCCCACGCCCCUGGCCACGCCUAGCGGGGCAGAGGAAGCAAAGGCACAAGGCAACCAGAGCAACGCCAAGAUAGAGACACAAAGAGCAGAGGGGCGAGGUGAACUCCCCCGGCAAGGCCCUUCCCGGAGCGGCCUCCACAACCCUGGCAAGCGCCUUGCCGGGGCAACUUGCCCAACACCAACAGGGCUGCCACCCUCGAGCCUGAGAGUUCUAACACCGUCAACCACAUUGGAACCAAGGCUCGGGAGGCACCUCCAUGGUGACAUGCAGAUCUUUGUGAAGACCAGAAGCAUACAAGAUCAGAUGAGAAUCAGAAGACGACAAUCCUCGGCAAGAUCCUUGCCGAGGGUACCCACGAGACCCCCGGCAAGCCCCUUGCCGGGGACGACCACAACGCCACGGCAAGACCCUUGCCGGGACCCCAACAAGACUCUUGCUGAAGACAUCCGCGGGGUUGCCGCCAGGCCCACAUCUGCCAAAGCUCCGCCGCCAUUCCCAUGCAGCUGCCAGCCCAUCAACUAGGCGAGCACCUGCGUGGCGGCGUGCGGCCUCUAGGCCAAUUCAGCAAGCACCUGCGUGGUGGCAUGCAGAUCUUCAUGAAGACCCUACCACCACGCCAACUCUGCAGCCUGCCAGCUUACAUGGCGCUGCAUGCCUCGUUGGCCUGGACGCGUGUCGGAGCAAGGCGGAGCGGCGACGGACGGGACGGGCCUCGUUACCGCCCCCGAUAAAGCAAGAGGACACCUAAGUAGCGCAUUUAAUGCGGUUUGUCCUGUAAUGACAUGCGAUAAGCUUGUGCACUGUAUAGCGUUCCACCUCCUGUGUGCCACUGUGGCAGCCCCUUUGCCUAUAAAAGGAGGCCCGCGGCGUACUGGGAGAGGAUUCGGAUCUUUUGGGCGACGCGCGCACCGUAGCUAGUUCAAAAGCUCAAGAACACUCAAAUAUACACCAAAGCAGGACUAGGGUAUUACGCAUCCUCAUGGCCCGAACCUGGGUAAAUGAUCUUUGUGCUGGCUCCUAGACCCGCUCUUUGCACAACCCCGCGCCCGCCAACCAUAGAAGGGGUUCCAAUGAUCCCAUAGAUGUCAUUUCCCCCGACAUCUUGCAUGGAAAACAGGAUUAGCAGACAAGUAUGCAACACCUUGAUUAUCACACCACAAACAUGGGGUUUUUGGUAUUCCUCAUCCCUAGCUCCCUUAGCAUGGACUUAACCCAGAUAAUCUCUGUUGUUUCAUUAGCUAAUGCUUUAUACUCUUGGACUUGGAAACAAUGGGUUGUUUCUUUGCACACCAUGAGAUCAAAUUGGGUUGAAAGAAUACUGCAAAGCCACAUGUUGGUCGUCUGUCAUCCAAACAUCCUGCUGACACGUCUCCGACGUAUCUAUAUUUUUGAUUGUUUCGUGCUAUUAUAUUAUCAAUCUUGGAUCCUUUAUAUGCUUUAUUAUGUUAUUUUAUAUCAUUUUUUGGACUAACCUAUUAACUCAGUGCCCAGUGUCAGUUGUUGUUUCUUGUUUGUUUUUGUCUUUUCAAAAAAUCAAUACCAAACGAAGUCCAAACCCGAUGAAACUUUAUGAUGAUUUUUCGUGGACCAGAAGGGACACUAGAACGUUCGGGAGGAGGCCAGAAGAUCUACGGGAGAGCAACGAGAUCACCCGGUGUGCCCCAGGGGGCUCCCCUUAGCUCGUGGGUCUCAGGCAGCUCAGUUUGACCUAAUUUCAAGCCUAUAAAUUCCAAAUAUUCCCAAACCAAUAGAGAGCCACCCGAAACACUUUUUCCGCCGACGCAAGCUUCAAUUCGCUGCGAUGCCAUCUGGAGGCCUUCUUCUGGUACUCUGCCGGAGGGGGAAUCGAUCACGGAGGGCUUCUACAUCAUCCUUGAUGCACCCCCAAUGAUGUGUGAGUAGUUUACCACAGACCUACGGGUCCAUAGUUAGUAGCAAGAUGGCUUCUUCUUUCUCUCCGAUCUUCAAUACAAAGUUCUCCAUGAUCUCCAUGGAGUUCUAUCCGAUGUAAUCUUCUUUUGCAGUGUGUUUGUUGGGAUCCGAUGAAUUGUGGGUUUAUGAUCAGAUUAUUCAUUGAAAGUAAUUGAGCCUUUCUGAACUUUAUUAUGCAUGAUUGUUAUAGUUUUGUAUUUCUCUCUGAUCUAUCCGUUUGGUUUGGCCAACUACAUUGAUUUAUCUUCAGUGGGAGAGGUGCUUUGUGAUUGGUUUAAUCUUGCGGUGUCCUCACCCAUUGACAGAGAGGGUGGCGAGGCACGUAUUUGUAUAGUUGCCAUUAAGGGUAAACUGAUGGGGUUUAAUCAUUUUCGGAAAGGGGCGCUUUAUUUCUUAAAAGGUUUAAGCAUUACACCCGGCCUCUGCAUAACCAAGAUGCACACAGCCAACAAAGUCCUCACACCAAGCCAAAAUAAAAGAAUAAGGCGAUAUACAAGGGAAAUGAAUUAUGUAUAACGCCUAAAAUGAAGGUGGCCCAAUCCUAAGAUCAUGCUGCCACCUACGUUGGAUAAAAAUAUCCCUCGCCGUAGCCUCCAAUCGUGUACACACCUCCAUAAACAGGUCUCGAUUCUCCACUCGUUGUAGAGAGGACCAUAAACGAAGAGUCCCGGUACAUCUGUAGAUAACCUACAUAAGAGAAGUACUUUUAUCACUAAAAACCUUAUCAUUUCUACAUAGCUAAAGCGACCAAAUCACGGCAAGCGCUCCCACCCGAAUAAGAAUUCUAAACUUGUGGUCAAUCCCAUGUAGCCAGUUGCCAAAUAUAUUAGCAACACUACAAGGAAGAUACAAGCCAGACGCUAUUUAGAUGACUGACCAUAUAGAACGAGCCAAUUUACAUUGGAAGAAUAAAUGUUUUAUUGUCCCAUCAUGCCGACAAAAGACACAUUGUGUACUUCCAUGCCAAUUCCUCUUAAUAAGGUUAUCUUUAGUAAGAAUGACUCCGCGACGACAUGCAAAGAUUUUAUUCUUAAGAGGUAUCUUCAUCUUCCAGAUCUUCUUAUAAUUAUCAACUGGCACGCCAGAAUAGAUCAAAACUCUAUACAUAGAAUCCACUGAGAAUUUCCCAUUCCCAUGUAGGUUCCAAUGAAAUACAUCAGAGCCUUGUGACAACUGUACCGUGGCUAACCGCUGGAGUAGUAUGUUCCACGAUUGGAGUCUAGGUCCAAUUAAAUCCCUUCUGAACGUCACAUUUGGCGGAAAUGAUUCCAAAACCUUGGCGAUAGUAUCACCCUUGUGACGCACAAUAUUGUAUAGUGCCGGAUAUUGUUCACAGAGUGUAGCAUUACCUAGCCACUUAUCCUCCCAGAAUCCAAUUUCCGAGCCAUCCUUAAUCAAGAAGGAACCAUAGCGGAAGAAAUAUUUCUUCGUUGCCAUUAGUCCCGCCCAAAAAUGGGAGUCCCCAGGCUUCCAGUAUACUUGUGAUACCGCCCAAAAAUGGGGUUUAAUCAUAUUGCUUGGUUUUAUUCUGUCUACAUCAUGCCAUCAUACCUCAUGCAUUACUCUGUUUAUCAUGAACUUAAUACGUAGAGAGGCAAGCAUAGAAGCGCUCUCGAAAUGGAGUAAUAGUAGUAGAUGCAAAAUCGUUUUGGUCUACUUGUCACGGGCAUGAUGCCUAUAUACAUUAUCAUUGCCAUGAUACCGUCAUAACUAUGCGUUUUUUCAAUUGCCCAAAAGUAAUUUGUCUACCCAUUGUAUGCUAUUUAUUCGAGAGAGAAGCCUCUAGUGAAAACUAUGGCCCCGGGGUCUAUCUUUAUCAUAUUACUAAAACCAAAAAUACCUUGCUGCAAUUUAUUUACUUUUUUUAUUUUGCAAUUUAUCUAUCUACCACUACCAGAUUUGAUCCUUGCAAGUUACGAGUUCAAGGGGAUUGACAACCCUUUUACUCGCGUUGGGUGCAAGUAUUGCUCUUGUGUGUGCAUGUACUGUUCUCUAGGAUAUGUGUGCUUCUCCUAUUGGUUCGAUAACCUUGGUUCUCACCGAGGGAAAAACUUAUCAUCUACUAUAUUGCUUCACCCUUCCUCUUCGUGGGAAAAUCUCAAUGCAUCUCACAAGUAGUAGAAAGAAUUUCUAGCGCCGUUGCCGGGGAGACAUCAUCAAAUCACUACAAGUACCUUCACUCAAACUAGCAUCUACCUUCUCUACUUUUUAUUUGCCUCUCUUUUUUAUUUCCCUCCACUUUCCUAAAAAAAUCAAAAACACAAAAAUACUUUGUUUCGUUUGCUUGCUUGCUUUGCUUGAAGUUGCUAUCAUGUUUGAUUUUGUGAUCGCUAAGGGUGAUAGUGAGGAUAGUAAGCCUCAUAACAAUGGAUCUCCCGUAAAUGUUGAUACUAAAACUUUUGUGACGGGAAGUGGAAAUAUUAUCGGAAAAAGUUUUAUUCAAGAAUUUUUCACUUGUACGGGAGCCUUGGUAACCAAUGAUGUCCCUAUUCUUAAAAGAACUAAUAUUUCUGCUCAAGAUAAUUCCACUCUUAUUAUCAAACUUGAGAGAAGAUUUAUGCGUACUCAUCCAACUUUGCAAAGAUUGUUCUUUGAACUACCUGUUUUAAAUGGUCCUAGAGCUAAAAAAAUGCUACGAUUAUCCUUAUGAAUGAAUUUGAUUACAUUGUUCGGGAAGCAAUAAAGUUCUUUGAUCACUAUGAUCUGAAUUAUGAGUGCCCAAUGAUAUAUGAAAUUAUUUAUGAUAGAGAUUUCAUGCGGAUAUAUAUGUCUAGGGAUCAUCAUGCUUUUGAGGAAAAUGCCAGGAAAAAAGUUCCAAACCUACACUUGAUCCCAUCUAUUUAAUAUUACCAACCAUCGAUAUUCUUGGAUUGUUAAGGGCAACAAAAGUGGGUUUGAUGAAGAUUUCUUAGAUAAUGCUAAAGUUCUUAUAGAAGAUGGAUUUACGGUCACUUAUGAAAGGUCCCUUGAUGGCCACACUUCUUAAAAUUGAACUUGGAGGAUAUAGAAGUUAUGAAGGAUAGUCAGUUCCAUUACUUGAGUUCUCCUAAUAGAAAAUCUAUUGCUAAAAGAAGAUAAUUAAUAAGAUGUGCUUAUGAUGAUAUUAUGGAUAAAGGUGUAAUGGAUAUGAAGGAAGAGGAUAACACUUGAAACUAUGCAUUAUGCCUAGCUAGGGGCGUAAAACAAUAGCGCUUGUUGGGAGGCAACCCAAUAGUUAUCUUAAAUUUUUUAUUUAUUUUCUAUUCUUGUGUGUUGACAUGAUUAUUGUUACUGUAAUGAUUGUGUUUUUAUGCGUUAAUUAGUGUUUGUGACAAGUAAAGCCUUUGCGAUGAUUUGGAUAAUAGCUGACUUGAUUAUGUGAAGAAAAAAACAGAAACUUUUGCUCUCAGUCUAGGAAUUACUAUAAUAAUUCACUGGAACAUGCUUUUGAUCUGAAAUUUUUACACAUGGUUGAUAUACAGAUUUCCCAUUUGUCCUAAUAUUUAAGAAUUUUUGGAGUUGCAGACAUAUGAUUUUUAUUCAAAUCAUUACAGACUAUUCUGUUUUAGACAUAUUCUAUUUUAUUGCACAGUGUGCUUGAUUUAGUGAUGCUAUGGAUUAUAUCAGGGGGUAUAAGUCAUGAAGAAGUUAGAAUACAGUAGGUAUUAUGCAAGGAUAAAUUAUGAAUGAGUUUACAAUAGUACCUAAAGUUUAUGAUUUGUCACGGAUCUUCAAGGUUUUUGUUGAGAUUUGUGCUAAAGUUUUGAAAUUUUGGGUGAGAUCAUGAUGAAUGAAGGAACAAGGAGCGGCAAGACCCUUAGCUUGGGGGUGACCAAGGAACCCCAAGGUAAUAUUCAAGGAAGACCCAUGCGUGUAAGCUUGGGAUGCCCCGAAUGGCAUCCCCUCUUUCGUCUACAAUUCAUCGGUAUAUUAGUUGGAGCUAUAUUUUUAUUCAUCACAUGAUAUGAGUUUUACUUGGAGUGUCUUGUGCCGUAGUUUUAUUUUUGUUUGCUUGUUAGUUUGACACAGUCUUUUUUUGCUGGACACACCUUUUGAGAAAGAAACACAUUCAUUGAAAUUUGUUAGAAUACUCUAUGAGCUUGACUUAUAUCUUUUGAGCUAUGUAGUUGCUCUAGUGCUUCACUUAUAUAUGUUAGAGCAUGGUGAUGGUUAUAUUUUAUAGAAAUGAUUGCACUCUCAUGCUUCACUUAAAUCUUUUUGAGAGUCUUUAAAUAGGAAGUGGUAAUGUGCAUGAGUUAUAAGACUAGUCCGAAAAUGAUAGGUAUUCAAGGGAAAUAUAAUAAAACUUUCAUGUAGAUCACUAAAUAUGAAACAUAUGGUUUAAUUAUAUUGAUGUCGUAAUAUGAAAGGAUAUUGGUCCAUGAUCACUGGUUAGUAAAAAAAUAUCGGUAUUAAAGCUUGUUAUUAACUUCUCAUCUAAGUGUUGGUUAUGGCAUGGUGGGGAGGUUUGAGCAUUUUUAUUUUUGCUUGAAAUCCUUGAGUGUUGUCAUAAUCGGGGGGCGCGCAAUGGUUAAAUCCUACCAACCUCCUCCCUAGGGGCAUGCGAGUACCACUUUGCUUCGAGGGACAAUAAAAUUUUCACAAUAAGUAUGAGUUCUUUAUGACUUGUGAGUCCAUGGAUUAUAAGCACUCCUAUGUUUCCGCAAUUUGCUAGCCUCUUCAGUACCAUGCAUUAGCCUUUCUCACCUCGUUAGUUGGUGCAAACUUCGUUGGUGCAUCCAAACCGCGUGAUAUGAUACACUCUAUCACACAUGAGCCUCCUUAUAUCUUCCUCAAAAUAGUCACCAUACCUACAUAUCAUGGCAUUUCCAUAGCCAUUCUGAGAUAUAUUGCCAUGCAACUUCCACAAAUUCCGUCUUCAUGACAUGUGUGUUCAUCUUCAUAUUGCUUUGCAUGAUCAUAUAGACCUGACAUGAUAUUUGUGGCAUAGCCAUUGUUCAUCAUUGUUAUACAUGUUAUGCUAGAUCAUUGCACAUCCUGGUACACUGCCAAAGGCACUCAUAUAGAGUCAUAUUGUUUCAGUUAGCGAGUUGUAAGUAAAUAAAAGUGUGAUGAUCAUCAUUAUUAGAGCAUUGUCCCGGUGAGAAAGGAUGAUGGAGUUUCCGAUGACGGGCUUCCUCAAAUGCCCGAGGUCUUCAUGAGAAAGCAAGUUGGAUGCACACCCACUUAGUUUUCGUUGAGCUUUCAUACACUUAUAGCUCUUAGUGCAUCCGUUGCAUGGCAAUCACUACUCCUCACAUUGAUUUCGAUUGGUGUGUCUCUCCAUUGCCCGUUGAUCCGCCGAGUUGAUGCGAGACUUUCUUCCUUUUUGACUUCCCUUAUUGAUCUCUACCACCGCAUUCUAUUCCACCUAUAGUGCUAUAUCCAUGGCUCACGCUCGUGUUUUGUGUGGGGUUGAAAAUGCUGAAGCGUGUUAGAAGUAUGAUUCAGCUACUUGGUUUGACAUUGGGGUAGUCAUGAUUUAUAUUUAUGCAAUGAAGGCGGAGUCAUGUCAUGAUUACAUGAUAAAAUGAGUAGGGAUAACAUUCGUUAAGCAUCGUGUAUUUAAAAAAUAAUAAUGAUUAUGUCUUUUAUAUUCAUGGAUAUUACUAUGUUGAUAUUAUUACUUCAUUGUUCCUAAAUAUUUACAACGUAAAGAGAUUACAUGAUAAACAUGCUAGGUAGCAUUCAACAUAAAUAAUUCUGUUUUUAUCAUUUACCUACUCGAGGACGAGCAAGAACUAAGCUUGGGGAUGCUGAUACGUCUCUGACAUAUCAACAUUUUUUGAUUGUUUCAUCCUAUUAUAUUAACAACCUUGGAUGCUUUAUAUGCUUUAUUAUGGUAUCUUAUAUCAGUUUUUGGGACUAACCUAUUAACUCAGUGCCCAGUGCGAGUUGUUGUUUUUUGCUUAUUUUUGGCUUUUAAGAAAACCAAUACCAAACGAAGUCCAAACACGAUAAAACUUUACGGUGAUUUUUCUGGAGGCCAUAAGAUCUACGGGUGAGUGAUACGUCUCCAACGUAUCUAUAAUUUAUGAAGUAUUCAUGCCAUGUUUACAACAAUUUUAUAUGGUUUUGGUAUUAUUUGAAUGGAACUAACCCGGACUGACGCUAUUUUCAGCAGCACUACUGUCGGUGUACAAAAGUAGGGGCCUUUCUGUACCCCUUUACUUGUGCACGGGCAGUUGUAGCCACACUUGCGGCCACGCUUGGCGGGGCAGAGGAAGCAAAGAUACAAGACUGCCAGGGCAAUGCUCAAGACAGAGGCACGAAGAGCAAAGGGAGAAGAUGGAUUUCCCCCGGCAAGAGCCUUGCCGGGGCGACCUACAUAGCCCCGGCAAGAGCCUUGCCGGGGCAACUUGCCCAAACACCAGCAAGGACGCCACCCUUGAGCCUGAGGGUUCUGACACCAUCGACAACGUCGAGACCAAGACUCAGGGGCUCCUGUGUGGUGGCAUGCAGAUCUUUGUGAGGAACAAAGGCCUCCGAAUCUGGAGAGAAACCAGAAGGUGAAGACCCCCGGCAAGAGCCUUGCCGGGGACAGGCAGAGACCCCCGGCAAGAGCCUUGCCGGGGACAGAUGAAGACCCUCGGCAAGAUCCUUGCCGGGGACCUUGCCGGGGACGCCCGCGAGACCCCGGCAAGACCCUUGCCGGGGGCUUCUGCGAGGCCGAGGCCAGGCCCGCACACACCAAUGUUCCGUUGCCCCGUGCCCGUGCCAACGCGGCAACCAGCCCGCCAACUAGGCCAGCGCUGCGUGGCAGCAUGCAACUUCUAGGCCAACUAGCCAAGCACCUGCGUGGUUGCAUGCAGAUCUUCGUGAAGACCCCUAUCACCGCACCAACUCAACAGCCAGCCAGUCAGCAUGGCGCUGCAUGCCUCGUCACCUUGGACGCGCGUCGAAGCAAGGCGAGGCGAUGGACGAGACAAGCUUCUUUGCCGUACCUGAUAAAGCAAGAGGCAAGUCGGCAGCGCAUUAAAUGCAUUUGUCCUACGGUCUCAGGCGAUAGACUUGUACACUAUACAUACUUUCCACCUCCUGUGUGCCACUGUGGCGACCCCUUUGACAUAUAAAAGGAGGCCCGAGGCGUACUGGGGAAGCAUUCGAACUUUUUGGACUAGGCAGGCACCGUAGCUAGUUCAAGAGCUCAAGAACACCAAAUAUACAGAGAAGCAGGACUAGGGUAUUACGCAUCAUUUGCGGCCCGAACCUGGGUAAAAAUCCCCUCGUGUUGAUCUUUCAGUCCCGCUCUUUGCACAGCUCCACGCUCCGCCAACCGUAGAAGGGAUUCCUCGGGAUCCCAUAGGUGUCGUUUCCCCCGACAUCUUUGGCACGCCAGGUAGGGGGCACUGAGGCUGUGAAAAUAUGGUCUGAGAGUUGGCGCAUCGAUUUCUCCAUCACGAUGGCCCUGAAGAAGGAGGCGGCCCCAGAGGUCGGCUCGUCUGGAGCCGGUCUGUUUGCGCCAGUGCGGGCAAGCGACAGGGCAGAUGCAAGCGGCGGGGGAGGUCAAAGUCAUCUCCAUCGCUCUGGUGCAUCGACCAGGCGAGCGGUGUUGCCUGCAGCCACAACGACCAUACGCGUGGCGACGAAAAGCUAAGUCACGCAAAACCUUGAGCAACUUCCUUUUUUAUAAGGUUAUUUUCCUCGAAAGGUCCUGCUCCUUGUAUAGAGAACCUGUACGCAAAGGAACCCUUCCGCUAGUGGCAAUGCCCUUGUUCUGUUUCCAGUCCGCUCAACAGUUCAAGCGGCUGCACUGAGAACGGCAAGGUGGCUUGCCCGGUAGCAAGUGCCCCCUGACAGGCUGCUAAGGAUCCGUUCCUCCAAGCGCCACAACAUGGGUUUACGCUGGCAAACCUAUCCAACUAAGCGAAGGGUGCGUACAUAGAAAGAAAGAUCAAACAGGAAGAUAGCAUGCGUCAUUUCAAAAUACUGCAGAGCUAUAUUACAUCAAUGGUUGCCGCGGUUCUAACUAAGAUAAAAUUGUCUUGGGCAUGAAUUCGCAGCAGCAACGAGAAAUGGGGUGGCUAAUCCCGGCGUUGGCCCUCCACCCUCUUGACUCCGUCGAUGCAGCUGAUGAUGGGCUUGAUACGCUCUUCAAGCGCCGUGAGGUCCGCGUCCUCCGCAAGCUCUGAAGCGCGUUGGCAAAGUCGACGAUGGGGUUCCAGAACGCCACCUAGGUGAGCACCUUGGUCAGGGCGCCCCGGCAAAGCUUCCGGGCCUCAUUGGCCAGAUAAGUCGCUCGGUUGGAGCGGAGCUGCUCCAGGGCGUUGAGGACACGCUCGAAGAACAAGGUCAGCCUGGCAUUGGGGCUUACGUUUGCCUCCUGCGAGUACCUGACAUCCGGCAUGCCCAUGACGGCUAGCUGCGCGGUGAGCUUCUCUGCAACGUCGAUGAGACGGCUAAUCCAGAGAUUUACGCUGCCCACAUAGUCCUUCUAGGCGGCGGCGUCAUCACUCCGUAGCUACUUUUCGGUCUCGAGGGCCUUGUUCAGGGCCUCCUCCUGGACCGUGACCUGUGAAAGCAUCCCUCCAAGGCGCCCAGUUGCAGCUUCAGAUCAUCAAUGGAGCUGUUGGCCUCGGAGAGCAGCUUGAUCUGGUCGGAGAUGGUGACCUGCGAAUCCGCCAGAGUGCGGUUGGCCGUGUCCCUCUCCUUCGUCAGCUCUGAGACCUUCUUCUUCAGCUCCUCCCUCUCCAGCUCCAGCUUCUCCACCUCGCCGGCUUGGUCCAGGGCCAGGGCAUCAAGAGCAUCCUUGUGCUUCUGCUCCAGCUCCUGGGUCCGCUGCGUGACGAUCUUCCCGAUUUCCUCGUCCUUGCCAUGGAGCGUGGUGGCAAGCGCUUGCUCACGGGAAACGAGGUCUUCCUCCUGGGUGUCCAGCAGGGCUUGCUGCUGCAGCCGGGCGGCUUUGUCCUUGGCGGCCUGUUCCUUCGCCAACUCUUGGGCCUUCUCGAUGUCGGCCUGCUUCAGGAUGAGCUCUCGCUUGCGCUCGUCCAGCUCACCCUGGGCGGUCCCCAGCCCCCCCAGGCCUCGCCGAACUAGACUUGUGUCUGAGCGAUGCACUCCUGGAAAUCUGCCUCCGCCUUGACAACAGCCGCCAUCUGCUACCUCUUGAGCUUGCGUUGGUUUUUCCCUUGAAGAGGAAAUGGUGAUGCAGCAAAGUAGCGUAAGUAUUUCCCUCGGUUUUUGAGAACCAAGGUAUCAAUCCAGUAGGAGACUACACACAAGUCGCCUCGUACCUACACAAACAAAUAAGAACCUUGCAACCAACGAGAUAAAGGGGUUGUCAAUCCCUUCACGGCCACAUGCAAAAGUGAGAUCUAAUAGAGAUAAUAAGAUAAAUAUUUUUUGGUAUUUUUAUGAUAUAGAUUGAAAAGAUUGCAAAGUAAAAAUAGAUUGGAAACUUAUAUGAUGGAAAAUAGACCCGAGGACCAUAGGUUUCACUAGUGGCUUCUCUCAAGAUAGCAUAAGUAUUACGGUGGGUGAACAAAUUACUGUCGAGCAAUUGAUAGAAAAGUGCAUAGUUAUGAGAAUAUCUAGGCAUGAUCAUGUAUAUAGGCAUCACGUCCGCGACAAGUAGACCGAAACGAUUCUGCAUCUACUACUAUUACUCCACACAUCGACCGCUAUCCAGCAUGCAUCUAGAGUAUUAAGUUCAUAAGAACAAAGUAACGCAUUAGGCAAGAUAACAUGAUGUAGAGGGAUAAACUCAAGCAAUGUGAUAUAAACCCCAUCUUUUUAUCCUCGAUGGCAACAAUACAAUACGUGCCUUGCUGUCCCUGCUGUCACUAGGAAAGGACACCGCAAGAUUGAACCCAAACUAAGCACUUCUCCCAUUGCAAGAAAGAUCAAUCUUGUAGGCCAAACCAAACUGAUAAUUCGAAGAGACUUGCAAAGAUAACAAAUCAUACAUAAAAGAAUUCAGAGAAGAUUCAAAUAUUGUUCAUAGAUAAUCUUGAUCAUAAACCCACAAUUCAUCAGAUCUCGACCAACACACUGCAAAAAGAAUUACAUCGAAUAGAUCUCCAAGAAGAUCGAGGAGAACUUUGUAUUGACACCCAAAGAGAGAGAAGAAGCCAUCUAGCUAAUAACUAUGGACCCGAAGAUCUGUGGUAAACUACUCACACAUCAUCGGAGAGGCUAUGGUGUUCAUGUAGAAGCCCUCCAUGAUCGAUUCCCCCUCCGGCGAAGCGCCGAAAAAGGCCCCAAGAUGGGAUCUCAUGGGUACAGAAGGUUGCGGCGGUGGAAAUAGGAUUUCGUGGUGCUCCUGGAUGUUUUCGGGGUAUAUGGGUAUAUAUAGGAGGAAGAAGUAGGUCGGUGCAGCUGCGAGGGGCCCACGAGGGUGGGGGGCGCGCCCAGGGGGCAGGCGCACCUCCCUGCCUCGUGGCCUCCUUGCUUCUUUCUUGACGUCCACUCCAAGUCUCCUGGAUCACGCUUGUUCCAAAAAUCACUCUCCCGAAGGUUUCAUUCCGUUUGAUAUUCCUUUUCUACGAAACACUGAAAUAGGCAAAAAACAACAAUUUGCACUGGGCCUUCGGUUAAUAGGUUAGUCCCAAAAAUAAUAUAAAAGUGUAUAAUAAAGCCCAUUAAACAUCCAAAACAGAUAAUAUAAUAGCAUGGAACAAUGAAAAAUUAUAGAUAUGUUGGAGACGUAUCAAGCAUCCCCAAGCUUAAUUCCUGCUCGUCCUCGAGUAGGUAAAUGAUAAAAACAGAAUUUUUGAUGUGGAAUGCUACCUAACAUAAUUUUCUAAGUAAUUCUCUUUAUUGUGGCAUGAAUGGUCAGAUCCGAGAGAUUCAAGAUAAAAGUUUAAUAUUGACAUAAAAAUAAUAAUACUUCAAGCAUACUAACUAAGCAAUUAUGUUUUCUCAAAAUAACAUGGCCAAAGAAAGUUCAUCCCUACAAAAUCAUAUAAUUUGGUCAUGCUCCAUUUUCGUCACACAAGAAUGCUCUCAUCAUGCACAACCCCGAUGACAAGCCAAGCAAUUGUUUCAUACUUUAGUAAUCUCUAACUUUUUCAACUUUCACGCAAUACAUGAGCGUGAGCCAUGGAUAUAGCACUAUAGGUGGAAUAGAGUAUAAUGAUGGGGGUUAUGUGGAGAAGAAAAAAAGGAGAAAGUCUCACAUUGACGCGGCUAAUCAACGGGCUAGGGAGAUGCCCAUCAAUUGAUGUCAAUGCAAGGAGUAGGGAUUGCCAUGCAACGGAUGCACUAGAGCUAUAAAUGUAUGAAAUCUCAACAAAAGAAACUAAGUGGGUGUGCAUCCAACUUGCUUGCUCGUGAAGACCUAGGGCAUUUGAGGAAGCCCAUUGUUGGAAUAUACAAGCCAAGUUCUAUAAUGAAAAAUUCCCACUAGUAUAUGAAAGUGACAAAACAAGAGACUCUCUAUCAUAAAGAUCAUGGUGCUACUUUGAAGCACAAGUGUGGGAAAAAAGGAUAGUAGCAUUGUCCCUUUUUAUUUCUUUUUUGGGCGUUUCUCUUUUUUAUUUGGCCUUUCUCCCUUUUUUUAUUUGGGACAAUGGUCUAUUAAUGAUGAUCAUCACACUUAUAUUUAUUUACAACUCAAUGAUUACAACUCGAUACUAGAACAAAAUAUGACUCUAUCUAAAUGCCUCCGGCGGUGUACCGGGAUGGGCAAUGAAUCAAGAGUGACAUGUAUGAUAAAUUAUGCAUGGUGGCUUUGCCACAAAUACGAUGUCAACUAUAUGAUCAUGCAAGGCAAUAUGACAAUGAUGAAGCGUGUCAUAAUAAAUGAAAUGGUGGAAAGUUGCAUGGCAAUAUAUCUCGAAAUGGCUAUGGAAAUGCCAUAAUAGGUAGGUAUAGUGGCUAUUUUGAGGAAGAUAUAAGGAGUUUUAUGUGUGAUAGAGCGUAUCAUAUCACGGGGUUUGGAUGCACCGGUGAAGUUUGCACCAACUCUCAAGGUGAGAAAGGGCAAUGCAUGGUACCGAAGAGGCUAGCAAUGAUGGAAAGGUGAGAGUGCGUAUAAUCCAUGGACUCAACAUUAGUCAUAAAGAACUCACAUACUUAUUGCAAAAAUCUACAAGUCAUCAAAAACCAAGCAUUACGUGCAUGCUCCUAGGGGGAUAGAUUGGUAAGAAAAGACCAUCACUCGUCCCCGACCGCCACUCAUAAGGAUGACAAUCAAAGAACACCUCAUGCUUCAAAUUUGUUACACAACGUUUACCAUACAUGCAUGCUACGGGACUUGCAAACUUCAACAUAAGUAUUUCUCAAAUUCACAACUAAUCAACUAACACGACUCUAAGAUUACCAUCUUCAUAUCUCAAAACAAUCAUCAAGUAUCAAACUUCUCAUAGUAUUCAAUGCACUUUUUAUGAAAGUUUUUAUUAUACCCACCUUGGAUGCCUAUCAUAUUAGGACUAAUUUUAUAGCCAAAGUAAAUUACCAUGCUGUUCUAAAGGACUCUCAAAAUGAUAUAAGUGAAGCAUGAGAGAUCAAUAAUUUCUAUUAAAUAAAACCACCACCGUGCUCUAAAAGAUAUAAUUGAAGCACUAGAGCAAAAUUAUCUAGCUCAAAAGAUAUAAGUGAAGCACAUAGAGUAUUCUAAUAAAUUCCGAUUCAUGUGUGUCUCUCAAAAAAGGUGUGUACAGCAAGGAUGAUUGUGGUAAACUAAAAAGAAAAGACUCAAAUCAUAUAAGACGCUCCAAGCAAAACACAUAUCAUGUGGUGAAUAAAAAUAUAGCCUCAAGUAGAGUUACCGAUAGACGAAGACGAAAGAGGGGAUUCCUUCCGGGGCAUCCCCAAGCUUAGGCUUUUGGUUGUCCUUGAAUUUUACCUUGGGGUGCCUUGGGCAUCCCCAAUAGUAGGAUCUUGCCACUCCUUAUUCCAUGAUCCAUCAAAUCUUUACCCAAAACUUGGAAACUUCACAACACAAAACUCGACAGAAAAAUCUCAUGAGGUCCGUUAGCGAAAGAAAACAAACCACCACUUCAAGGUACUAUAAUGAACUCAUUCUUUAUUUAUAUUGGUGUUAAACCUACUGUAUUCCAACUUAUCUAUGGUUUAUACCCUCCUAUACUAGCCAUAGAUUCAUCAAAAUAAGCAAACAACACACGAAAAACAGAAUCUGUCAAAAACAGAACAGUCUGUAGUAAUCUGUAUCAAACGUAUACUUCUGGAACUCCAAAAAUUCUGAAAUAAAUUUCUGGACGUGAGGAAAUUUUAUAUUAAUCAUCUUCAAAAAUAAUAAACCUAAAAGCACUCUCCAGUAAAAAAAUGGCAUCUAAUCUCGUGAGUGCUAAAGUUUCUGUUUUUUACAGCAAGAUCAUAAAGACUUCACCCAAGUCUUCCCAAAGGUUCUACUUGGCACAAACACUAAUUAAAACAUGAAACCACAUCUAAACAGAAGCUAGAUGAAUUAUUUAUUACUAAACAGAACCAAAAAUCAAGAAACAAAAAUAAAAUUUGGUUGCCUCCCAACAAGCGCUAUCGUUUAACGCCCCUAGCUAGGCAAAAAGGCAAGGAUAGAUCUAGGUAUUACCAUCUUUGGUAUGCAAUACAUAAGUGGCUCCCAUAAUAGAUUCAUAAGGUAAUUUUAUUUUCUUUCUAGGAAAGUGUUCUAUGCCUUUCCUUAACGGAAAUUGGAAUCUAAUAUUUCCUUCUUUCAUAUCAAUAAUUGCACCAAUCGUUCUAAGGAAAGGUCUACCAAGAAUAAUAGGACAUGUAGGAUUGCAAUCUAUAUCAAGAACAAUGAAAUCUGUGGGCACAUAAUUCCUAUUUGCAACAAUAAGAACAUCCUUAAUUCUCCCCAUAGGUUUCUUAAUGGUGGAAUCCGCAAGGUGCAAAUUUAAAGAUCAAUCAUCAAAUUCACAGAAACCUAAUACAUCAAACAAAGUUUUUGGAAUCGUGGAAACACUAGCACCCAAAUCACAUAAAGCAUAGCAUUCAUGAUCUUUAAUUUUAAUUAUAAUAGUAGGUUCCCACUCAUCAUAAAGUUUUCUAGGGAUAGAAACUUCUAAUUCAAGCUUUUCUUCAUAAGAUUGCAUUAAAGCAUCAACGAUAUGUUUGGUAAAAGCUUUAUUUUGACUAUAAGCAUGAGGAGAAUUUAACACGGAUUGCAACAAGGAAAUACAAUCUAUCAAAGAACAAUUAUCAUAAUUAGAUUCCUUGAAAUCCAAAAUAGUGUGUUCAUUGCUAUGUAAAGUUUUGACCUCUUCAAUCCCACUUUUACCAAUUUUUGCAUCAAGAUCUAAAAACUCCGAAUCAUUGGGACGCCUUUUAACUAAAGUUGACUCAUAUCCAGUCCCAUCAUUAUCAAGAUUCAUAUUGCAAAACAAAGAUUUAAUAGGGGACACAUCAAUCACUUUGAGAUCUUCAUCCCUAUUAUCAUGAAAACUAGAAGAACGCGCUUUUACAAAGCAAUCUUUCUUAGCACGCAUCCUAGCGGUUCUUUCCUUGCACUCGUCAAUGGAAAUUCUCAUGGCUUUGAGAGACUGAUUUAUAUCAUGCUUAGGAGGAAUAGAUCUAAGUUUCAAAGAAUCAACAUGAAGAGAAAUUCUAUCCAUGUUCCUAGCCAACUCAUCAAUCUUAGGCAAUUUUUCUUCAAGCACAACAUUGAAAUUCUUUUGAGAAAUCAUAAAUUCUUUAACACUAGUCUCAAAAUCAAAGGGCAUCUUAUUAAAAUUUCCAUAAGAGUUGUUGUAGGAAUUACCAUAAUUAUUAGAGGAAUUACUAGGAUACGGCCUAGGAUUAAAGUUUCCUCUAUAAGCGUUGUUACCAAAAUUGUUCCUACCAACAAAAUUCACAUCCAUAGAUUCAUUAUUAUGCUCAACCAAAGUAGACAAAGGCAUAUCAUUAGGAUAAAUAGGAGCACUCUUAUUAGCAAACAACUUCAUAAGUUCAUCCAUCUUUCCACUGAAAACAUUAAUCUCUUCUAUCGCAUGAACCUUUUUACUAGUAGAUCUUUUGGUGCGCCAUUGAGAAUAAUUAACCAUAAUAUUAUCUAGGAGUUUAGUAGCUUCUCCUAAAGUGAUUUCCAUAAAAGUGUCUCCCGCGGCCGAAUCUAAAAGAUUUCUAGAAGAAAAAUUCAAUCCGGCAUAAUUUUUUUGUAUAAUCAUCCAUAAAUUUAAACCAUGUGUAGGGCAAUUACGUAUCAUCGAUUUCAUCCUCUCCCAAGAUUGUGCAACAUGCUCAUGAUGAAGUUGCUUAAAUUUCAUAAUAUCGUUUCUAAGAGAGAUGAUCUUAGCGGGAGGAAAAUACUUAGAGAUAAAAGCAUCUUUGCACUUAUUCCCAGAAUCAAUACUAUUUUUAGGCAAAGACGAAAACCAAGUUUUAGCACGAUCUCUAAGAGAAAAUGAAAAUAGCUUCAAUUUAACAAUAUCAUUAUCCACAUCUUUCUUCUUUUGCAUAUCACACAAAUCAACAAAGUUGUUUAGAUGUGUAGCAGCAUCUUCACUAGGAAGGCCAGAGAGUUGAUCUUGCAUGACAAGAUUCAGCAAGGCAGCAUUAAUUUCACAAGAUUUAGCAUCGGUAAGAGGAGCAAUCGGAGUGCUAAGAAAAUCAUUAUUGUUGGUAUUGGAAAAGUCACACAAUUUAGUAUUGUCUUGAGCCAUCAUGACAAACGAUCCAACACACAGGCACACAAGAAGCAAGCGAAAAGAGAUGAACGGAAAAAGAGGGCGAAUAAAACGACAAGGGUGAAGUGGGGGAGAGGAAAACAAGAGGCAAAUGGCAAAUAAUGUAAUGCGAGGGAUAAGAGUUGUGAUGGGUACUUGGUAUGUCUUGACUUGACUUGACUUGGCGUAGAUCUCCCCGGCAACGGCGCCAGAAAUCCUUCUUGCUACCUCUUGAGCUUGCGUUGGUUUUUCCCUUGAAGAGGAAAGGGUGAUGCGGCAAAGUAGCGUAAGUAUUUCCCUCAGUUUUUGAGAACCAAAGUAUCAAUCCAGUAGGAGACUACACACAAGUCGCCUCGUACCUACACAAACAAAUAAGAACCUUGCAACCAACGCGAUAAAGGGUUUGUCAAUCCCUUCACGGCCACUUGCAAAAGUGAGAUCUAAUAGAGAUAAUAAGAUAAAUAUUUUUGGUAUUUUUAUGAUAUAGAUUGAAAGUAAAGAUUGCAAAGUAAAAAUAGAUUGGAAACUUAUAUGAUGGAAAAUAGACCCGGGGACCAUAGGUUUUACUAGUGGCUUCUCUCAAGAUAGCAUAAGUAUUAUGGUGGGUGAACAAAUUACUGUCGAGCAAUUGAUAGAAAAGUGCAUAGUUAUGAGAAUAUCUAGGCAUGAUCAUGUAUAUAGGCAUCACGUCCGCGACAAGUAGACCGAAACGAUUCUGCAUCUACUACUAUUACUCCACACAUCGACCGCUAUCCAACAUGCAUCUAGAGUAUUAAGUUCAUAAGAACAGAGUAACGCAUUAGGCAAGAUGACAUGAUAUAGAGGGAUAAACUCAAGCAAUAUGAUAUAAACCCCAUCUUUUUAUCCUCGAUAGCAACAAUACAAUACGUGCCUUGCUGCCCCUGCUGUCACUGGGAAAGGACACCGCAAGAUUAAACCCAAAGCUAAGCACUUCUCCCAUUGAAAGAAAUAUCAAUCUAGUAGGCCAAACCAAACUGAUAAUUCGAAGAGACUUGCAAAGAUAAGAAAUCAUACAUAAAAGAAUUCAGAGAAGAUUCAAAUAUUGUUCAAAGAUAAUCUUGAUCAUAAGCCCACAAUUCAUCCAUCUCGACAAACACACCGCAAAAAGAAUUACAUCGAAUAGAUCUCCAAUAAGAUCGAGGAGAACUUUGUAUUGAGAUCCAUAGAGAGAGAAGAAGCCAUCUAGCUAAUAACUAUGGACCCGAAGGUCUAUGGUAAACUACUCACACAUCGUCAGAGAGGCUAUGGUAUUGAUGUAGAAGCCCUCCGUGAUCGAUUCCCCCUCCGGCGAAGCGCCGAAAAAGGCCCCAAGAUGGUAUCUCACGGGUACAGAAGGUUGCGGCGGUGGAAAUAGGGUUUCGUGGUGCUCCUGGAUGUUUUCGGUGUAUAUGGGUAUAUAUAGGCACUACAAAAAAAAGACACAUCCGUGACAUUUUGGGCCGAACGAAUUUUUUUUCUAUCAUACUUAUGACACUUCUAUGACGAUAAUUGUGACAAAACCCAGUAUCAUCAUAGAUGUGGUGGGUCCUACUUCUAUGACAAAAAAUCAUGACAGAAAAUGGGCUUUUCAUCCUGGGCGGGCCGGAGACGCAGCUGCAUGACAUUCUUUGGGCCGUCCAUGACGGAAAAAACCGUGGUAGAAGCGAGGGCGAGGAAAAUAUCGGGGUGUUCCCUAUUACGGUGGGUGGUCGGGGCCGAGCGAUGCACGUUUUUCUCGUACACGCACGCACGUGGGUGCGAGGCGCUGGGCUCUAACUGAACCCGAGUGAGGCGCUGGGCUCUAACUGAACCCGAGCGAUUGCACUGCAGGCUACGCGUUACUGAACCCGAGCGAUCGAUUGAUGGCUGUUAACUGAACCCGAUCGAGCGAUUCCUUCGCUAUUGCUGCUAACUGAAGCCGAUCGAUGCUGCCUCUGGAUGAACAGUGUGCAUUGAUGGGGGGAUUUGGAUGAACAGUUCCCGGUGGGGGUGGAUGAACAGGACCCCGUGGUGUUGCCUCUGGAUGAACAGGACCCCGAUCGAUCGAGCCAGUUGGGGCUGGAUGAACAGGACCACCCCGUGGAGGACUGGAUGAACAGUAGACGGUGGAGGGCUGUAUGAACAGUAGCCCAUGGAGGGGUGGUUGAACAGGAGCCCGUGGAGAGGGCUGGUUGAACAGUAGCCGGUGGAGUAGCGCGCGGUGGAGGCUGGAUGAACAGGAGCCCGUGGAUGAACAAUCGUAGGUGGAGGCUGGAGGAGGUCGACGGUGGAUGAACAGUAGCCCGUGGAGGCUGGAGGGGGUCGACUGUGGAGAUGAACAGUAUCCCGUGGAGUCCUGUUUUGCGGUACGCCACACCCCUCCCGAUGAACAAGACCCCUGUUUCGACCGUAGCGCUCCAACACAAGUCUGUUUCCUCCGUUUUGCGGUACACCACACCCCUCCCGGUCAACAGGACCCCCGUUUCGACCGUAGGAGGUCCGUUUCCUCCAUUUUGCGGUACGCCAGACCCCUCCCGAUGAACAAGAUCCCGUUUCGACCGUGGCUGGUCGAACACAAGGCCAUCUCCUCCGUUCUGCGGUACGCCAGGCCUCGUUUCCAUCGGCUGUUCCGUCCAAGCCCUCCCGAUGAACACAACGACACAUUCCGUUCCGACCCAGCCGGUUGGCUCCCCAUGAACACGGCGACGACGCAGUUUCUCCGUUCCGACCCAGCCAUGUACACGAGCCCUGGCCGUACGUAUGCACGAGUAGGCGUUCGAGACCCUGCCCAUAUGUACGUAAGGGGCCGUAUUUUCUUUCUUGCACACUGGCCGCUGUACGUACGUGUACGUGCUACGUGUGCGCCUCUACUAUGACACGUGCGCGCCUAUACAUCGACCAGUAUGUACAUACACGUUCGCGACUAGAAUGACAACGCUACGUACGUUUCGACCAGGUGGGUCCCGACUGUCAGGCACUUCCUUGCCUGCGAAGAUGUAGCUGGUGGGUCCCAGCAGUCAGGGGGGCGAAUCAUUUUUUUUGCCCGGACGCACUUCCUUGCAUGCGAAGAUGUAGCUGGUAGGUCCCAGCAGUCAGGGGGAAACGUUUUUUUCGCAAAAUACAGCUGCCUGUCCGGUGGGUCCCUACUGUCAGGUGGAGGAAUAAUUAUUUUACGCGUAAUAAGGAGGCACUUCCUUGCGGCCGCCGUGGACCCAGCUGUCAGCCUCUCCACGUACAGUACUCUUCCAAUGGAAGUCGUUCCUUGACCAUGUUGACCACGCCGCGCCGAGAGCACCAGGGCGGUGGACGACGGCGAGGCCUAGGAAGGGGACGACGCGGAGCCGGGGAAGACGCGACACUGGAAGCCUGCGCGGAGAGGAGUACGAGGGUUUAUUGGUUCGGCUGCGGUGUGAGGCUGCCGUCGCCGCAGGGCCUGGCCAGCGGUGGGAAUAGUAGGGGGCGGUGAGGCCUCUGCGGCAGCACAACCGGUCACGGGAGGCAGGAGCAUGUGGCACGACCGGCGCUGCUUUGGGCGGCUGGAGCAAGAAGACCAGAGGUUGAAGAAGCACUACGGCCGUUGGAUGGACAUCGUACGAUCACUGGAGCUAGAAUCGUUCAUAUUGACUAAGUUGACAACGCACUCCAUCCCCGUCAACUUAGUAGGCCCACAAGUCAGCCUCCCACCAAGGUGGGUCCCAACUAGCAGGGGGAGUAUUCAUUUUUUUGUUCGUAAUAAGGAGGCACCUCCGGUGGGUCCGAGCUGACAGCGGGGGGAACGUUUUUUUUCACGAAAUACGUUGGCCCGUCCGGUGGGUCCCAGCAGUCAGGGGGAAACAUUUUUUUCGCCAAAUACGGUGGCCCGUCCGGUGGGUCCCUCCUGUCAGGUGGAGGAAUAAUUAUUUUCCGCGCAAUAAGGAGGCACUUCCUUGCGGCUGCCGUGGACCCAGCUGUCAGCCUCUCCACGUACAACACUCUUUUGAUGGAAGUCGUUCCUUGACCACGUUGACCACGCCGCGCCGAGAGCACCAGGGCAGUGGACGAUGUCGAGGCCUAGGAAGGGGACGACGCGGAGCCGGGGAAGACGUGGCAGUGGAUGCCCAUGUGGAGAGGAGUACGGGGGUUCACUGGUUUGGCUGCGGUGUGAGGCUGCCGUCGCCGCAGAAUAACAGGGGGUGUGGGUGAGUGGAGGGAUGCCCUGGCCAGCGGUGGGAGUAGUAGGGGGCGGUGAGGCCUGCGCGGCAGCACAGCCGACCACGGGAGGCAGGAGCAGGCGGCACGACCGGCGCUGCUUUGGGCGACUGGAGCAAGAAGACCAGAGGUUGAAGAAGCACGAUGACCGUUGGAUGGACAUCGUACGAUCACUGCAGCUAGAAUCGUUUAUAUUGACUAAGUUGACAAAGCCCUUGGUACGCGUCAACUUAGUAGGCCCACAGGUCAUCUUCCGAAACGGUGCGCCCCAAAUGUCAGGGGGAGGGUCAUUUUUUGGGCGGGUGAAGCUAGAAUAUCCGAGAUUGAAGAAGAAGAAGAACGACAUCCGUUGGAUGGACAUCCAACGGCCACUGCUGCUAGAACCGUGUGUUGACUAUAAGUUGACAAAGCCUUGCAUACGCGUCAACUCUCUUUUUUAGGGGACGCGUCAACUUAGUAAGGCCACAAGUGUGUGGCAGAGAACUUAUAGCCCAUUUGAGAUUUGUAAGAAUGUGCAGCCAAUUUUUGAAUUCUAACGGAAUUUACUACAGUCCAUUUACAGUUUAUUAAAAGUACAACCCAUUUCAACCAACCGUUCAAAACAGAAUUCAAUAAAAUUUCCCACAUUUUGAUGGGAUCCGAAAUAUUUUUAUCACCAAAUUUCUAGUCAAAUUAAAUACAAUUUCAAUAUAAACUUAUAUUACGUAAAAAUCCAACGAAAUAUUGCGCUCGCAAUAAUUAAUGAAAUUAAAAUUUUCAAUAUCCAAAAAUAAUAUUUUAUAAAGUAAUUACGUUUUUGGUGCAUUUUUUGUAGUUACUGCCCAGUUUUUAUAAUUACAUCCCAUUUAUUAUUUCUUAAAGCCCAUUUUCUUGUUAAGUCUAAUGCAUCCCUCCUAGGAAAGAUUUGCAGCCCAGCGGGGCGGAGAAUAACAACUUGACCUUGCCUGGGUAUUCCUAAAAAAAGUAUAGCUAGGCUAGCCAUUUUCAGCUUGAAAAAAACUAAUAUCUGGGCUGGAUAUCUGGCCUGGGCUAGACGGGCCACAGCCCGCCCAGUUAAUAGCUGCAGCGAUGUUUUCGUUGUUGUUGAGAGGAGAAAAAUUAAUAUCUGGGCUAAACAUCGCUCAAGAAAACUCUGCAGUGCUCACACCUCAAAAACACAAAUACUGCUCGAGCUGCUUGGUCCCAGUUGUCGGCCGCUUCUUGUGCAAUUCUCUCGUUUAUUAACUACAUAGGUUGACAAUGGUGUGGGACCGUGAUGUCAGGAAACCAGGAGGAAGCAAAAAAAAUUAUAGUUUUAUAUACUAAUAAGGAGUCACUUGCGUACGUGCGGCUAUGGCCCUGGUGGGUCCCCACUAUCAUCCUCUCCAAGUAAAGUCAUCUCCUCAUCCUCAUGUCCGUUGACCAUGUUGACAACGCGAGACGGCGGCGCCACGGCGAGUGCAACAACUCGAAGGACGACGGAGAGGGCCUCGCGGGCCCUAUGGAUGGUCUGAUACAACGCCCACUGCUCAUUCGGGAAGCCAGGAUCAUAGGGCCACAUGUCCGCGAUGGCAUUGUCGUUCGCUUGUUCACCGGUGCUUGUUGAGGAGAUGGAGGUUGCAGCACAGGUCCUCCUGUGCUGGUAGCUCUUCCGCCAUUAGGGCGUCGAAGUGCGGCCGCACCUGCUCUAUGGUGAACACGGCAUGAACUGGCUUGGACAGUGGCACCGGUUCCUGGUCGGAAGCUACGUCCAUCGUAUGAUUGUCGUCGCUCAGCUCGGCGAGGUAGCUGGCGAGCCAGCAUGUCCGGCUGCUGGACCGACCCACUGCCAAGCACGAGUCUGACUGCCCUGGCCCACCCAGACCGCCUCCCUCGCCCGCGCGUGCUUUCCGCCCGAAACGGUCAGCGCCGCCCGCCCUGCUUCCCGGUGCAUGCGAUUGCUCCGCCUUCAAAAGACACAAGUGUCGUCCGUCCGUCCUUCUGCCGCCCACAUUAAUGAUAUGCGGUUGCUGAGGCGGCUACUCCGGCGCCACACGUCCGUCCCUCCGCCGCCCACCAUUGCUAUAUAAACUGCUGCGUCGGCCAUAGCCGCAGUCAUCCGCAUCCGUUCCUAUUCUCCUGUCCACACCACUAUUGCCCACCAUGGCUUCCUCGUGCUCCAGCGCUCUUCGGGACGGGCGGACAACUGACCACAAGGAGAUGGCAACCAUUGCUGCCGACUGGCUGGCCGGCAGGCAGCCGGAGGACGAUGACGUCCCAAUAGAGAACAUGGUAGUCGACGAUCCGGUGCCAACCCCCUCCUCCGCGCCAUCCUCGCCGGUGCAUUGCACCAUGACCAUCGGCGAGGCCCGUGCCCAAUAUAUGGACACGGUGAGGCAGAAGCGUGAGGAGCAGUUCCGGGAGGCGCAGUCCGACGCCGCCUACAACCACCAUCUCCUCCAGGAGCACCUGCAGGCGGAGGAGCAGAUCGCCGCGAAGCGGGCAGAGCAGGAGGCGCUGCUCGACUCAUACCGCCCCGCCCGCGAGGGCCGCCUCGAGCGCUGGCGGUACCGCAUGCGGGUGGCGGAGGCUGCGGCCGCCUACAAAGAGGGCGAUGAAGCGGGCGAGGCGCUGUUUGGCGAGACUGAGGACGAGGCAGAGGACAAUGCUGGCUCCGACGAGUCCCCGCUCCGCUGGCAUCGGCGAGGCCGUGCUCCGCCGAGGCCCCGCGGCGCCAAUAACGAGGCAGAGGAAACCGCCAGCUCUGCCGAGGCCCCACCUUGCCGGCAACGAGGGGGAGGAUUUCCCCCGCUCUGCCGAGGCGCCGCCAGCUGGCAACGAGACAGAGGACAUCGCCGGCUCCGCCGAGGCCCCGCACCGCUGCCAACGAGGCCGGGCCACACAGAAAAUGAGGAAGAGUAGAACACGGUAGGUCGCCGCCGCUCGGGUCCAAGUAAGGCCACCGCUGCUACUCUCCGGUUGCUGGCACUGAGCUGUACAUCAUGGAGCAAUUCUAUGAUUACAGGAUGAUUGAAGAGCGCUCCAUGGUUGAGCAAGCUCAUGAGAUACAGUCAUUUGCUAGAGAACUUGAGCACUUCAGUUGUAUGCUACCGGACAAGUUUGUUGCCGGAGGUAUCAUCACUAAGCUUCCUCCUUCGUGGAUCUCAUUGGCACUCUUGAUGUGGAAGAAAAGGCGAGAGCAAAGGACACACGUGCUCGAGGAAUUGAGGGAGGAUCUAGUGCCAAUCUGGUACAGAAGAAGAACUUCCAGCCCCACAAGUUCAAGAACAAGGGCAAGUUUGAUGGUAAAGCAAAGUUUGAUGGGAAGAACAAGGCUGUGCAACACACGAACUUCAAGAAGAAGAAUGACAAGAAGAAAGGUGUUUGUCAUGUGGGGAUCCUGAUCAUUGGGCUCCUAGUUGCCCUAAUCGCUAUGACAAGCUAGGCAGGUUGACCACUGACGGCCGGUUAGCUUCUUGGCGGUGACGUGGAGUCGGAGAGCUAUGUUGGAGAAGGACGCUGCUUCUACUUAACUACUGGUGCAGUUGUCUUACUGACACGUGGGCCCAACAGGCAUCUGGGCCACAUGUCAGUUACGCAACUGCACCUGCAGUUAAGUCACUGAAGCUUCUGUUCGGCUCAGCUGGACACAGGUGGGUAGCUUCGGUUAAUUAAUUAUACCUCUAGCGCACCCCUUUUUAGUUGAAGAAUGUAUGAAAUGUAAUGAAAUUUGGCAUGUUUAUAUGAAAUCCGACCGUGUAUGAAUGAAUUUAUAUCGAUUAGUUCGAAUUCUUGUAUCACUGGCAUUGGAUGAACAUCCAAAACAAUACGUACUAGCAUUAUUCCCAGGGUGAUCACCUCGUUUGCAGCAGUUUCACAUGUAGUCCCUCCAGUCCUUUCUAGUCUGCAUACAAGUUUUGUGUGCAGUCAAAGUAUCUCUACUUUGACCAAUCUUAUAGAAAAAAGUAUGCACUUUCACAAUGUGCAAAGUAAAAAGGAACAGAAGGAGUACAAAGAGUUUGAGCAGCUUUUUAGCGUUCCUGUACAUUGCAAUCAAACACACAGGCCUGGCAAUUCAUAGAGAACAUUCAAAACAAUCGAUGAUUAUGCAUCUCAGCGAUUCACAUGUCAGAGCCAAUAUUUACUUCACAACUAAAGAAUAAAGAAAAAAAAUGGAUCAACGCUGCUGACAGCAAAGGGCGUCCCAUUCGAAAAUAUCAAACGCAUGUCUUCUUGCUAAAAUCAAUGAGCAAAAUUUGACAAGGUUUUCCCAUUCCAAAAUAUCAAAUGCCUACGAUUGUGGAAUGGGCAGGGUUUGCCAUCAGUUCGGACAUUGACAUGGCACCUCGUGCUAAAUAAACCAGUUGUUCUUUUUGUGCAGUUCCACCAAAAUCAACCAAAUUCGCGCGUAGCUUGUAUGAUUUCUCCCUUAUAUGUUGCAACGCCUUGAACUUAUCGGCACCUCCUUUCAUGUGGUGGAAAUGAAUGAUUCGAUGUAUUCAUGAAGAUUUUGUGCAGUUCCCAUUGAAAUCAAGCUGAGCACCCCUGUUUGCACAAAUACAAAAAAGUGAUUAGUAUAAAGCAAACUGUACUAUGAAUUGACAGUUUAAACAGGCACCUACAUGGUCCAUGUAGAGCACACUUUCAGAAAAAUGGAACUCACCGGAAAGAAUCCUAGAACAACAUUGUACUCGCGCAUCACAGCAAGAAAAUGGAGAUUUGUCAGUCCUUCUGAGCUGAAGUUAGUUUGGUCUUGUGGGGGGUAAUGUAACCAUCCUUCAACUGCUCCUUCUGAUGAGAAGAUAGACAUGGCUUCUUCAUCCUGGCAUAAUCGGAACUAGUCACUUCACGUACUCCAUAUUCUUCUUCAGAGGAGGAUGAUCCUGUUGUGCAAAGACAAGAUGAUAACUAAAUGCUAGCAUCCUUGUUUGCUCAAAAAAAAGGAAAGGAAAUAUUUAAAACAACAUAGAUGAAGCACUUCUCAAGGAUAAUACCACUUUUUGAUGACAGUAUCUAAACAGUAGCACAACACCAAUAGAGAUGACAAAGCUCAAUCAUAUGGAUUAAAUUGGUGGGCGAGUACCAACCUUUGUUAGGAGGCUUAUUGUGUAGAGCAUACAGAUGAAGCACUUCUCCGGAACCAUCUGUUGCUAUCUACUGUGAUGGCCAUGCUUACUAUAUACUCCUCGAUUAGAUUAAUGUUUCCAACAUCUUCUUGUGCAGUUCCACUAAAAUAUAUGGUAUCUUCAAAGAAGAUCCCUGUUUGCACAAGUAGAGAUAAUUACAUAUUACAUUAAGAGUGGCAUCAAAUCAGUGGCAAAACAAUUGCUCGUUCCAGCCAUAGCAAUAAAUUAAGAUGCAAAACUAUAUCAUUAUUUGUGUCAUCACAGUUCCAGUGCUUCAUUACAUCACCAGGAGUUGAUUUUUGUUUUUCUUCCACUUGUUCUUCCCCUUCAUCACUUGGUUCAAUAACAGACAAGCUUCACCUUCAAUGUAAGAUUUGGCAUGUCAAUUAGGUUGCACAAGUAUAGCACUAAACAAUGACAUUAAUUUUCUGAUGAAAGUGGCAAAAUACAGGCCAACAGUUGUGAAAUAUCCUUAUCUUACCUCAAUGGGAUAUUGCGGUGCACAUACAGAUUGGAAGUCUUGUCUCCAUUUUUGUAGUUCACUAAAAUCAAGCAACAUUACCGUACAAGUAGCACAACAUAUGAAAGCACACUGCAGAAUCAUGUGAAAGAAGGCUAGUACUGACCUCUCAUGAUGCAGAAUUCAAACAACUCACAAGAAGUAGAUCUGAACCAAAUUUGCCAACACGAAUAGGAAGUAAGAUCUCCUCUUGUGCAGUUCCACUAAGAUCAAGCAAUCAAGCAACGUUGUCGGUGUGACAUUUUGGUUGAACUGCACAAAACACUCUUAAAACAAAAGUGUUUUGUGCAGUGCAACAAAAGGUCACAAUGGCAACGAGGUGAAGUAGAUAACCCUGUUUACACAGAGGUGCAAAGGAAACAACUAGUGGUCAAUAAUGGUGGAUGACACAGAAGCCAACAAAAAGAAGCAUCUACCUUAUCUAAAUGGGAAAGAAAGCAAGACAGUAGCAUUUCUCAAACGGUGGCAUUGAUUAAUAUUAACAGAGAGAUUAUAUUAACAAUAAAAUUCGUUAAACAUGUAAUUUGCUUUUAACUGUGGCAUUGCAUCAAUUUUCCAGCGGCAUUAUUAGAGGGUGUUUGUUUAUAGGGACAUUUUGGUGGAGGGACUAAAAAAACUCUGUGUCAGUCCCAUCUAAACCAAACAGGAGGGACUUUUAGGGACUAAAAGGGGCAUCUGGGACUAAAGAAAGAAGACCCCGAGGGAGAGUCUUUUUGGGACUUUUUCCAACAGUUGCCCCUGCCACGCAUCGCACCUUGUCUCUAUUAUUUCAUUACUAGGGGUAACAUGGUCUUUUAGCAUGUCAUUUAAUAACCUAUAGUCCAUGUUUAGUCCCUGGAACCAAGCAGGUAGGGACUAGGGAGUUUUUAACCAAAUAGGGCCUUAGAUUAACAACAGCUAAAGAGUUGCACGGGACAGUGGACGCACCAGCACCAUGUGCAUCUAUCGAUGUACUGGGGUGAUGCACAGUCUAUUAUAACAAAGAACAAACAACCAAGGAGCAUAUUUGUGUUGGUCCCAGUUUUGUUAUCUUUAGACACCUUUCCCUAUGUGGGCGCAGCAAAUCUAGUCCUGCUCAAACUCUACAGCCUUGUCCCCCAAAACAAAAGAUCAGUUUGUUACAGAUGUGCGUACUGCGUUUGUCAUUGUUUCCCCUUUUCGACCAACGUAGGUGCUGGAUAGCCAGUCUGUACUAGUACUUUCCCCACUUCCUUUCCUCUGUGAACCACGUCCUAGAUUUAUGCUAUACGACUUUCCCCACUACUUUCCCCCAUUCCUGUCCUCUUUUAACCACGUCUUAGAUUCAUGCGAUACAACUUUCCCCACUACUUUCCCCCUUCCUUUCCUUUUUUAACCACGUCCUAGAUUCAUGCUAUACAAUUUUCCCACUACUUUCCCCCAUUCCUUUCCUCUUUGAACCAUGUCCUAGAUUCAUGGUAUACAACUUUCCCCACUACUUUCCUGUUUGAUCCAACACCUAGAUUCGAGUGCAGAAGCGGAAAAAGCCCACAUGCAGCUAGAGCAAUGCAUGUGGGACAAGUAAAUUAUACCUUAAGGUUCUUGGGGUGUGGUUCGGUGGGCGACCGGAGGCAGUUCGACCCACACUAUGUACAACGGCGAAGAAGAAGGGGUCGGAGGCCCUCCCGCGCCGCCGCUGGGUGAAAGUGAACAGCUGCGCUGGUAGUGGAUUCCUCCCUCGCCGACGGCGAUAGCGUUAAGCCUCCUUCCCUUCCCGGCGGAUGGAUCCUGCCGGCUCUUUGACCAGCAGUGAGGGGAGAGAGAGAGGCCAACGAAGUCUUGUUUAGAUCUAGAGAGGGUGAGAGAGUGUGAAGAGAGCAACUACAAGCAGGCCAGCAGUGAGGAGAGAGAGAGGCCAACGAAGUCUUGUUUAGAUCUGGAGAGGGUGAGAGAUUGUGAAGAGAGCAACUACAAGCGCUGAGGCUCCAGCGUGUAUAUAUAUACUGGAGAGAGUGUGAAGAGUGCAAACCCUAGAAAACAAGUGCCGGGGCUGCAGCUUAUACAUGAUGAGGUGAUUAUACGGUCACUAGGAGAUCGUAUAGCUCCGUAUCCAUCCAUUUUGACCAGUCAAAGAAUCCUCCUGGCACGAAUUAUGCUCAAGUGUUCGAACCCGAGACCUCAAGUUUGAUGAGCGAAUAGGCUAACCAGCUACACAACCCUCCCGUUAUGUUCAACGAGAGGAAAAUAACCUUUUAUACAUUCCUGCAUUCGUGUGACAAGCAUGCCGUGUUUUGUUGUGUGGGAGUCAUUGGGAUUUAAAUCAUAAUCGUGUCAUGUGGCUUUGGUGGUAAGACUAUCCACAGUGGUGCAGAAAUAAUGCAGCCUUAGUCACCUUACCUCUCUCCACGUAGUACAUUGGGUCCCACCAGUCAGAGGGUGAAACAAACAAAUUAAUAAGAAAAAUUAAAAGCGCCAGCGGUGUAUCUUACCUCACACAUCUCGCUACUGCUCGGGAACACUGUCCAAUUGAUCCCUCUGUUCGCUCACGUACUAUUUUAAGUGAAUCCUUAUUAUAACAUGCACACAAUUUUGGGCACUUGUAUUCGACCUAAGUCAGUGUGCCACCGUAUCUCGUAUGACUCCCUCUGUCUACGUGUAAUAAGUCACGUUAGAAGGUGCAGCGGGACCAAGGUGCAAGCAGAUUGGAGGAGAAGGAGAAACUUGACCGGUCAUUCCUCCAAUUAAAGCCCUGAUUUUUGUCUCUAAACGCAACAAUUAAUCCAAACAACUAAGAGAUGCCGUUUUAGCUACCAUGCAGGGCCACGUAUUAACUCGCAUGCAAGCCGACUUUGAUUUCUUAACUGAUCAACGCGUACUUGCGCUCCAUGCAUUGGGUUUCCCGGGGAGAUAACAAGGCAGAGUAAGGAGCGUUUGGUUACAUUGCAUAGGCUGGUCAUAGUGGUGAGUAACUUGGACUAGUACAACAUGCAUAUGUUACUAGUCUUUGUUACUACUACGCGAAGUUUGCCAUCGGAAGAGAGCUGAUCUGGCUCUCCUGAGCUAGCAAGGUUUUUCUAUCCCACCCAAGCUAGCUGGCCCACAAAAGCUAACAUAUUUUAACAGUUCCAAACGCCUAACAUUGCCCGGCUAUGCUAUAAGCUAUUCUUGCUAAGGAUCCAAAUGCUCCCUAAGUAACAACGCUCGCUAGCAACAAGGCCAGGAGGGGAUUGAGAUGCGAAGUUAAUGGACGAUGCCUAACCAUUUUGGGAAUAUCUGAUUUCCGUAGGAUGACUUAACACCUAGACGGAGGGAGUACUACUCCUCAGUCCAGGUUUGAUGGAAUAUUCGUCACCUCUUCUCUUCUUGUACAUACUCCAUUUAUAUCUCACUUCCUGUGGCUUCGCACUCGCACGAUUUUCCUAUUCUAUGAACCUAUGUGUGCGUGUGCGUGUGCGUGUGUGUGUUUAACAGCAUGUGUGUGUUAGAGAGAGCGACAGAUCGACCUACUCCUACAGAGAGAUGGUGUGUAGUGUACGAUUUUAGCCGCGAGAGUUGGUGCAUCCUCUCGUUUCCGGGCGUCCGGUAGGGACAGGCGGACAGCUGCCACGCCCGCUCCUGACCAGCCUGGCCCACCCAAAGCCCCUCCAUCACCCGCGCGCGCUUCCCGCCCGAAACGGUCAGCGCCGCUCCAAAGAAUCGGUGCCGCAUUCAUGCUCGGGCAGAGCGGACACGACCUCUCACUGGCGCCUGCGUUGAAGGGAGAAGCGGAUUCAAGAGUGAUGGCUGCUUCGUCCGUCUAACUUACUGCUGGGUCUAUGUGAUUUGACGGCUCAUUGGUCAUUAUUACUGAGGUGGUAGGACUGCUGGAUGUCCCACGCUUUCGGCGAAAGGAGGUACUACUAGAUUACAAUUUUCUCCAUUCUUACAACGGAGGAGUGCAAGAGCAGUGAAAACACGCAGGCUCAGUGAUUACAUGGCCCACCUCACACUAUCACCAUAUUUUCUGGACACCGUGUGACACCUAACUCUUUACAUAGUACUCCCUCCGUUCCUAAAUAUAAGUCUUUGUAGAGAUUCCACUAGGUGGACUACAUACGGAACAAAAUGAAUGAAUCUACACUUAAAAUGCAUCUAUAUACAUCCAUAUGUGGUUCAUGGUGAAAUCUCUACAAAGACUUAUAUUUAGGAACGGAGGAAGUACUUGUAUAGUACGUACUGUAAUUUGUCAGCGAGAUAGUACAAUGCUAUGAAGCUUCCAGCUUCUGUUACAUGUAUCUUGCGUCCAAGGUUGCCCGUUGCAACAUUUCAUCAAAUACAAAGGAGACUAACAUGCAUGCUAUUGCAUCUCAAUGAUUGACAGAUCAUAGCAAAUAUGUACUCCCCUCGUUCCAAAAUAAGUGUCUCAACUUUAUGCUACAUACGGAACAAAAUGAGUGAAUCUACACUCUAAAAUACGUCUAUAUACAUCAGUGUUUGGAGUAUGUACUAGUAGUUCAUAUUGAAAUCUACUAAAGGACAUAUAUAUUCCAAACAAUAUGAUAAUCUCUCUAACCAUGGUAGUAGGGAUGAGGAGUAAACGGAGGGAGUAGUAAAAUUUUCUCCUCGUCCUGCGAGCCACCGCGAGCGUGGGCCAGGGAGUAGGCGUAAGGCGUACAAUACUACUACUACUCAUGCAGUCCCUAGCCAGUGAAACAGAGACAUCUAAAGAAAAACACGAUCCAUGCAGUCCCUAGCCCUUGAACUGUAAACCCUAACCAGGCUUUAAUUUGCUGGCAACGUUGGAACUUCCUAAGAAAUGAAGUUCGCAACCCUUUGACCAUCGGAUCAUUUUGUGCAGUUUCACCAAAAUCGAGAUGAGCAUCCCUCUGGCAAAGAAAUUGAAGAAGCGUGAUUAGAAUAAGAUUAAUGGGACUAGUUGAUGAGACAUAAACUCAUCACAAAUACAGUACGUAGAAGCUAGUAGAGGUAUGUGCGGGGCAAAGAAGUAGAGAAAUAUCCACAUUGAGUGAUGUGGGCAGCUGGAGUAGUGGUGCAAGCCGGCUGUAAAGGUAGUUGUACCCGAGGGAUGUCGGGACGUAGCUCAACCUAGAGGAGGGCGGCGGGAGGAGGCAACUACCCACGUCGCGGCAGUGAGCAAUGGACGAAGGCAACCUCACCGGCUUUGUGAGAGAGAAUGGCGGGGACCCCUGACCGGGACGUGCCUACAGUGGGUUUUCACCGUCGGGGACGGCGACCGCAUCUACACUAAGCAUCCACCCCUUCCCCCGGCGGACAUGAUCCGCCGGGAUGUUAGAGAUGUGGCCACAGUGGUUUUGUGCGAGAGAGUGUGAAAACUGAAGAGAGCAACCCCAACAAGCAACCGUGUAGGCUCGUCCUGCCUAUGUAUAUAGUGGAGCGGUUUCCUUUUCUCUCCAUAUGAACCUAUUUCUAUUGCGUACGUGCCACUGAAGAAAAAAAACUUUAUUUAUAAAUGACGCGGCACCUACUACUCGUUCUCCUAUAAACCUUGCGCUUGGCAUCUCCAAACUAUUAACCUUGCGAUUGGCUCUUCGCCUCUUCGGGAAGUCGAGCAAUAAUGGUACUGCAGUAUAUAUCGUUCUGGCUAUAUGAGACCGAAUGAAUUGCUGCACGUCCACCACGUGGCGAGGGUCGAGGGGCGAGGGAGAGUGCGUACUAUUACGUCCGUUUCAAUAUGGACUACAUACGGAGCAAAAUGAGUGAAUCUACACUCUAAAAUACGUCCAUAUACAUCAGUUUUUGGAGUAUGUACUAGUAGUUCAUAUUGAAAUCUACUAAAGGACAUAUAUUCCAAACAAUAUGAUAAUCUCUCUAACCAAGGUAGGGACGAGGAGUAAACGGAGGGAGUACAGUAAAAUUUUCUCCUCGUCCUGCGAGCCACCGCGUGCGUGGGCGAGGGAGCAGGCGUAAGGCGUAGGUACUCAUUAGUAAGCAAGCUUCACCUCAUCCUGCGAGCCACCGCGCCCGUGGGCGGGGGAGACGGCGUACUAAGCAAGCUUCUCCUCGUUCUGCGAGUUGACGGGACACAUCAAAAGUACUCCAGUGUAUAGAGCCUUGCCUCUAAGGUAGGCCCCACAUGGUUUGCCUCUUUUUUAACAUAACGCGUCAAGUCACAAUUUGUAUGUUCACCCGUGGUAGACAAUCCUCCCUCCAUCUAGUGGACAACUAGUACACGUGUCAAAUUACCACGUGGGCUGCCUUUUCGUACAGAAAUGAGCUCCACUUUGUACCCACGCGGGUGUGGUUGGGAAAGAGACGGGAGUACGUGCGUCGUGCGUGCACCUCUUCUCUUCGUGCACGCCCCCCACCUACGUGUGUGUGUGUGUGUGAGAGAUACAAACCUAGACAAAUGGCUUGUGCGUUCGUGAGUGUUUUUUGUUUUGGGGGGCGGGGAGGUUGAUUUCGUGAAUGUAUUUGUGGGAAUAUGUGUCGAUGACAUCUCAAAGAAAAUUUUGCAUGCAAUGUGUGUGAAAUGGAGGCCUAUCCAUAUCAUAUUUAGAGGGUCGGGCGAUCCACGAGAAGAGAGGGAGGGGUCAUAGAUAUCGAUAGAGUCGAAGAGAGGAUCAAGUGGGUGGGUGCGAGAUCGAUGAAGAGAGCCAUCGAAAUUGUGUGUGUGUGCAAGUCAAAGAUAUAGGGCGACUGACCUUGCUACCGAAACGUCAGAGGGCACAGGUCAAGUUUGUGUGUGGCAGGGAGACAUGACUAGAGCGCUCAAUGUAUCGGUGUGUGUGUGGGGGAGGGGGUGGGGGGAGGGGUAGGAAGAGGCCUAACUAUAGAGGUAGAACGACUCGUAUAUGUGUUGAGAAGGAGAGACCCAACUAUGUCUUGAGGGAGAUCGGUCGACAUCCAUACAUAACUGAAGGACGGGAAAUAGGAUGGGACAGAGAGAGAGAGAGGAGAGAGAGAGGGAGGGAGAGGGGUAGAGUGCUGGAUGGGUGAUGGAGUUGCUUCUCGAAGAUGGUGGGAGAGGCCUACUAGAAAACUAAGGGUGGAACUGCAAUAUUAUCAAUAAGAGUGGGUAUGUGUGUCUGUGUGUGCCUGUGCAUGAUAGAUCUGUCGGGACACAUCCAUGGAUGAUGAAGGGGAACCAUGUGUUUGGUAACCAAACCUAACUAGAUUGGUAGAUCAAUUGUUGUUUGUCGGAGGAAGGGAGAGACAUAACUAAUGAGGUAGAUCGAUCGACGCAUGGGAAAAACCGAGUUAUAAGGACCUAGCUAGCUAUAUGUAUAGCGGGAGAUCGGUCGGUGUACGUCCAUUUGUUAGAGGCAAAUAAGGCCCGACGAGACGGAUAGACAGAGAGAAUGGAGCUAGGAGGUGGUGCAAGAGGCCCAGCUACUAGCUAGAUAGGGGGAGGAGUGUGCGGUUGUGAGAUCGAUGAAAAGAGGGGCGAGAGUUUACACGUGUGUGGGACCGUAUGAGAGACACGAGGCAAGGACACAUAAAGGAGGAGACUGAAGGUGCGUGUGUAUGUUGUAGGCAGACAUCGCUGGAGAGGUUUAUCGAUCGGUGUGUGUCGGAAAGGAGUUGUGGAGACUGUGGGAGAACGACCUAAAGAAAAAAAUGAAUGUGUGCAAUGGAUAGAAUGCUGAGGGAGGGGGAGGGCGAGGAGGGUGUGUGCAUGCACGAGAGAAAGUUAGUGGUAGCUACAAAGGUUAGAGGAUUGUGUGGGUGUAAGAGACUAACAAAGAUCAUAAUUUGAUAUGAAGUGGAUUCAUAUAUUUGAAUAGGAGAUCAUAGUGUUUUAAACAUAUGCAUGCAUGAAUAUAGCGGUGAUACGCGUGUUGUGGUUUUGCACAUGUUAUACCAUAAUGUGAUAAUGCAUGGCGUUUGCAACUCACAGCUAAAUGUCAAACAAUCUAAACCAUACUAUACAUCGAACAAUCUCACAUUUUAUUUGAAUUUGUGAUAAUGUGUGGCGUUUGCAGCUUACAACUCAAUAUCGAACAAUCUAAACAAUACUAUAUAUCAAACAUUCUCACAUUUUAUUUGAAUUUGUGGUAAUGUGUGGUGUUUGCAACUCACAUCUAAAUACUUGUAGGCGUAGGGGGCAGGGCACCAUACAUAAUGUGAUAAACACAUUAUACAUAUGAUACAUGGUUUAGUUUGUGAAGGUCUAGCUAGAGCUUGAAAUGUACUAUGAUUUGAAAUCAACAUAAAGUGGAUUCAAAAAAUCGAGUUCGAGUUCAUAUAGUACACAUAGUUCAUAUGUAACUCGAGACUAAUCAUGUGGUGUGCUGUGAAGAUAAUACACAAACGAUGGUUUAACUUGACAAUAAUGACGAUUGUAGAUCUUAUUAAAACAGAGAAACGAAUUCAAAUGCUUUGACUUCACAACAUUCAUUAUUGUAGAUCUUAUUCAAAUAGAGAAACGAAUUCAAAUUUAGUUCAUAUUGAAGCGGUAGUAUAUACGUUUGGAAUGCACUAAAACAUUCAUUUGAGUACUAGGUUGCAUGCGUUAUACACAUAGCGAAAUAUUUUAAUUGAACAUAACAUGAAUUCAAAGUUUUGAAUGACAUUUGUAGUGCGAAUUGAUUUGGUACAAUACACGUUAGGCUUGUCCGGAAAUUUCAACCCGCGCCUUGUUAGCUCGAAAUAUUUAAGAUAUAUCUUUGUCUCGUUGUGCUCCAACAACUCCCUCCAUCUCAACCCGCGCCUUGCUAUUCCAAAAUUACAACGCGCGCAAAAACUCCCACCUCCUGUGAAAUCCCGACACACGAAAUGCUCGUGAUACCCCUGAACCGAAAGAACCGCCUCAAAUCGGUGGGGGUACUUUCGUAACUUACCCCACAUUUCGGACAAGCGCGUCCCUAAGCCAUGGUUCCCCACUCCCAUCCCAUCCGCCCACCCAUUCGUACACCGAGGCCGGGAAAACCCGCGAAGCCCCACACCCUCCGCUGUCCGCCAACCAGCCGGAGCCUCUUCCCCGACGAUGUCGUCCACAGCAACACCUCGACGUCCCUCAUCCAUCGUACCGGAUGAGGAUCCGUCGUCGAUCUGGUCAUCCCGCCGGUUCUGCCACCCCGUCCUCCACCUCCAAGGAGCUGCCCCGACGUUCCCCUCGUCUUUCACGCCACCUCCAUCCCCACACCGCCGUCUUCACCUGCACCACCAGAAGAGCAUCAUCAUCACCAUUUCCUCGAAUGAAGCUGCGGCCUAAUCGGCGCCACCAAAGAGGUUGUACAGUAAUUGCCGCAUUUUCUUCUUGAUUCGAUCUCACGGUGCUGCCGACGCUUGGUCCCGAGCCGACACGGCGCGGCUCCAUCCACGGCGGCGUCGCUCCCUCGGUGGCGACGUCCACAUCAGUAGGAGUUGCUGCUGCUUUAGCUCUCGCUCGCGCGGCUGCUCUGCUCUUGCUCUUGGUCCACUGCUUGGUCUGCUCUUGCUCUUGCUCUUGCUCGCGUUGCUGCUCUCACUCUUGCUCUUGCUUGCGAUGCUGCUCCGAUUUAGCUACACUUCAGUCGACUGAAUCGACUUUUGGGUCAGUCGAUUUUCAGGGGUGGGGGGCUCGCCGGAGUUAAGGAAGAACCAGCCGCAACGGGGAGGGGGGCUCACCAGAGAGGUACCCCACUAUCUAUCUUAGGGUUCAGGGUGGGGCCAGUGGUCGCCAGCGGUGGUGGGGCGGUGGCGUGGGGAUCACCGGAGAAAAAGCUCGACACGGGGGGCCUAGAGGGAUGGCCGGGGCGGCGGCUGCUACCUCUUGAGCACUGCGUUUGUUUUCCCUUGAAGAGGAAAGGGUGAUGCAGCAAAGUAGCGUAAGUAUUUCCCUCAGUUUUUGAGAACCAAGGUAUCAAUCCAGUAGGAGGCCACGCACGAGUCCCUCGCACCUACACAAACAAAUAAAUCCUCGCACCCAACGCGAUAAGGGGUUGUCAAUCCCUACACGAACACUUACGAGAGUGAGAUCUGAUAGAUAUGAUAAGAUAAUAUUUUUGGUAUUUUUAUGAUAAAGAUGCAAAGUAAAGAAAGUAAAAUAAAAACGACGCUAGAAAUAACUUGUUGACGGGAGAUUAAUAUGAUGGAAAAUAGACCCGGGGGCCAUAGGUUUCACUAGUGGCUUCUCUCAUGAGCAUAAAUAUUACGGUGGGUGAACAAAUUACUGUUGAGCAAUUGACAGAAUUGAGCAUAGUUUUGAGAAUAUCUAGGUAUGAUCAUGUAUAUAGGCAUCACGUCCAAGACAAGUAGACCGACUCCUGCCUGCAUCUACUACUAUUACUCCACACAUCGACCGCUAUCUAGCAUGCAUCUAGAGUAUUAAGUUCAGAAGAACAGAGUAACGCCUUAAUUAAGAUGACAUGAUGUAGAGGGAUAAACUCAUGCAAUAUGAUAUAAACCCCAUCUUGUUAUCCUCGAUGACAACAAUACAAUACGUGCCUUGCUGCCCCUACUGUCACUAGGAAAGGACACCGCAAGAUUGAACCCAAAGCUAAGCACUUCUCCCAUUGCAAGAAAGAUCAAUCUAGUAGGCCAAACCAAACUGAUAAUUCGAAGAGACUUGCAAAGAUAACCAAUCAUACAUAAAAGAAUUCAAAGAAGAUUCAAAUAUUGUUCAUAGAUAAACUUGAUCAUAAACCCACAAUUCAUCGGUCUCAACAAACACACCGCAAAAGAAGAUUACAUCGAAUAGAUCUCCACGAGAGAGGGGGAGAACAUUGUAUUGAGAUCCAAAAAGAGAGAAGAAUCCAUCUAGCUAAUAACUAUGGACCCGAAGGUCUGAGGUAAACUACUCACACAUCAUCGGAGAGGCUAUGGUGUUGAUGUAGAAGCCCUCCGUGAUCGAUGCCCCCUCCGGCGAAGCUCCGGAACAGGCCUGUAACGCCCCGGAUCCGUUGCGCCAGGUGUCUGCCAGUUAUUUGCUGUCCUUGCCUUGUCAUUUCCUUGUGUGUUGCAUUUUGCCAUAUCAUCAUCUGCAUUUCAUAUCAUGUGCAUUGCAUUUGUAUACGUGUUCGUCUCAUGCAUCCGAGCAUUUUCCCCGUUGUCCGUUUUGCAAUCCGGCACUCCCAUCUCCUCCGGCGCACCCCUCUUCUUUCUUUUCGUGAGCGGGUGUCAAACGUUCUCGGAAUGGACCGAGUCUUGUCAAGUGGACUUGGUAUACUACCGCUAGACCACCGGUCAAGUUUCGUUCCAUUUGGAGGUCGUUUGGUACUCCAACGGUUAACCGGGUAACCGCAAAGUCCGUUUGGGUGUUGCAGCAAAACCCCCCCUUCUAACAGCCCCAAAACCCCUCUAAGUCUCCGCCAUGCUCUGGGUCGUUCGAUCACGAUCGCGUGGGCGAAAACCGCACCUCGUUUGGACUCUCCUAGCUCCCUCUGCCUAUAUAUUUGCCCUCUCCCCCGAAAAUUCGCGGAUGAAACCCUAGCGUCUCCCUCCUCGCGCCGCCGGACAUGUCCGCGCCGCCGUCGGACACGUCCAGCCGCCGCCCCUCCGCGAAUCGCACGCCGCCACCUGUCCCUGGCCGCCGCCCCCGCCGCCGGCCCGUGCGAGCCCGUCGCNNNNNNNNNNNNNNNNNNNNNNNNNNNNNNNNNNNNNNNNNNNNNNNNNNNNNNNNNNNNNNNNNNNNNNNNNNNNNNNNNNNNNNNNNNNNNNNNNNNNNNNNNNNNNNNNNNNNNNNNNNNNNNNNNNNNNNNNNNNNNNNNNNNNNNNNNNNNNNNNNNNNNNNNNNNNNNNNNNNNNNNNNNNNNNNNNNNNNNNNNNNNNNNNNNNNNNNNNNNNNNNNNNNNNNNNNNNNNNNNNNNNNNNNNGGGCAAGCCGCGCCGGAUCCCGAUCGGGUCAACACCCCGCGUUGACUUCGCCCCCCCCUCGAGGUCGUUAUUUUUCCAAGUCCCCGGUUUUUCUUAAUAUGUGCAUUUGUUCGACCUAGCGUAACUUUCUGCUCUUAGAUCUAUUAUGCAUGUAUUAUAUAUCGAACUGUUCGUCUCGUGAUGCUCUACAUUUUGUUCCAUUGCACCAUGUUCAUUUGAGUCCAUCUUGAUGCCCAAAUCGUCGUUGCAAGAGUGCUAGUUGCUGUUGUCUGCUGAUUCUUAGCAGAACUUGGAGAUUUGUUAUUUUUGUUGCAUUUAAUGUGUGCAUCUUAUGAGUAUGGGCUCUACAUGUGUUUUGUUGUAUGCCAUGCCAUCUUUCGAGUGGUGUAUGCCAUGUAUUUUUGUGAUCUCUGUGGUGACUAGCACAAGCAUGCAAAGUAGGCUCCGUAAUGUUACUGAUUUCAGGGACUAGCACAAGUCUUUGUCUGCUGUUAUUUUGUUGCCAUGUAAACAUGAUGCUACAGAGAGAUCCAUGCAUAUUUUGGAGAUGUUCAGUAAGGAUAUUUUGUAGCUAUUGUUGUAAUUGAUCUAUUCCUGCCCUUGUUUGCAAUUAUGGAGUGCCAUAGCAUGACUCAAUCUUGCUCGACUUUUGCUAUAAAAUAUUUCUGGCAGAUUCUUAAUAUGAUAUGCAAUUUUGCCAAGCUUGUUGUAGUUGAUCCAUACAUGCUAUGCUUUUGUUCUUGCCAUGGCUAGCUUCAUAAACAUUCCAUCUUGUUGUAGGUAUGCUUGUUUUGUCAUGCAUUGCUUUAUGGUGAGUGCUUCAAGCUCACCAAGAUGCCUUCGUAUUAUUGUUUCUGCCAUGCUCUGUUUUCUGCUAAGUCUGGAACCUGAUAACGAAAGUUGCUAUGUUUACAUGCUUGCCAUCAUAUCUUCUGGUUCUUUUUGGCUUAUGCUCAGUGAGGGACUUUUGUAAUAUGCAUUUAGUAGAAUACUUCCAAGGCUUGUUCUGCUAUGUUAAGUUCCUGUAGCAUGUUGAUAUCGUGCUCUGAACAUUGCAACCUGAUGUUAUUUCUGUCAUGUCCAGUAAUUCAGCUAAGUCUGUGAACCUGUUAUUAUUUGCAAUCUUGCCAUGACCUUUUGAGCUUGCCCUAGUGAUUUCUGGAGAUAGCUCAGUGUUCAUGUUUUGUUGUGCUUUACCUGUAAAUCUUGUCCAUGCCUUUUGUUUUCAUGUUGAGUUGCUGUAGCAUAUUGUUUUGAUGCUUGCUAUAUGCCUAGUUGCUGUUUUGGGCAGAUUGUUGCUAUGUCUUGUUUGGAGUGUAUGUGUUGCACCAUUGCUCCGUUUCGAGCAUGCCCUAUAUGAAACUUGCUUAGUUUUGCAUGUAGUCUCAUAUUAUCAUGUUGCAUCCUUGUUUUGAGGUGUUUGCUUGAUGUUUGUAUGCAUUUUGCAUCAAUCCCAUGUUUAACUUGUUUUGCUCAUAUCUUCUAGGCCGUAGCUCCGAAUCUAAUGAACUUUAUAUGUAACUUGACUAGAAUUUCGUGUAGAUCAUCAUGGUGCUCUUUAACUUGCUGUUUAACAACUUCAACUUAAUGCUUCUUCAGUUCUGGACCAAUUUCGAAAUUUGCAUAUGAGGACUUACCGGAUUUGUUACAUGUUGUUGCCGGCCUCAUUUAAACUUGCUUUGAUGUGUUGUUCUUGUAUGCAUCAUCUCUUGUCAUGAGUAGCUUCAUGUAGCCUCGUCAUGCAUCAUACUUUGUUGAUUUUCAUGCCUUGUUCAUGUGUGGUGUGUUUACCUUGUUGUGUGCUUCUUCUCGAUAGUUCCCGUGUCGUUGCGAUCAUGAGGAUUCGUUCGUCUUCGUGGCUUCAUCUUCUUCAUGGACUCGUUCUUCUUCCUAGCGGGAUUUCAGGCAAGAUGACCGUCACCUUGGAUCUCAUUACUAUCAUUGCUAUGAUAGUUGCUUCGUUCUAUCGCUAUGCUGCGCUACCUAUUCACUUGCUCUUCAAGCCUCCCAAAUUGCCAUGAACCUCUAACCUUUGUCACCCUUCCUAGCAAACCGUUGUUUGGCUAUGUUACCGCUUUGCUCAGCCCCUCUUAUAGUGUUGCUAGCUGCAGGUGAAGAUGAAGAUUGCUCCAUGUUGGAUUAUGUUUAUGUUGGGAUAUCACAAUAUCUCUUAUAUUAUUAAUGCAUCUAUAUACUUGGUAAAGGGUGGAAGGCUCGGCCUUAUGCCUGGUGUUUUGUUCCACUCUUGCCGCUCUAGUUUCCGUCAUACCGGUGUUAUGUUCCCGGAUUUUGCGUUCCUUACACGGUUGGGUGAUUUAUGGGACCCCCUUGACAGUUCGCCUUGAAUAAAACUCUUCCAGCAAGGCCCAACCUUGGUUUUACCAUUUGCCUCACCACCACCUACUUUUCCCUUGGGAGUCGCUCUCUCGAGGGUCAUCUUUAUUUAGCCCCCCCGGGCCAAUGCUUGUCUAAGUGUUGGUCCGAACCAGAGCCCUUUGCAGCGCCACCUCGGGGAAACUUGAGGUCUAGUUUUAGUUGUACAGAUUGCUCAUCCGGUGUUGCCCUAAGAACGAGAUAUGUGCAGCUCCUAUCGGGAUGUCGGCGCAUCGGGCGGUCUUGCUGGUUUUGUUUUACCAUUGUCGAAAUGUCUUGUAACCGGGAUUCCGAGACUGAUUGGGUCUUCCCGGGAGAAGGAAUAUCCUUCGUUGACCGUGAGAGCUUAUAAUGGGCUAAGUUGGGACACCCCUGCAGGGUUUUAUCUUUCGAAAGCCGUGCCCAUGGUUAUGUGGCAGAUGGGAAUUUGUUAAUAUCCGGUUGUAGAGAACUUGACACUUGACCUUAAUUAAAACGCAUCAACCGGGUGUGUAGCUAUGAUGGUCUCUUCUCGGCGGAGUCUGGGAAGUGAACACGGUUUCUGGGUUAUGUUUGACGUAAGUAGGAGUUCAGGAUCACUUCUUGAUCAUUGCUAGUUUCACGACCGUUCCGUUGCUUCUCUUCUCGCUCUUCUUUGCGUAAGUUAGCCACCAUACUUGCUUAGUCGCUGCUGCAACCUCACCACCUUAUCCUUUCCAUUCCCUUUAAGCUUUGCUAGUCUUGAUACCCAUGGUAAUGGGAUUGCUGAGUCCUCGUGGCUCACAGAUUACUACACCACCAGCUGCAGGUACAGGUUUUGCGAUGAUCAUGAUGCGAGAGCGAUGUUUACUUGUUUGGAGUUCUUCUUCUGCUUAUUCUUCGAUCAGGGGAUAGGUUCCAGGUCGGCAGCCUGGGCUAGCAGGGUGGAUGUCGUUUGAGUUUCUGUUUAUGUUUCAUCCGUAGUCGGAUGUUGAUCUUAUGUAUGAUGUAUUGAUGUAUUCUUGCGGCAUUUGUAUGCCUUGUAUGUAUCCCCAAAUAUUAUGUAAUGUUGAUGUAAUGAUAUCCACCUUGCAAAAGCGUUUCAAUAUGCGGGUCUAUCCAUGGUGGGACCUUCGAGUUCCUUUAGGAUAGGGUCGCAUAUUGGGCGUGACAAGGCCCCAAGAUGGGAUCUCACGGGUAUAGAAGGUUGCGGCGGUGGAAUUAGGUUUUUGGCUCCGUAUCUGGUAGUUUGGGGGUACGUAGUAUAUAUAGGAGGAAGGAGUACGUCGGUGGAGCAACAGGGGGCCCACGAGGGUGGAGGGCGCGCCCCCCUACCUUGUGCCCUCCUGGUUGAUGUCUUGACAUAGGGUCCAAGUCCUCUGCAUCACGUUCGUUCCGAAAAUCACGUUCCCGAAGGUCUCAUUCCGUUUGGACUCCGUUUGAUAUUCUUUUUCUGCGAAACUCUGAAAUAGGAAAAAAACAGCAAUUCUGAGUUGGGCCUCCGGUUAAUAGGUUAGUCCCAAAAAUAAUAUAAAAGUGUAUAAUAAAGCCCAAUAAUGUCCAAAAUAGAAUAUAAUAUAGCAUGGAACAAUCAAAAAUUAUAGAUACGUUGGAGAUGUAUCAAGCAUCCCCAAGCUUAAUUCUUGCUCGUCCUCGAGUAAGUAAAUGAUAAAAACAAAAUUUUUGAUGUGGAAUGCUACUUGGCAUAAUUUAAAUGUAAUUCCUCUUAAUUGUGGUAUGAAUAUUCAGAUCCAAAAGAUUCAAGAUAAAAGUUCAAUAUUGACAUAAAAAUAAUAAUACUUCAAGCAUACUAACUAAGCAAUUAUGUCCUCUCAAAAUAACAUGGCCAAAGAGAGUUCAUCCCUAUAAAAUCAUAUAGUUUAGUCAUGCUCCAUUUUCGUCACACAAGAAUGCUCUCAUCAUGCACAACCCCGAUGGCAAGCCAAGCAAUUGUUUCAUACUUUAGUAAUGUCAAAGUUUUUCAACCUUCACGCAAUACAUGAGUGUGAGCCAUGGAUAUAGCACUAUGGGUGGAAUAGAAUAUAAUGAUGGGGGUUAUGUGGAGAAGACAAAAAGGGAGAAAGUCUCACAUCAACAAGGCUAAUCAAUGAGCUAUGGAGAUGCCCAUCGAUUGAUGUUAAUGCAAGGAGUAGGGAUUGCCAUGCAACGGAUGAACUAGAGCUAUAAAUAUAUGAAAGCUCAACAAAAGAAACUAAGUGGGUGUGCAUCCAAAUUGCUUGCUCACGAAGGCCUAAUGCAUUUGAGGAAGCCCAUUGUUGGAAUAUACAAGCCAAGUUGUAUAAUGAAAAAUUCCCACUAGUAUAUGAAAGUGACAAAACAAGAGACUCUCUAUCAUGAAGAUUAUGGUGCUACUUUGAAGCACAAGUGUGGUAAAAGGAUAGUAACAUUGUCCCUUCUCUCUUUUUCUCUCAUUUUUUUGGGCCUUCUCUUUUUUCUUAUGGCCUUUCUCUUUUUUUUAUUCCUCACUUGGGACAAUGCUCUAGAAAAUGAUGAUCAUCACACUUCUAUUUAUUUACAACUCGAUACUAGAACAAAGUAUGACUCUAUAUGAAUGCCUCCGGCGGUGUACCGGGAUAUGCAAUGAACCAAGAGUGAUAUGUAUGAAAAAAUUAUGAAUGGUGGCUUUGCCACAAAUACUAUGUCAACUACAUGAUCAUGCAAAGCAUUAUGACAAUGAUGAACGUGUCAUGAUAAACGAAACGGUGGAAAGUUGCAUGGCAAUAUAUCUCGGAAUGGCUAUGGAUAUGCCGUAAUAGGUAGGUAUGGUGGCUGUUUUGAGGAAGAUAUAAGGAGGUUUAUGUGUGAAAGAGCGUAUCAUAUCACAGGGUUUGGAUGCACCGGCGAAGUUUGCACCAACUCUCAAUGUGAGAAAGGGCAAUGCACGGUACCGAAGAGGCUAGCAAUGAUGGAAAGGUGAGAGUGCAUAUAAUCCAUGGACUCAACAUUAGUCAUAAAGAACUCGCAUACUUAUUGCAAAAAUCUACAAGUCAUAAAAAACCAAGCACUACGCGCAUGAUCCUAGGGGGAUAGAUUGGUAGGAAAAGACCAUCGCUCGUCCCCGACCGCCACUCAUAAGGAGGACAAUCAAAGAACACCUCAUGUUUCAAAUUUGUUACAUAACGUUUACCAAACGUGCAUGCUACGGGACUUGCAAACUUCAACACAAGUAUUUCUCAAAUUCACAACUACUCAACUAGCAAAACUUUGAUAUCACUACCUCCAUGUCUCAAAACAAUCAUCAAGCAUCAAACUUCUCUUAGUAUUCAACACACUCAUAAGAAAGUUUUUACUAGUCUUGGAUACCUAGCAUAUUAGGAUUAUUUAAGCAAAUUACCAUGCUGUUUAAGACUCUCAAAAUAAUCUAAGUGAAGCAUGAGAGAAUAAUAGUUUCUAUAAAACAAAACCACCACCGUGCUCUAAAAGAUAUAAGUGAAGUACUAGAGCAAAAACUAUAUAACUCAAAAGAUAUAAGUGAAGCACAUAGAGUAUUCUAAUAAUUUCAAAUUAUGUGUGUCUCUCUCAAAAGGUGUGUACAGCAAAGAUGAUUGUGGUAAACUAAAAAGCAAAGAAUCAAAUCAUACAAGACACUCCAAGCAAAACACAUAUCAUGUGGUGAAUAAAAAUAUAGCUCCAAGUAAAGUUACCGAUGGAAGUAGACGAAAGAGGGGAUGCCUUCCGGGGCAUCCCCAAGCUUUGGCUUUUAGGUGUCCUUAGAUUAUCUUGGGGUUCCAUGGGCAUCCCCAAGCUUAGGCUCUUUCCACUCCUUGUUCCAUAAUCCAUCAAAUCUUUUACCCGAAACUUGAAUACUUCACAACACAAAACUUAACAGAAAAUCUCGUGAGCUCCGUUAGCGAAAGAAAACAAAAGACCACUUCAAGGUACUGUAAUGAACUCAUUAUUUAUUUAUAUUGAUGUUAAACCUACUUUAUUCCAACUUCUCUAUGGUUUAUAAACUAUUUUACUAGCCAUAGAUUCAUCAAAAUAAGCAAACAACACACGAAAAACAGAAUCUGUCAAAAACAGAACAGUCUGUAGUAAUCUGUAACUAACGCAAACUUCUGGAACUCCAAAAAUUCAGACAAAAUAGGACGACCUAGAAAAUUUGCUUAUUGAUCAGAAGCAAUUGGAAUCAAUAUUUUAUCACGUUCUGGUGAUUUUUAACAAUUAUUUUUGUGAACAGAAAGUUUCUGGAAUUACAGCAAGAUCAAAUAACUAUCAUCCAAGAAGAUCCUAUAGGUUUAACUUGGAACAAACACUAAUUAAAACAUAAAAAGACAUAUAACCAGAGGCUAGAUCAUGGAUUUAUUCCUAAACAGAAGCAAAAAGCAAAAAAACUAAAAAUAAAAUUGGGUUGCCUCGCAACAAGCGCUAUCGUUUAACGCCCCUAGCUAGGCAUAAAAGCAAGGAUAGAUCUAGGUAUUGCCAUCUUUAGUAGGCAAUCCAUAAGUGGCUCUCAUAAUAGAUUAAUAUGGUAAUUUUAUUUUAUUUCUAUGGAAGUGUUCCACGCCCUUCCUUAACGGAAAUUGGAAUCUAAUAUUCCCUUCCUUCAUAUCAAUAAUUGCACCAAUCGUUCUAAGGAAAGGUCUACCAACAAUAAUAGGACAUGAAGGAUUGCAAUCUAUAUAAAGAACAAUAAAAUCUACGGGCACAUAGUUCCUAUUUGGAACAAUAAGAACAUCAUUAAUUCUUCCCAUAGGUUUCUUAAUAGUGGAAUCCGCAAGGUGCAAGUUUAGAGAGCAAUCAUCAAAAUCACGGAAGCCUAGCAAAUCGCACAAAGUCUUUGGAAUCGUGGAAACACUAGCACCCAAAUCACACAAAGCAUAGCAUUCAUGAUCUUUAAUUUUAAUUUUAAUAGUAGGUUCCCAUUCAUCAUAAAGUUUUCUAGGGAUAGAAACUUCCAACUCAAGUUUUUCUUCAUAAGAUUGCAUCAAAGCAUCAACGAUAUGUUUAGUAAAAGCUUUAUUUUGACUAUAAGCAUGAGGGGAAUUUAGCACGGAUUGCAACAAGGAAAUACAAUCUAUCAAGGAGCAAUUAUCAUCAUUAAAUUCCUUGAAAUCCAAAAUAGUGGGUUCAUUAAUAUCUAGAGUUUUGAUCUUUUCAACCCCACUUUUACCAAUUUUUGCAUCAAGAUCUAAAAACUCCGAAUUUUUGGAACGCCUUCUAGGUAAAGGUGGAUCAUAUUCAGUCCCAUCAUUAUCAAGAUUCAUAUUGCAAAACAAAGAUUUAAUAGGGGACACAUCAAUAACUUUUAGAUCUUCAUCUUUAUUUUCAUAGAAACUAGAAGAACACGCUUUCACAAAGCAAUCUUUCUUAGCACGCAUCCUAGCGGUUCUUUCUUUGCACUCAUCAAUGGAAAUUCUCAUGGCUUUGAGAGACUUAUUGAUAUCAUGCUUAGGUGGAAUAGAUCUAAGUUUUAAAGAAUCAACAUCAAGGGAAAUUCUAUCAAUGUUCCUAGCCAAUUCAUCAACUUUAAGCAAUUUUUCUUCAAGCAAAGCAUUGAAAUUCUUUUGCGAAUUCAUAAAUUCCUUAACACUAGUCUCAAAUUCAGAAGGCACCUUAUUAAAGUUUCCAUAAGAAUUGUUGUAGGAAUUACCAUAAUUAUUAGAGGAAUUACUAGGAUAAGGCCUAGGAUUAAAGUUUCCUCUAUACGCGUUGUUACCAAAAUUAUUCCUACCAACAAAAUUCACAUCCAUAGAUUCAUUAUUAUUCUCAAUCAAAGUAGACAAAGGCAUAUCAUUAGGAUCAGAAGAAACACUCUUAGUAGCAAAUAAUUUCAUAAGUUCAUCCAUCUUUCCACUCAAAACAUUAAUUUCUUCUAUCGCAUGCACUUUUUUAUUAGUAGAUCUUUCAGUGUGCCAUUGAGAAUAAUUAACCAUAAUAUUAUCUAGGAGUUUAGUAGCUUCUCCUAAAGUGAUUUCCAUAAAAGUGCUCCCUGCGGCCAAAUCUAAAAGAUUUCUUGAAGCAAAAUUCAAUCCGGCAUAAAAAAUUUGUAUAAUCAUCCACAAAUUCAAACCAUGUGUAGGGCAAUUACGUAUCAUUAAUUUCAUCCUCUCCCAAGCUUGUGCAACAUGUUCAUGAUCAAGUUGCUUAAAAUUCAUAAUAUCGUUUCUAAGAGAGAUAAUCUUAGCGGGAGCAAAAUACUUAGAGAUAAAAGCAUCUUUGCACUUAUUCCAAGAAUCAAUACUAUUUUUAGGCAAAGACGAAAACCAAGCUUUAGCACGAUCUCUAAGCGAAAAAGGAAAUAGCUUCAAUUUAACAAUAUCAUUGUCUACAUCUUUCUUCUUUUGCAUAUCACACAAAUCAACGAAGCUAUUUAGAUGGGUAGCGGCAUCUUCACUAGGAAGGCCAGCGAAUUGAUCUUUCAUGACAAGAUUCAACAAAGCAGCAUUGAUUUCACAAGAUUCAGUAUCGGUAAGAGGAGCAAUCGGAGUGCUAAGGAAAUCAUUAUUGUUGGUAUUGGUAAAGUCACACAAUUUAGUAUUAUCUUGAGCCAUCGUGACAAGCAAGCAAUCCAACACACGAGCAAACAAGAAGCAAGCGAAAAAGAGGCGAACGAAAAAGAGAGAGGGCGAAUAAAACGGCAAGGGUGAAGUGGGGGAGACGAAAAUGAGAGGCAAAUGGAAAAUAAUGUAAUGCGGGAGAUAAGGGUUUGAGAUGGGUACUUGGUAUGUUGACUUUUGCGUAGACUCCCCAGCAACGGCGCCAGAAAUCCUUCUUGCUUCCUCUUGAGCACUGCGUUGGUUUUCCCUUGAAGAGGAAAGGGUGAUGCAGCAAAGUAGCGUAAGUAUUUCCCUCAGUUUUUUAGAACCAAGGUAUCAAUCCAGUAGGAGGCCACGCACGAGUCCCUCGCACCUACACAAACAAAUAAAUCCUCGCAACCAACGCGACAAGGGGUUGUCAAUCCCUACACGGUCACUUACGAGAGUGAGAUCUGAUAGAUCUGAUAAGAUAAUAUUUUUGGUAUUUUUAUGAUAAAGACGCAAAGUAAAGAAAGUAAAAUAAAAAUGACGCUAGAAAUAACUUGUUGACGGGAGAUUAAUAUGAUGGAAAAUAGACCCGGGGGCCAGAGGUUUCACUAGUGGCUUCUCUCAUGAGCAUAAAUAUUACGGUGGGUGAACAAAUUACUGUUGAGCAAUUGACAGAAUUGAGCAUAGUUAUGAGAAUAUCUAGGUAUGAUCAUGUAUAUAGGCAUCACGUCCGAGACAAGUAGACCGACUCCUGCCUGCAUCUACUACUAUUACUCCACACAUCGACCGGUAUCCAGCAUGCAUCUAGAGUAUUAAGUUCAGAAGAACAGAGUAACGCCUUAAGUAAGAUGACAUGAUGUAGAGGGAUAAACUCAUGCAAUAUGAUAUAAACCCCAUCUUGUUAUCCUCGAUGGCAGCAAUACAAUACGUGCCUUGCUGCCCCUACUGUCACUGGGAAAGGACACCGCAAGAUUGAACCCAAAGCCAAGCACUUCUCCCAUUGCAAGAAAGAUCAAUCUAGUAGGUCAAACCAAACUGAUAAUUCGAAGAGACUUGCAAGCAUAACCAAUCAUACAUAAAAGAAUUCAGAGAAGAUUCAAAUAUUUUUCAUAGAUAAACUUGAUCAUAAACCCACAAUUCAUCGGUCUCAACAAACACACCGCAAAAGAAGAUUACAUCGAAUAGAUCUCCACGAGAGAGGGGGAGAACAUUGUAUUGAGAUCCAAAAAGAGAGAAGAAUCCAUAUAGCUAAUAACUAUGGACCCGAAGGUCUGAGGUAAACUACUCACACAUCAUCGGAGAGGCUAUGGUGUUGAUGUAGAAGCCCUCCAUGAUCGAUGCCCCCUCCGGUGGAGCUCCGGAACAGGCCCCAAGAUGGGAUCUCACGGGUACAGAAGGUUGCGGUGGUGGAAUUAGGUUUUUGGCUCCGUAUCUAGUAGUUUGGGGGUACGUAGGUAUAUAUAGGAGGAAGGAGUACGUCGGUGGAGNNNNNNNNNNNNNNNNNNNNNNNNNNNNNNNNNNNNNNNNNNNNNNNNNNNNNNNNNNNNNNNNNNNNNNNNNNNNNNNNNNNNNNNNNNNNNNNNNNNNNNNNNNNNNNNNNNNNNNNNNNNNNNNNNNNNNNNNNNNNNNNNNNNNNNNNNNNNNNNNNNNNNNNNNNNNNNNNNNNNNNNNNNNNNNNNNNNNNNNNNNNNNNNNNNNNNNNNNNNNNNNNNNNNNNNNNNNNNNNNNNNNNNNNNNNNNNNNNNNNNNNNNNNNNNNNNNNNNNNNNNNNNNNNNNNNNNNNNNNNNNNNNNNNNNNNNNNNNNNNNNNNNNNNNNNNNNNNNNNNNNNNNNNNNNNNNNNNNNNNNNNNNNNNNNNNNNNNNNNNNNNNNNNNNNNNNNNNNNNNNNNNNNNNNNNNNNNNNNNNNNNNNNNNNNNNNNNNNNNNNNNNNNNNNNNNNNNNNNNNNNNNNNNNNNNNNNNNNNNNNNNNNNNNNNNNNNNNNNNNNNNNNNNNNNNNNNNNNNNNNNNNNNNNNNNNNNNNNNNNNNNNNNNNNNNNNNNGCGGACCGGUGGUGGGGAGUGUUUUUGGGGCGGGCGGGGCGGCGCACCACCGGCCGCGGGCGGCGGGGGGGGGGGCUGUUUGGCCAGUGGUGGCUGGCGGCUCAGGGGGGUGGAGGUUGAAGAUGAACUGCAGGCCCUUGAUUUCGUAUCCAACAGCUGCAAAAUCGACUGACCAGAGAUGAAAAAGUCAGUCGACUGACUUGUAGCCUCACCUCUAGUGCGUUCAGUUUCGACAGUAAAAUUUAGUUUCGACAGCAAAAUUCAAUUUCGACAGUUAAGUUCAGUUUCGGCAGUUAAUUCAGUUUCAACAGUUAAGUUCAGAGAUGAGCGGCUGAUGUAUACAUCUAGCACUUUGUGGUUAUGUAUUUUACGUCAUCUAUUGGAGAUGCUAUUAGAAUUCCACUCAGGUUAACGUUGUCCCUCUUGUCCUGCUUCAGCCUCGGCGUCGUACAACUCACCGGAGCUGCUCCAACGACGAAACCCUCCAUCACAAUGGAGCAGUACCUCGGGCUCCAUCUCCAGACGCCUAAGAUCUUCUUCCCCUCCCCCGACAGCCAAGUCAGCUGGAGCGUCCUCACCGGCCAACCCAAUCACGCUGAGAUCGACAUGGCUUCGCCAAAGAGGUUGUACACUUCUUGUGGUUUGACUUAAUCUCACCAUGCUUCUUUGCAUCCUGUGAUCUUCCAAUUAUUGUGAACCAAACACCCAGAUUGGCAGAAAUCCUGUGUUUUUAAAUUCUCUAUUUUGCACAUGCAUUCCUAUCCUAUUCCUGUCUAUUUCCUAUCCCUGCAUUGUUAGAAUCCUCAAAUUCAAACAAGCCCUUACACAAUUACUUCUGUUACAGAUAUGUGUCAAAGAAAACCUUGUGUGGUUUGUCCUGCUCCUGCGGUGCUGUGUUCCACCCCAGCUCAGCUGCUCUAACAACGGAAGGGUUCACCACAGUAGGGAUCCACUCUCCAGACUGUCUUCCGCUGCCUCAGAUCUUCUUCCCCACUGCCGGCAGCCACGACAACUGCAUUACCAUCAUCGACUGAGCAGAUGACCUUGAGGACUACACGGAUCCGCAAGAGAGGUUGCACUCUUCCAUGUCUGCUUACGUUAUGCAUCGCUUAAUAUGAUGACAUGCUACUUUAUCAUUGUGUUCACCUAUUAGACCCCGACUCAGGUCCAAACUUAUGCUGAAACUUGAGUUUUUAAAUGGUUGUGGGGUACAUAUUGGGGAAGCAAUCAGUACUAUCUGUCUAUUAUCUGGUUAAUCUCGGGUGUCUACUAUGAGUUUCAUGUUGGGUGCAAACAAACAUUAAAGGAGCCAUUAUCUGUAUUUUUUAACUAAAGCUAUUAUCUGCCUGCUAUCAUUGGUUUUGGGUCUAUCCAUAGUUUUCUACCUUCACUCUGGAUUUGUUCAUGCACUCCUUACAUAAUCUCACUAUGUUUUAUUCCUAUGCAUGCUAGUUAUUGUACACAAUGGAACUGAACAUGUAGAGCAAAAGAGACGAGCCUUGCGUGGCAAUAAAAUUUCAUGCAGACGUCGCUCCAUGGUGGGCGCAAAGGCAGCCCCCCUCCACCCAUUUUGGAUCGUAAUCAAGAGGAAGAUAACUGUUCUGAGGGGGAUUCAGAAGCAGAAGACCACUCCUAUUUACCCCGUGAGGUCUUCGCUCUAACUUGGCAUGCUGGUGUUGGUAAUAUCAUGCAUAUGGUGCCUUGCAUUACUUACUAUAUACAUCAAAGAUGUCAUCUGCUUAGUUUAGACAUGCUUUGUGUCAAUGCCAUCUGCUUAGUUUCUUUAUCGUAUAUGUGAAUCAUGCAAUGCCAUCUUGUUUAGCCAGGCAUCAUAUAUGUGAAUUUUGCAAUGCCACCCUGGUUAGCCAGUCAUCUUAUAUGUGAAUUAUAUCAUGACAUCAUUUUUUAUUACGUGUUAAAUUUGUCAACAAUUUUAGUACAUUCAAUUACUCUUCCUGUGCAUCAGCCAUUCGGCACGGUCAUGGAAAAAUCUGGAGUGGAAACAAGGUCUUCAAAGCAGACAAUGCUAUCUGACGAAGCGCAUGUCUUGCUGGUUACAGAUAGCUCCUCAGAGGAGGAUUCAGAGACAGAUGACCAGUCCUAUUCCCCCCCGAGGUGCAAGCUCUAACUUGGCAGGGUUAUUGUGCUCAUAUCAUGCGUAUGGUAUGUUGCAUUGCUAUGUCAUUUGCUUAGUUUAGACAUGAUUUGUGUGAAUGCCACCUGUUUAGUGUCUAAUUACCAUAUAUGUGAAUUAUGCAAUCCCAUCUUUUUGCAAGACAUUAUAUAUGUGAAUUAUGUAAUGCUAUCUUGUUGCAAGGCAUUAUAUAUGUGAAUUAUGCAAUGCCAUGCUGUUUAGCCAAGCGUCAUAUAUGUGAAUUAUAUCAUGCCGUCCUUUUUUUUUGUAUUUCUCAUUGCUUUUAUCGACAAUGUUUGUAUAUUCAACUGCUCUUCCUGUGCAUCAACCAUUUGAAUUGGUGAUGGAGAAAUCUGGAGUGAAAACAAGGUCUUUAGAGCAGACAAUGCUACCCGCUGAAGCAGAUAUGUUGCUGGUUACAGAUAGCUCUUCAUAGGACGAUUCAGAGGCAGAUGACCAGUCCUAUUAUGCCCCUGAGGUCUAUGCUCAAACUUGGCAGGGUUAUAUUACUCAUAUCAUGCAUAGGUUGUAUUGCAAUGCUUAGUUUUUACAUCAUAUACACGAUAUUGAAUGCCAUCUCCUUAGUUGACACAUCAUAUAUGCGAUUGCCCUCUGCUCACUUCCGUAGUAAAUCAUAUAUUUGAAUUAUAUCAUGCCAUGAUGUUUAGAUAGACAGCAUGUAUCUGAAUUAUGGCAUGCCAACCCAUUUUCUAAAGACAUAAUAUAGUUACAUCAUCUCACCCUGUUUACAUAGUCAUCAUAUUUUGAAUUAUGUCAUUCUAUCCGUGAAUUAUAUCAUGCCAUCAUGUUUCCAUCGGCGGCAUGUUUGUGAUUUAUGGCAUGCCAACCACUUUAAUAGACACAUCGUAUAGUUAUAUCAUGUCAUCCUGUUUACAUAGUCAUCAUAUUUUGAAGUAUGUCAUUCUAUCAUGUUUAGUUAGCCAUCAUACAUGUGAAAUUGUGUCAUGCUAUCUUGUUUAAUUAGCCAUCAUAUAUUUGAAAUUAUGUCCUGCUAUUCUGUUUGGUUAGACAACAUAAAUGUGAAUUAUUUCAUGCCCUGUUUUCUUCCCUACUAUCCAUUGCACCUGUCUAUCUUACAAUGUCUGUACAUUCAAUUAUUUUUCUUUUUUAUUAGCCAUUUCAAUUGGAGGGGGUGAUGGCGGUAUCUGUGGGAGUAAAAACACGGUCUUCAGAAAAGAUCGUGCUACCUGUCGAUGGAGAUAGAACCACGGUUGUACUUGGCCAAGAACCAGCCCCAGCACACAUAACCCAGACUCACGCAGAUUGUACCCCUACCCAGUUGGACAGAGAACUAGCUACACCCCUUCUAACCCCAACCCCAGCAGAUAGUAACCCAGUUCCCGUUGACACAGCACCGUCUCCACCACAGAGCACCCAAACACGAUCAGUUAGUAAGGCAACUGCAGUGCCCAAAGCACGAGGACCACCACUCCGAACCCCAAGUCAACGCUUAAAGCAGAAGAAGAAUUGUUCUCAGGUCAGGUUCCGUAGCUAUGGUUCAUACUACUUUGCUCUUGCAUCACUGUAUUUACUCAUACCAACUAAUUUCAAAUUUGAAGGAUGCAAUUGAAACUCCAAUGGCGCAACAUGUAUGUUUUAAACUUGUUUCUUUAACGUGUUUGCUGUUGUAACUUGCUCUAUGUUGAUUUCAGUUUCAAUUGAAUAAACAGUUAUGUUCUCAUGCCAUGCACAUUACAAGUGUUGUUAUUGCUGUGUAGUUUCCCACACUUAUAUUCUGUCUAUGCUGCUUUGUCUUAAAUAGAUAUGAGUCGAACUAUAUCUAUCUUGAUUUGGAAACAUAAACUAGAAUGCUAUAGACCAUACAGUGACCAUACUACAUAGAUAUAUGUUUGUUUCAUGUUGUUAUCCUGUCCACCUUACUACUGAACUGGUUUACCAAAAUGAGUUUCAUAUACUGCAUUGUAAACCUGCGAUGUGUUUGUUUGUUUCUCCUUUAGAACGCGGAUAAAAUAUUGGAGAAGAGUACCCCGUUAUGCAAUGGUAAAGGAAGUACUGCAGAUAAGGUUCAAGAUAGUGAGACAUCCCUGUUGUUCUCCAAGAAAGCUGAUAAAAACUAUAUUGAAGACACUGAGACAACCCCAAAGUCCUGUCUUGAUGUAGUGUUCGAGUUACUGGCUACUACUGCUGGCACCAGCUCUUCGAACUCGCUGCCUGAAUCAGUUUGGCUUCUUGAGUCUCAAAUUCAAGUUGAAAGACAUCAAUCAGAUGUUAUGCGACAGGAAGCCGAAGGACUGAGGAAGUCCCUGCAGAAUUCAGAUGCAUACUUUCUGGUGCAACAGCAAGUGCUAGAGGAUUUAAGCGCCAAACAAGAGAAAGUUAAUAAGCUUGCUAAGCAUCUUGCCAGCAUUAUGGGUACCCAGGAUAUUGUUUCUUGAGCUCUUCUGAAGUGGUUUCAAUUCUGGACUUGUUUUGCUGCGGCGUUUAUAUGCUGCUUUGUUCCCUAUAUUUGCACUUGUGGUGAACUUUGAUACCCAGUGGAUGUAAUAUGUGUAAUAGCCGUGAUAGCCUAGCGUAAGUUGCUUGCUUAUUUAUUUCCGUUGUCUUGUUUAUUUGUUUUCUUCUAGUCAGUGCAGUUCUUUUUCCGCGGUUUGCUAGUGGCCGCAAUAACCUAUUUUUUAAAACUAGGCCACAUUAACAAUGGGCUACAUAUUUACUAUAGUUAACAUAUGCCUCCUACGGGCUGUAGAAAUAAUGGGCCUUCUAAGGGCCGUAGAAACAAUGGGCCUUCUACGGGGCGUAGACACAAUGGGCCUUCUACAGGCCGUAUCAUCAAUGGGCCUUCUACGGGCCGUAUGAUCGGUUGGCCAAACAUGGGCCAAUAACAGACCACAUUAUGGCCGUAAAUGGGCUAGAGUUGAAAUCGUCCGUUCAUGGGCCGACCAUAACGGGCCGUUGUUAAUAGGCCGUAUUUGAUGACGCUAUGAAAACGGCCCAACGUAUUAACGGGCCACAAACAGGCUGACUGUAACCACGGGCUGUAUUUGGCCCACAAGCAGAAAAUGACAGUAACGGGCCGAAAGUAAACGAAUGCUGGAAAUGAGCCCAAGAAUAAAUGGGCCCUGAGAAGGCCGAAAGAUAAGAUGGGCUGGAAACGGCCCAACGGAAUAAUGGGCCAUUAAUGGGUAUAAAGUGAUACACUGUUCAUUACGGGCCAAUUUUACCACGGGCCGUUAAUGGGCCGAGGGUUACUAAGGGCCUCAUAUGGGCCAAAAGACGUCAUGGGCCAUACAUGGGCCGGAAGUUAAAACGGGCUAGAAUUAUAUUGGACGGCCCAGAUGACGCUACUGGGCCUAAUUCGGAUAGGCCGUAAACGGGCCCUGGGUUAGCGGGCUGUAAAUGAGCUAUAUGCGAACAUGCCGUUAACAGGCUUGCCGUGGGCCGACCCGCCACCUUUUGACCAAGUCAAACGGGCCGACCUUUUCACAAGAAUGGGCCUCUGUUGGGCCGUGCCACGUGUAGACGUAUCAUAGGCGCUUUGGGUCCAAUGAGUGGAUGACAUCUAUCCCAACGGUGAGCCGACACGUGUUUCCUCCAGCCAAUGAUGAUUUUCCACGUGGAAAAUCCCCAUUGGUUGGGGCUGUUAACGGGUUAUCGGAUCCAAAACCAGACCCGAUAGCCUAACGGCGUUGCGUUACGGUGGAUGCCACGUGUCGGUCACCCUUGACGAAAGCACUUCUGUGACGCACGAUUUAUCGUCAUGGAAGUGGACACUUCCGUGAUGAUAAUUUUGGUAAUGUCAUGGAACAGUUCUACGCCAGCACAGGUAUGACUAUCUUUAUUCUGUCAUAAAUUUGUCAUGGAUGUACAUGCAUGACAGAAAACGUGACCUACUGUGACAAACACGUAUCAUCACGGAAGUGUAUUUUUUUGUAGUGAGGAGGAAGAAGUAGGUCGGUGGAGCAGCGAGGGGCCCACGAGGGUGGGGGGCGUGCCCAGGGGGUAGGCGCGCCUCCCUGCCUCGUGGCCUCCUCACUUCUUUCUUGACGUCCACUCCAAGUCUCCUGGAUCACGUUUGUUCCAAAAAUCACUCUCCCGAAGGUUUCAUUCCGUUUGGAUUCUGUUUGAUAUUCCUUUUCCGCGAAACACUGAAAUAGGAAAAAAAACAGCAAUUUGCACUGGGCCUUCGGUUAAUAGGUUAGUCCCAAAAAUAAUAUAAAAGUGUAUAAUAAAGCCCAUUAAACAUCCAAAACAGAUAAUAUAAUAGCAUGGAACAAUCAAAAAUUAUAGAUACGUUGGAGACGUAUCACCAUCCUGGAGUUCACUUUAUCCUGGCGGGCAUGGUGGAGCGCCUGAAGCUUCUGGAAGUUGGCGCUCAUGGCCCGGAGGAUCUUCUCUUCUUGGGAACCAUCGCUGCCGGCGCUCGGUUCAUUGACAACCUAGAGCCCGGCAGUGGCGAGGGCCUCGUCGUCGAAGACCUCCCCUUCGGCUGGCGCUCUGGUGUCCGCCGUCCCUGGGAGGCGGAUGAACAGAUCAUCACCCACCUUCAAGUACUUGCCCGUGCCGGGGGCUGCAAGGGAGGAAGGUUGAUCAUCGACCGCGCCCUUCCCGGCAGGCUCCUUGGCGGCCUCCUCGGCAGCAGCCUUGCCGGGCUCCCCGACAGGCCCCUUGCCGGCCUCCCCGGCAGCGGCUCCGCUGGUCUCCCCGGCAGGCCCCUUGGGGGCCUCCUUGGCGGCAGACUUGGUGGCUUCCCUAGCCGCAAUCUUGGUGGCCUCAGCUUCGGCAUCCUUGGCGACCUCCUCAAUGACAGUGUCGAUGUCUUCCUGGUCCGUCGAGGGAGGGUCUGGAAACCAGAAGGGAGGAUGAAGCGAGGCCAAAGUCAAAGUUCAGAACAAAGAAAAUGGAAGAACAAGGACGGAGGGCAGGCAGCUUACCUGUGCCGAGCUGAGGAGCAGUGGUUCCCUCCCCGCCAACGUUCGUUGCCGGGGUGGAACCACCAGUGCCCAUGCUUGCCCCCUCUUCCUCCAUGCGCGUGGGCUCGGCGGUAGGUGCCAUUGCCGGAGAUGCCCCUCUAGGUGGCGUGGUCGACGGGGGCGAUGUGUCAGGGGCGGCCCUCAGCGGCUCCUCCUGUUGCUGCUCCCCUCCUGCAAAACCCGGCAAGGUCAGCACCAAAGACGCACACCCCAACGCCCAUCAAUGAGGAGUGAAUAAUGAACUCACGCUGGGGGCUGAAGCGGGGGCUGCGUCGAGGGCUGUUGUCCGGGCUGAUCACCACCAAUGCCGGCGUGCGCGGAGUGCUCGCUGGGGGCUCAUUGCUUAUCGAAGCUUUGGCCCUCUUUGCCGCCCUCUGGGCCAGCGUCUCUGGGUCACUGUGAAAAUAAGAUCAAGUCAAGGAAAGAUAGCAUGGGCGGAGGGUGAGAAAGUAAUGAGGGGCAAGGCGCUUACUCGUCCUCCUCCACUGGCCUCCUCUUCCUCUUCGGGCUAAAAGACCCAAGAUCAAAGUCGGCCUCCGGGUCGCCAUCCGAAGGAGGAGGAGAAGGGGAAGGGGUCUUGCGCCGCUUGGACGAGGAAGAGGCGGCGGCUGCUGCCUUCUUCAAUGCCGCAGCCCUCGUCUGGCGCAAGGGCUGCGCCUGGGCCUGUUGCCGUUGCGUGGUCCUGCCAGGCCGGAACGGCUCGCCGGAGCUAGCCCGCCGCAGGACGCGUUUCCUCCCUGGGGCCAAGGAGUAGUCUGCCUCUCCUCUUCGGCCAACUCCUCGACCACCUCUUCGACAAGGAGAGCCCCAGCGCCGGCGCCGCUGGCAUCCCCCGCAGACCCCGUCCACUCAGCGAACUCUUUCUCUUCUGCGGCCGCGUCGGCCUCGUCCUCCACGGUGCCGAGGCUGCUAGCCUCCUCGGCAAGUGCCGCCUCCUCCGCCCUGGCGGUGAUGUACGCCAGCUCUUCCUCGGUGGUGUCGCGGAUGAGAAGUGGCUCGUCAUGGACAUACCUCUCCGACAAGUUGUCGAAGAAUGCCUGCACCCGCUCCGCUUCUGGCUCAUCCCAGGUUGGAUCGAGGCUGUGCGCGUUGAAGUCCUGCAUCAUGGCGAUAAUGGCGAUCUGGCAAGAGUUGUUGCUCAACGGGACCACCCCUGCUGGCAGCCCAAACAGAGACUUGCCGGCCUGGACAACCUUGUCGGUCUUCUCGGACUUGCCGGUCCUCUCGACCCUGCCGGCCUCAACAACCCUGAGCUGGAAAAGCCUCAGGCAAGAUGAGCAUGCUGCAGCACCGUGAAGUUGUGGUUCAGGCCGGGGCGGAGCCUCAUGAUAUCGGCCGCGUUCCUAAAAUCCCAGGCCGGCCUCCCCUUAUUGUGCAGCGGGGCGAUCCGGCGGUGGAUGAAUUCGACCCCGAUCAUCUCGAGGGUGAGCCCAGCCGAGGUGAGGCGAUGGAUCCUGGUGGUAGCGACCAUGAGCUUCCUGUCGUCGGCGUCGAUCUCGCCCCAGUCCUUGCGGCGGGCCGGCGGCCUCCGACGGACCCGGCAGAACUCCUGCGGAUCUGCCUCCUCGAUCCAGCACCACCGGCUCUGCCACUCUUCCCACCUCUCCUUUUGGGCACCCUCCGGGUACGUGCCCCGGUGCUGGGUCCUCGGGAUCCAAGUAACUUGGCAUGCUAUCAUGGAAUGGCGCUCGACAUGAUGUGGUAUUUUUCGUGUCCAUUUUGAGAGAAGGCGCACUCGAAUAAUGACAGCCAACAAAGGCAUUUUGAAAAAAUAGCUGCCACUUAAUAUCUCAAACGUUUGUAUAAUUCAAAACGUGUGCGUUCUGUUAACCAUUCACGUGGUGCCACGUGUCUUGGUUUUAAUUGCUGUAGGAGGUGCCGUGCGGACAGCUGCUUGACCUUGACUGAACGGGAGGCGUGCGAGCGCAGUCCGGUGUGCAGGCUGACCGAGAGGCGGGCAAGCUGUCCUCCAAUGUGCAGGCUCGCCGGGAAGCGUGCGAGCUUUAUGCUGCGCAGGCUCACUUGGAAGCGAGCCCUUUGACUUCCAUGGCCGCCCGCCUUCCUCUCCAUUAAUGGCGCCCGAGCCGCUGUUUAAUACGGGCGGCCUUACUAUUCGCCUCCCAUUCCCCUCCCCCCCACAGACCUCCACCGCCAUGGCGCAGAAUGAUCAUCUGCCACUAGUCUUCAAGUUUGGUGAAGUCAACUCCGAGCCGGAGGAGAUAGAAAAUAAGGAGGAAUGGGGCCUCAUGGACAUGGCCCAGAACGAGCUGGCCGCAGCGGUUGCCGCCCCCGCUCCCGUCCCAGCUCCCAUCCACGCGCCUGUGCCAGCGACCAUCCCCGUAGCAUUGACGGGCUGGUCGCCGAGCACUAUCGCAGAGCUGGAAGCCGCGGGCGUCAGCGAGGUCUCCGCGGACCCGCGCGAGCUCGUCUACAUGCCAGCGCCCGUGCCCGUGCGCGCCCCUCAACCCACCGUGCCGCCGGCCCCCGUGCGUUUGGCUGCAUCCGCCGCGCCCGUGCGCGCCCCUCCACCCACCGCGGCGCCGGUCCCCGUGCGUUUGGCUGCACCCGCCGCGUCCGUGCCUGUGCCUGUGCCNNNNNNNNNNNNNNNNNNNNNNNNNNNNNNNNNNNNNNNNNNNNNNNNNNNNNNNNNNNNNNNNNNNNNNNNNNNNNNNNNNNNNNNNNNNNNNNNNNNNNNNNNNNNNNNNNNNNNNNNNNNNNNNNNNNNNNNNNNNNNNNNNNNNNNNNNNNNNNNNNNNNNNNNNNNNNNNNNNNNNNNNNNNNNNNNNNNNNNNNNNNNNNNNNNNNNNNNNNNNNNNNNNNNNNNNNNNNNNNNNNNNNNNNNNNNNNNNNNNNNNNNNNNNNNNNNNNNNNNNNNNNNNNNNNNNNNNNNNNNNNNNNNNNNNNNNNNNNNNNNNNNNNNNNNNNNNNNNNNNNNNNNNNNNNNNNNNNNNNNNNNNNNNNNNNNNNNCGGCAUGGAACGCUGCCGUCGACCGCUACCUCUCAGCGGCGCCAGUUGCCGUCCUCCCGCGCCCCGCCCGUCGAUCGCGCGACGACAUGAUGUUUGAUUUACAAGUGAAGAACAUUUUGUGCUGCCUUGAAGACUUCAACAACGGUGUCCCGGAGGACGACAACGACAAUGACGGCGCGGCACGCCGUCUCCGCCGCCGCCGGAAAUAGGUUUUUUGGGGUUUAAUACUGUAUCUCGAAUUCUCGAUCUUAUGAAUAUAAAUUCGCAGUGUGACUGAAUGAAAGAUAAUGAACUUGCAUUUUUCUCUCUUAAUGUAAAGACUUAUCAAACGAUUUUCUUUUGAAAAAAACGUCAACGGUUUUUAAAUAUAAAACGCUCAUCACAAACAUUUUAGUUAGAACACCCAUAUGCAAAUCAACAGCUCCCCAGGAAGCCAAGGGAAAAUGUGCCGAGCAGGAUUUCUACAUCCCUUCAAUGCAAACGGUUGUUUUGCAUGACCCGUGUGCAACCACGUACAAACAAUUGGGUAAGAUUUGCAUAUCUGUCAUUUUGGGUAUGUUGCCAUUUCUCAAACUGGAAAGAUUGACAUUUGUUUAUCUAGUAACAUUGCCAUUUGUCAACCUUGUAACACUGCGAUUUGUCAAAAUAUGCAGCUAGAAAUCACUAGCACUAUCUAAUUUUUGCAACUAAAAUCACUAGCACUAUUCAUAUGGACACCACUAGCAGGCGUGAGUUCAUGGACGCAUAUGCAAAUGUACCAUUGAUUACAUACAACAAGUCAUCAACCCACAAUGACAACGAGGAUACACGUUGGAUUAUAGAUCAUUUCCAACAAAACAUUCUAGUAAAGUUUUUCUCACACAACAAAUAACAAAGCGAUGAAAUGAACUUCAGCUCAACCACUCGUCGGCGUUGGAAACGCUUGCUUUGAACCAGAAGUGAUUCUCUGGGAAGGGCCAGCUACUGUCAAUCUCGAGACCAACGCAGGACUGAUCAUCCAGGCUGAAGCGGCCUAUUUCAAUACCCAUAUUGGGACGGUAGGGAAGCAUAGUAAUGUCCGAGGUAUAGAUACAGUUGCUUCUCAUAAAUGGUAGUAACGUUGUGUCAACAGCAACUGGAUCGCCUUCCACCAUCAUUGGAUUGUUUUGUCCAAGGAAGAGCGAGUUUCCUCCAAGACUUUCAAUACUGAACCAGGGAGAAGGUGUUGGCGCUAGUACACCAGUAUCCAUCCCGAAUACCCUGCAACGGAUGUUGGAAUAGGUCCGAAGAGUGGGACCAUACGAGACAACACCUGCUUCCUUAGUAACAUCAGCAGUGCCCCGUAUACAGACAAGAAGAGGUGAUCCAACGGAAUAAGUUGCCAAGCGCCACUGAGUAUAUGGGUCCUGCUCGUCCUCAUGCUCGUGAAUAAAAUUCUCAAGUAUAGGUGGUGGAAUGGUCACAGGACCUUGGAAACACAAGAAGGUUAAUUAGUAAAGGGAAACUAGCUAACCCGCAUGCAUGUGGAUGAAACAAUUAUAAUUACGGUGGAAGACAAACGUACCGAAAUCAUGAGGAUUCCAUGCAAAAACAGUGCCACGAGUGGUGGCAGCAAACACAAGACCCUCGUAUUGAAUUGCAUCACAUUACUCAUCCGUGUAUAGAAACUGAUUUUGGAGCAAUAUCCAUCGAGUCAAACCAUGAAGGACGGCAACAAGCUUGUCGAAGAUAGCGACAACAUAAGCAUUCCUAUAACCCCAAGAGCGGUUGGGAACUCGACAAAUUGCUAUCUUCCGUAGACGACAGUCAGCAUGAUCGUAUUUGAACUCACGUAGAAUACUGGUGUACUCAAACUCUGGGCAGUUGUCUGAGAUUUUACGAAGUGGAACUCGGUGACGAGUGUACACAUUCACAAGUUCCCACUCGCAGUUGUACCCAAUAUAAACAACCCAAUCUCCAUUUGCGCCUGCCCAAGCCUUGCCCUCAAGCGAUGGCAUCUUAACAUCAUACGUAUCAUUAUCAAGUGGCAUCAACUUACACAAGGCGAGGCUUCCCUCGUCCCCGCGCCAGUCAGCAGGGUCACGGCGAAGAAGAUAGGGGAGAUCAAACCGCUCCUGAACCCUUGGGUUCCUUGUAAUGAUGUUAUUAGUUGAGUUGAGAAUGGUCUUGAACGAACCUGCCAUGCUAGCCGAGGUGAUGACGUCGCUCCGAUCAAUGAGUUCCUCCACCGUGUCAUCAUUCAGAUCGGGGCAAGAAUAAUGGGGUCGUUUCCGGCUUGUUCCCUCCAUGGAGAAGACGAUCAAAAAAUGGCAGAAGGAAGGGUGAAGGCAAAUGGAGGAGGGAGGAAGAGCUAGCGUGCGACAGCAGAUCCAAAUCGAGAGGGAAAGGCGAAGAGUCGGUGGACGGUUGCCAUGGUACACGAAGAGGUGCCUGGGGAGCGAACGGUUGCCACAGAGGUCACACACUGACGACAAGGGCCGAGUGAACCGCAUGCAAUCCCAUUGCACAACACACACGUCUUGUUAAGUUGAACCGUUUCUGUACUCUUGUGUCAACGCAAACAGUUCAUCCGAGUGAACCGCAUGCCGUAUAUCCCACACACCUUGAUCUGGCUGACCCUUUCUUUUGUGUUGCCUAAUCACAAACAGUUCAUCCGAGUGAACCGUAUGUUGUAUAUCACACACACCUUCAUCUGGCUGCCCGUUUCUUUUGUGUUGCCUAAUCACAAACAGUUCAUCUGAGUGAACUGUAUGUUGUGAAUCGCACACGCCUUCAUCUGGCUGCCCAUUUCUUUUGUUUCUCCUCAUCGCAAACAGUUAAUUGAACUGAACCGUAUGCCCUUCAUCGCACACGCAACUAAAACCUGAACCCUGUUUUAUGCAUCCGUCAUCGCAAAUGUUUUAUACAUCUCUAACGGUUUUGGUACAGCACCGUUUGCGAUUAUGGCCUCGCACACAGUUUCUUGAAGGGUCUCUUAUUGUAGUGUCGCGUUAGCAGCAUCCUACAGUAGUGGAAGGAGUUAUCGCAGUUAAAACUCUGCCACGCAUGCUCGCGCACCGUUCUGGGCCUGGCCCAACAACGCUUCGCGCUUCUGUGUGUCCCAGGCCCGGGGCUCCUGUCGGUGUACAAAAGUAGGGGCCUUUCUGUACCCUUUUACUUGUGCAUGGGCAGUUGUAGCCACACCCGCGGCCACGCUUGGCGGGGCAGAGGAAGCAAAGAUACAAGACUACCAGGGCAGUGCUCAAGCCAGAGGCACGAAGAGCAAAGGGACAAGAUGGAUUUCCCCUGGCAAGAGCCUUGCCGGGGCGACCUACACACGACUUUCUCUUGAAAACAGUUUGCGUUAGGCCACCUUACGCAAACGUUUAUCACACAAAAAGUGUAUGUGAUGGACAGCCUUUGCCACACAGUUUCUUUCUACGUACCGUGUGUGAUGCAUUCAAUAACGCAAACGAUAGAAUUAUUAAUAUCGUGUGCAAUGGCAACGCUAUCACAAACGAUUUAACGGGAAGAAUUGUGUGUGAUGUACCUGUGAACGGAAAUGUUUUCCUUGGAGCGACUGUGUGGGAUGUGCAUACGAACGGAAACGUUUAGCGGGGACUGACUAUGGUGGAUGUACUUGCGACCGGAAACAAUUUUUCCGUAUAAUUGUAUUUUUUAUAUGUAUUGUACGUAUUUCCGUAUUUGAGCGCUCGCCGGUCACACACGACCUCAUUUUGUCGAACGUGUGUGCCAGGAGGGCAUAUCCUCGACGGUUCCUGGGUCGUGUGGGAAGGACCCCCCUAUCGCCCACACUCACUUGGAGACGGUUCCAGAUGCCGUCGCGGAAAGGGGUUUUAAACCGUUUGUUUAGGAUCGACGCGCACCGGUGACAAUAGCAAUAAAACUCAACGAUCAUAAUGCUAAGCUAACGGAUGGGAUCCCAUUGAUCAAAUGACAACACAUGUCUAUGGUCAGGAAACAUAACCAUCUUUGAUCAACGAGCUAGUCAAGUAGAGGCAUACUAGGGACACUCUGUUUUGUCUAUGUAUUCACACAUGUACUAAGUUUCCCGUUAAUAUAAUUCUAGCAUGAAUAAUAAACAUUUAUCAUGAUAUAAGGAAAUAUAAAUAACAACUUUAUUAUUGCCUCUAGGGCAUAUUUCCUUCAGUCUCCCACUUGCACUAGAGUCAAUAAUCUAGUUCACAUCGCCAUGUGAUUUAACACCAAUAGUUCACAUCACCAUGUGAUUAGUUCACAUGGCCAUGUGACUAAUACCCAAAGGGUUUUACUAGUCAUUAAUCUAGUCCACAUCGCCAUGUGAUUAACACCCAAAGAGUACUAAGGUGUGAUCAUGUUUUGCUUGUGAGAGAGGUUUAGUCAAUGGGUCUGCCACAUUCAGAUCCGUAUGCUUUUUGCAAAUUUCUAUGUCUACAAUGCUCUGCAGGAAGCUACUCUAGCUAAAUGCUUCCACUUUCAAUAUGUAUCCAGAUCGAGACUCAAAGUCAUCCAGAUCGGUGUCAAAGCUUGCAUUGACGUAACUCUUUACGACGAACUCUUUAUCACCUCCAUAACCGAGAAAUAUUUCCUUAGUCCUCUAAGGAUAAUUUUGACCAAUGUCCAAUGAUAUACUCCUAGAUCACUAUUGUACUCCCUUGCCUAACUCAGGGCAGGGUAUACAAUAGGUCUGGUACAUAGCAUGGCAUGCUUUAUAGAACCUAUGGCUGAGGCAUAGGGAAUGCCUUUCAUUCUCUCUCUAUCUUCUGCCGUGGUCGGGCUUUGAGUCUUACUCAACUUCACACCUUGCAACACAGGCAAGAACUCCUUCUUUGACUGUUCUAUUUUGAACUACUUCAAAGACUUGUCAAGGUAUGUACUCAUUGAAAAAAAUUAUCAAGCGUCUUCAUCCAUCUCUAUAGAUCUUGAUGCUCAAUAUGUAAGCAGCUUCAUUGAGGUCUUUCUUUGAAAAACUCCUUUCAAACACUCCUUUAUGCUUUCCAGAAAAUACUACAUCAUUUCCGAUCAACAAUAUGUCAUUCACAUAUACUUAUCAGAAAGGCUGUAGUGCUCCCACUCACUUUCUUGUAAAUACAGGCUUCACCAUAAGUCUGUAUAAUACCAUAUGCUUUGAUCACCUUAUCAAAGCGUAUAUUCCAACUCCGAGAUGCUUGCACCAGUCCAUAAAUGGAUCGCUGGAGCUUGCACACUUUGUUAGCACCUUUAGGAUCGACAAAACCUUCUGGUUGCAUCAUAUACAACUCUUCUUUAAUAAAUCCAUUAAGGAAGGCAGUUUUGACAUCCAUUUGCCAGAUUUCAUGAAAUUUGGCAAGUUCUAACAUGAUUCGGACAGACUUACGCAUCGCUACGAGUGAGAAAAUCUCAUCGUAGUCAACACGUUGAACUUUGUCAAAAACCUCUUUUCGACAAGUCUAGCUUUGUAGAUAGUAACACUACUAUCAGCGUCCGUCUUCCUCUUGAAGAUCCAUUUAUUCUCAAUGGCUUGCCCAUCAUCGGGCAAGUCAAUCAAAGUCCAUACUUUGUUCUCAUACAUGGAUCCCAUCUCAUAUUUCAUGGCCUUAAGCCAUUUUGCGGAAUCUGGGCUCAUCAUCGCUUCCUCAUAGUUCGUAGGUUCGUCAUGGUCUAGUAACAUGACUUCCAGAAAGGAUUACUGUACCACUCUGGUGCGGAUCAUAAUCUGGUUGACCUACGAGGUUCAGUAGAAAUUUGAUCUGAAGUUUCAUGAUCAUCAUCAUUAUCUUCCUCACUGACUGGUGUAGGAAUCACUGGAACUGAUUUCUGUGAUGUACUACUUUCCAAUUCGGGAGAAGGUAAAAUUACCUCAUCAAGUUCUACUUUCCUCCCACUCACUUCUUUCGAGAGAAACUCCUUCUCUAGAAAGGAUCCAUUCUUAGCAACGAAUAUCUUGCCUUUGGAUCUAUGAUAGAAGGUGUACCCAACAGUCUCCUUUGGGUAUCCUAUGAAGACGCAUUUCUCCGAUUUGGGUUCGAGCUUAUCACGUUGAAUCUUUUCACAUAAGCAUUGCAGCCCCAAACUUUAAGAAACGACAACUAAGGUUUCUUACUAAACCAAAGUUCAUACGGUGUCGUCUGCUACCUCUUGAGCACUCCGUUGGUGUUCCCUUGAAGAGGAAAGGGUGAUGCAGUAAAGUAGCAUAAGUAUUUCCCACAGUUUUUGAGAACCAAGUUAUCAAUCCAGUAGGAGGCCACGCUCAACUCCCUCGCACCUACACAAACAAAUAAAAACCUCGCAACCAAUGCAAUAAAUGGGUUGCCAAUCCCUUCACGGUCACUUACGAAAGUGAGAUUUGAUAGAUAUGAUAAGAUAAUAUUUUUGGUAUUUUUAUAAUAAAGAUGCAAAGUAAAAUAAAAGGCAAUAAAAAUAGCUGAGUGUUGGAAGAUUAAUAUGAUAGGAAAUAGACCCGGGGGCCAUAGGUUUCACUAGUGGCUUCUCUCAAGAGCAUAAGUAUUAUGGUGGGUGAACAAAUUACUGUUGAGCAAUUGAUAGAAUUGAGCAUAGUUAUGAGAAUAUCUAGGUAUGAUCAUGUAUAUAGGCAUCACGUCCGUGACAAGUAGACCGACUCCUGCCUGCAUCUACUACUAUUACUCCACACAUCGACCUCUAUCCAGCAUGCAUCUAGAGUAUUAAGUUCAAAAUAACAGAGUAAUGCUUUAAGUAAGAUGACAUGAUGUAGAGGGAUAAAUUCAUGCAAUAUGAUAUAAACCCCAUCUUGUUAUCCUCGAUGGCAACAAUACAAUACGUGCCUUGCUGCCCCUGCUGUCACUAGGAAAGGACAACGCAAGAUUGAACCCAAAGCUAAGCACUUCUCCCAUUGCAAGAAAGAUCAAUCUAGUAGGCCAUACCAAACUAAUAAUUCAAAGAGACUUGCAAAGAUAACCAAUCAUACAUAAAAGAAUUCAGAGAAGAUUCAAAUAUUGUUCAUAGAUAAACUUGAUCAUAAACCCACAAUUCAUCGGUCUCAACAAACACACCGCAAAAGAAGAUUACAUCGAAUAGAUCUCCACGAGAAUCGUGGAGAACUUUGUAUUGAUAUCCAAAGAGAGAAGAAGCCAUCUAGCUAAUAACUAUGGACCCGAAGGUCUAAGGUAAACUACUCACACAUCAUCGGAGAGGCUAUGGUGUUGCUGUAGAAGCCCUCCGUGAUCAAUGCCCCCUCUGGCAGGACGCCGGAAAAGGCCCCAAGAUGGGAUCUCACGGGUACAGAAGGUUGCGGUGGUGGAAUUAGGUUUUCGUGGAUGCUUCUGUUGGUUUGGGGGUACGUAGGUAUAUAUAGGAGGAAGAAGUACGUAGGUGGAGCAACAUGGGCCCCACGAGGGUGGAGGGCGCGCCCCUUGCCUCGUGCUCUCCUGGUUGAUUUCUUGACAUAGACUCCAAGUCCUCUGGAUCACGUUUGUUCCAAAAAUCACGUUCCCGAAGGUUUCAUUCCGUGUGGACUCCAUUUGAUAUUCUUUUUCUGCGAAACUCUGAAAUAGGAAAAAAAGACAGCAAUUUGGGAUGGGCCUCCGGUUAAUAGGUUAGUCCCAAAAAUAAUAUAAAAGUGUAUAACAAAGCCCCUUAAUCAUCCCAAACAGAAUAUAAUAUAGCAUGAAGCAAUCAAAAAUUAUAGAUACGUUGGAUACGUAUCAAGCAUCCCCAAGCUUAAUUCCUGCUCGUCCUCGAGUAGGUAAAUUAUAAAAACAGAAUUUUUGAUGCGGAAUGCUACUUGGCAUAAUUUUUUUUAAUGUAACCCUCUUAAUUGUGGUAUGCAUAUUCAGAUCCGAAAGAUUCAAGAUAAAAGUUUAAUAUUGACAUAAAAGCAAUAAUACUUCAAGCAUACUAACUAAGCAAUUAUGUCUUCUCAAAAUAACAUGGCCAAAGAAAGUUCAUCCCUACAAAAUCAUAUAGUUUAGUCAUGGUCCAUUUUCGUCACACAAGAAUGCUCUCAUCAUGCACAACCCCGAUGACAAGCCAAGCAAUUGUUUCAUACUUUAGUAAUCUCAAACUUUUUCAACCUUCAUGCAAUACAUGAGCGUGAGCCAUGGAUAUAGCACUAUGGGUGGAAUAGAAUAUAAUGAUGGGGGUUAUGUGGAGAAGACAAAAAAGGAGAAAGUCUCACAUCAACGCGGCUAAUCAACGGGCUAUGGAGAUGCCCAUCGAUUGAUGUUAAUGCAAGGAGUAGGGAUUGCCAUGCAACUGAUGCACUAGAGCUAUAAAUGCAUGAAAGCUGAACAAAAGAAACUAAGUGGGUGUGCAUCCAACUUGCUUGCUCACGAAGACCUAGGGCAUUUGAGGAAGCCCAUUGUUGGAAUAUACAAGCCAAGUUCUAUAAUGAAAAAUUCCCACUAGUAUAUGAAAGUGACAAAACAAGAGACUCUCUAUCAUGAAGAUCAUGGUGCUACUUUGAAGCACAAGUGUGGAAAAAAGAUAGUAGCAUUGUCCCUUUUUAUUUUCUCUUUUUUGGGGGCCUUCCUUUUUUUUAUUUGGCCUUUCUCUUUUUUUAUUGGGACAAUGUUCUAUGAAUGAUGAUCAUCACACUUCUAUUUAUUUACAACUCAAUGGUUACAACUCGAUACUAGAACAAAGUAUGACUCUAUAUGAAUGCCUCCGACGGUAUACUGGGAUAGGCAAUGAAUCAAGAGUGACAUGUAUGAAAAAUUAUGAACGGUGGCUUUGCCAGAAAUACGAUGUCAACUACAUGAUCAUGCAAAGCAAUAUGACAAUGAUGAACGUGUCAUGAUAAACGGAAUGGUGGAAAGUUGCAUGGCAAUAUAUCUCGGAAUGGCUAUGGAAAUGCCAUAAUAGGUAGGUAUGGUGGCUAUUUUGAGGAAGAUAUAAGGAGGUUUAUGUGUGAUAGAGCGUAUUAUAUCACGGGAUUUGGAUGCACCGGCGAAGUUUGCACCAACUCUCAAUGUGAGAAAGGGCAAUGCACGGUACCGAAGAGGCUAGCAAUGAUGGAAGGGUAAGAGUGUGUAUAAUCCAUGGACUCAACAUUAGUAAUAAAGAACUCACAUACUUAUUGCAAAAAUCUACAAGUCAUCAAAAACCAAGCACUAUGUGCAUGAUCCUAGGGGGAUAGAUUGGUAGGAAAAGACCAUCGCUCGUCCCCGAUCGCCACUCAUAAGGAAGACAAUCAAAGAACACCUCAUGCUUCAAAUUUGUUACAUAACGUUUACCAUACGUGCAUGCUACAAGACUUGCAAACUUCAACACAAGUAUUUCUCAAUUUCACAACUACUCAACUAGCACAACUUUAAUAUCACUACCUCCAUAUCUCAAAACAAUCAUCAAGCAUCAAACUUCUCUUAGUAUUCAACACACUCAUAAGAAAGUUUUUACUAGUCUUGAAUGCCUAACAUAUUAGGAUUAAUUUCCCAAUUUAAGCAAUUACCAUGUUGUUUAGGACUGUCAAAAUAAUAUAAGUGAAGCAUGAGAGAACAAUAGUUUCUAUAAAACAAAACCACCGCCAUGCUCUAAAAGAUAUAAGUGAAGCACUAGAGCAAAAACUAUAUAGCUCAAAAGAUAUAAGCGAAGCGCAUAGAGUAUUCUAAUAAAUUCCGAAUCAUGUGUGUCUCUCUCAAAAGGUGUGUACAGAAAAUAUGAUUAUGGUAAACUAAAAAGCAAAGACUCAAAUCAUACAAGACGCUCCAAGCAAAACACAUAUCAUGUGGUGAAUAAAAAUAUAGCUCCAAGUAAAGUUACCGAUGGAAGUAGACGAAAGAGGGGAUGCCUUCCGGGGCAUCCCCAAGCUUUGUCUUUUUGGUGUCCUUAGAUUAUAUUGGGGUGCCAUGGGAAUCCCCAAGCUUAGGCUCUUGCCAUUCCUUGUUCCAUAAUCCAUCAAAUCUUUUACCCAAAACUUGAAAACUUCACAACACAAAACUUAACAGAAAAUCUCGUGAGCUCCGUUAGCGAUAGAAAACAAAACACCACUUCAAGGUACUGUAAUGAACUCAUUCUUUAUUUAUAUUGGUGUUAAACCUAGUGUAUUCCAACUUCUCUAUGGAUUAUAAACUAUUUUACUAGCCAUAGAUUCAUCGAAAUAAGCAAACAACACACGAAAAACAGAAUCUGUCAAAAACAGAACAGUCUGUAGUAAUCUGUAACUAACGCAAACUUCUGGAACUCCAAAACAUCUACCAAAAUAGUACGACCUAGACAAUUUGUUUAAUGAUCUGCUGCAAUUGGAAUAAAUAUUUUAUCACGUUCUGGUAAUUUAUAAUAAUUUGUUUCGUGAACAGAAAGUUUCUGGAAUUUUCAGCAAGAUCAAAUAACUAUCAUCCAAGAAGAUCCUAUAGGUUUAACUUGGCACAAACACUAAUUAAAACAUAAAAACAAACCUAACCAGAGGCUAGAUCAAAGAUUUAUUCCUAAACAUAAGCAAAAAGAAAAAAAACUAAAAAUAAAAUUGGGUUGCCUCCCAACAAGCGCUAUCGUUUAACGCCCCUAGCUAGGCAUAAAAGCAAGGAUAGAUCUAGGUAUUGUCAUCUUUGGUAGGCAAUUCUUCAAUAAGACACCUAUCACCCUUAGGAGUUUCUUUCUUUCUAUUAAUUAUCAAACUUCUAGGCACAAAAUCAAAAAAAUCAUUUGCAGCAAAUGGUUCUUUAAUGAUAGCAAAGAGAUUGGGAUGAACACUUAUUGAUUUGAGAUCCGCAGUUUCCUUAUUAGAUGGUUCACCCUUAUUUUUAGGAACAUACAUAAGCUUGGCAAUUUUAGUAGGAGGACUUGGAGUAUUCUUUACGGAAGAAAAGGCGGUCCCCAAGUUGGUAAUGAUACCCUCAAGUUUAUCGAUUCUAGUGGAAUCCUAAUUUAUUCUUUCAUUAACUAUGGGUUCCUUUUCCUUAAUAUUUUUCAAAGUGACUCCUACUUUAGAUCCAUAUUGGGUAAUUUGGUUGUGGAUCUUUUUAUCCAAAUUUUCAAUUAACUCUAUGGUAGCAACUUUAUUUUCAAUAAUUUCAAGUCUUUGCAUUACAUGCUCCAAAGUUAACAUAGUUCCAUUAACCAAGAGAGGUGGUGAGCCAAACAAAUCUAUCAUAGCAUUAUAAGAAUCAAAAGUAUGGCUACCCAAGAAAUUACCUACGGUAAUGGUAUCAAGAAUAUAUCUAUACCAAGGAGCAAUGCCUACAUAAAAAAUUGCGAAGAAGAAUGGUAGUAGAUUGCUUUCGGGUAGAUCUAUUUUGAGCAUUGCAGAUUCUAUACCAAGCAUCUUUUAGAUUUUCUCCCUCCCUUUGUUUAAAAUUAAGAACUUCAUUCUCGGGAGAUAAAGGAAUAGAUAAAGGACUAGCCAUGACGACAAAGCGAGCGGUAAAGAGGCGAAGGGAAAAGAGACGGCGAAUAAAACGGCAAGGGUGAAGUGGGGGAGAGGAAAACGAGAGGCAAAUGGCAAAAAAUGUAAUGCGGGAGAUAAGAGUUUGUGAUGGGUACUUGGUAUGUUGACUUUUGUGUAGACCUCCCCGGCAACGGCGCCAGAAAUCCUUCUUGCUACCUCUUGAGCACUGCGUUGGUUUUCCCUUGAAGAGGAAAGGGUGAUGCAGUAAAGCAGCAUAAGUAUUUCCCUCAGUUUUUUAGAACCAAGGUAUCAAUCCAGUAGGAGGCCACGCUCAAGUCCCUCACACCUACACAAACAAAUAAAAACCUUGCAACCAACGCAAUAAAGGGGUUGUCAAUCCCUUCACAGUCACUUACGAAAGUGAGAUCUGAUAGAUAUGAUAAGAUAAUAUUUUUGGUAUUUUUAUAAUAAAGAUGCAAAGUAAAAUAAAAGGCAAUAAAAAUAGCUAAGUGUUGGAAGAUUAAUAUGAUAGGAAAUAGACCCGGGGGCCAUAGGUUUCACUAGUGGCUUCUCUCAAGAGCAUAAGUAUUACGGUGGGUGAACAAAUUACUGUUGAGCAAUUGAUAGAAUUGAGCAUAGUUAUGAGAAUAUCUAGGUAUGAUCAUGUAUAUAGGCAUCACGUCCGUGACAAGUAGACCGACUCCUGCCUGCAUCUACUACUAUUACUCCACACAUCGACCGCUAUCCAGCAUGCAUCUAGAGUAUUAAGUUCAAAAGAACAGAGUAAUGCUUUAAGUAAGAUGACAUGAUGUAGAGGGAUAAAUUCAUGCAAUAUGAUAUAAACCCCAUCUUGUUAUCCUCGAUGGCAACAAUACAAUACGUGCCUUGCUGCCCCUGCUGUCACUGGGAAAGGACACCGCAAGAUUGAACCUAAAGCUAAGCACUUCUCCCAUUGCAAGAAAGAUCAAUCUAGUAGGCCAAACCAAACUGAUAAUUUGAAGAGACUUGCAAAGAUAACCAAUCAUACAUAAAAGAAUUCAGAGAAGAUUCAAAUAUUGUUCAUAGAUAAACUUGAUCAUAAACCCACAAUUCAUCGGUCUCAACAAACACACCGCAAAAGAAGAUUACAUCGAAUAGAUCUCCACGAGAAUCGUGGAGAACUUUGUAUUGAGAUCCAAAGAGAGAGAAGAAGCCAUCUAGCUAAUAACUAUGGACCCGAAGGUCUAAGGUAAACUACUCAAACAUCAUCGGAGAGGCUAUGGUGUUGAUGUAGAAGCCCUCCGUGAUCAACGCCCCCUCCGGCAGGACGCCGGAAAAGGCCCCAAGAUGGGAUCUCACGGGUACAGAAGGUUGUGGUAGUGGAAUUAGGUUUUCGUGGAUGCUUCUGUUGGUUUGGGGGUACGUAGGUAUAUAUAGGAGGAAGAAGUACGUCGGUGGAGCAACGUGGGCCCCACGAGGGUGGAGGGCGCGCCCCCUGCCUCGUGCUCUCCUGGUUGAUUUCUUGACGUAGACUCCAAGUCCUCUGGAUCACGUUUGUUCCGAAAAUCACGUUCCCGAAGGUUUCAUUCCGUUUGGACUCCAUUUGAUAUUCUUUUUCUGCGAAACUCUGAAAUAGGCAAAAAAAACAGCAAUUUGGGCUGGGCCUCCGGUUAAUAGGUUAGUCCCAAAAAUAAUAUAAAAGUGUAUAACAAAGCCCAUUAAUCAUCCAAAACAGAACAUAAUAUUGGCUUGAAGCAAUCAAAAAUUAUAGAUACGUUGGAGAUGUAUCAUCGUCUCAACGGAAUUAGAUGGUGCCCUAUUAACGUGAAUGCAGGUGUCUCUAAUACAUUACCCCAAAAUGAUAGUGGUAAAUCGGUAAGAGACAUCAUAGAUCACACCGUAUCUAAUAAAGUACGGUUGUGACGUUCGGACACACCAUUACGCCGUGGUGUUCCAGGUGGCGUGAGUUGCGAAACUAUUCCACAUUGUUUCAAAUGAAGACCAAACUCAUAACUCAAAUAUUCGUCUCCGCGAUCAGAUCGUAGAAACUUUAUUUUCUUGUUACAAUGAUUUUUCCACUUCACUCUGAUUUUUUUUUGAACUUUUCAAAUGUUUCCGACUUAUGUUUCAUCAAGUACAUAUACCCAUAUCUGCUCAAAUCAUCUGUGAAGGUCAGAAAAUAACAAUACCCGCCACGAGCCUCAACACUCAUCAGACCGCAUACAUCGGUAUGUAUUAUUUCCAAUAAGUCAGUGGCUCGCUCCAUUGUUCCAAAGAACGGAGUCUUAGUCAUCUUGCCCAUGAGGCAUGGUUCUCAAGCAUCAAUUGAUUCAUAAUCAAGUGAUUCCAAAAGUCCAUCAGCAUGGAGUUUCUUCAUGCGCUUUACACCAAUAUGACCUAAAUGGCAGUGCCAGAAAUAUGUUGCACUAUCAUUAUUAGACUUAUAUUUUUUGGCAUCAAUAUUAUGUGUGUCACUGUGAUCGAGAUUCAGUAAACCAUUUACAUUGGAUGUCAGACCAUACAUGUCAACAGAACAACAAUUAUUCUCUGACUUAAAUGAAUAACCAUAUCGCAAUAAACAUGAUCUAAUCACAUUCGUGCUCAACGCAAACACCAAAUAACAUUUAUUUAGUUCCAAUACUAAUCCCAAAAGUAAAGGGAGUGUGCGAUGGUGAUCUUAUCUACCUUGGAAUCACUUCCAACACACAUCGCCACCUCGCCCUCAAAUAGUCUUUGUUCAUUAUGUAACUCCUGUUUCAAGUUACUAAUCAUAGCAACUGAACCAGUAUCAAAUACACAGGGGUUACUAUGAACACUAGUAAAGUACACAUCAAUAGCAUGUGUAUCAUAUGUACUUUUGUUCACUUUGCCAUCCUUCUUAUCCGCCAAGUAUGUGGGGCAGUUCUGCUUCCAAUGACCAUUUCCUUUGCAGUAGAAGCACUCAGUUUCAGGCUUGGGUCUAGCUUUGGGUUUCUUCACAGGAGUGGCAACUUGCUUGCCAUUCUUCUUGAAGUUCCCUUUCUUUCCCUUGCCCUUUUACUUGAAACUAGUGGUCUUGUCAACCAUCAACAUUUGAUGCUUUUCUUGAUUUCUACCUUCGUCGAUUUCAGCAUCACGAAGAGCUCGGGAAUCGUUUUCGUCGUCCCUUGCAUAUUAUAGUUCAUCACAAAGUUCUAGUAACUUGGUGAUAGUGACUAGAGAACUCUGUCAAUCACUAUUUUAUCUGGAAGAUUAACUCCCACUUGAUUCAAGCGAUUGUAGUACUCUAACAUUCUGAGCACAUGCUCACUGGUUGAGCUAUUCUCCUCCAUCUUGUAGGCAAAGUACUUGUCAGAGGUCUCAUACCUCUUGACUCGGGCAUGAGUCUGAAAUACCAAUUUCAGCUCUUGGAACAUCUUAUAUGCUACGUGGCGUUCAAAACAUUUUUGAUGUCCCGGUUCUAAGCCGUAAAGCAUGGCGCACUAAACUAUUAAGUAGUUAUCAUACUGAGCUUGCCAAACGUUCAUAACGUCUGCAUCUGCUCCUGCUAUAGGUCUGUCACCUAGCGGUGCAUCAAGGACAUAAUUCUUCUGUGCAGCAAUGAGGAUAAUCCUCAGAUCAUGGACCAAGUCUGCAUCAUUGCUACUAUCAUCUUUCAACUUAUUUUUCUCUAGGAACAUAUCAAAAAUAAACGGGGAGCUACAUCGCGAGCUAUUGAUCUACAACAUACUUAUGCAAAUACUAUCAGGACUAAGUUCAUGAUAAAUUAAAGUUCAAUUAAUCAUAUUACUUAAGAACUCCCACUUAGAUAGACAUCCCUCUAAUCAUCUAAGUGAUCACGUGAUCCAUAUCAACUAAACCAUGUCCGAUCAUCACGUGAGAUGGAGUAGUUUUCAAUGGGGAACAUCACUAUGUUGAUCAUAUCUACUAUAUGAUUCACGCUUGACCUUUCGGUCUCAGUGUUCCGAGGCCAUAUAUGCAUAUGCUAGGCUCGUCAAGUUUAACCCGAGUAUUCUGCGUGUGCAAGACUGGCUUGCACCCGUUGUAUGUGAGCGUAGAGAUUAUCACACCCGAUCAUCAUGUGGUGUCUCGGCACGAUGAACUGUCGCAACGGUGCAUACUCAGGGAGAACACUUGUACCUUGAAAUUUAGUGAGAGAUCAUCUUAUAAUGCUACCGCCGUACUAAGCAAAAUAAGAUGCAUAAAGGAUAAACAUCACAUGCAAUCAAUAUAAGUGAUAUGAUAUGGCCAUCAUCAUCUUGUGCCUUUGAUCUCCAUCUCCAAAGCACCGUCAUGAUCACCAUCGUCACCGGUUUGACACCUUGAUCUCCAUCGAAGCAUCGUUGUCGUCUCGCCAACUACUGCUUCUACGACUAUCACUACUGCUUAGUGAUAAAGUAAAGCAAUUACAUGGUGAUUGCAUUUUAUACAAUAAAGCGACAACCAUAUGGCUCCUGCCAGUUGUCGAUAACUGUUACAAAACAUGAUCAUCUCAUACAACAAAUUAUAUAUCAUCACGUCUUGACCAUAUCACAUCACAGCAAGCCCUGCAAAAACAAGUUAGACGUCCUCUACUUAGUUGUUGCAAGUUUUACGUGGCUGCUACGGGCUUAGCAAGAACCGUUCUUACCUACGCAUCAAAACCACAACGAUUUUUCGUCAAGUGUGCUGUUUUAACCUUCAACAAGGACCGGGCGUAGUCACACUCGAUUAAACUAAAGUUGGACAAACAAACACCCACUAGCCACCUGUGUGGGAAGCACGGAGAUAGAACCAGUCUCAGGAACGUGGUCAUGUAAUGUCGGUCUAGGCCGCUUCAUCCAGCAAUACCGUUGAGGGAGUCCUGGACUAAGGGGUCCUCGGGCGUCCGGCCUGUUAUCCAUGGGCCGGACUGAUGGGCUGUGAAGACAUGAAGACCGAAGACCAUACUCGUGUCCGAAUUAGACUCUCCUUGGCGUGGAAGGCAAGCUAGGCGGCCAGCUGUGAAGAUUCCUUCUUAUGUAACCGACUCCAUGUAACCCUAGAUCUCUCCGGUGUCUAUAUAAACCGGAGAGCAUAGUCCGGAUAGGACACAUUCAUUACCAUAUACUCACAUAGGCUAGACUUUUAGGGUUUAGCCAUUAUGAUCUCGUGGUAGAUCAACUCUUGUAAACACUCAUAUUCAUCAAGAUCAAUCAAGCAGGAAGUAGGGUAUUACCUCCAUAGAGAGGGCUCGAACCUGGGUAAACAUCGUGUCCCCCGUCUCCUGUUACCAUCGAUCCUAGACGCACAGUUCGGGACCCCCUACCCGAGAUCCGCCGGUUUUGACACCGACAUUGGUGCUUUCAUUGAGAGUUCCACUGUGCCAUCGUCAAAAGGUUUGAUGGCCCCUUCAAUCAUCGAUAAUGAUGCUGUCCAGGGAGAAACCUUUCUCCCCGGACAGAUCUUCGUGUUUGGUGGCUUCGUACUGCGGGCCAACUCGCUUGGCCAUCUGGAGCAGAUCGACAGCUACGCCCCUGGCCAUCAGGUCAGAUUCGGAAGCUUGAACUACGUUGUGGACAUCCGUGGAGACUUGAUCUUCGACGGAUUUGAGACUGUGGCAAUCGUUCCCCGCUGCCCCGAUGGACAUGGCUUAAACCAGUCAUCGGGCCGCAUCCAGGAGAGAGCUCCUGCAGCAAGUCUGGCCUUAGAUCCGGAGCAGAUCAAGUCCCCCGAAGAUGGGAAGCUUAACCCCAUCGCGGGGGCUACCGAUUCUGCGUCGUCGGAGCCGCUCGCAGAUUCCACUGCGUACGGCAUCUGCAUCAACGGAACCUCGGACUCUUCUCCGGCGUCGAGUUCCGAACCCUGCGAGCCCGCGGAUACCAAACUCGAUCGGUUAUCAAUCUUCAAGUUCAGCGCCGCAGAUGUCUUCCAACACUCGCCCAUGGGCGACCUACUAAACUCAUUAAAAAACCUAUCCCCGGCAGAUGGCUCGUCACCGAACUAUGUUCGGUUCGAACCUAUGGCGGAUGAUGGAGAAUUUUGCUUCCCACCCGCCACCCACUUUAUAGCCACUGUCGAAGACCCAACCAACACGCCUGACCCCCGCUCUGAAGACAUCGCCGGUAUGGACGACGAUGAGGGGCAGGGCCAGAGCUCGCUACCCGCUAGACACGGGAUGGACACUUCCUGGUAUGAUGUGUGUAUGAUAGACACACCCGAUGAUGAGAAAGAUCCAGUCGAGAAUAAACCUCCUGGUACACAGUCCGAACACCAGCGCCGCUCCAAGCCACAUCGCCCAAGAGAAAACACUGCUAGCACCAGAAAAGACAACACUCCGGACAAUGAAGACCCUUUUGAGGUAGAAUCCGAAUAGGAGGAACAGGAAAGCGGGCAAGACAGCCCUGAUGAACAGGCCACAUAUGGAGACUCGGAGGAUAGCAAUUAUCUCCCACCCUCUGAGGAAGAGGAUAUCCUCGGUAGCGAGGAUUUUAUCAUGCCUAAGGAAUCUCUUGAGCAGGAGUGUUUCAAACGCCGGCUUACAGCCACUGCAAGGAGCCUAAAGAAGAAGAAGCUGCAGCUUCAAGCAAGCCAAGAUUUGCUCAAUGAUAGAUGGACCGAAGUCUUGGCCGCCGAAGAAUACAGCCUUAGUAGCCCAGACAUAAGCCACCCCAAGGGUAGGUGGCUCCCUCAAUACGACGUCAGGGCACUGGAGCCCACACCACCAUCGAACAAUGUGGCAGGCCGGCCACAGUUCGGUCCAGACAAAGCAGCAGCCCAAGCAGAGCAACAUACAAACCCAUCCGGCCAUCAAAUCAAGAGCAAAACAGCUCGAGGGAACACUCGCGACAUCAACCAAGACCCGGAGGAUAGAGCAGAGCACACAAGAUCGAUGUACAGAUCACGGAGAUACACCCCGACCGACGAUGAUUUCCACCCAUUCAGACACUACAGAGCCAACCGCGGCCGGUCCGAACUCCGUAAACGGAGUCCACUGGAAGUGCUUCAUAGUGUGGCUCAACAUAGAGGAGCCGCACACCCUCUCUGCUUCACUGACGAGGUAAUGAAGCAUGAAUUUCCAGACGGGUUUAAACCCAUUAACAUCGAAUCAUACGAUGGAACAACAGAUCCCGCGGUAUGGAUUGAGGAUUACCUCCUCCAUAUCCACAUGUCUCGCGGAGACGACCUUCAUGCCAUUAAAUACAUACCUCUCAAGCUUAAAGGGCCAGCUCGGUACUGGCUAAACAGUUUGCCAGAAAAUUCUAUUGGCAGUUGGGAAGAUUUGGAAGACGCCUUUCGAGACAACUUCCAUGGAACAUAUGUCCGGCCACUAGAUGCCGAUGACUUAAGUCAUAUUGUCCAGAAGCCCGACGAGUCAGCCAGGGAGCUCUGGACUAGGUUCUUAGUCAAAAAGAACCUAGUUGCCGACUGUCCGGACGCAGAAGCCCUCGCAGCCUUCAAACACAGCGUCCGGGAUGAAUGGCUAGCACGUCACCUCGGCCAGGAAGGACCCAAAUCCAAGACAGCCCUUACCGCUCUAAUGACUCGCUUUUAUGCGGGAGAAGGCAACUAGCUCGCUCGUAAAAGCAACAACGCCAGCGACCCGGGCACUUACAAAAUUCGAGACGGCAACGGCAAGCCACGACGAACCGAACACAACAGUCGCAAUAAUAUACGCGACACAGUGGUGAACGCCGAAUUUCACAAUCCGAAGCCCGGUCAACGGAAGAAGCCACUAAAGGCAAACCUGGAUGGACCAUCCACCCUUGACAGGAUAUUGGACCGACCUUGUCAGAUUCACGGUCACCCUGAUAGGCCAGCUAAUCAUACCAAUAGAAACUGUUGGGUCCUCAAGUAGGCAGGCAAGCUAAACGCCGAUCACAAGGGGAGGAGGCCACCAGGCGAUAGAGACGACGGAUCGGCUCGCCAGCCGAACACCAGGGGCCAGAAACACUUCCCUCUGAAAUUUGACCCCUCCCAGAACGGAAAUAGUAGUUCAGCUUCCGCCGCCUACCUACUGUACUAGCAAAGUUUACCCCACGCGUACAUAACUACGCACUCAAGAUACCAUGGGCAUCGGCGGAAGCAAAAUAUGGAUAACCCUACAAGAAUCCCCGUAACGUUUUUAUCCGUCUUUCUUAUUUUUCUGUAUAAUUUCUUAAAAACAGGUGACCAUCAGGACCGCAUCUACAUCGGACUCUCUCGAAGUUCUGAUCCGCACACUCACCUAAGGGGCCACUCCCGUUAAGGAUUCCCCUCCCCAAGGACGGGCGGCGCAGACGUGCGACAGGAGGUCCAAAAUAAGCUUUUGUAGACCGCACUCUUCCUUUUGAGCCUGUACCAUGCCCUUUUCCUCUGUUCCCAACCCCGAGCAUGUCAAAUAGAUGGGUUGUGGUUUUUACUCUUUAUAUAUUUAUCAUUGGCAUAUUGCUCCGCUCCCAGUAAACUUUAUCCGAACUAAUAUUUCAUGCUCUUUCUACAACAAGUCUGGCCGUAACGGCUGCCUUACCAGACGCACCUCGGCAUAACUUGCCAGGGGCCCGGUAUGGGAACAAAAAAGUCGCCAGUAAAAGUCCGAACAGCUCUAUAGCGUACUUCGGCAUCGCAAGUUUGGCCUUAUAUGCACCAGCUCCGAAUCAUUGUCUUUGGUCAAUAGUUGGGUUGCCCGGCUCCUGUGCUUGCUACCCUACAUUCCGCUCUAUCGGCUAGGGUAGUAAAGGGAGAACUACUGCGAUUGUUCCCUGGCCUAGACCGGAUGAGCACCUCAGUAGAGAAAGCCGAAAACUGACUGUCAUGAUGCGGCGAGAGCUGGUCAACCAUUUGACGACUUCUUCGAAUCUUUAGUGAUUCUCCGUGUCACAUGAGGGAUCUUUUUUAGAUCAACAUAUGUAAGGCACUACGCGCCGUAUACAUACCAGGGGCUAUAUCGUAAACCCCACCAUAAAACUCCUAUGGUCAAGUGAAAGUGUUAACGCCCUAUAGUCUGAUUGCCUGGUUCGCCGCAUUAUCACCUCCUUUAUGGACCAAGACGUUGGAUAAAGAGUGAUUAAAUGCUUUUCUGAACACCCCCGUACUUCCUACGAGGGGGCUAAAGCCGACGACUGGAAAACUUUUAGAUUAUAUUAAAAUGUCCACAGAGGAGGAAUUCAAGCUUUUGAGCAAAAUAUAAAUAGAUUAACUAUAAAGUUGUCUGUUACAUCAUUAUAUAAAUCACUCGAACAUUAUAUCUUUCGAGCAUUGACCCUCUAUCAAGCGGGCGGCAUCUAAGACGUCUUCAAAAUAGUGCUCCGGCUUAGUAUGGUCCUGGCCCUUGGGUGGACUCCUCGCCGCAAUAUCAAUGGGUUUCAUCUUUCCCCAAAAUGUUUUGACUCGGGCAAAGGCCAUCUGUGCACCCUCAAUGCACGCCGACCGCUUCACAGCAUCGAUAUGUGGAACCGCGUCAACAAGCCUCCGCACCAGGCCAAAAUAACUACUCGGAAUAGGCUCACUUGGCCACAACCGGAUUAUGACGUUCUUCAUGGAGCCGCCAGAUAUCCUAUGAAGCUCGGCCCACUGGGACAUCUGUUCAUUGAGCAACAAAGGGCGCUUCGACGCGCCGAAUUGUGACCAGAAAAGCUUCUCUGUUGCAUACCCCCUUGUGCAUGGUAAAAUUGCGCCGCAUCGGAAGAACUCUUCGGCAAGUCCAAAAAUUCAGCCGGAGAACUCCAGACCUGGUUUAGCUGAGCAUAGUCCGGAUCGCCAAACUUGGUCUGAAGCAAAAAAGGCUUACCGGCCGCUAUCUCCUUAGCCUGCCAAAUCUCUUCACGAGCUGCCCUAGAUUCAGACCGAGCUUCACUCGCCUCUCGUACGACCUUAUCAAGCUCAGCCAUUUUGGCUUUAUUCUCCUUCUCAAGGAAUUCACAACGGCUGGCAGUAUCCUUCAAUUCAAGCGCCAGUGCGGAUAUUUUCUCCUCACUUUGGUGUCGAGCUGCUUGUUCGGCUCUUAGAUCAGCCGAUGCCUUCUCGGCAGCCGCAUCACUAUGCCGGGCCUGCUCCUUGGCCUAGGCUAGCUCCGCCCGAAGAGCUUCAACGGCGGCAGCACCAUCUGCAAUCAUGCACAUUUCAUAUAAAACCUUUUCGGCGUUAGUCCUACAUUACAAAGCACAUUGGUUUAAGGAAUGCUCGAAAAUAUAUACCUUGCGAGUCGUCAAGACGCCUGUUGAUCAACGCAAUGUCAUCCUUCGCAACAUCCAGCUUUCGCUGCAGUUCGGCCACUUCCGUAUUUCGGGUAGCCACAGGAGGAGACAGAGCCUGUAUUCCAAGUUAAAUCAAGGUUAGAAACUAAGCAUAUCUUUUUUAUCCUCCGAUCGCUUCCAUCGGAAGGCAAUCCAAGUCUCAGGGGCUACUGCAUAUACAACAGGUGCAUUCUGUCAAUAUUAUUCAAUUGGCAAAACUACAUCACAAACCUCAAAACCCCUUAGGAGGCUCGUGAAGGCCUCGUUCAACCCGCUCUUCGCGGAUAGAACCUUUUUGACCACCGCAACCAUCAAGGCACGGUGUUCCUCCGAAACAGACGCUUGCCGCAGCAUGUCCGUCAGCAUUUCCGGCACUUCUGGGUCUUCAGAAGCCGCCGCCGGAGUACGGUAUUCCUUUGAAGGAAUCCGCCCACUCACCCCCGGGAUCAUCUCCGGCUCUAAAUAGGAUAGGGUGGGGCCGCCACGCUUGAUUCCUGAACCCUGAGUGACAGAGGCACCACCUUCGGGUAAUGCCCUCUUCGUUUCCUGCACUGCUUGUCGACCAGGAGGAGCCCCCCAGGACAAUAUCUCAUAAUCAUCCGCCCUGUUGGGCGAGGGGGCGGAGAAGGCGUUUCACUCUCCAUCAUCUCAGGAAGAAGGUCUCCCGAGGAGGAGGACGAUUGGGAAACCCCAGGCGUUAACCUGCGAAGACAUACGUAUGUCGGAGGAUUACUUCAGUAAUAAGAAAGGAAGGAGGUAUGAUUAAAGUACCCUGCUGCACUUACGGUUUGGCCAGAGGUUUAUCCUCAUCAUAAAGCUCCACGUCAACAUCGCUUGCCCGGCCCAAGCCGCCCGUCGAUGGCGUUUUCCCUUUCUUGGAAUGUUUCCCCUCCUGACCUUCAGAAGCGGUCCUCUUCUUGCCAUGGAAGGCCUCCUCUGCACCUUUGCCCUCGGGCAAGAGGGUUUCGGUUUCCCCGAACACAGCGUCUAAUUUAUCCUUGGGGCAGAGACCACCUCCAGCCUCCCUAUUCUCGCACUCCUCCGCAGACGCCUGGUACGGUGUCGGAGUCAGCAUCCUCGUCAGUAGGGCGUUCGCAGAGUCUUCGGGAAGGGGCGCCGGACACCUGAUCAACACCGCUUUCUUUAUCCAGUCCUGUGAAGGGACGGAUUGUUCAAUAUCUUACCAAGAGAUACUCGAAUAAGGGGUGUGCGGAGAUCGAAUACUUACCGCGGUGUCUGGAUGAUUGCAGUCGAGGCCAACACCUUCGGUGGUGUCCGGCCAUUGCUCUCGUUCCCCGAAAUAUAAUUUCCACAUUCCCUCGUGCGUAGUGCCGAGGAAGUGCUGAAGAGUCCGCCAUCCUUCGGGACUAAACUCCCACAUACAGAGAGGCCGCCGCUGACAUGGCAGAGUCCGGCAGACUAGCAUUACUUGAAUGACGUUCACAAGACCGAUGCCCUUCUUGGUAAGGCUUCAGACGCGACCUUGCAGGGUCUGCACUUCAUUGACGGAUCCCCAGUCCAGUCCCUUAUUGAUCCAUGAAGCAAGCUGAAUUGGAGGGCCGGGUCGGAACGCAGGCGCAGCCGCCCACUUGGAGCCCCGUGGCUCGUUGAUAUAAAACCACCCCUGCUGCCAUAGGUCGGAAGACUUGGCGAAAGAUCCUUCAAACCAAACCGCGCUGGCAAGCUUGCUUAUUGUGACGCUGCCACACUCUGCCUGCUCCUCCUCUGUCACCUGCGGCCUCACGUCAAAGGUCUCGAGCCACAAACCAAAGUGCGGAGGAGUCCGGAGAAAGGCUUCACAUGUGACGAUAAAUGUCGAGAUGAGGAGAAUAGAGUCCGGGACCAGAUCGUGAAAGUCUAGCCCAUAGUAAAAAAUGAGCCCCCGAAUGAAGGGGUUAAGCGCGAACCCUAACCCAUGGAGGAACUGGGACACAAACACUACCCUCUCGCUGGAUUUUGGGGUAGGAACGACCUGCCUCUGUGCGGGAAGCCGAUGAAGGAUCUCCGGGGUCAGAUACCUCGCUGCGCGGAGCUUCGCAAUAUCCUCCUCUGUGAUAGAAGAAGCCACCCACCGGCCUGGAUGGCUGGAUCCGGACAUGAUUGGGGCUGGUGGCAAUUGGAAUCCGAGGGUUGGAACUUGGGGUGGCUAGGGUUGAGGAAGAAGCGAGCGCAAAGAAAGAAGACGAGUCUGGGACCCUAUAUAAAGACCCCAAGUACUAAGCGUAUCCACCCGGGUCUCGAAACUUACCAAUCUCCAGAGAGACGUACCCGGGGGACGGUUGGGUUACCCACGCCUGCAUUAAUGAAAAUCCCGUGAAUAAGGGAACACGAUCUCUGCCUUGGCUAGACAAGCCAGUAAAACCGCGUCCCGAGACGUGAGGCGACGCGCCAGCCAACGGUUGGAAAUAGUGACCGGGCAGGCGUGAUGUCAUAAACAGUUACCAAUAAAUUAGGCUCGUAUAUUUUCUGCAACUAUAUAUACAGGUCCGGAUAUAUCUACUACAUCCGAAGACUAUCUUCGAGUUCAGAGAAAGGGGAACCCGCCUUGCAAUGCCGAAGACAAUCUGCGCGCCAGACUCCUCGUCAUUGAAGCCAGGUUCAGGGGCUACUGAGGGAGUCUUGGACUAAGGGGUCCUCGGGUGUCCGGCCUGUUAUCCAUGGGCCGGACUGAUGGGCUGUGAAGACAUGAAGACCGAAGACCAUACUCGUGUCCGGAUUGGACUCUCCUUGGCGUGGAAGGCAAGCUAGGCGACCAGCUGUGAAGAUUCCUUCUUAUGUAACCGACUCCAUGUAACUCUAGAUCUCUCUUGUGUCUAUAUAAACCGGAGAGCAUAGUCCGGAUAGGACACAUUCAUUACCAUAUACUGACAUAGGCUAGACUUUUAGGGUUUAGCCAUUAUGAUCUCGUGGUAGAUCAACUCUUGUAAACACUCAUAUUCAUCAAGAUCAAUCAAGCAGGAAGUAGGGUAUUACCUCCAUAGAGAGGGCCCGAACCUGGGUAAACAUCGUGUCCCCGUCUCCUGUUACCAUCGAUCCUAGACGCACAGUUUGGGACCCCCUACCCGAGAUCUGCCGGUUUUGACAUCGACAACCGUCGAAUCAAAGUAUGACAUGCUGGUAAGCAGUAUGACUAUUAUCGCCCACAACUCUUUGUGUUCUACUCGUGCAUACAACAUCUACGCAUAGACCUGGCUCGGAUGCCACUGUUGGGGAACGUAGUAUUUCAAAAAUUAUCCUAAGAUCACGCAAGAUAUAUCUAGGAGAAGCAUAGCAACAAGCGGGGAGAGUGUGUCCACGUACCCUCGUAGACCGAAAGCGGAAGCGUUUAGUAACGCGGUUGAUGUAGUCGAACGUCUUCUCGAUCCAACCGAUCCAAGUACCGAACGCACGACACCUCCGCGAUCUGCACACGUUCAGCUCGGUCACGUCCCUCGAACUCUAGAUCUAGCUGAGGUCGAGGGAGAGUUCCGUCAGCAUGACGGUGUGGUGACGGUGAUGAUGAAGUUACCGGUGCAGGGCUUCACCUAAGCACUACGACGAUAUGACCGAGGUGGAAAACUGUGGAGGGGGGCACUGCACACAGCUAAAGAUCAACUUGUGUGCCUUUGGGGUGCCCCUCUCCCAUGUAUAUAAAGGAGGGGGGAAUAGGAGGCCGGCCCUAAAGGGGACGUGCCAAAAGGGGGAGUCCUACUUGGACUCCCGAUCCAAGUAGGAUUCGGCCCCCCCUUUCCUAUUCCAACUAGGAGAAGGAAGGGAAGGUGGAAGAGGGGAGAAGGAAGGAGGGGGGGCGCCGCCCCCUCCUAGUCCAAUUCAGACCAGCCCUUGGGGGGGGGCGCGGCCACCCCUUGAGGCCCUUCUCUCCUUUCCCGUAUGGCCCAUUAAGGCCCACUACUUCCCCCGGCAAAUUCCCGUAACUCUGUGGUACUCCGAAAAAUACCCGAAUCACUCGGAACCUUUCCGAUGUCCGAAUAUAGCCUUCCAAUAUAUCGAUCUUUACCUCUCAACCAUUUCGAGACUCCUCGUCAUGUCCUUGAUCUCAUCCGGGACUCCGAACAAACUUCGUUCAUCAAAUCACAUAACUCAUAAUACAAAUCGUCAUCGAACGUUAAGCGUGCGGACCCUACAGGUUCGAGAACUAUGUAGACAUGACCGAAACACAUCUCCGGUCAAUAACCAAUAGCGGAAUAUGGAUGCUCAUAUUGGCUCCUACAUAUUCUACGAAGGUCUUUAUCGGUCAAACCGCAUAACAACAUAUGUUGUUCCCUUUGUCCUCGGUAUGUUACUUGCCCGAGAUUCGAUCGUCGGUAUCAUCAUACCUAGUUCAAUCUCGUUACCGGCAAGUCUCUUUACUCAUUUCGUAAUGCAUCAUCCCGCAACUAACUCAUUAGUCACAUUGCUUGCAAGGCUUAUAGUGAUGUGCAUUACUGAAAGGGCCCAGAGAUACCUCUCUGAUACACGGAGUGACAAAUCCUAAUCUCGAUCUAUGCCAACCCAACAAAAACCUUCGGAGACACCUGUAGAGCAUCUUUAUAAUCACCCAGUUACGUUGUGACGUUUGAUAGCACACAAGGUGUUCCUCCGGUAUUCAGGAGUUGCAUAAUCUCAUAUUCAGGAGUUUGAUGUUAAGAUUGUUGUACUUAUCAUGCCUUUCCACUACUUAUGCAGGACAACAACGGGAGUGGCCACCAUUUUCCGCCGAGGAUAGCUUCAUCCCUCGGCUUGUACUCUCCCCGUCGUUCCAUAAUGUAGUGCAUAUAGAUCCAGGCCUGGACACUAGUUAGCUUCUAAUAUUGACUUGUUUCUUGUAGGUACAUAUGCCCUUGGCAAGGAUCCAUGCAUCGACCUUUUUGCGUAUGGGGCACUGAGAUAUUGAUGAACAAGCAUCAAGUGAGGAAACUGAUAAGGAUUAUUAGCAAAAAGAUACGAAUGGUGGCAAGCAAAUUAUUUGUUUAUGCUCUAUCCAACGCAACAGUGAGCUCUAGCAUGGUAAAUACAAACUCUGCAGCCUUCUCUUUUUACUGCCCAUAAUGAGUUGUUAGACAACAAUGUCUGAAUCUUUUUCGUUCCUAGUGGUUCCCGAAGCAGUUCACUCAAGAUUACCUCGCAAAGUACAUGAUUGGUGGACACGCAAUGAAGGUUAAAGUAUUUCAUCCAGACUACAAUGAGCAUCGAGAAGUCCUAAUGAAGACAGUGAAGGAUGGACGGGCAGCCAUCAUAAGGGGUUGGCCUAGAGUCCUGCGCGCCUUACGCAUGGAGGAGGGCACAAUAUGGGCAUUCCGCUUCACCUUCUCCAGCAACCAGAAUGUCUUUCGCCUCUCUCUUUACAGUCUUUAGUACAACUAUGGUUCAUCAUUCUUUACUUGGUGCUUUUGUAGUUCUUUAGUAUAAGUACCUGUGCAUUGAAUUGUGGAUUCGUGGUUGAACCUAUAUUUGUGAUAAACAUGGUUGGAUAUGAAAUAAGUGAUUGCCUACUUUCAAAUUCAUAACAUGUGAUUUUUAAAUUAGGGAUUAAUUGGAUUAAUUAUGGAUUAAAUAUGGAUUACACUACACACGGUUUGCGAAAGCGAAACAUCUGCGAUAUACGUGGAGAUCAGGAACGUUUCUAGGAUCCACUACGUGUGCGAUCAAUCUCCACUGCACACACGACUUUCUCUUGAAAGCUGUUUGCGUUAGGCCACCUUGCGAAAACGUUUAUCACACAAAAGGUGUAUGUGAUGGACAGCCUUUGCCACACAGUUUCUUUCUACGCACCGUGUGUGAUGCAUUCAAUAACGCAAACGAUAAAAUUAUUAAUAUCGUGUGCAAUGGCAACGCUAUCACAAACGAUUUAACGGGAAAAAUUGUGUGUGAUGUACCUGUGAACGGAAACAUUUUCCUUGGAGCGACUGUCUGGGAUGUGCAUAUGAACGGAAACAUUUAGCGGGGACUGACUGUGGUGGAUGUACUUGCGACCGGAAACAAUUUCGCCGUAUAAUUUUAUUUUUUAUCUAUACUAUAUGUAUUUCCGUAUUUGAGCGCUCGCCGGUCGCACACGACCUCAUUUUGCCGAACGUGUGUGCCAGGAGGGCAUAUCCCCGACGGUUCCUGGGUCGUGUGGGAAGGACCCCCCUAUCACCCACACUCACUUGGAGACGGUUCCAGAUGCCGUCGUGGAAAGGGGUUUUAAACCAUUUGUUUAGGACCGACGCGCACCAGUGACAAUAGCAAUAAAACUCAACGAUCAUAAUGCUAAGCUAACGGAUGGGUCCUGUCCAUCACAUCAUUCUCUAAUGAUGUGAUCCUGUUGAUCAAAUGACAACACAUGUCUAUGGUCAGGAAACAUAACCAUCUUUGAUCAACGAGCUAGUCAAGUAGAGGCAUACUAGGGACACUCUGUUUUGUCUAUGUAUUCACACAUGUACUAAGUUUCCCGUUAAUACAAUUCUAGCAUGAAUAAUAAACAUUUAUCAUGAUAUAAGGAAAUAUAAAUAACAACUUUAUCAUUGCCUCUAGGGCAUAUUUCCUUCAGUCUCCCACUUGCACUAGAGCCAAUAAUCUAGUUCACAUCGCCAUGUGAUUUAACACCCAUAGUUCACAUCACCAUGUGAUUAGUUCACAUCGCCAUGUGACUAAUACCCAAAGGGUUUUACUAGAGUCAUUAAUCUAGUUCACAUCGCCAUGUGAUUAACACCCAAAAGUACUAAGGUGUGAUCAUGUUUUGCUUGUGAGAGAGGUUUAGUCAAUGGGAUAUACACCCAAAGAAGACAUGAUUACUUUGUUAGUAUGCUUGAAGUAUUAUUAUUUUUAUGUUAAUAUUAAACUUUUGUCUUGAAUCUUUCAGAUCUGAACAUUCAUGCCACAAUAAAGAAAAUUACAUUGAUAAUUAUGUUAGGUAGCAUUCCACAUCAAAAAUUCUGUUUUUAUCAUUUACCUACUCGAGGACGGGCAGGAAUUAAGAUUGGGGAUGCUUGAUAUGUCUCCAACGUAUCUAUAAUUUUUUAUUGUUCCAUGCUAUUAUAUUAUCUGUUUUGGAUGUUUAAUGGGCUUUAAUACGCACUAUUAUACUAUUUUUGGGACUAACCUAUUAACCGGAGGCCCAAUGCCAGUUUCUGUUUCUUUUGCCUAUUUUAGAGUUCGCAGAAAAGGAAUACCAAAUGGAGUCCAAACGGAAUGAAACCUUAGCGAUGAUCUUUCUCGGACACAAAGCAAUCCAGAAGACUUGGAGUCGAAGUCUGGAACUCCACGAGGAAGCCACGAGGCAGGAGGGCGCGCCCCGACCCUCGUGGGCCCCUCGUAGCUCCACUGGCGUACUUCUUUCGCCUAUAUAUACUCUUAUACCCUAGAUCGAUCAGAGAGAGCCACGAAACCACUUUUCCACCGCCGCAACCUUCUGUGCCCAUGAGAUCCCAUCUUGGGGCCUUUUCUGGUGAUCUGCCGGAGGGGGAACCGAUCACGGAGGGCUUCUACAUUAACACCAUUGCCUCUCCGAUGAAGCGUGAGUAGUUUACCACAUACCUUCGGGUCCAUAGUUAUUAGCUAGAUAGCUUCUUCUCUCUCUUUGAUUCUCAAUACAAAGUUCUCCUCGAUGUUCUUGGAGAUCUAUUCGAUGUAAUACUCUUUUGCGGUGUGUUUGCCGAGAUCUGAUGAAUUGUGGAUUUAUGAACAAGAUUAUCUAUGAAUAUUAGUUGGUUCUUCUCUGAAUUCUUAUAUGCAUGAUUUGAUAUCUUUGCAAGUCUCUUCGAAUUAUCGGUUUAGUUUGGCCUACUAGAUUGAUCUUUCUUGCAAUGGGAGAAGUGCUUAGCUUUGGGUUCAAUCUUGUGGUGUCCUUUCCCAGUGACAGUAGGGGCAGCAAGGCACGUAUUGUAUUGUUGCCAUCGAGGAUAAAAAGAUGGGGUUUAUAUCAUAUUGCUUGAGUUUAUCCCUCUACAUCAUGUCAUCUUGCUUAAUGCGUUACUCUGUUCUUAUGAACUUAAUACUCUAGAUGCAUGCUGGAUAGCGGUCGAUGUGUGGAGUAAUAGUAGAUGCAGAAUCGUUUCCGUCUACUUGACACGGACGUGAUGCCUAUAUUCAUGAUCAUUGCCUUAGAUAUCUUCAUAACUAUGCGCUUGUCUAUCAAUUGCUCGGCAGUAAUUUGUUCACCCAACGUAAUACAUGCUAUCUUGAGAGAAGCCACUAGUGAAACCUAUGGCCCCCGGGUCUCUUUCUUAUUAUAUUGUAUCUCUUUUAUUUACAUCGCAUCUCGUUUACUAUUUUGCAAUCUUUACUUUCCAUUCUAUACAACAAAAAUACCAAAAGUAUUUACUUUACUAUCUUUAUUAGAUCACACUUUUGCGAGUGACCGUGAUGGGAUUGACAACCCCUUUAUCGCGUUGGUUGCAAGGUUCUUGAUAGUUUGUGCAGGUACUAGGUGACUUGUGUGUUGUCUCCUACUGGAUUGAUACCUUGGUUCUCAAAACUGAGGGAAAUACUUACGCUACUUUGCUGCAUCACCCUUUCCUGUUGAAGGGAAAACCAACGCAUGCUCAAGAGGUAGCACACCAUUGAGCCUUAGGGUUCUGACACCAUCGACAACGUCGAGACCAAGACUCAGGGGCACCUGUGUGGUGGCAUGCAGAUAUUUGUGAGGAAUAAAGGCCUGCGUAUCUGGAGAGAAACCAGAAGGUGAAGACCCCCGGCAAGAGCCUUGUCGGGGACAGGCAGAGACACCCGGCAAGAGCCUUGCCGGGGACAGAUGAAGACCCCCGGCAAGAUCCUUGCCGGGGACGCCCGCGAGACCCCGGCAAGACCCUUGCCGGGGGCUUCUGCGGGGCCGAGGCCAGGCCCGCACACACCAACGUUCCACUGCCCCGCGCCCGUGCCGACGCGGCAAUCAGCCCGCCAACUAGGCCAGCGCCUGCGUGGCAGCAUGCAACUUCUAGGCCAACUAGCCAAGCACCUGCGUGGUGGCAUGCAGAUCUUCGUGAAAACCCUAUCACCGCACCAACUCAGCAGCCAGCCAGCCAGCAUGGCGCUGCAUGCCUCGUCACCUUGGACGCGCGUCGAAGCAAGGCGAGGCGGCGAUGGACGGGACAAGCUUCUUUGCCGUCCCCGAUAAAGCAAGAGGGCAUGUCGGCAGCGCAUUAAAUGCGUUUGUCCUACGGUCCCAGGCGAUAGAUUUGUACACUGUACAUACUUUCCACCUCCUGUGUGCCACUAUGGCGACCCCUUUGACAUAUAAAAGGAGGCCCAAGGCGUACUGAGGAAGCAUUCAGACCUUUUGGACUAGGCAGGCACCGUAGCUAGUUCAAGAGAUCAAGAACACCAAAUAUACAGAAAAGCAGGACUAAGGUAUUAUGCAUCAUUUGCGAAACCUGGGUAAAAAUCCCCUCAAGCUGAUCUUUUAGUCCCGCUCUUUGCACAGCUCCACGCCCCACCAACUGUAGAAGGGAUUCCCCGGGAUCCCAUAGGUGUCGUUUCCCCCGACAACUACCGUGGUGCUGUUUUUUGUGCAGAAAUAGAAGUUCUCCAAAUGAGCUAUAACUUUUUGACGAUUUUUUCGAACAAAAGAGGCACUAGAAGCUUCGAGGGGGUAGAAGGUUAAGGAGGUGGCCACCCUCCACCAGGGUGCGCCAGGGGCCUUGCCCAUGCGCUGGUGGAGGGUGGGCCCCUCGAAGCACAUCUUCGCAUGAAACCGACGCCAAAAAAUCCUAUAAAUGCAGAAGCCCCCAGAAAUAACCCUAGAUCAGAAGUUCCGCCGCCCAAGCCUCUGUAGCCAUGAAAAACCAAUUUAGACCCUGUUCUGGCACCCUAUUGGAGGGGGAAAUCAUCACCAGUGGCCAUCUUCAUCAUCCCAUCGGCCACCAUGAUGAGGAGGGAAUAGUCCACCCUUGGGGCUGAGGGUUUGUACCAGUAGCUAUGUGUUUAAUAUCCCUCUCUCUCUCUCUCUCUCGUGUUCUUGAGUUGGCACGAUCUUGAUGUAUCACGAGCUUUGUUAAUAUAGUUGGAUCAUAUGGUGUUUUGCCCUCUCUAUCUUGUUGUGAUGAAUUGAGUUUUCCCUUUGAGAUUUCACUUUUAUCGGAUUGGAUAUAUACUUCAUUGGAUUUGAGAGCACUCGAUCUAUGUCUUGGCACUCAAAUCACAGAUUCCCGAGGUGACAUUGUGGUAAUCUAUGCAUAGGGGUUGAUGCACGUUUUCAUCCUUGUUUCUCCGGUAGAAAUCUUGGGGCACUCUUUAAGGUUCUUUGUGUUGGGUUGAGUAUUAUGAAUCUAUAAUUGUUUGAUGCAUAUCUUAUAAUCAAUUCACGGAUACUCGUGGUGACAUUGGAGUAUCUAGGUGACAUUAGAGUUGGUUGAUGUGUAUCAUAUGGUUUUAUUUUAGUACGAACUCUUAGAUAGAUCGAUCGGAAAGGAUAACUUGGUGUUAUUUUAGUAGGAACUCUUGGAUAGAUCGAUCGGAAAGGAUAAUUUUGAGGUGGUUUCAUACCCUACAAACAAUUUCUUCUUAUGUUCUCCGCUAGAUAAGAGCUAUGGAGUGAUUCUUCAUCACACAUUGAGGGAUGGUUAUAUGACCCAAUUAUGUUAGCAUUGUUGAGAGAUUGCACUAGCGAAAGUACGGAUCCUAGGCCUCAUUUUUAAGCAUUGAAAUACCAUUUGUGCUCACUUUUGUUACUUGCUACCUUGCUGUUUUUUAUCGUUCCCAUUACAAAAUUAAGAUCUACUAUCAUUACUAGACUUGUAUUACCAUCUCUUCGCCGAACUAGUGCACCUAUACAAAUUACCAUUGUAUUUGGUGUGUUGGGAACACAAGAGACUCUUUGUUAUAUGGUUGCAGGGUUGUUUGACAGAGACCAUCUUCAUCCUAUGCCUCCCACGGAUUGAUAAACCUUAGGCCAUCCACUUGAGGGAAAAUUGCUACUGUCCUACAAAACACUGUGCUUGGAGGCCCAACACGAGUCUACAAGAACAAGUUGUGUAGUAGACAUCAAGCUCUUUUCUAGCGCCGUUGCCGGGGAGGUGAGUGCUUGAAGGUAUAUCUUUAGAUCAUGCAAUUGAAUCUUUUAGUUUUUUGUUUUAUCACUAGUUUGGUUCGUAAAAGUAAAGUACAAAAAAAUGGAAUUGAGGUGGCCUCAUAUUAUUCGUCUUUAUCAUGUCUUUCUUGAAAAUUAUGGAAAGGAAAAUUGUGUUCAAUUUAUAGAAGAAGAGUUCAAUAAAAUGUUUGGCAUUAAAUGUUUGAACGAUGAGCAUGAUUGCAAUGUUGUUGGUAUGAAUUCUUUUAAUAUCCAUGAUGCUAAUGAUAUGCAAAGCCUAAGCUUGGGGAUGCUAUGUUUGAUGAAGAUGAUAUUUUUAGUCCCCCAAGUUUUCAUGAGAAAAAUUAUUACGAUGAUAGCAUGCCUCCUAUUUAUGAUGAUUAUAUUGAUGAAAGUGGGUUUGGAAGAGUGUCAACUCUAGGAAGAAAUGAUCCCACUAUUUUGGAGGGUGUUGAAUCUUAUUGUAAUAAUUAUGAAAGUGGAUUUGGAGAGUUUGUGACUUUAUUUAAUGAUGAUUCCACUAUUUUGAAAGAGGUUUCAAUUGAUUAUGAAAACAAAGUUCCUAUCUAUGAUGAUUAUUGUGAUGUCAUGUGUGCUAUAGAGAGUGAUGAUAACCAUGAAACUUGUCAUCAUGAUUUUAAUGUUCAGUUUGAUUAUGUCAACCAAGUAUAUCAUGAUAGUUAUUUUAUUGAGUUUGCUCUCACCACUAUGAAUGAGAAUAAAUUUGCUUAUAUGGAGAGUAAUAAAAAAAUUAUCCAUGUGGAUCACGAAAAUAAUGCUUUAUGUGAUAGUUAUAUUGUCGAAUUCAUUCAUGAUGCUACUGCAAAUUAUUAUGAGAGACGAACAUAUACGUUUACAUAUCUCAAUAACAUCAAGUUUCCUCUCUAUGUGUUGAAAAUCUUGAAGUUUUGCUUGUUUUACCUUCCUAUGCUAGUUGAUUCUUGUUCCCAUAAGUUGUUUUCUCACAAAAUCCCUAUGCAUAGGAAGUGUGUUGGGAUUAAAUGUGUUAGUCAUAUGCUUCAUGAUGCUCUCCUUAUAUUUCAAUUCUUAUCUUUUAUGUGAGCAUGAUUGAAAUCAUCAUGCCUAGCUUAAAAGGCAUUAAAGAAAAGCGCUUGUUGGGAGGCAACCCAACAUUUACCCCUACUGUUUUUGUGUGUUAACAUGAUUAAGCUACUGUAGUAAUCAUGUUUUAGCGUUUGUUUCAAUAAAGUACCAAGUAAAGCCUUUGGGAUAGUGUGGAUGAUAGUUGACUUGAUUCUGUGUAAAAAUAGAAACUUGUGUGCCCAGUAACAGAAUUGUUAAAAAUCACUGGCGCGUCAAAAACUUCUGAAUAUUUUACAGUUGAUGGGUAUACAAAUUUUCUAAGUUGUCCUAAUUUUUCAGCAUGUUUGGAGUUACAUAAGUAUGACCAUAAUUCAGAUCUUUCCGCUGUUCUUGUUUUGACAGAUUCUGUUUACAAUGCAUAGUUUGCUUGUUUUAUGGUUUCUAUGGCUUAUAUUGCUUAAUAUAAAUUGGGGAAAUUAUAUAGUAUGGUAGGAAUUAUGUGGAAACAAUUAUGAAUCUUAUAUUGACAGUACCAAAGUGAAUUAUUUUUCUUUAUCAUACUAACCCAUCUCACGAAGUUCCGUUAAGUUUUGUGUGAUUGAAGUUUUCAAGUUUUGGGUGAGAUAUCGAUAUGAGGAGAAUAAGGAGUAAAAAAUACCCUAAUAUUUGGGAUGCCCAAGGCACCCCAAGAUAAUAGUCAAGGAAGAUCCAAGCAACUAAUCUUGGGGAUGCCCCGGAAGGCAUCCCCUCUUUCGCUCCAACAUUAUCGGUAACAUUACUUGGGGCUAUAUUUUUAUUCGUCACAAGAUAUGUGUUUUGCUUGCAGCAUAAUUUUAUUUUAUUAGUAUUUUCUUGCUGUUAUUUAGAAUAAUGUUUUUUUAUCUUUUAAUUCAAUAAAAGUGUCAAGUAUAGCUUUUGCUAUGCUUAUUUUGCAAGUCUAUAUGUGGCUGUUUGAAAAUAGAAAGUUGCACGCUAGUGCGUGAAUUCUUGGGAAAAUUCAGAAUAUGAUAAAAUGUUGAAACUUUUUGCACAAUAAGAUAUGAUAAAUUUUCUAUAGUGUGGUAAAUUUUCAGAAUUUUGGGAGUUAGGGAAGUGUGAGUAUAAUUGCACUCUUUACAGACUGUCCUGUUUAGACAGAUUGCUCUUAUGUUUGCAUUGUUUGCAUAUGUUUGCUUGCUUAAUGAUUCUAUUUGAGGAUAGGAGUAUUAAAUAUGCAGAGGCAUUUAGUAUGAAAUGUUAAAUAAUAAUUUUAGUGAUUUGAUACAGUAGAGAAUGAUAAGGUUAUGCAUUGAUUUAUACUAACUUAUCUAACGAGUUCUUGUUGAGUUUUGUGUGGAUGAAGUUUGUUGAGAUUUAGGGAAACCGUGAUAUAAAAGGAAUUAAGGAGACACAAAAUCUCAAGCUUGGGGAUUCCCAAGGCAUCCCAAGAUAAUAUUUCAAGAAUUUUGAAGCAUCUAAGCUUGGGGAUGCCCUGGUAGGCAUCCCACCUUUCUUCAUCAACAAUUAUUGGUUAGCCUCGGUUGAGCCUACAUUUUUGCUGCUUCACAUGAGUUGUGCUAUUCUUGGAAUGUCAUUUAAUUUUAAUUUUGCUUGAUGUUUUAAUAAAAUACUUCAAGCUGAAAGUCUUUAAAUGAGAGAGAGUCCUCAAAUGGCUACCCAUUUACUUAACUACUCGUUUGAUCUUCACUUAUAUAUUUUUGGAGUAGUUUUGUCAUUUACUCUCGUGCUUCACUUAUAUCCUAAGUUGAAUGAAUUGAAUAUGGUAAAUUUGAAAUUAUAUGUGCUUCAUAUGCUUAUAUCAUACCUAGUAGUAGCUUCACAUCGGAUUUAGAAAGUGAAAUCUUUUGAAGCUUGACAAUCACAAUAUUGGUCAUACAAGCAAUUCAUGAAUGAUUAGUAUAAGGAAGAGAACUUUCACAUACAAAUACAUUAUCUUGGAUAUCUUCUAUGAUUGUGAAUACCCAUUAAUUAUUUUCAAACUUGAGCAAAUUAGUUGAAGUUGCACCAUGAAGACAACGUAAUGAGUUAUGGUUGUGUAUAUUUGCAUAGAAGUUAUAUUGUUAUGGAUCCUCCAACAUGUGGUGUUUCCUUAGGAUAUUUUGCCAGCCAAAAAUUCAUACUAAGUAGAGACACUACUUGUGCAUCAAAAAACCCUUAACCCAGUUUCUUACCAUGAGUGUCCACCAUACCUACCUAUGGAUUGAAUAAGAUCCUUCAAGUAAGUUGUCAUUGGUGCAUAAAGCAAUAAAAAUUGCUCCUAAAUAUGUUUGAUCUUUUAUUCUAAGGGAAAAUAAGCGUUGUACAAACUUGUGAUGGCAAAGUAAUAAAAGCGGCGGACUGCAUAAUAAAGGUUGCUAUCAUAAGGGGCAAUAUAAUGUGACGUUUCUUUGCACUAAGAGCUUGGGCAUCCAAAAAGAAAAAACGCAUGACAACCUCUGCUUCCCUCUGCGAAGGGCCUAUCUUUUACUUUUCAGUAUUUACUUUAUGCAAGAGUCAAUAGUAUACAUCCUCAUUCAACCUCAAUUAUUCUCUAGUUGGCAAUCAUCAUGUGGUGCAGAAAGAUCUAGGCACAUAUGGCCAGUCGAAUAUAUUUGAUCAUGAUUUAUUAUUGUUGACAAUUAUCUCUAUGAUAAAUGAGUUGGGAGGCGAAACACUAAGCCCCUAUCUUUCUUUGUGUUCGAUGGAUGCCAUUUGUUCAAAAAAUAUGCUUUGAGUACUAGCAAUUAGAGAAGACUAUAUGAUGAUUGAGUAUGUGGAGAUCUUACUUAGACUUUGUUGAGAAUAAGUUGAAUUGCAAUUGUUUGGUGACUAAGAACAUAGGUUGUUAAGUUUCAAGAUAAUUCAUUGUUUGAACCAUAACAUGUGAAUUGGUUGCUACUUUAACAUGAGAAGUUUUAUGAGAAAGAGUUGUUGUUAUGAUGCUAGGAAAAGUGAUUGAAAUUAUCAUUGAUCAAACUUAUGCACUAUGCUAGCAUUCACGCUUCAUAAAUUAUUUCUUUUAUCAUUUACCUACUCGAGGACGAGUAGGAAUUAAGCUUAGGGAUGCUGAUAUGUCUCCAACGUAUCUAUAAUUUAUGAAGUAUUCAUGCCAUGUUUACAGCAAUUUUAUAUGGUUUUGGUAUGAUUUGAAUGGAACUAACCCGCACUGAUGUUGUUUUCAGCAGAACUACUGUCGUGUCGUUUUUUGUGCAGAAAUGAAAGUUCUCCAAAUGAGCUGGAAUUUUAACGAUUUUUUUGGAACAAAAAAGGCACUAGAAGCUUCAGGGGGGCGGAAGGUGAAGGAGGUGGCCACCCUCCACCAGGGCGUGCCAGGGGCCUUUCCUGUGUGCUGGUGGAGGGUGGGCCCCUUGAAGCCCAUCUACGCAUGAAACUGAUGCCAAAAAAUCCUAUAAAUAUAGAAACCCCCAGAAAUAACCCUCAAUCAGAAGUUCCGCCGCCACAAGCCUCUAUAGCCACGAAAAACCAAUCUAGACCCUGUUCUGACACCCUACCAGAGAGGAAAAUCAUCAUCGGUGGCCAUCUUCAUCAUCCCGGCGCCCACCAUGAUGAGGAGGGAAUAGUCCACCCUCGGGGCCGAGGUUUUGUACCGGUAGCUAUGUGUUUAAUCUCUCUGUCUGUCUUGUGUUCUUGAGUUGGCAUGAUCUUGAUGUAUCACGAGCUUUGUUAAUAUAGUAGGAUCAUAUGGUGUUUUCCCCUCUCUAUCUUAUUGUGAUGAAUUGAGUUUUCCCUUUGAGAUUUCACUUUCAUCGGAUUGAAUACUUUGUUGGAUUCGAGAGUACUUGAUCUAUGUCUUGGCACUCAACUCGCGGAUUCCCAAGGUGACAUUGGGGUAAUCUAUGCAUAGGGGUCGAUGCACGUUUUCGUCCUUAUUUCUACGGUAGAAAUCUUGGGGCACUCUUUUGAGGUUCUUUGUGUUGGAUUGAGUAUUAUGAACAUGAAAUUGUUUGAUGCAUAUCGUAUAAUCAAUUCAUGGAUACUCGUGGUAACAUUGGAGUAUCUAGGUGACAUUAGAGUUGGUUGAUGUGUAUCAUAUGGUGUUAUUUUAGUACGAACUCUUAGAUAGAUCAAUCAGAAAGGAUAACUUGGUGUUAUUUUAGUACAAACUCUUGGAUAGAUCGAUCGAAAAGAAUAACUUGAGGUGGCUUCGUACCCUACAAACAAUUUCUUCUUAUGUUCUCCGCUAGAUAAGAACUUUGGAGUGAUUCUUCAUCGCACGUAGAGGGAUGGUUGUACAAUCCAAUUAUAUUAGCAUUGUUGAGAGAUUGCACUAGAGAAAGUACAGACCCUAAGCCUCAUUUUCAAGCAUUGCAAUAACGUUUGUUCUCACUUUUGUUACUUGCUAUCUUGUUGUUUUUUAUUGUUCCCAUUACAAAAUUAAGAUCUACUAUCAUUACUAGACUUGUAUUACCAUCUCUUCGCCGAACUAGUGCACCUAUACAAAUUACCAUUGUAUUUGGUGUGUUGGGGACACAAGAGACUCUUUGUUAUUUGGUUGCAGGGUUUUUGAGAGACACCAUCUUCAUCCUACGCCUCCCAUGGAUUGGUAAACCUUAGGUCAUUCGCUUGAAGGAAAAUUGCUACUGUCCUACAAAACACUGCGCUUGCAGGCCCAACACGAGUCUACAAGAACAAGUUGUGUAGUGGACACCGGAUAGCGACGAGCUCACCGGCGCGCUCAGGGGGAGGGGGCACCCCCUGAUCUCACAGGUCCCACACAGCUCCAUUUGACUUAAUUCCAAGUGUAUAAAUUCCCAAAUAUUCCCAAACCAACACGGAGCCACCCGAAACACUUUUUCCACCGCCGCAAGCUUCUAUUCUUCCGCGAUCUCAUCUGGAGGCCUUUUCCAGUACUCUGUCGGAGAAGGAAUUGAUCAUGAAGGAAUUCCACAUCAUCCUUGCUGCACCUCCAAUGAUGUGUGAGUAGUUUACCACAGACCUAUGGGUCCAUAGCUAGUAGCUAGAUGGCUUCUUCUUUCUCUCUGAUCUUCAAUACAAAGUUCUCCAUGAUCUCCAUGGAGUUCUAUCUAAUGUAAUCUUCUUUUGAAGUGUGUUUGUUGGAAUCCGAUGAAUUGUUGGUUUAUGAUUAAAUUAUUCAUUGACAGUAAUUGACUCUUUUCUGAACUUUGUUAUGCAUGAAUGUUAUAGCUUUGUAUUUCCCUCCGAUCUAUCCGUUUGGUUUGGCCAACUAGAUUGAUUUAUCUUCAGUGGGAGAGGUGCUUUGUGAUGGGUUCAAUCUUGCAGUGUUCUCACCUAGUGACAGAAAGGGUAGAGGGGCAUAUAUUUUUAUUGAUGCCAUUAAGGGUAAAAUGAUGAGGUUUAAUCAUAUUGCUUGGUUUUAUUCUGUCUACAUCAUGUCAUCAUACCUCAUGCAUUACUCUGUUUGUCAUGAACUUAAUGCAUAGAGAGGUAAGCAUAGAAGCGCUCUCGAAGUGGAGUAAUAGUAGUAGAUGCAGAAUUAUUUCGGUCUAAUUGUCACGGACGUGAUGCCUAUAUACAUGAUCAUUGCCAUGAAUAACAUGAUAACUAUGCGCUUUUCUAUCAGUUGUCCAACAGUAAUUUGUCUACCCAUCGUAUGCCUCUAGAGAAAACUAUUGCCCCCGGGUCUAUAUUUAUCAUAUUACUAAAGCCAAAAAUACCUUGCUGCAAUUUACUUACUUUUCUUUUGUUUUGCAAUUUAUCUAUCUACAACUACCGGAUUCGAUUCUUGCAACUAACGAAUUCAACGGGAUUGACAACCCUCUUGCCCGUGUUGGGUGCAAGUAUUUGUUCUUGUGUGUGCAGGUAUUGUUCACUAGGAUUUGGUGGUUCUCCUAUUGGUUCAAUAACCUUGGUUCUCACUGAGAGAAAUACUUAUCGUCUACUAUAUUGCUUCACCAUUCCUCUUCGGAAAAAAUCCUAACACAGCUCACAAGUAGCACCUACCCGGUCAGAACAAAAAGAAGCACUAACAAGAUUUGAUGAUGACUUGAUGAAAGUAAGACCAACACUAAACGUAUAUUUCACAUAUCUUAGAAUACAUUUUGUAGCAGUCCAAUGAGCUGUAGUAGGUGCAUGAAGAAAUUGACAUAAUUUAUUAACAACAAAAGAAAUGUCAGGUUUGGUGAGAGUCAUGUACUAGAGUGCACCCACCAUACUACUGUAAUUUGUGCUAUCCUCUUGACUCAGGAGGGGUUCCUUCUACAAGAUACAAUUUUUCUAUACUGGAUAGUGUAUUUGGUGAUUGUUUUCACCCCUGUAUUCCAACACCGCUCAAAAUAUCAGUUACAUAUUUUUCUACGGAUGAAGGCCACCUUGUUUGUUCCUUUUUACUUCAAUGCCAAGAAAAUAGUGCAAAUCUCCUAAAUCUUUCAGAGAAAAUUCCGAGUUUAGAUCUCCCAAUAAAUCUGAUAUGGCAUCAUUUGAUCGAUGAUCUUGUAACAAUAAUAUCAUCAACAUAAAUGAGCACAAAUAUGGAUGUAUUUGACUUCUUAGAGAUAGACAAUUUGCGUACAAGCUAAGACUAGUAACUAAGACCUGGUCCAUAGGAUCGAAACAAAUGGAUGGAGGCAGCAGCGGAGCUGGGAGUCAGAAGCUAUGACGUCAAAGCUAAAAAUAUAUCGAGAAAUUAAAGGGGCUAAGCUGGCCUGCGCUCGUCGGAGUUUGUUCGAUACCUCCCCCAUCGCCUGCAAGAUGUUUGCAUAAGCCUCGCAUGAGAGGUAUCUAACAAACUCCGACGAGCGCAGGCCAACAACUGAACAAGCCGCAGCGACGUCAAACACACAAACUGGACCCAUAAACCAGCGACUAUUGCCCGGAGGAAACAAAGGAAAUCAAGGAAGAAGAGAAACCAAAAGGGAAAGAAACGACAAACGCGCCAGGACAAAAACCAGAUGGCUCGCAGUACGAAAGACCUCUUCAACGCUGGCUUCAUCCCCCUAGUUUUAGGAGGCUGCCCGAUUUAUUUUAGAUGGGGUGUUGGUCUUCCACGAAGUCCUGCACGAGGUCCGGGUGAAACACCAUCGCGCGGUCUUCCUGAAGCUCGACUUCCACAAAGCGUACGACAUGGUCCACUGGCCUUUCUUGUGUGAAGUGCUGCUCCGCAAGGGCUUUGACGACCGGUGGGUGACCAGAGUUAUGCAGCUCGUCUCCUGCGGUCGGACCACUGUGAACAUUAACGGUGAGAUCGGCCCCUACUUCCGCACCCUUUGUGGGGUCCGUCAGGGUGACCCGUUCUCGCCAUUCCUGUUGAACAUGGUGGUUGAUGCCCUUGCCAUCAUCCUUGAUAAGGCCAAAGUUGCUGGCCAUAUUCGCGGUAUCGUCCCCCAUCUGGUCGAAGGGGGAGGGGUCUCCCUCCUACAAUAUGCGGACGAUACCAUAAUAAUGGUGGAGGGCACAGUUCAGGACAUUGCCAACCUGAAGUUCCUCCUCCUGUGCUUCCAAUAGAUGUCGGGGCUCUCAACUUCAAUAAGAGCGAAGUGAUGAUUCUUGGGUACUCUAUGGCUGAAGCCCAGGCUAUAGCGGACCGACUGAACUGUCGGUUGGGUUCUUUCCCCACGACCUACCUGGGGAUCCCCAUUAGUGACUCGUGCCUCAUCGUGGCUGACCUUCGCCCCACGGUGACCCGGAUGCAACAUCGGGUUGAGCCCUGGAAAGGGCGCUGGCUGUCGAAGGCCGCUCGCGUGAUCCUCAUCAACUCCUCGCUUGCGGGCCUUCUUUGGUUCCUCAUGAGCUUCUAUAGCCUGCAUGAGAUGCUCCAUCAGGAAAUUGCGAAGUACCAAUCCAGAUUCUUCUGGGCUGGUGAGGGUGAUAAGCAGAAGUACCAUAUGGUGAGCUGGCCCGAUAUUUGCAAACCCAAGGACCAGGGCGGUCUUGGGAUUUUGUCCUCCCAGCGCAUGAACAGUGCCCUCCUGACCCGUUGGCUCUAGCGCAUUGCCAAUGGUGAUGGCGGCCUUUGGCUCACCAUCAUCCAGAACAAGUACCUUUGGGGCCAGCCACUCGCAUUCUGUCAGCGAUCUGGUGGUUCCCAGUUUUGGCAGGCCGUCAUCCAGCUGCUUCCUGUGCUCCUCAUCGGCACGUCCAUCUCAGUUGGCACUGGGUCCUCGACCCUAUUCUGGUUUGAUCGGUGGAUCAGCGACCUACCCCUGGCCGCGAGAUUUCCAGAGCUCUUUGCCAUUGCGGUGGACCCUCCGGUAUCUGUCUAGACGACCCUUAUUGACUUAGGGCGCCUCACCUUAUGUCGCCCCUUUGGCCCGCCUGAAAUGGCCGCAUGGGAUGCUCUCCUCCAGGACAUCGCCCUCCUCCCGAUGAACGUUGAGGACACCCAGGACGGCAUAUCUUGGCGACUGGAGCCCUCCGGUUGCUUUUCCACUAAAUCCCUUGUCGGGGUUUUGGUGCGACAUAUGCCAACGGGUGGCUUAUCAUGGUGGGGGAUAGUAAGACGUCGCCGGUGCCAGGAAGCGGGAUGAGGCAUAGACACGUGCGCCGGCGAACUUUACCCAGGUUUGGGGCUCUCCUAGGAGAUAACACCCCUAGUCCUGCUCUACGGGGUCUCCGCAUGCUCACUAUAUCAACGAGUAGCUACAAGAUGCUCCUUGAGCUGUUUGCUAGAGGAGGAAGAAGGGCUAGGAUAGCUUUCUCCUUUGUCUAUAUGCGUGGUUGUGUAAUCUAAGGGUCUGGACCCUUUGCAUGGGUGCCCUGGGGGUUUAUAUAGGCCUACCACCCCCAGGGGUACAAUGGUAAACUGGUCGGGUGUAGGCCCAGGCCGUCAGUGUCUCUUGUGGCCGGCUUCUCCGCUGGCUGUUGGGGCCCGCCCACUGGUGGGCCCCGCCGGCUGUCUCAUACUUGGCCGACAGGCCGCGCCCGCCGCUUGCGGGUCUUGCCGGCUGCUCGUCACUGUAGUCGUGCCUCUAAUGGCGCUUGCUUUGUCGGGGAAGGCGUGGCUACAGUCCCGCCGCCUGGCGGGCGUUCACUGUAGCCAUUCCCCAUCUCUUUUGGUUAAUGACACACAUACUCCUAGGAAGGGGGAGGGCCGCCUGCGGGGUGUCGGCCUCUCCCCCAAGACGACUGGCCAGGCUCGCCGCCUUCUAGCUUCUCACUGGUAGGUAGGGCCCGCCGCCUGCGGGCUGUACCGACAGCCCGUCGUGGGAGCAUGGUCCUUCUGACUUGGGUGAUGUCACGGGCAGAGGGGCCACAGCGCCGUGCCACGCAGGAGAUCUCCGGCUGGUACGGCGCACUGUGGCCACGACCCGUCCUGGAUUCGGGGUUGGCAGGCUUCGCUGUAGCCACGCCCUGUCUUAUCGCAUUCAUGAGGGUGCAAACUUUGAGGGCGCCUGGGGCCGCCUGCUUGGAACCAACCUCUCCGGAGGCCGCCUGCUAGGAGGCGGCAUGCUUCGUGGCCGUCUUCUGGGGCCCGCCGCCUUUCGGCAGCCGGCCGCUUGGACCAGCCGGCCUCAAGAAGGCAGCGGUCAUGCAUUGAGGUUUGAGGGGCGCAGUUGGCCCCGAUGUCUUGAAAUGUCAUGGGGGGGGCAGAUGAGGCUACCCAUGGCCAAUAACUCCGACAAUAGUCCCCGAAGCUGGUGGGUCGCCGCGACUGACAAGGCGGGGUGCCCCUGCAGCUUCCUACUCUGUGUAGUCUUGUUUGCUCGUCUUGUACGUCUUCUGGUAUGUCGACUGCUAGGAGUUGGACACGGCAGAUGGCCGCUUGAUGAAUUUUGAACCGCCAAGGUGGGAACCAUGUGGCGCGCUAGCUAGGCAUCUAGGCUUGCCGCCCGCCGCUCGCACGCCACGCGGCGUAAGCCAGCCAGGCCGGCCAGCCAGCCCAAGAGCAUGACGGGACAUGCUGCAGGUCGGGCCCGCCACUACCAGACCUCGGCGCGCGUGCGGAUCAGCUGCGGCCGAGGCGGGGCGGUUGGGAUCCCUCGCGCCAUUACCACGCAUCUUUACCAUGUGGUAAAUGCGGGGUCGUGGGGACGUGGGCGCAGUUAAUCCCACGUCCCCACGCCCCGCCCCCUCGGCUUCGCAGCCAAGGGCUAUAAAUCGGGGGAGGAGGGGAGCGGCAAAGGCACGCGCGUUCUCCUCUCCCUCGUCUCCUCUUGCUUCUUCCUUUCCUUCGCCGCCGCCACACUCGCGCUCCGUCAAAGUGCUGCCGCGGCUCGUCAUUGCCCUCGAGCUUCUUCUUCCUGAGCUCUCUCGCCGCUCCGCUGCGGGCUCGCACGCUCGUCACCGCCGUUCGUCUUCAUCGAGCUCGGGCCGUCAUGGAGCGCUCCGGCGACUGGGACGGCUCCAACGUCCAUGAAGACCAUUUCACAUUCCUCCGCGACAUGCGGCGGCUUCCUGGCGCGGGCUACAUCAAGAAGCGCGUGCCGCCCGCCGACGAGAUCUCGCCGGCGCCGGAGGAAGGUGAGCGUGUCAUCUUCCGCUCGCACUUCCUCCAUGGCUUCUGCCUACCGGUGAGUGGCUUCCUUAACUCGUUCCUGACCUUCUACCGACUCCAGCCGCACCACCUUACACCGAACACGGUGGUGCUGCUGUCGGCUUUCGUCACCCUUUGCGAGGGUUAUCUUGGCAUCCUCCCCACCCUCGAGCUCUGGGGGGCCUUCUUCUACACCAAGCUUGGUACCUCCGCGAAGGAGGAGGUGGCCCAAUGUGGGGCUUUCAUUGCCGUGCGGCGCCCGGGUGGUAGAAACGCCUUCCCAGCCAUCAAGCUGAUACAGUCGGUCAAGCUGUGGCAGAAGUCGUACUUCUACGUGAAGAACGUCAACCCGGAGAUCGACUUCAUCAACUUGCCGGCUUACAUGGCCGGUCCGCCUGCCGAGCCCCGCACAAAUUGGGUCUUCAAGCCGAAGCCGCUGUCGCCCGACGCCUCCGCCGCCAUCGCCCACCUCAAGGUGAUGAAGGAGUCAGAGGGCCUCAAGGCGUCUGACUUGCUAGUCGCCUUCGUGGUGCGCUGAGUCCUCUCGCUUCAAGGCCGGCCUCACGCCAUAAGCCAGAUGAGUGGGCAUCGCGACCCAUGCCCGAUGUGCACCAAGGAGAUGCCGACUGCAGAGGUGGCCUAUCUGGUGAAUGAGAUUGCCAACCUCAAGCUCGAGCCGGAGGAGUGGCGGUUCGGCAAGCGGUCGUACUCCCGCGCAGAUCCACCGCCUAUGGUAAGCUCUUGAUUCUUUUCUUUUCCUCUUGCCGGGUUCUCUCUUGCCGGGUUCUCUCUUGUCAGUUUCUCUAUUGCCGGGUUCUCUCUCGCUGAGUUCUCUCUUGCCGGCUGACUAAUACGUCUCCAACGUAUCUAUAAUUUUUUAUUGUUCCAUGCUAUUAUAUAUUCUGUUUUGGAUGUUUAAUGGCCUUAUUUAUACACUUUUAUAUUAUUUUUGGGACUAACCUAUUAACCGGAGGCCCAGCCCAAAUUGCUGUUUUUUUGCCUAUUUCAGAGUUUCGCAGAAAAAAGAUAUCAAACGGAGUCCAAACGGAAUGAAACCUUCGGGAGCGUGAUAUUUGGAACAAACGUGAUCCAGAGGACUUGGAGUGGACGUCAAGCAACCAACGAGGCGGCCACGAGGCAGGGGGUGCGCCCACCCCCCAGGAGCGCCCUCCACCCUCGUGGGCCCCUCGUGGCACCACCGACCUACUUCUUCCUCCUAUAUAUACCUACGUACCCCCAAACCAUCAGAAGCAAGCACGAAAACCUAAUUCCACCGCCGCAACCUUCUGUACCCGUGAGAUCCCAUCUUGGGGCCUUUUCUGGCAUCCUGCCGGAGGGGGCAUCGAUCAUGGAGGGCUUCUACAUCAACACCAUAGCCUCUCCGAUGAUGUGUGAGUAGUUUACCUCAGACCUUCCGGUCCAUAGUUAUUAGCUAGAUGGCUUCUUCUCUCUCUUUGGAUCUCAAUACAAAGUUCUCCUCGAUUCUCUUGGAGAUCUAUUCGAUGUAAUCUUCUUUUGCGGUGUGUUUGUCGAGAUCCGAUGAAUUGUGGGUUUAUGAUCAAGAUUAUCUAUGAACAAUAUUUGAAUCUUCUCUGAAUUCUUUUAUGUAUGAUUGGUUAUCUUUGCAAGUCUCUUCGAAUUAUCAGUUUGGUUUGGCCUACUAGAUUGAUCUUUCUUGCAAUGGGAGAAGUGCUUAGCUUUAGGUUCAAUCUUGCGGUGCUCGAUCCCAGUGACAGUAGGGGAAACGACACGUAUUGUAUUGUUGCCAUCGAGCAUAAAAAGAUGGGGUUUAUAUCAUAUUGCAUGAGUUUAUCUCUCUACAUCAUGUCAUCUUGCUUAAAGCGUUACUUCGUUCUUAUGAACUUAAUACUCUAGAUGCAUGCUGGAUAGCGGUCGAUGUGUGGAGUAAUAGUAGUAGAUGCAGGCAGGAGUCGGUCUACUUGUCACGGACGUGAUGCCUAUAUACAUGAUCAUACCUAGAUAUUCUCAUAACUAUGCUCAAUUCUAUCAAUUGCUCGACAGUAAUUUGUUUACCCACCGUAAUACUUAUGCUAUCUUGAGAGAAGCCACUAGUGAAACCUAUGGCCCCGGGUCUAUUUUCUAUCAUAUUAGUCUCCUGUUAUUUCCAUUACUAUUUACUUUGCUUUCUUUACUUUUACUCUUUAUCAUAAAAAUACCAAAAAUAUUAUCUUAUCAUCUCUAUCAGAUCUCACUCUCGUAAGUGACUGUGAAGGGAUUGACAACCCCUUUAUCACGUUGGUUGCGAGGUUCUUAUUUGUUUGUGUAGGUGCAAGGGACUUGAGCGCGACCUCCUACUGGAUUGAUACCUUGGUUCUCAAAAACUAAGGGAAAUACUUACGCUACUUUACUGCAUCACCCUUUCCUCUUCAAGGGAAAACCAACGCAGUGCUCAACAGGUAGCAAGAAGGAUUUCUAGCGCCGUUGCCGGGGAGGUGUUCGCCAAGUCAAGUCAAGAUUUGACUCCCAACAACAAGCCAUUCUUGGCGACGUUGCCGCGUUUACACAAGUCAAGACAUACCAAGUACCCAUCACAAACUCCUAUCCCUCGCAUUACAUUAUUUGUCAUUUGCCUCUCGUUUUCCUCUCCCCCACUUCACCCUUGCCGUUUUAUUCGCCCUCUCUUUUCCGUUCGCCCUCUUUUUCGCUUGCUUCUUGUUUGCUCGUGUGUUGGAUUGCUUGCGUGUCACGAUGGCUCAAGAUAAUACUAAAUUGUGUGACUUUGCCAAUACCAACAACAAUGAUUUUCUUAGCACUCCAAUUUAUCCUCUUACCGAAGCUGAAUCUUGUGAAAUUAAUGCUGCUUUGCUGAAUCUUGUCAUGAAAGAUCAAUUCGCCGGCCUUCCUAGUGAAGAUGCCGCUACCCAGCUAAAUAGCUUUGUUGAUUUGUGCGAUAUGCAAAAGAAGAAAGAUGUGCAUAAUGAUAUUGUUAAAUUGAAGCUAUUUUCAUUUUCUCUUAGAGAUCGUGCUAAAACCUGGUUUUUGUCUUUGCCUAAAAAUAGUAUUUAUUCUUGGAAUAAGUGCAAAGAUGCUUUUAUCUCUAAGUAUUUUCCUCCCGCUAAAAUCAUCUCUCUUAGAAACGAUAUUAUGAAUUUUAAGCAACUUGAUCAUGAACAUGUUGCACAAGCUUGGGAGAGGAUGAAAUUAAUGAUACGUAAGUGCCCUACUCAUGGUUUGAACUUAUGGAUGAUUAUACAAAAUUUUUAUGCCGGAUUGAAUUUUGCUUCUAGAAAUCUUUUAGAUUCGGCCGCGGGAGGCACUUUUAUGGAAAUCACUUUAGGAGAAGUUACUAAGCUCCUAGAUAAUAUCAUGGUUAAUUAUUCUCAAUGGCACACUGAAAGAUCUACUAAAAAAAAGUGCAUGCGAUAGAAGAAAUUAAUGUUUUGAGUGGAAAGAUGGAUGAACUUAUGAAAUUGUUUGCUAAUAAGAGUAUUUCUUCUGAUCCUAAUGAUAUGCCUUUGUCUACUUUGAUUGAGAAUAAUAAUGAAUCUAUGGAUGUGAACUUUGUUGGUAUGAACAGUUUUGGUAAUAAUGAUUAUAGAGGAAAUUUUAAUUCUAGGCCGUAUCCUAGUAAUUCCUCUAAUAAUUAUGGUAAUUCCUACAACAAUUCUUAUGGAAAUUUUAAUAAGUUGCCCUCUGAUUUUGAGACUAGUGUUAAAGAGUUUAUGAAUUCGCAAAAGAAUUUCAAUGCCUUGCUUGAACAAAAAUUUCCUAAGAUUGAUGAAUUGGCUAGGUAAGUGGAUAGAAUUUCUCUUGAUGUUGAUUCUUUGAAACUUAGAUCUAUUCCACCUUAGCAUGAUAUCAAUGAGUCUCUCAAAGCCAUGAGAAUUUCUAUUGAUGAGUGCAAAGAAAGAACCGCUAGGAUGCGUGCUAAGAAAGAUUGCUUUGUGAAAGCAUGUUCUUCUAGUUUUUAUGAGAAUAAAGAUGAAGAUCUAAAGGUUAUUGAUGUGUCCCCUAUUAAAUCUUUGUUUUGCAAUAUGAAUCUUGAUAAUGAUGGGACUCGAGAUGAGUCAACUUUAGUUAAACGGCGUCCCAAAAAUUCGGAGUUUUUAGAUCUUGAUGCAAAAAUUGAUAAAAGUGGGAUUGAAGAGGUUAAAACUUUAGAUAGCAAUGAACCCACUAUUUUGUAUUUGAAGGAAUUUAAUUAUGAUAAUUGCUCUUUGAUAGAUUGUAUUUCCUUGUUGCAAUCCGUGCUAAAUUCUCUGCAUGCUUAUAGUCAAAAUAAAGCUUUUACGAAACAUAUCAUUGAUGCUUUGGUGCAAUCUUUUGAAGAAAAACUUGAGUUGGAAGUUUUUAUCCCUAGAAAACUUUAUGAUGAAUGGGAACCUACAAUUAAAAUUAAAAUUAACAAUCAUGAAUGCUAUGCUUUGUGUGAUUUGGGUGCUAGUGUUUCCACGAUUCCAAAAACUUUGUCUGAUUUGCUAGGUUUCCGUGAAUUUGAUGAUUGCUCUUUAAACUUGCAUCUUGCGGAUUCCACUAUCAAGAAACCUAUGGGAAGAAUUAAUGAUGUUCUUAUUGUUGCAAAUAGGAAUUAUGUGCCCAUAGAUUUCAUUGUUCUUGAUAUAGAUUGCAAUCCUUCAUGUCCUAUUAUUCUUGGUAGACCUUUCCUUAGAACGAUUGGUGCAAUCAUUGAUAUGAAGGAAGGAAAUAUUAGAUUCCAAUUUCCGUUAAGGAAAGGAAUGGAACACUUCCCUAGAAGGAAAAUUAAAUUACCAUAUGAAUCUAUUAUGAGAGCCACCUAUGGAUUGCCUACCAAAGAUGGCAAUACCUAGAUCUAUCCUUGCUUUUAUGCCUAGCUAGGGGCGUUAAACGAUAGCGCUUGUUGGGAGGCAACCCAAUUUUCUUUUAGUUUUUUGCUUUUUGGUUCUGUUUAGAAAUAAAUCUUUGAUCUAGCCUCUGGUUAGAUUUGUUUUUGUGUGUUUAAUUAGUGUUUGUGCCAAGUUAAACCUAUAGGAUCUUCUUGGAUGAUAGUUAUUUGAUCUUGCUGAAAUUUCCAGAAACUUUCUGCUCACAAAAACAAUUGUUAAAAAUCACCAGAACGUGAUAAAAUACUGAUUCCAAUUGAAGAAGAUCAAUAAACAAAUCAUCUAGGUAGUCCUAUUUUGGUUGAAUUUUUUGAGUUCUAGAAGUUUGCGUUAGUUACAGAUUACUACAGACUGUUCUGUUUUUGACAGAUUCUGUUUUUCGUGAGUUGUUUGCUUAUUUUGAUGAAUCUAUGGCUAGUAAAAGAGCUUAUAAACCAUUGAGAAGUUUGAACACAGUAGGUUUAACACCAAUAUAAAUAAAGAAUGAGUUCAUUACAGUACCUUGAAGUGGUGUUUUGUUUUCUUUCGCUAACGGAGCUCACGAGAUUUUCUGUUAAGUUUUGUGUUGUGAAGUUUUCAAGUUUUGGGUAAAGAUUUGAUGGAUUAUGGAACAAGGAGUGGCAAGAGCCUAAGCUUGGGGAUGCCCAAGGCACCCGAAGGUAAAUCCAAGGACACCAAAAAGCCAAAGCUUGGGGAUGCCCCGGAAGGCAUCCCCUCUUUCGUCCUCACCCAUCGGUAACUUUACUUGGAGCUAUAUUUUUAUUCACCACAUGAUAUGUGUUUUGCUUGGACCGUCUUGUAUGAUUUGAGUCUUUGUUUGUUAGUUUGCCACAAUCAUCCUUGUUGUACACACCUUUUGAGAGAGACACACAUGAUUCGGAAUUUGUUAGAAUACUCUAUGUGCUUCACUUAUAUCUUUUGAGCUAUAUAGUUUUUGCUCUAGUGCUUCACUUAUAUCUUUUAGAGCAUGGCGGUGGUUGUAUUUUAUAGAAAUUAUUGAUAUGUCAUGCUUCACUUAUAUUAUUUUGAGAGUCUUAAACAGCAUGGUAAUUUGCUUUAAUUGUAAAAUUAAUCUUCCAUAUUGAGUUCAUUGAAUAUCAUGAGAGUUAGAUACUUGAUAAGUGUUUUGAGAUAUAAAGGUAGUAAUAUUAGAGUGUGCUAGUUGAGUAAUUGUGAAAUUGAGAAAUACUUGUGUUAAAGUUGGCAAGUCCCGUAGCAUGCACGUAUGGUAAAAGUUGUGUGACAAUUUUGACACAUAGGUGUUCUUUUAUUGCUUUCCUUAUGAGUGGCGGUCGGGGACGAGCGAUGUUCUUCUCCUACCAAUCUAUCCCUCUAGGGGCAUGCGUAGUAGUACUUUUCUUCGAGGGCUAAUAAACUUUUGCAAUAAGUAUAUGAGUUCUUUAUGACUAAUGUGAGUCCAUGGAUUAUACGCACUCUCAACCUUCCACAAUUUUCUAGCCUCUACGGUACCGCGCAUUGCCCUUUCUCACCUUAAGAGUUGGAGCAAACUUCGCGGUGCAUCCAAACCCCGUGAUAUGAUAUGCUCUAUGACACAUAAGCCUCCUUAUAUCUUCCUCAAAACAGCCACCAUACCUACCUAUCAUGGCAUUUCCAUAGCCAUUCCGAGAUAUAUUGCCAUGCAACUUUCCACCGUUCCGUUUAUUAUGACACGCUUCAUCAUUGUCAUAUUGCUUUGCAUGAUCAUGUAGUUGACACCGUAUUUUUUGGCAAAGCCACCAUUCAUAAUUUUUUCAUACAUGUCACUCUUGAUUCAUCGCAUAUCCCGGUACACCGCUGGAGGCAUUCACAUAGAGUCAUAUUUCGUUCUAAAUAUUGAGUUGUAAUUGUUGAGUUGUAAAUAAUAAAAGUGUGAUGAUUAUCAUUAUUAGAGCAUUGUCCCAUGUGAGGAAAGGAUGAUGGAGACUAUGAUUCCCCCACAAGUCGGGAUGAGAUUCCGGACUUAAAAAAAGAGGCCAAAGAAAAAAAGAGAAGGCCCAAAGAAAAAAAGGAAAAAAAUAAAAAAUGAGAGAAAAAGAGAGAAGGGACAAUGUUACUAUCCUUUUUCCACACUUGUGCUUCAAAGUAGCACCGUGAUCUUCAUGAUAGAGAGUCUCCUAUGUUGUCACUUUCAUAUACUAGUGGGAAUUUUUCAUUAUAGAACUUGGCUUGUAUAUUCCAAUGAUGGGCUUCCUCAAAAUGCCCUAGGUCUUCGUGAGCAAGCAAGUUGGAUGCACACCCACUUAGUUUCUUUUGUUGAGCUUUCAUAUAUUUAUAGGUCUAGUGCAUCCGUUGCAUGGCAAUCCCUACUCCUCUCAUUGACAUAAAUUGAUGGGCAUCUCCAUAUCCUAUUGAUUAGCCGCGUCAAUGUGAGACUUUCUACCUUUUUGUCUUCUCUCAUAACCCCCAUCAUUAUACUUUACUCCACCCAUAGUGCUAUAUCCAUGGUUUGCGCUAAUGUAUUGCGUAAGAGUUGAAAAGGCUGAAGCGCUUUAAAAAGUAUGAACCAAUUGCCCAGCUUGUCAACGGGGUUAUGCAUGAUGAGAACGUUUGUGUGAUAAUAUUGAAACAUGGCCUAACUAUAUGAUUUUGUAGGGAUGAGCUUUCUUUAGCUAUGUUAUUUUGAUAAGACAUAAUUGCUUGGUUAGCAUGUUUGAAGUAUUAUUGUUUUUAUGUCAACAUUAAACUUUUAUCUUGAAUCUUUCAGAUCUAAAUAUUCAUGCCACAAUAAAAAGAUUUACAUUGCGAAUUAUGCUAACAAGCAUUCCACAUCAAAAAUUCUGUUUUUAUCAUUUACCUACUUGAGGACGAGCAGGAAUUAAGCUUGGGGAUGCUUGCUACGUCUCCAACGUAUCUAUAAUUUUUGAUUGUUCCAUGCUAUUGUAUAUUCUGUUUUGGAUGUUUAAUGGGCUUAUUUAUACACUUUUAUAUUAUUUUUGGGACUAACCUAUUAACUGGAGGCCCAGCCCAAAUUGCUGUUUUUUUUGCCUAUUUCAGAGUUUCGCAGAAAAAAGAUAUCAAACGGAGUCCAAACGGAAUGAAACCUUUGGGAGCGUGAUAUUUGGAACAAACAUGAUCCAGAGGACUUGGAGUGUACGUCAAGCAACCAACAAGGCAGCCACGAGGCAGGGGGCGCGCCCACCCCCCCAGGCGCGCCCUCCACCCUUGUGGGCCCCUCGUGGCUCCACCGACCUACUUCUUCCUCCUAUAUAUACCUACGUACCCCCAAACCAUCAGAAGCGACCACGAAAACCUAAUUCCACCGCCGCAACCUUUUGUACCCGUGAGAUCCCAUCUUGGGGCCUUUUCCGGCGUCCUGCCGGAGGGGGCAUCGAUCAUGGAGGGCUUCUACAUCAACACCAUAGCCUCUCCGAUGAUGUGUGAGUAGUUUACCUCAGACCUUCGGGUCCAUAGUUAUUAGCUAGAUGGCUUCUUCUCUCUCUUUGGAUCUCAAUACAAAGUUCUCCUCGAUUCUCUUGGAGAUCUAUUCGAUGUAAUCUUCUUUUGCGGUGUGUUUGUCGAGAUCCGAUGAAUUGUGGGUUUAUGAUCAAGAUUAUCUAUGAACAAUAUUUGAAUCUUCUCUGAAUUCUUUUAUGUAUGAUUGGUUAUCUUUGCAAGUCUCUUCGAAUUAUCAGUUUGGUUUGGCCUACUAGAUUGAUCUUUCUUGCAAUGGGAGAAGUGCUUAGCUUUGGGUUCAAUCUUGCGGUGCCCGAUCCCGGUGACAGUAGGGGAAACGACACGUAUUGUAUUGUUGCCAUCGAGGAUAAAAAGAUGGGGUUUAUAUCAUAUUGCAUGAGUUUAUCCCUCUACAUCAUGCCAUCUUGCUUAAAGCGUUACUCCUUUCUUAUGAACUUAAUACUCUAGAUGCAUGCUGGAUAGCGGUCGAUGUGUGGAGUAAUAGUAGUAGAUGCAGGCAGGAGUCGGUCUACUUGUCACGGACGUGAUGCCUAUAUACAUGAUCAUACCUAGAUAUUCUCAUAACUAUGCUCAAUUCUAUCAAUUGCUCGACAGUAAUUUGAUUACCCACCGUAAUACUUAUGCUAUCUUGAGAGAAGCCACUAGUGAAACCUAUGGACCCCGGGUCUAUUUUCUAUCAUAUUAGUCUCCCGUUAUUUCCAUUACUAUUUACUUUGCUUUCUUUACUUUUACUCUUUAUCAUAAAAAUACCAAAAAUAUUAUCUUAUCAUCUCUAUCAGAUCUCACUCUCGUAAGUGACCGUGAAGGGAUUGACAACCCCCCUUUAUCGCGUUGGUUGCGAGGUUCUUAUUUGUUUGUGUAUGUGCAAGGGACUUGAGCGUGACCUCCUACUAGAUUGAUACAUUGGUUCUCAAAAACUGAGGGAAAUACUUACGCUACUUUACUGCAUCACCUUUUCCUCUUCAAGGGAAAACCAACGCAGUGCUCAAGAGGUAGCACUCACCAGCUUGAGCAUGAUGCAGGUCCUCCCCUCCCAGCUGGAGGCCAACGUCGACUUCAUGUCGGACCGGGAAGUGAGCGAUGUGGCGGACCCCGACUUGGGGGCGGCCGCCUUGGAGGACGACGCCACAGGCGGUGGUGGUGGAGCAGGCGGCUCCGUAGGAGGAGGAGGCGUGGAGGACUGGUCGGAUGAUGACGAGGAGGAGGAGGAGGAGGAGGAGGUGCCGCGCCGCAAGCGGCCUUCUGACAAGGCAGGCGCAAGCUCCUCAGCCGCACCAACCACACCAGUCGGUGGGUGGAAACACCGAGGCGUGCUGCUAUUCGGCAGUCAUCCCAAGUAGCCCAAGCACUCGGCCGCCGCAGCCAAGAACACGGCCGCCGUGAGCAAGCGACGCGAGGCCGCCGGGAAGGCGGCCAAGUUCCAGAAGGCCCCAAGCAGCCUCCGAUGGUGUCGACGUAUGUUCUCAUCUUUCCUUGUAUCUUCUUUUAUUCUUUUAUCUUGUCGAUUCCUUCUGAAUCUCCUUUUUCACCCUUCUUUUGAGUAGGGCCCCGCUCUCUCUUGAGCAGUCGACCUCAGCCUCCGUCGUCAGGGCGGCGGAGGGCUCCACCAACAACCGCCGUUUAGACCCGACCGCCAAUCUCCGGGAGGCGCAGGAAAGGAACGCACGGGAGGUGCGGGAGGAGAAAGAAGCCGCCGCCAAGAAGGCGGAGGCCGACAAGGCGGCGCAAGCGGACGCGGACGCUGUGGCCAAGGCCCAAGCUGACGCCGCGGCCAAAGAAAGGGCGGAGGAUGCCGCACGCCAGCAGAUCCCUGCGCUCCGCGCCACCAACGCCAGAGUUCUUAGCGCCAACGGGGGGAGCCGGCGAUGAGCAGCCGGUCAGGGAGAGGGAAGGCGGCGACGCCGUCUUGCCAGAGGUGGAGGUGCCUCCACGAUCGCCGACUGCGGAUGCGCAGGGCAGCCAGCCGGCCGCCCCAUUGGUGACGCCAGUCGGAGGCGAGCUGGUGGGGGGCUCGGCCCCCACGGCCCGCACUCCAGUGCACCGUCGUGUGGAGAAAGCAGCAUCGGCGCCGAGGCCGAUGGAGGUCGGGAGCGCCAGCUCGUCGGCACCUGAAGGCGAAGCCACCAGCGUCGCGCCGGCGGAGUGGGUGUGCGGGGGCAGGAUGAGCGCCUUGAUCAAGGUGGCGCAAGAUGUCCAGGCCGAUUUCAAGGCCGAAGCCGCCACCCUCUCGCAAUGCAUGAAGGCGUUUGUGAAAAUGCGGGCCACCGUCCGGGUACGUAACUUGCUUCUUGCUUUUGAUUCCUGUAAUCUUCAGUGGGGGCGCGCCAGCGCACCCACUGGGUGUAGUCCCUGAGUUCCGGGCCGGCUGCUGAGCAGGCGGCCUGGAACUUCAUAGUGGGUUCUGAGCUCUGGCUCACUUCUUUUUCUGUUGCUUUGUUGCAGGAUUACCACAACAUCCGCAUGGCCACCUUCAACGCCAAUGUCCGGGAGCUGGACCGACGGACCGCCGACCUGACGGAAAGCCAGAGUAAGCACUCCAUCUUCUUUUCUCCGCGGGGGCGCGUCAGCGCACCCAUGGGCUGUAGUCCCCGAGAUGCGAGCCGACUGCUGAGCAGUCGGGUCGGAUCUUCCGGCAAUUACUUUUCUUCUUUCUUGAUUGUUGAUAUCUUUUCUUUCUUGUCCUUGCAGGAACCAACGCCGUCUUGCAGCAGCAACUGGGCGAAGCCAACACCGCACUGCGUGCCAAGGAGGACGAGUGCAACAGGGUGGCCCAGGAGCGUGACCGCCUGGCCAAGGAACUGAAGGACCAGGCAGAGCUUCACAAGACAGCCCUGAAGCAGGCAGAGGACAACGAAGCCAAGCUCCUGGCCGAGUUCGAGACCGAGCGCUCGGGUUGGGCUGAGACGGAGGCGACACUGACCGCUGGUUACGGCCAGAUCGAAGACAUAGUCGACGGUGAGCUUUCUUCUCUUCUCUCAACUGCUGGCUGUCGAGCGAGCCGUCUUCUAGCUUCCGACUCCUGACUGAUUGUUUGCUUGUGUAGACUUCUUCCCUGGCCAUUCCGCCGUUGCCAACCAGGCCAUUGAGGCUCGCCGCGAGGCGCGAAGGGCGGAGGGCGCGAAGAUUUGCUGCCGACGCCCCUCGGACCCUUGGCGAGCAGCUCCUUAGCAUUCAAGCUCGUCUCCAGCCGGCCCACCGGAUGCUCCGCCGGCUGCAGCAUGCUGGGGCUCAAGCAGUCUCCGCCCUCUGGCCAGACAGGCAAGCCCCACGCAUGCCCAGUCGGACCGCCGACUGGUUGGAAGUGGCCGCCGGCCGUCUUGAGGCGUGGAAGGGCUCCGCGGCCCGAGCAGGAGCGCGAUGGGCCUUGGAUUUCGCCAAGGCAUGGUAUCCUGGGCUAGAUCUAGCCCAGUUGGCCAUGUUUCGGCAGGAAGCCGACGCCGACUUGGUGGCGGUGGAGCGCGACCUCACUAUUCGCGCAGCAGCGAUCGCCGAGUAUACCAACACCGGUGACUUCAUUCCCGAGUUGAACGAGAAUGGCACCGAGGCGCCGCCAGAAUGGUUCGGACUGAACCCGGAUGAUGGUGAAGACUCGGCAGAGGAGAUCGCCUCUAGCGACGAAGGGGCAGACUAGGAAGAUGAGGAUGAUGAAGACGGCGCGCCGGAGGUUGGAGCGGGCGGCCAGCCUCAACUCGACCGCGCCUCCAGCACCGAGCCGCGUGCAAGCACGCCGACCAUUGCUAAAAGCGGCCAAGCUGAAACUCGCCAGCCGGCCACCCCACCAGCCGGCGCCCCCGACUCCACAAACCUGCCGAACUCGCCUGCUGCCCCUUUUGUCUAGGCCGCCAAAUUAUCGUAGCUUUUCCUGCUUAGUAGUUUUCUCAACAAACUUUUGUUAAAUUUGCAUAAUUCCACCCGCAGGGUGUAUUCAAACUAUGUUGAAUGUUGGCCGAUGGCCUUUUGGUAUGUAAAUUAUUUUCCGCACAAGCUGUGCUUUUGCCGAGUUCCGACUUUUCUUGCUUUUCGUUCCUUGGCUUUUUUCCUUUGCCGCCCUCCCCUGGUCUCCUACUUGCCAGCCGGACAGCCGCUCUGUGGACUGCGGCCUGGUCAAGUAUUUCACCAUUGUGGGAGGACAAGUACUUUGGCCGAUUGGAAUGUUACAAGCUAAGUAGGAAGCCGGCCGGCCGGCUGCUCAGUAGCCGGUCGGUGAGGCGAAGGGCCGGCUUGUCCUAUGUGGAUGUUUUGAUCCUUAGCCAUUUUUCAUGUGAGCACUGUUCCUUGCCUUUAACUCUUGCCAAGCGAACAGCCGCUCUAUGAGCUGUGGCUUGUGGCAAGAGAGGGCUUAGGUGCUUGCACAUUACUUGUCUGACUGCAGGAAACACCGACAUAGUACAAGACGACAAGCCCCCGGGCUGACUAGUCGAACCCGGUUUCAGGUGGAGGAAUGAAAUAACACAUUCGUAGGCAUAAUACUUAUCAUAUAGAUAAACAGGGGUAGCCCUCGAGUGCUCCUCGAGGGACCCGAAGUCUUCGUACUUAAUACAAAAGGUAGCAUGGUACAUACUGCAUCAACUGUAAAAUCUUCGAAGGAGAUUUGCAUUCCAUGGGCGCUAUGUUUCCUUGCCGGAGUCGUCCCUCUUGCGCGCCUUGGGCUUCUGGGCAUCGAUCAGGUAGUAGGAGUCGUUGCCCAAGGCUUUGCUGAUGAUGAAAGGGCCUUCCCAAGGGGCUGAAAGCUUGUGCUACCCGGCUGUUCGCUGGAUCAGCAGGAGCACAAGGUCUCCCUCUUGGAAGGAUCUUGGCUUGACCUUCCGGCUGUGGUAGCGGUGUAGACUUUGCUGGUAGAUGGCGGACCGACUGAGUGCCAAUAGCCGGCCCUCUUCCAGCAGAUCGACACCGUCUUCUCGUGCUUCCUUUGCCUCCGCCUCCGUGUACAUGGUGACGCGAGGUGAGUCGAACUCGAUGUCAAUUGGGAUGGCAGCCUCGGCACCAUAUACAAGGAAGAAGGGUGUGAAGCCGGUUGACUUGUUCGGAGUGGUGCGCAGACUCCAGAGGACGGCCGACAGCUCGUCGAGCCAGCAGCCGGCCGAACGCUCCAGAGGCUCGACCAGUCGGGGCUUGAUUCCAGACAAAAUGAGGCCGUUUGCUCGCUCAACCUGGCCGUUUGACUGUGGGUGGGAAACGGAUGCUAAGUCCAGUCGGAUGCCCUGCGUCGCACAGAAACGGGCCAAGGCGCCUUUGGCAAAAUUUGUGCCAUUGUCGGUGAUGAUGCUGUGAGGUACGCCGUACUGAGUAGUGAUGCCUGCGAUGAAAGUCACAACAGUCGGACCGUUCAACUUCUUGAUUGGCUUCUCUUCUAUCCACUUGGUGAAUUUUUCCACGGCGACAAGCAGAUGAGUCAUGUCGCCGCGUGCUGUCUUGAAUGGUCCCACCAUGUCCAAUCCCCAGACGGCAAAAGGCCAGGCAAGGGGAAUGGUCUUGAGUGCAGAAGCCGGCAAAUGUUGCUUGGAACUGAACUUCUGGCACCCCUUGCAUUUCUUGACCAAGUCUUUGGCAUCUUCAUGAGUAGUCGGCCAGAAGAAACCAUGGCGAAAAGCUUUGGCCACAAGUGAUCUUGAGGCCGCGUGGUGGCCACACUCGCCUUGAUGGAUAUCCUUGAGGACUGCUUGGCCCUUCUCCGGCUCUACGUAGCGCUGGUACACACCAGUGACACUGCGCCUCAUUAGUUCCCUGUUGACGAUGGUGUAUGUUGCUGCCCGACGUUGCACCUGUCGGGCCGAGAUCUCAUCGGUUGGCAGCUCUUUGUUCACCAAAACUUGAGGAUGGGUUCUGCCCAUGAUGGUGCUUGAAUUUCUUCUACCUCCACAAUGGACACUUGUACGAGGGCGGUUGGGUUGGGAGGUGGCGGGUUGGAGUCGGCCGCCGCUUGUUGCAUUGUUGAAGUCCCUGAGCCAACUGCCGCAGUCCCCGGGCCGGGAUCUGAAGUCCCCGGGCCGAGUGCGACUGCUGUAGUCCCCGGGCCGGGAUCUGAAGUCCCCGAGCCGGGUGCGACUGCUGCAGUCCCCGAGCCGCCUGCCAAAGUCCCCGAGCCGACUGCUGCAACCUUUGAGUCGGAUCCGACUGUUUCAGGAGCAGCCGGCACAAAGAUAGACUAUGAUUCUGGAGAAGGCUUGAUCGACGGCUUGCGGAGGUACUGGAGGGAGACGCCGGCUGGUAUUGCUUGACAGGUGGAGCCGAUCCGUGCCAAGGUAUCGGCUGGCUCAUUGUUGUUUUGUGGGACGUGAAGGAACUCGCACCCUUCAAAAUAUCCGCUAAGCUGCUGGACGAGGAAGCGGUAGCUUGCCAUAUUCGCAUCCUUGGCGGCCCAGUCACCAGACGACUGUUGGACCACCAAGUCAGAGUCACCAUAGCACAGAAUCCGGCGAAUGCCGAGCUCUUUGGCAAGCCGGAGUCCGUGUACUAGUGCCUCAUACUCGGCCACAUUGUUGGAGGCGGCAAAAUGGAUUUGAAGUGUGUAUCUGAGCUUGUCGCCUUUGGGAGAGGUGAGGACGAUGCCGGCUCCCAAACCGGUGCGCAUCUUCGAGCCAUCAAAGUGCAUUCACCACUGGGUGGAGUCCGGCGCUGGCGGCAGGUACUGGGUCUCGACCCAGUGGACGAGGAAGUCGGCCAGCGCUUGGGACUUGAUGGUGGUGCGAGGCUGGUAGAAGAUGGUGUGGGGAGCCAACUCGAUGGCCCAUUUGGCCACUCGGCCUAAAGCAUCUCGGCUGCCUAUGAUCUUAGCAAGCGGGGCAGUGCAAACAACCGUGAUGGGAUGCUCUUGAAAAUAUGGCUUUAACUUCUUGGCGGUAGAGUGCACGCCGUAGCACAUCUUCUGGUAGUGGGGGUAGUUUUGCUUGGAAGCUGACAACACUUCACUCAGAUAAAACACCGGUCUCUGGACCAGCAGAACCUUGCCGUCUUCAUUGCGCUCAACUACUAUGACUGUGCUAACCACCCGGCUGGUGGCGGCGAUGUAGAGGAGCAUGGGCUCCUUAGCAACCGGUGUAGCCAGGACGGGCGGCAUGGUCAACAUCUUCUUGAGCUAGAGAAAAGCCUCAUCCUCCUUGUCGUUCCACUCGAAGUGAGUGGUUUUCUUCAAGAGUUGGUAUAGGGGAAGUGCCUUCUCGCCAAGCUGACUGAUGAAGCGGCUGAUGGAUGCCAAGCAGCCGGUGAACUUCUGGACAUCUCUCAGUCAGGUAGGCUUCUCCAUCCUCUCGAUGGCCUUGAUCUUCACAGGGUUGCACUCAAUGCCGCGUUCGGAGACCAGGAAGCCGAGGAGCUGGCCGGCUGGUACUCCGAACACGCACUUCUCUGGGUUGAGCUUGAUCUAAAAUCGGCGCAGGUUUUCAUAAGUCUCCUUCAGAUCCUCUAGGAGGGUUCCACGCUUCUCUGUUUUCACCACAUAGACGUGGGCGUUUCUGCCGAGCUACUUGAGGAGGCACUUCUGCAUGCAACGCUGGAACGUGGCGCCGACAUUCCUCAAGUCGAACGUCAUCAUCAGGUAGCAGAAGGCUCCGAAUGGUGUGAUGAACGAGGUCUUCAGCCUAUCAGCCGGGUUCAACUUGAUCUGGUGGUAUCCUGAAUAUGCAUCCAAGAAACUCAACAGCUCGCAUCUCGCUGUGGAGUCUAUCACUUGGUCAAUCCUUGGCAAUGCAAAUGGAUCUUUGGGGCAAGCUUUGUUGAGGCUGGUAUAAUCAAUACACAUGCACCACUUGUUGUUUUUCUUCAGUACAAGGAUUGGGUUGGCCAGCCAAUUGGAUAGAAUACUUCCAUAAUGAAGCAGGCUGCUAGGAGCCGGGCUAUCUCUUCACCAACAAUUCUUCUCUUCUCCUCCGACAGGCGGCGGAGGGGUUGCUUGACCGGUUUGGCGUCAGGUCAGACAUGUAGCUUGUGCUCGGCGAGAUCCGUCGGAACACCCGGCAUGUCCUUAGGAGACUGAUACGUCCAUUUUGCAUCAUGCUUUUAUAUCAAUAUUUAUUGCAUUAUGGGCUGUUAUUGCACAUUAUGUCACAAUACUUAUGCCUAUUCUCUCUUAUUUUACAAGGUUUACAUAAGGAGGGAAAAUGCCGGCAGCUGGAAUUCUGGGCUGGAAAAGGAGCAAAUAUUAGAGACCUAUUCUGCACAACUCCAAAAGUCCUGAAACUCCACGAAAGUUAUUUUUGGAAAUAAUAAAAAAUAUUGAGCGGAAGAAGUAAGUCAGGGGGGGCCCACCUGGCCACGAGGGUGGGGGGCGCACCCUACCCCCCAGGGUGCGCCCCCUGCCUCGUGGGCCCCCUGUUGGCCCUCCGGUGGCCAUCUUCUGAUAUAUGAAGUCUUUUGUCCGAAGAAAAAUCAUAAGCAAGCUUUCGGGACGAGACUCCGCCGCCACGAGGCGAAACCUUGGCGGAACCAAUCUAGGGCUCCGGCAGAGCUGUUCUGCCGGGGACACUUCCCUCCGGGAGGGGGAAAUCAUCGCCAUCGUCAGCACCAACGCUCCUCUCAUUGGGAGAGGGCAAUCUCCAUCAGCAUAUUCACCAGCACCAUCUCCUCUCAAACCCUAGUUCAUCUCUUGUAUCCAAUUCUUGUCUUCAAGUCUGGGAUUGGUACCUGUAGGUUGCUAGUAGUGUUGAUUACUCCUUGUAGUUGAUGCUAGUUGGUUUAUUUGGUGGAAGAUCAUAUGUUCAGAUCCUAUAUGCAUAUUAAUACCCCUUUGAUUAUGAACAUGAAUAUACUUUGUGAGUAGUUACGUUUAAUCCUGAGGACAUGGGAGAAGUCUUGCUAUUAGUAGUCAUGUGAAUUUGGUAUUCAUUCGAUAUUUUGAUGAGAUGUAUGUUGUCUCUCCUCUAGUGGUGUUAUGUGAACGUUGACUACAUAACACUUCACCAUUAUUUGGGCCUAGAGGAAGGCAUUGGGAAGUAAUAAGUAGAUGAUGGGUUGCUAGAGUGACAGAAGCUUAAACCCUAGUUUAUGCUUUGCUUCAUAAGGGGCUGAUUUGGAUCCAUAUGUUUCAUGCUAUGGUUAGGUUUACCUUAACACUUUUGUUGUAGUUGCGGAUGCUUGCAAUAGAGGUUAAUCAUAAGUGGGAUGCUUGUUCAAGUAAGGACAGCACCCAAGCACCGGUCCACCCACAUAUCAAAUUAUCAAAGUACCGAACGCGAAUCAUAUGAACGUGAUGAAAACUAGCUUGAUGAUAAUUCCCAUGUGUCCUCGGGAGCGCUUUCCUCUAUAUAAGAGUUUGUCCAGGCUUGUCCUUUGCUACAAAAAGGAUUGGGCCACCUUGCUGCACUUUAUUUACUUUUGUUACUUGUUGCUCGUUACCAAUUAUCUUAUCACAAAACUAUCUGUUACCUAUUAUUUCAGUGCUUGCAGAGAAUACCUUGCUGAAAACCGCUUAUCAUUUCCUUCUGCUCUUCGUUGGGUUCGACACUCUUACUUAUCGAAAGGACUACGAUAGAUCCCCUAUACUUGUGGGUCAUCAAGACUCUUUUCUGGCGCCGUUGCCGGGGAGUGAAGCGCCUUUGGUAGGUGGAAUUUGGUAAGGAAAAAUUUAUAUAGUGUGCUGAAAUUUACUGUCACUUGUUACUAUGGAAAGUAAUCCUCUGAGGGGCUUGUUCGGGGUAUCUUCACCCCGACCAGUAGAGCAAAGAGUUGCCCCUCAACCUACUGAACCUAAUGAAAGUGAAAAUGAAAAUGUCCACUUUGAGAUUCCUUCGGGCAUGUUAGAAAAACUGCUAGCUAAUCCUUUUGCAGGAGAUGGAACAAAGCAUCCUGAUGAACACCUAAUUUAUGUGGAUGAAGUUUGUGGAUUAUUUAAGCUUGCAGGUAUACCCGGUGUUGUUAUUAAGAGGAAGGUAUUCCCUUUAUCUUUGAAGGGAGAUGCAUCGACAUGGUAUAGGAUAUGUGAUGAUACGGGAUCAUGGAACUACAAACGAUUGAAAUUGGAAUUUCAUCAGAAAUUUUAUCCUAUGCAUCUUGUUCAUCGUGAUCGCAAUUAUAUAUAUAAUUUUUGGCCUCGCGAAGGAGAAAGCAUCGCUCAAGCUUGGGGGAGGCUUAAAUCAAUGUUAUAUUCAUGCCCCAAUCAUGAGCUUCCAAGAGAAAUAAUUAUUCAAAGUAUUUAUGCUCGGCUUUCUGAAAACAAUCGCACCAUGCUCGAUACUUCUUGUGUUGGCUCUUUUAUGAUAACGACUAUUGAAUUCAAAUGGGAUUUAUUGGAUAGAAUUAAACGCAACUCUGAAGAUUGGGAUCUCAACGAAGGUAAGGAGUCAGGUAUGACACCUAAGUUCGAUUGCGUUAAAUCUUUUAUGGAUACCGAUGUUUUCCGUAAGUUUAGCACUAAAUAUGGACUUGACUCUGAGAUAGUAGCUUCUUUAUGUGAAUCUUUUGCUGCUUAUGUUGAUCUCCCUAAGGAGAAGUGGUUUAAAUAUCAUCCUCCCAUAGAAGUAAAAGCAGCUGCACCUAUUAAAGUUGAAGAAAAGACUAUCACUUAUAAUGAUCCUAUUGUUCCUACUUCUUAUGUUGAGAACCACCUUUCCCUGUUAGGAUAAAGGAUCAUGCUAAAGCUUCAGCUGUGGUUCAUAAAAGCAAUAUUAGAACUUAUACACCUCCUGAGCAAGUUAAAGUUGAACCUAAUAUUGCUAUUGUUAAAGAUCUCUUGGCUGAUAAUAUUGAUGGGCAUGUUAUUUAUUUCUGCGGUGAAACUGCUAGAAUUGCCAAACCUUGUGCUAAAGAUAAACAUAGACCUGUGGUAGGCAUGCCUGUUAUUUCUGUUAAAAUAGGAGAUCAUUGUUAUCAUGGCUUGUGUGAUAUGGGUGCUAGUGUUAGUGCAAUACCUUAUGACUUAUACAAAGAAAUUAUGCAUGAUAUUGCACCUGCUGAGAUAGAAGAUAUUGAUGUCACUAUUAAACUUGCCAAUAGAGAUACUAUUUCACCAAUGGGAAUUGUUAGAGAUGUUGAAGUCUUGUGUGGGAAAACUAAAUAUCCUGCUGUUUUUCUUGUUCUUGGUUCCCCACAAGAUAGCUUUUGUCCCAUUAUUUUUGGUAGACCCUUCUUGAACACAGUUAAUGCUAGGAUAGACUGCGAAAAGGAUGUUGUUACUAUAGGCUUGGGUGAUAUGUCUCAUGAGUUUAAUUUCUCUAAAUUUAGUAGACAACACCGUGAAGAAGAAUCACCUAGUAAGGAUGAAAUAAUCGGUCUUGCUUCUAUUGCCGUACCUCCUAGUGAUCCUUUAGAACAAUAUUUGCUAGACCAUGAAAAUGAUAUGUUUAUGAAUGAAAGAAGGGAAAUAGAUGAAGUAUUCUUUAAACAGGAACCUAUCCUGAAACACAAUUUGCCUGUUGAAAUCCUAGGGGAUCCUCCUCCACCCAAGGGUGAUCCCGUGUUUGAGCUUAAACCGUUACCUGAUACUCUUAAAUAUGCUUAUCUUGAUGAGAAAAAGAUAUAUCCUGUUAUUAUUAGUGCUAACCUUUCAGAGCAUGAAGAAGAGAGAUUAUUGAAAAAUCUGAAGAAGCACCGUGCUGCUAUUGGAUAUACUCUUGAUGAUCUUAAGGGCAUUAGUCCCACUCUAUGUCAACAUAAAAUAAAUUUGGAAGAAGAUGCCAAACCAGUUCGUGAUCAUCAACGACGGCUGAAUCCUAAGAUGAAAGAAGUGGUAAGAAAGGAAAUACUAAAGCUCCUUGAGGCAGGUAUAAUUUAUCCCGUUGCUGAUAGUCAAUGGGUAAGUCCUGUCCAUUGUGUCCCUAAGAAGGGAGGUAUUACCGUCGUUCCUAAUGAUAAAGAUGAAUUGAUUCCGCAAAGAAUUAUUAUAGGUUAUAGGAUGGUAAUUGAUUUCCGAAAAUUAAAUAAGGCUACUAAAAAGGAUCAUUACCCUUUACCUUUUAUCGAUCAAAUGCUAGAAAGAUUAUCUAAACAUACACAUUUCUGCUUUCUAGAUGGUUAUUCUGGUUUCUCUCAAAUACAUGUGUCAGCCAAUGAUCAAUCAAAGACUACUUUUACUUGCCCUUUUGGCACUUUUGCUUAUAGACGUAUGCCUUUUGGUUUAUGUAAUGCACCUGCUACCUUUCAAAGAUGUAUGAUGGCUAUAUUCUCUGACUUUUGUGAAAAGAUUUGUGAGGUUUUCAUGGACGAUUUCUCCUUCUAUGGAUCCUCUUUUGAUGAUUGCUUGAGCAACCUUGAUCGAGUUUUGCAGAGAUGUGAAGAAACUAACCUUGUCUUGAAUUGGGAGAAGUGCCAAUUUAUGGUUAAUGAAGGUAUUGUCUUGGGGCAUAAAGUUUCUGAAAGAGGUAUUGAAGUUGAUAAAGCCAAGGUUGAUGCUAUUGAAAAGAUGCCAUGUCCCAAGGACAUCAAAGGUAUAAGAAGUUUCCUUGGUCACGCCGGAUUUUAUAGGAGGUUCAUUAAGGACUUCUCAAGAAUUUCUCGGCCUCUGACUAAUUUAUAACAAUAAGAUAUACCAUUUGUCUUUGAUGAUGAUUGUGUAGAAGCAUUUGAAAUACUUAAGAAAGCAUUGAUCUCUGCACCUAUUGUUCAGCCACCUGAUUGGAAUUUACCCUUUGAAAUUAUGUGUGAUGCUAGUGAUUAUGAUGUAGGUGCUGUUCUAGGGCAAAGAGUUGAUAAGAAAUUAAAUGUUAUCCAAUAUGCUAGUAAAACUCUAGACAAUGCUCAAAGAAAUUAUGCCACUACUGAAAAAGAAUUCUUAGUAGUUGUAUUCGCAUGUGAUAAGUUCAGACCUUAUAUGUUGAUUCCAAAGUAACUAUUCACACUGAUCAUGUUGCUAUUAAAUAUCUUAUGGAAAAGAAAGAUGCUAAACCUAGACUUAUUAGAUGGGUUCUCUUGCUACAAGAAUUUGAUUUGCAUAUUAUUGAUAGAAAGGGAGCUGAGAACCCCGUUGCAGACAACUCGUCUAGGUUAGAAAAUGUUCUUGAUGACCCACUACCUAUUGAUGAUAGCUUUCCUGAUGAACAAUUGAAUGUCAUAAAUGCUUCUCGUACUGCUCCAUGGUAUGCUGAUUAUGCUAAUUAUAUUGUUGCUAAAUUUAUACCACCUAGUUUCACAUACCAGCAAAAGAAAAAGUUUUUCUAUGAUUUGAGACAUUACUUUUGGGAUGACCCACAUCUUUAUAAAGAAGGAGUAGAUGGUGUUAUUAGACGUUGUGUACCUGAGCAUGAACAGGAACAGAUCCUACGCAAGUGUCACUCCGAGGCUUAUGGAGGACACCACGCUGGAGAUAGAACUGCACUUAAGGUAUUGCAAUCCGGUUUUUAUUGGCCUACUCUCUUCAAGGAUGCCCGUAAGUUCGUCUUAUCUUGUGACGAAUGUCAAAGAAUUGGUAAUAUUAGUAGACGUCAAGAAAUGCCUAUGAACUAUUCACUUGUUAUUGAACCAUUUGAUGUUUGGGGCUUUGAUUAUAUGGGACCUUUUCCUGCCUCUAAUGGAUAUACACAUAUUUUAGUUGCUGUUGAUUACGUUACUAAGUCGGUAGAAGCUAUUCCAACUAGUAGUGCUGAUCAUAACACUUCUAUUAAAAUGCUUAAAGAAGUUAUUUUCCCGAGGUUUGGAGUCCCUAGAUAUUUAAUGACUAAUGGUGGUUCACAUUUUAUUCAUGGUGCUUUUCAAAAAAUGCUCGCUAAGUAUGAUGUUAAUCAUAGAAUUGCAUCUCCUUAUCACCCACAGUCUAGUGGUCAAGUAGAAUUGAGUAAUAGAGAGCCCAAAUUAAUUUUUCAAAAGACUGUUAAUAGAUCUAGAAAGAAUUGGUCCAAGAAACUUGAUGAUGCAUUAUGGGCCUAUAGAACUGCAUAUAAAAAUCCUAUGGGUAUGUCUCCGUAUAAAAUGGUUUAUGGUAAAGCAUGUCACUUCCCUCUCAAACUAGAACAUAAGGCUUAUUGGGCUAUUAAAGAGCUCAAUUAUGAUUUCAAACUUGCCGGUGAGAAGAGGUUAUUUGACAUUAGCUCACCUGAUGAAUGGAGAACCCAAGCCUAUGAAAAUGCCAAGUUGUUUAAAGAAAAAUUUAAAAGAUGGCAUGACAAAAGGAUACAAAAGCGUGAGUUUAAUGUAGGUGAUUAUGUAUUGCUAUAAAACUCUCGUUUAAGAUUUUUUGCAGGAAAACUUCUCUCUAAAUGGGAAGGCCCCUACGUUAUCGAGGAGGUCUAUCGUUCCGGUGCCAUAAAAAUCAACAACUUCGAAGGCACAAAUCCGAAGGUGGUGAACGGUCAAAGAAUCAAACAUUAUAUCUCAGGUAAUCCUAUAAAUGUUGAAACCAAUGUUAUUGAAACCGUAACCCCGGAGGAAUACAUAAGGGACACUUUCCGGAACGUUUCAGACUCCGAAAAGGAAUAGGUAUGUGGUACGGUAAGUAAGCCGACUCCAAAAAAGUUCUAAAGGCAAUAUUUCUCCGUUUUGGAAUAUUUAGAAAAAUAGAAAAAUAAGAAGUAGUCCGGGAAGGACCCGAGGCCUCCACGAGGGUGGAGGGCGCGCCCUACCCCUCUGGGCGCGCCCCCUACCUCGUGGGCACCUCGUGUGCUCUCCGGACUCCGUUUUCUUGCACGAUACGUAUUUUGGUCGGUAAAAAUUCAUUAUAUAAUCUCCUGAAGGUUUUGACUCCCGUAUCACACAAUUAUCCUCUGUUCUUGUUUCGAGCUAUUUUUCUGAUAGAUCUAGAUCAUCAUGACGUCUCCAAACGCCCCCAAGGACAAGUUCUUCGAGAAGGUCAUCAACCCCUACCUCGCGGAGGUGCUGCAACACCCUCAAACCAUUGAGAUGCAUGAUGGGUUGCUGCACAUCCGCGAUGUUGAGGGACCACGGAGGACCGGAAGCGUGGAGACAAGGCUUGAAGCAAUGGAGCAACAAGUUUUCCAGUGCCAGGAGAUGGUGGAGCGUGGACUUGACUCCAAUCACAUAAUGAUCACGGAGUUCACCAACAACCACAAGCUGGAUGCCAAGGACGUUGGGGAGGCCAUCUUCAAGCUCCACGAGAAAAUUGAGCACCUCCAAGCCCAAAUCUAUGACCUGCAAAACCAAAACUGUGAGUAUGAAUAUAGAUUCAAAAGGAUGAGUUUGGCUGCAGAUUUAAGGAUCCCGGAGACUCGAUCAUCCUUCUAUGAUGGUGAGCCUAUGCCUUGGAAGAUGGACGACAAGCCUACAUCAUCAACAAUCCCUUCACCAACAAAGGAGAUAUAAUCACAUGGGUAUGGGCACUCCCCUUGGCAACUGCCAAGCUUGGGGGAGAUGCCCCGGUAUCGUAUCACCAUCACACUCCUAUCUUUACCGUUUUUCUUAGUUCGAUCCUAUUAGUAGUAUCUUGAUCUAGUAGAAUAAAAGUUUUGGUAUGAUCUAGUUUUGAGUUUUGCUUUAUGAUCUCUCUUUGUAAUCGAGUCCGUGAGCUAUAUAAUAAAGAUUAGUGUUGAGUCAAGGGCUUGAUUAUCUUGCUAUGAUCUUGAGUAAAUAAAAGAAAAGAGAAAAGAAUAAAAAGGAAUAAAAAUAUCAUAUUGAUCUUAUUGAGAGUAAUGACUUCACAUAGAAAGAGUAUGAUGAUUAAAAGUUGUUGAGGGUUGACAAACAUAGCUUUGGUCAUCGUUGCAAUUAAUAGGAAGUAAUAAGGAAAGAGAGGUUUCACAUAUAAAUAUACUAUCUUGGACAUCUUUUAUGAUUGGGAGCACUCAUUAAAAUAUGACAUGCUAAAGAGUUGAUGUUGGACAAGGAAGACAAUGUAAUGGGUUAUGUUUUCUUAUAUCUGAGAUAAAGUAUAUUGUCAUGGACCAUCCAACAUGUUGAGCUUGCCUUUCCCCCUCAUGCUAGCCAAAUUCUUUGCACCAAGUAGAUAUACUACUUGUGCUUCCAAAUACCCAUAAACCAGUUUUGCCAUGAGAGUCCACCAUACCUACCUAUGGAUUGAGCAAGAUCCUUCAAGUAAGUUGUCAUCGGUGCAAGCAAUAAAAAUUGCUCUCUAAAUAUGUAUGAUUGAUUGGUGUGGAGGAAAUAAGCUUUAUACGAUCUUGUGAUGUGGAAGAAAUAAAAGCGACGGACUGCAUAAUAAAGGUUCAUAUCACAAGUGGCAAUAUAAAGUGACGUUCUUUCGCAUUAAGAUUUUGUGCAUCCAACCUUGAAAGCGCAUGGCAACCUCUGCUUCCCUCUGCGAAGGGCCUAUCUUUUACUAUUGUCUUCUACCUUAUGCAAGAGUCAUGGUGAUCUUCACCUUUCCCUUUUUACAUUUUAUCCUUUGGCAAGCACGGGAUGUUGGAAAGAUCCUGAUACACAUAUCUAAUUGGAUGUGGGAUAGCAUGAACUAUUAUUGUUGACAUUACCCUUGAGGUAAAAGGUUGGGAGGCGAAACUAUAAGCCCCUAUCUUUCUCUGUGUCCGAUUAAAACUCCGUAACCACAAGUAUUGCGUGAGUGUUAGCAAUUAUGAAAGACUAAAUGAUACUUGAGUAUGUGGACUUGCUAGAAAGCUCUGACAUAGACUCUUUCUGAUGUUAUGAUAAAUUGCAAUUGCUUCAAUGACUGAGAUUAUAGCUUGUUAGUUCUCAAUAAAGUUUCGGAUUCAUACUUUGCAUUGUGAAUAGGUUAUUACUUGAGCAUAAGAAAUUAUAUGACAAUAUUCAUAUAUGUUGCUAUUAUGAGUAUAAUCAUGAUGCCCUCAUGUUUGUAUUUUAUUUUAUCGACACCUCUACCUCUAAACAUGUGGACAUAUUUAUCGUUAUUGGCUUCCGCUUGUGGACAAGCGAGGUCUAAGCUUGGGGACGUUGAUACGUCCAUUUUGCAUCAUGCUUUUAUAUCGAUAUUUAUUGCAUUAUGGGCUGUUAUUACACAUUAUGUCACAAUACUUAUGCCUAUUAUGUCUUAUUUUACAAGGUUUACAUAAGGAGGGAGAAUGCCGGCAGCUGGAAUUCUGGGCUGGAAAAGGAGCAAAUAUUAGAGACCUAUUCUGCACAACUCCAAAAGUCCUGAAACUCCACGAAAGUAAUUUUUGGAAAUAAUAAAAAAUAUUGAGCGGAAGAAGUACGUCAGGGGGCCCCACCUGGCCACGAGUGUGGGGGCGCGCCCCCUGCCUCGUGGGCCCCCUGUUGGCCCUCCGGUGGCCAUCUUCUGAUAUAUGAAGUCUUUCGUCCGAAAAAAAUCAUAAGCAAGCUUUCGGGACGAGACUCCGCCGCCAUGAGGCGGAACCUUGGCGGAACCAAUCUAGGGCUCCGGCAGAGCUGUUCUGCCGGAGACACUUCCCUUCGGGAGGGGGAAAUCAUCGCCAUCAUCAUCACCAACGCUCCUCUCAUCGGGAGAGGGCAAUCUCCAUCAACAUCUUCACCAGCACCAUCUCCUCUCAAACCCUAGUUUAUCUCCUGUAUCCAAUUCUUGUCUCCAAGUCUAGGAUUGGUACCUGUAGGUUGCUAGUAGUGUUGAUUACUCCUUGUAGUUGAUGCUAGUUGGUUUAUUUGGUGGAACAUCAUAUGUUCAGAUCCUAUAUGCAUAUUAAUACCCCUCUGAUUAUGAACAUGAAUAUACUUUGUGAGUAGUUACGUUUGUUCCUGAGGACAUGGGAGAAGUCUUGCUAUUAGUAGUCAUGUGAAUUUGGGAUUCGUUCGAUAUUUUGAUGAGAUGUAUGUUGUCUCUCCUCUAGUGGUGUUAUGUGAACAUCGACUACAUAACACUUCACCAUUAUUUGGGCCUAGAGGAAGGCAUUUGGAAGUAAUAAGUAGAUGAUGGGUUGCUAGAGUGACAGAAGAUUAAACCCUAGUUUAUGCAUUGCUUCGUAAGGGGCUGAUUUGGAUCCAUAUGUUUCAUGCUAUGGUUAGGUUUACCUUAAUACUUUUGUUGUAGUUGCGGAUGCUUGCAAUAGAGGUUAAUCAUAAGUGGGAUGCUUGUUCAAGUAAGGACAGCACCCAAGCACCGGUCCACCCACAUAUCAAAUUAUCAAAGUACCGAACGCGAAUCAUAUGAACGUGAUGAAAACUAGCUUGACGAUAAUUCCCAUGUGUCCUUGAGAGCGCUUUCCUCUAUAUAAGAGUUUUUCCAGGCUUGUCCUUUGCUACAAAAAGGAUUGGGCCACCUUGCUGCACUUUAUUUACUUUUGUUACUUGUUGCUCGUUACCAAUUAUCCUAUCACAAAACUAUCUGUUACCUAUUAUUUCAGUGCUUGCAGAGAAUACCUUGCUGAAAACCGCUUAUCAUUUCCUUCUGCUCCUCGUUGGGUUCGACACUCUUACUUAUCGAAAGGACUACGAUAGAUCCCCUAUACUUGUGCGUCAUCAGAGACCAUGCAAAGAUGUCCCGAUUCUCGCGGAGGAAAUCGACGAGCUCGCUUUCCUAUUUGCUGUCAAGGUUUGUACCUACGACAGCGUACCUCUUCAGGUGCUCUGGUUCCAAUGUUAUCUUCUUUGUCUCUCUGGCCGGCUUGAAGGAGCCUUCAGCUUCCGACUCCUUGGGAUCAGGGGACAUGUCCGGCUGCUUGUCGGCCAUGGCCACAACCCGGUCAAGGAGCCGCUUCUCGGCAGCGAUCACAAGGGACUCGGCCAGCCAACUGCUGGCGGCUGCACAGGCGGAUGACAUCUUGUAAUCUCCAGAGACGGUGAUAAUCCCUUUGGUGCUUGGCAUUUUCAUCUUGAGGUAGGCAUAGUGUGGUACCGCCAUGAAUUUGGCCAAGGCAGGUCGGCCAAGCAGUGCAUGGUAAGGACUUUCAAGGUCAACUACUUCAAACCAGACUGCCUCUCGGCGCAAAUGAUCUCUGUCUCCAAAGAGGACAUCCAUCUUGAUCUUGCCGAUUGGUGAAUGCGAGAGGCCAGGUACUAUGCCAUGGAAGACAGUCCGACUGGGCUGGAGCUGCUUCUGCUUGAUGCUCAACUUCUCCAUGGUAUCGCGGUACAAGAUGUUGAUGCUGCUACUGCCAUCUAUUAGGACUCGGGAGAAGCGAGCAGCUCGCCUCUCCGUAGAAAAGGUGGUAUCCAACACCAGAGCAUAAGAACCCGGAGAAGGCAUUACCUCUAGGUGAUCGGCUCGGCUCCAACUGAUUGGCUUUUCAGACCAGUGCAUGAACUCUGGUGCUUCAGAAGCUACAGCAUUCACCUCUCGGGACUGCUGGCGCCGGGUGUGCCUGUCGUUAGCCACACUAGUGAAGACAACGUAGGCUCCUUGUUCUUCCGGGUACUCAUCUUGGAUGGCGGCAACUAGCCGGGCUGCCUGCGGAGGAGGAGGAGGCGGCGGCGGCUGGCCAGCAGGCGGAGGAGGCAGCAAUCCUUCGCCCUUGGAGAUUCGGGUGAGCCAGUGACACUUCCGGGUGAUGUGGUUUGAUGGAUUCGCGCCGUUGUGGAACUUGCAGGGUGCAUCAAGGGUUUGCUCAUAGGAGAAGGCGGGUAGCCAAUUUGGCUUGCCGCCCCUCUGACGCUUGGGAGCGGGCUGCCCCUCCGGCUGCUGGUCUUCGACUGUCGCCACUUGCAGGCUGGCGGAAGUGGGCUGCGGUGCCUUGCGCUUGUAGUCGUUUUGCUGCUGUCGCCGACUGGUGUCACCAGCCGGAGUUCGAGGGGCCUGAGGAGCCACUUUGCCGGAUGCAUCAAUUUGAAUCUCCAUCUUCAUGGAGGAGUCGGCUGUGGUGUGCUUGUCCGCUAUGAUCAGCAGUUCGUCGAGGGUUUCCAGCUCGUCGCAGAGAAGUUGGUGCUUGAGCAGGGUGCCUUCUCUGCACCCGGCGGUGAAGUACUCGAUAGCCUGCACCUCGUGCACGCCCUCGCAAGAGUUGCGUAGCUCGGCCCAACGCGUGAGGUAUUCGCGAGUCGAUUCAUUGGGGCCUUGGACACACAAGGAGAGCUGGCGGGGCUUGGGCGGCCGCUUGUACGUGCUAGUGAAUUUGCGGAUGAAGGCUUCAGUGAAAUCAACCCAGCUGUUGAUGCUGCGAGGCUUCAGGUUGUUCAGCCAUGUCCGGGCGGUGCCCUGGAGCAUGAGCGGAACGUAUUUUAUGGCAACGCGCUUGUUGCCGUUUGCUAUGUUGACAGUCGUGGAGUAGUCGACCAGCCAGUCUUCCGACUUCACGGAACCGAUGUACUUGGGCGUAUCUCUUGGGAGCGUGAGCCCUCUGGGGAAGGGUUCGUCGUGGAUGCGGGGGCCGAAACAAAGCGGGCCCAGCGCGUCUUCUUCUUCUAGCGCUAGGGAUCGAUUGAGACGGUCGAUCCAGUGGCGGGCAACGUUUUCUCCGAUUCCUUCUCGGGGGCCAAGUCGGCCACCGAGACUCGGGUGAUCAACAGGCGGUGGGGAGACGCGCCUUUCUCUGCGCAGGGGAGGCUGAUAGCCGCCUGGUCGUUCCACUGCUUGUGGGCGACCAUCUUGGUCGCGCUCGAUGGUGAUGUGCGUCCGGCUGCGGCUUGCAGCCGGCUCCUUGUCUCGUCGUCUGCGGGCGCCGCCAGUCAGCGUCCGGGAUGUAGCGUCGUGCUCUCGGCAAGGAGGCGGGUCGUCGUUCGGCUAGUUGGGCUCCUCGACGCGGCAGCCGGCUUCUUGCUGCUCGGUAGCCGCGUCAAUGAGCCGCUGGACGUGCUCCGUCAUGUAGCGACGCUCCUCGCCCUCGAGGUUGUCUAGCUCAUCUGCUGCGCCUAGGCAGCUCGUAUGCUUUCCAUGGGCGUGGCGUAGACAGGGCGGUCUGCCCCGAACAUGCUGGGAAUGGCCGCGCCGUGUUGCCGGACCGUGCCGAUGCGGCUGGGCCCGCCAGGAGCCGGCGUGCCACCAACAGCGCGGUCCAUCUCGCGCUGGUAAGCCUCCGAGAGGCGUCUCAUGCUGGCCAGCUUCUUGGCGCUCUCGACAAGCUGGACGCGGCGAGCUUCCAGCGUCUCGGCGUCGGCAUCUUCUACAAUGGGUGCAGACAGGUCUCGUAGCGCCAUCUCGAGCGGGUCUCGAGCGCCGUCACCGGAAGCUCCAUCGUGGCUGAUGACGAGCACCUCCGUGACGGUGCUGCCGCUGCUGUCGCCGCGAGGGAGAGGAUCAUAGAUGACCACCACAUUGGUGAGGAACGCGUCGAGUGACGCCGUGUUGGAGUCGACGAGCAUCGGGUCGGUGGAGCCGAUCGACUCCAAGUCGAAGGCCGGCUCGUUGGCGAUGUGGAGCUGGUCGAGGAGGCUAACGACGCGGCUCUCGGGGCCGUCUGUGCCAGCGACGGACGCAGGCUCGUCGGAGAGGCGGAUCUCGCCGACAAGAUCAGCAAGGCAGCUCGUCGUGCAAGCGACCUCUACGCCAUGCAGCGCGUCGGCGCAAACGCCGUCUGGCGUGUCGUGCUGGCUGCGCUCACCUGGAAGGAAGAGGGUUCCCGUCCAGAACAGAUCUUCGGACGACGGUGCACCUAGCCCCACGGUGGGCGGUCGGGGUUUUGGUGCAACAUAUGCCAACGGGCGGCUUAUCAUGGUGGGGGAUAGUAAGACGUCGUCGGUGCCAGGGAGCGGGAUGACGCGUAGACACGUGCGCCGGCGAACUUUACCCAGGUUCGUGGAUCUCCUAGGAGAUAACACCCCUAGUCCUGCUCUGCGGGGUCUCCACAUGCUCACUAUAUCAACAAGUAGCUACAAGAUGCUCCUUGAGCUAUUUGCUAUAGGAGGAAGAAGGGCUAGGCUAGCUUUCUCCUCUCUCUAUAUGCGUGGUUAUGUAAUCUAAGAGUGUGAACCCUUUGCAUGGGUGCCCUGGGGGUUUAUAUAGGCCUACCCCCUAGGGGUACAAUGGUAAACUGGCCGGGUGUAGGCCCAGGCCGUCAGUGUCUCUUGUGGCCUGCUUCUCCGCUGGCUGCUGGGGCCCGCCGACUGGUGGGCCCCACCGGCUGUCUCGUACUUGGCCGACAGGCCGCGCCCGCCGCUUGCGGGUCUUGCCGGCUGCUCAUCACUGUAGUCGUGCCUCUAAUGACGCUUGCUUUGUCGGGGAAGGCGUGGCUACAGUCCCGCCGCCUGGCGGGCGUUCACUGUAGCCACUCCCCAUCUCUUCUGGUUAAUGGCGCACAAACUCCUAGGAAGGGGAGGGCCGCCUGCGGGGUGCCGGCCUCUCCCCCAAGCCGACUGGCCAGGCUUGCCGCCUUCUAGCUUCUCACUGGCAGGUAGGGCCCGCCGCCUGCGGGCCGUAUCGACAGCCCGUCGUGGGAGCAUGGUCCUUCCGACUCGGGUGAUGUCACGGGCGGAGGGGCCACAGUGCCGCGCCGUGCAGGAGAUCUUCCGCUGGUACGGCGCACUGUGGCCACGACCCAUCCUGGUUUCGGGGGUGGCAGGCUUCGCUGCAGCCAUGCCCUGUCUUAUCGCAUUCAUGAGGGUGCAGACUUUGAGGGCGCCUGGGGCCGCCUGCUUGGAACCGGCCUCUUUGGAGGCCGCCUACUAGGAGGUGGCCCGCUUCGUGGCCAUCUUCUGGGGCCCACCGCCUUCCGGCAGCCGGCCGCUUGGACCAGCCGUCCUCAAGAAGGCGGCGUUCAUGCAUUGAGGUUUGAGGGGCGCAGUUGGCCCCGAUGUCUUGUAAUGUCAUGGGGGCAGAUGAGGCUACCCAUGGCCAAUAACUCCGACAUUUCUCUACGCGGCCAUCGCCCCCUCGCCGGCCCCCGAGCCCUUUAGUUUGAUUUGGGAUAUCCGUUUGCCCCUGAAAAUCAGGAUCUUCUUAUGGCAGUGGAUCCGAGGACACCUCCCGUCUGGGGUGGAAGUCCUUAAGCGUAAUGGACCUGGAGAUGGGAUCUGCCCCCUGUGCGGCACGGUGGAGGAUGCUAACCACAUCUUUUUCUGUUGCUCCACGGCCCAGUUUCUAUGGUCCUGUUUCCGCGAGACGGUCGGUGGCCAAUGGUGCAACACUGAAAGUGCAAGUUAUCGACUAGAGGGGGGUGAAUAGGCGAUUUUUAUGAAAGUCUUCAAAACACGGAAGUUUCAAAGACAAACGAUAGAAAUGUACCUAUUAACACGCAGCGGAAGGUAGACUACACUAGGCAAGCCAUAGACUAGUAUUCAAUGAAGUGAAAGCACGAAGACUAUUAGCAGCUAGGCAGUAUGGAUCAGGAUGGAAGAUAGUAUGAAGCCAAUCAGAACAAGUAGUCACACAGUGAAGUCAAACAGAUAAUGCAAACAUGCAAAGACUUCACGAAGACAAACUGUAAGUAAAGAGAGGGAGAAGAUAGAACCAGUCUCUUGGAGAGGACAAGGAUUUGUUGGACCAGUUCCAGUUGUUGUGACAACUGUACGUUUGGUUAGGGAGGCUGAGAUUCAACUCAGAAGACCACGUCUUCACCUUAUUCCCCUUGAGCUAAGGACACCCAGUCCUACCCCAAUCACUCUGGUAAGUCUUCAAGGUAGACUUCCGAACCUUCACAGACUUCGUUCACCGGCGAUCCACAAUGACUCUUGGAUGCUCAGAACGCGACGCCUAACCGGCUGGAGGAUUCACAGUCCUCAAACGUAACAAGUCUUCAGGUCACGCGGACAGAAAGACUUCAGUGAUGCCUAACACUCUUUGGCUCUGGGUGUUUUGGGCUUUGUCCUCGCAAGGAUUUCUCUCUCUCAAAGCUUCGGAGGUGGGUUGCUCUCAAACGACAAAACCCGUGCACUAACUCUGAGCAGCCACCAAUUUAUGGUGUAGGGGGUGGGCCAUUUAUAGCCACUAGGCAACCCGACCUGAUUUGUCCGAAAUGACCCUGGGUCACUAAGGAACUGACACGUGUUCCAACGGUCAGAUUUCAAACAUACACGGCAGCUUGACUUGGGCUACAAGUAAAGCUGACUCAUCCAGCUCUGGAUAAGAUUUGCUCUCAUUGUCUUCGCUCGAAGACAUGGGAUUUGGUUGAGCAUCACUUCAGUUACUCUGACUUUGUUCACUUGGACCCCACUUAGCAGUACGGUGGUUCCUAUAACUCAACAAAGAAGAAAAGGAAACUACGAAACAACUAUGUCUUCGCACUCCAUAGUCUUCACGUGAAUGUCUUCUCGAGUCAUAAACUUCGAUGUGAUUGUCUUCAUAUACCACCAUUUCUUCAAUGUCUUCAUACAAUUUUAGGGGUCAUCUCCGGUAGGUAAACCGAAUCAAUGAGGGACUACUACCUGUGUUAUCCUGCAAUUCUCACAAACGCAUUAGUCCCUCAACCAGGUUUGUCUUCAAUACUCCAAAACCAACUAGGGGUGUCACUAGAUGCACUUACAAUCUCCCCCUUUUUGGUGAUUGUUGACAAACUGGUUGAAGUUUUCAACGGGGAUAAAAGUAUGUGAAAUUGUAAAGGAUUAAGGUAUUGUCUUCAUAAGUAGCAAAAGGCUCCCCCUGAAGAUGUGCACAUGAGUAUUUUGCUUUUGGAAUGCAAAUGCACAUGGCAGGUUGUACUUGUGGAGAUCCUCUUCAACUUAUGAAGGCAAUUCAUCAUGCAUGAUAAGAUAUAACGAAGAUAAUGACAUGCAUAACGAAAAAUGGAUGUCUGCAAUAUGACUUCGUGCGGGAUUUAUCAUCUCACAUGCGGAAUUUAUCAUCGCAUCACAGAAUAGCAGAAAAAGUAGCAGACGACCAUCAAGUUUAAGUGUUACAACUCAAAGAACCAGAAGUAUCAAAAGAGAGAGUUGUAAGCACUUGGCAAAAUAUAAGGCAACCACCCGUAAGGACCCGCUUGAAGACUAUCAACCCAUAUGCUUCUCCCCCUUUUGUCAAUAAGAACCAAAAAGGUUUGAAGACAUAGAGCCUCUACUCGUUCCCAUGAGGAGUAGGUGAAGCAGCAGGGUCGUCGUUGAGGUUUGGUGGUGCAGAAGAGCUUGGUGCAGUGUCGAUACGCGCCAAAGUAGGAGGUGGUGAAGUAACAUCAUCUUCAUCAUCGAUGACUCUUGCAUUGACUGUUGCCGCAGAGGAUGAGUACAUUACAAAAAAAUACACUUCAGUGAUGAUACGUGUUUGUCACAGUAGGUCACGUUUUCUGUCGUGCAUGUACAUCCAUGACAAAUUUAUGACAGAAUCAAGAUAGUCAUACCUGUGCUGUCGUAGAAGUGUUCCAUGACAUUACCAAAAUUAUCAUCACAUAAGUGUCCACUUCCAUGACGAUAAAUCGCACGUCACAGAAGUGCUUUCGUUAAGGGUGAGUGUAACGUGGCAUCCACUGUAACGGAAUGCCGUUAAGCUAUCGGGUCCAGUUUUGGAUCCGAUAACCCUUUAACAGCCCGGACCAAUGGGGAUUUUCCACAUGUAAAAUCAUCAUUGACCGGAGGAAACACGUGUUGCCUCACCGUUGGGACAGAUGUCAUCCACUCAUUGGACAGGAGGCGCCUAUGAUAGGUCGACACAUGGCACGACCCAACAGUGGCCCAUUCCGGUGAAAAAGGCCGGCCCAGUAAAAAAUAGCAGGCCGGCCCAUAUAAGGCCUACUUGUGUCAGGUCCAUUUAAGCCCACGGCCCAUACGAGAUGUGCCAAUUCGGCCCGUCAACGGCCCGUUAAAGAUUUGACACCAUUGCAGCCCAUCGUCAGUUCGAGCCCGUUAACAGCCCGCUAUAUAUUUGGGCUCAAUAUCGACCCGAUGAGAUUUUGGCCUGUUAACGGCCCAUUCAAUGGAUGGGACAAUUUUCACAAUGUACAUCUUUCGGACUUUUAGUGACCCAUUUAAAUAUUGGGCUAAUUUCCGGCCCGGUGUGUCUUUCAGCCUGUUGACGGCCCAUAAAUCAGUUGGGCCAUUUGUAGUCGGACCUGAGUUUCGGCCUUUUAGCGACCCAUUUAAGUGUUGGGCCAAUUUUCGGCCCGGUGUGUCUUUCAGCCUGGUGACGGCCCAUAUAUCUGUUGGGCCAUUUGUAGUCGGACCUGAGUUUUGGCCUUUUAGCGACCCAUUUAAUUGUUGGGCCAAUUCCCGGCCUUGUGUGCCUUUCAGCCUGUUAACGGACCAUAAAUGAGUUGGGCCAUUUGUAGUCGGACCUGAGUUUUGGCCUUUUAACGGCCCAUGCCCUUCAUGGUCCAAUGCCAGCCCGGUUUCUCUUCGGCCUGCUAAAGGCCCACAACACAGUUGGGCCAUUUACAAUACGACCUGACUUUCGGCUUCUUAGCGGCCCAUGCUCUUCAUGGUCCAGUACAAGCCCGCUAUCUCUUUCGGCCUGCUAAAGGCCCACAGUAUAGUUGGGCCAUAUGUAGCCCGAACUUAGUAAUGGCCUGUUAACGGCCCGUGAAAUCAAUUGGGCCCACCUGUUGCCCGCUUUGAUGUGAGCCUGUUAACUACCCGGGAGUUAAGAGGGCCGACCAUUAACUUUCGGCCUGGUAACGGCCCAUUAACUUAAUGGGCCCACUAAAAUUCGUACAUGUCUUUAGGACAAAUUAGAUAAUUUGAGCCCAUUAUGACGAGCAAUUAUGCACAGGAUCAAAACCGAUCGAGCAAACACUACUGGAAUCAGCUAAUUUGCCAUCUGCCAGCUCUUUGUCGUCUGCUAGCUGACGGCAAAGAAGCUCUUUGUCAUCAGCUACCCAAAAGCAGACGGCAAAGAAGCUCUUUGCCAUCUGCGAGCUCUUUGCCGUCUGCCAGCAGACGGCAAAGAGAGAGGUGGCCCCCACCCCCCGCCCGUUUGGAAAAAAAUUAACGCCCCACCUCUUUGCCGUCUGCCAGCAGACGACAAAGAGGCAAAAGGGCGGACGGCAAAGAGUGACGGACGGCAAAGAGGAGACUACCUAAUGGNNNNNNNNNNNNNNNNNNNNNNNNNNNNNNNNNNNNNNNNNNNNNNNNNNNNNNNNNNNNNNNNNNNNNNNNNNNNNNNNNNNNNNNNNNNNNNNNNNNNNNNNNNNNNNNNNNNNNNNNNNNNNNNNNNNNNNNNNNNNNNNNNNNNNNNNNNNNNNNNNNNNNNNNNNNNNNNNNNNNNNNNNNNNNNNNNNNNNNNNNNNNNNNNNNNNNNNNNNNNNNNNNNNNNNNNNNNNNNNNNNNNNNNNNNNNNNNNNNNNNNNNNNNNNNNNNNNNNNNNNNNNNNNNNNNNNNNNNNNNNNNNNNNNNNNNNNNNNNNNNNNNNNNNNNNNNNNNNNNNNNNNNNNNNNNNNNNNNNNNNNNNNNNNNNNNNNNNNNNNNNNNNNNNNNNNNNNNNNNNNNNNNNNNNNNNNNNNNNNNNNNNNNNNNNNNNNNNNNNNNNNNNNNNNNNNNNNNNNNNNNNNNNNNNNNNNNNNNNNNNNNNNNNNNNNNNNNNNNNNNNNNNNNNNNNNNNNNNNNNNNNNNNNNNNNNNNNNNNNNNNNNNNNNNNNNNNNNNNNNNNNNNNNNNNNNNNNNNNNNNNNNNNNNNNNNNNNNNNNNNNNNNNNNNNNNNNNNNNNNNNNNNNNNNNNNNNNNNNNNNNNNNNNNNNNNNNNNNNNNNNNNNNNNNNNNNNNNNNNNNNNNNNNNNNNNNNNNNNNNNNNNNNNNNNNNNNNNNNNNNNNNNNNNNNNNNNNNNNNNNNNNNNNNNNNNNNNNNNNNNNNNNNNNNNNNNNNNNNNNNNNNNNNNNNNNNNNNNNNNNNNNNNNNNNNNNNNNNNNNNNNNNNNNNNNNNNNNNNNNNNNNNNNNNNNNNNNNNNNNNNNNNNNNNNNNNNNNNNNNNNNNNNNNNNNNNNNNNNNNNNNNNNNNNNNNNNNNNNNNNNNNNNNNNNNNNNNNNNNNNNNNNNNNNNNNNNNNNNNNNNNNNNNNNNNNNNNNNNNNNNNNNNNNNNNNNNNNNNNNNNNNNNNNNNNNNNNNNNNNNNNNNNNNNNNNNNNNNNNNNNNNNNNNNNNNNNNNNNNNNNNNNNNNNNNNNNNNNNNNNNNNNNNNNNNNNNNNNNNNNNNNNNNNNNNNNNNNNNNNNNNNNNNNNNNNNNNNNNNNNNNNNNNNNNNNNNNNNNNNNNNNNNNNNNNNNNNNNNNNNNNNNNNNNNNNNNNNNNNNNNNNNNNNNNNNNNNNNNNNNNNNNNNNNNNNNNNNNNNNNNNNNNNNNNNNNNNNNNNNNNNNNNNNNNNNNNNNNNNNNNNNNNNNNNNNNNNNNNNNNNNNNNNNNNNNNNNNNNNNNNNNNNNNNNNNNNNNNNNNNNNNNNNNNNNNNNNNNNNNNNNNNNNNNNNNNNNNNNNNNNNNNNNNNNNNNNNNNNNNNNNNNNGACCCAGCACCCCGACCCGACACCCCGGCCCCGGAGACCCCGACCCCGACCCCGACACCGACACGACACCCCGACCCCCGACACCUCCCGAAAAGGUGUUCUUUGGCCUUCCAGAAGCCGACAGGGUCAUAUAUUUGUGAAUUAUUAGUUAGGUCAUAUAUUUUUCGAUUUUGUUAUGAAAAACAUCAUAUAUAAUUGUGUUGAUCGGGUAGUUUUAAAUGUGCAGUUGUUUCAUCGCUGCGAGGUUUGGUGUUCGACGACCUCGCCGUGCGUUUGACGAGCUCUGCCCCUUCGUUCGUGGGUGAGCACAAAUAACAUGUCCUCCUCCCCCAUUAAUUAUUUGAUCUAUUCCGAUGAAACUUGAUAGCAAGCUAUAUAUGUGUCUUGAAUCAUCAGUAUGCGUAACCAAUAUGUGUCUCCCGUUCGAAAGCGUCAUAGUUAUAAAUAUGCAUGCAUUUGCAUAUUUAUAACCUUGAUUCUUUCGAAUUGCCAACGCUAUCCAUGGACAGCCCGAGUAUGUUUAGAUUGGGUUCGUUUUCCCAUAUGCUUUGCUCCGGAUCCGACGCAUAAAUUUCGUCAGUGCCUCCCCUGUUGUUCUCCGGGUACACAUCCUCUCUGUUUAUUGCAGAGACGUGUAUCAGGAGAACAGCGGGGAGGUGCUGCCAAAAUUUUGCGUAGGAUCUUGAGCAUAGCAUUGGAAAAUGAACCCAAUCUAAACAUACUCGGGUGGGAUUAGGACAUAUCAUUACCUAUUAGAGUGUAGGUUGCAUGGACGUAAUAAAAUUGACAAAGUAGAUCAACUGAUGAAUAUAUACAUGGUGAAUUUUAUAUAUAUAUAUAUAUAUAUAUAUAUAUAUAUAUAUAUAUUUGUUGUGUGUCUAGUAGCUCUGAAAGUCAAGAUGAGUGAUCGUGCGUGGAUGUACACCGGUCACACUGGUCAGAACAAAUGGAGCACUGAAUGGUUCACAAAAACCAAGGGGUUUGUGCGAGCCGCAUUUGCAAAUGGCCAGAGGAAAACCUGGUGCCCCUGUUUACGGUGCGGCAAUUGGGAAAAGAGGACAAAGGCUGAAAUGGGCAAACACCUGCAGAAGAGUGGUUUUAAGCCCGAUUAUACGGUGUGGACAUUUCAUGGUGAGUCUGCCCAACGUGACCGAGCUGAGGUGGAUCGUCGUCACACCGACGAGCAUGGUACCGGGAUGGAAAACAUGGUGCAAGACUUCGAUGAUGCUCGGGAUUCGGACGAGGAGAUGGAGGAAUCUGCAAAGGCCUUCAAUGAAAUGUUGGAGUCUUCAAAACGUCCGCUCCAUGAGCACACUGAGCUUUGUCAGUUGGAUGCCAUCUCACAAGUAAUGGCUCUGAAGGCUCAGUUCAACUUGGGCAGAGAAUGCUACGAUGCAAUGAUGACAGUAUUUGGACGCUUUCUACCCAAAGGCCAUGUAAUGCCUGCAAACCUGUACCAGUCGGACAAAAUCCUCCGUGCACUGAAGAUGCCCUAUGAUAAGAUACAUGCCUGUGAGAAAGGAUGUGUCUUGUUUAGGCUUGACUAUGCGGACUUGAACUAUUGUCCCAUUUGCAAGUCUUCCAGGUAUGUUGUGGUAGACAACGGUAUGGGUGAGAAGACACAGACCAAAAUCCCCGUUAGUGUUCUUCGGUAUAUGCCAAUCGUACCAAGACUUCAACGUCUUUUCAUGGUCGAAGAGACGGCCAGACAGAUGACAUGGCACAAAACGGGCAAAAGAACCGAACUAGAUGCAGAUGGGAAUCUGAUGAUUGUACACACAUCGGAUGGUGUUGCGUGGAAAAAGUUUGAUGAAUUACAUGGUGACAAAGCGGCAGAUCCGAGGCAUCCUCGAGUCGGCAUCAGCACGGAUGGGUUCAAUGUGUUUGGUAUGACGGCAUCCCAAUACAGUUGUUGGCCCGUAUUUGUCUUUCCACUCAAUCUCCCCCCCGGACAGAUUAUGCAAAGAAAGAACAUUUUCCUGACGUUAAUAAUUCCAGGGCCCAACUAUCCGGGGAAAAUAUGAAUGUGUACAUGCAACCUCUUAAGGACGAAUUGCAAGAAGCCUGGGAUAAUGGGUUCAAGACAUACGACGCCUAUAGCAAACGGAACUUCAUAAUGCGUGUCUGGUACAUGUACUCGACGCAUGACUUGCCGGCGUAUGCGCUAUUCGUUGGCUGGUGUGUGCAUGGAAGGUUCCGUGCCCCACAUGCAAGGGAGCUCUUGAGUUUCGUUGGCUUCAGGCCGGUCGCAAGUUUUCUUUCUUCGACAUGCAUAGACAGUUCCUGAAUCCUCGCCAUAAGUUCAGGAAAGACAAGAAGAACUUCAUCAGAGGUAGAGUUGUCAAAAACUCUGCACCACCUGCAUUGACAGGCCAACAGACCCUGGAUCAAUUAAACGCUCUCGAGCCAGAUCCAGAGCGUCCAGGGUACUUCAAGGGGUAUAAUUCUAAGCACGCCUGGACUCACAAAACAUGCUUAUGGGAUCUGCCUUACUUCAAAGACCUCCUUUGCCCACACAACAUCGACGUGAUGCACACUGAGAAGAAUAUCGCCGAGGCACUUUUUGGUACAUUGUUCGGCAUAGAUGGGAGGUCAAAGGAUAAUACUAAGGCUAGAGUCGAUCUGGAGGCGCUAUGUGAUAGGCCGUUACAAAACAUGAAAGAACCGAAAGGAAAGCAGAACUGGACGAAGCCAAAGGCAUGGUUCAAUCUUGGAAGGCUAGCUAUGAGGGACAUUAUCUUGUGGGUGAAAAUGCAGUUGAUGUUCCCCGAUGGGUAUGCAGCGAAUCUACAGAGGGGAGCCAGUCUUGAUAAAUUGAAGAUAUUUGGUCUCAAGAGUCAUGAUUGGUACAUAUGGAUUGAGCGGGUAAUGCCGGUGAUGUUGCGUGGCUUCAUCCCUGAGGAUGAAUGGCUAGUACUGGCAGAACUCAGCUAUUUCUUCCGUGUUCUUUGUGCAAAAGAACUAUCGCCUGGCGUGCUAGAAGAAAUGGAAGAGUUAGCGCCGGAGUUGAUCUGCAAGUUAGAGAAGAUCUUUCCACCGGGCUUCUUUAAUCCAAUGCAACAUUUGAUUUUGCAUCUCCCGACCGAGGCAAGAUUGGGGGGGCCCGUGCAAAAUCGUUGGUGCUACCCAACUGAGAGGAUGCAGAAGACGCUUCGACAAAAAUGUAAAAAUAAACGUAGAAUUGAAGCAUCGAUGGCUGAGGCAUUCAUCACUGAGGAGGCGGCAAACUUCGUGACAGCACACUACGAAGCCAAAAAUCGUCAUUUGCAUAAUCCGAAGCCUCGGUACAAUGCUGACGACCCUAAAAAGGGUGGAUCCAACCUCAGCCUAUUCAAAGGGAAUCUCGCACCAGCCAGUGUUUCAAAUCCAGUAUCUUUGGAUAACGAACAAUGGCGGACCAUUUUGUUGUAUAUCUUCAACAACCUGAUAGAAGUGCGGCCGUACAUCGAGUAAGUUCUCGGUACAUAGUUUCACAACUUCUAUUUGCUUUGAACUGCUCUUAUUCCUGGAUAUUUCAUACAGUCGAUAUGUCGCCUUAUUCUCGUAUGGAGCGGUGAUCCAAAAGGAUUCUGUCGAAGAGUAUGAGCUUCUCGCAAAGCAAGGAGGCGGCUAUCCCGGUUUCAUCUCUUGGUUCAAACAAACGGUAAUUUCUAUUAGACUUGUAGGCUAAUUUGUAGGCGGCUAUCCCGGUUUCAUUCGCUAAUUUGUGCGUAAUGCAACAAUCCUUUCAUAUUAAACUUGUAGGCUAAUUCAGAGUCUAUGGACGCCGAAUUGAGACAAGUCGCUAAUGGUUUUGACUAUAAGGUCCGUUCAUUUGACAAAUACGACAUCAACGGGUAUCGCUUUCGUACCUAUGGCAAAGAGCUAUCUAUGGCCGACCGAAAGUCUACAAAUUGUUGUGUAUCUGCUAUCGGCGAAGGAGGUACCGAGUAUUAUGGGAGAGUUGAAGCAAUUUAUGAACUUCUAUUCUAUGGUGAAAACCCACCGAAUGUCGUAGUCUUCAAAUGUUAUUGGUUUCAGCCGAAGGAGACUAGAAGGACUCAUGAACAUAUAGGGCUAGUUGAAAUCAACCAAAUCACCCAUUUAGAUGUUCCUGAUGUCUAUAUUACGGCUCAACAGGCGACCCAAGUAUUCUAUCUACCGUGGGCCUGCCAAACUAAUCCAAAUCUGAAAGGUUGGGAUGUCAUUUAUGAAGUGCCGCCACGUGCUAGACUAUCUCCCCCAAAGGAAGAGGAUUAUGAACCUCACAUUAACCCAGACACAUAUGAAGGAGAAUUCUUCCAAGAGACACGUCUUUACAAAAAGCGUUUCAAGAACCGCUAUACUUCACCCCAAAACAUUGAAGUAGACAGUGACAGUGAAUCCGACAUCACCCCAGAGGAGGAACAAGAAGAGCCGGAACAAGAAGAGGUUACUACUGCGGAUGACCUGUCAUUGCUUGACCGAUUACGUCAAGGUGGCCUUCCACAUGUUGAUGCCACUGAACCCUAUGAGACCGUCAUUGAUUAUAGUGAUGAUGAUGAUUAUGCAUUUACUGAUGAUACUGAUCGAGAUUAUUAGUAGUGUCAGGUAUUAAAUUUUUUUAUGUUGUACUUGAUGAUGAUACACUUAAGUGAUACACAUAUUAUUAUUCAUGUCGGUCUUUUUUUUAUGUUGUACUAAUUUCGUUUACUAUUUGUCAUGGCAGGUGUUGAAAGAUGGUGGGCGCUGGUGGGAGCGCGCCAAGGCCCCUUCUUCGUCGGGGCGUGGUCUGAGGUCUUCCAUUCCAGACGCACCUCUCCGCCGAGCGUUGCUGGACAGUAUGGCCACACCGCCGGGCCCUUCUUCGUCGACCGCGGUGCCCAGCAGGGGACGAGGUAGGAAGAGAGGAGGUGGGGCACGUGGUCGCGGGAGAGGAGGUAGGGUGACUGCUACGGCGCCUUCCUCGCCGCCACCCCCAGCUGUUUCACCCGAGCACGUGACUGCUAGGGUGGACUCGUCCGAGGAGGAGGCUACACGGACUCCGGUCCAUGAGCUUCCGGUCCAUGGGUCUUGGGCCCACGAGCCUCGGGUCGACUGGCCUUCGGCCCACGAGACCCCGGAGGAGCACACGUCCGGAUGGGGUACCUGGCCGGAUCAGCCCGAGGAGCCGAGUGGCCAUGCUGAUGAUGGCGGGGAGCCGACUGAUCUUGAGGAGGAGGGGGCACCGUCUACCAGCGUGGUGCUACACGGCUCCCGUCCGUGCCGGCGACCCGCGAGCAGAGGUGGUUGAUUUUCCCUGAUGGGGAGAGGUACGUAAGUGCAUUUAAUAUUUUUGUACCUUCUGCAUUCACGUUUCUUCAAAUAACUAAUGCGUUGGCCAUGUCAUGCUGCAGGGGUUGGGACCACCAUCAUAGUGUCCGCCGGCCCAACUCCGUCCUUGGAGUUCUUUGCCGGCAAAACUUCCUGGGGUUUGUCACGUUGCCUGGUGAGGGUCGGCUUCCAGAGCUUGGAUUGAGCUGGGAGCACUACGUGGCUGCCCCGGCCCCGCCGGAUGAGAUUAUCGACGGUGUCGUGUGCGACACGAGGGCAGACAUGGUGAUCAGAAAGUUCUGGGUAAUUUCUCCUUUACACAUUUAAAAAUCUUCAACUAGCUAGUUAUUAAUUGUACUAAUCAAUAUUGUCUCAUUUGAUUGCAGACAUUCUACAGGUGUGAGGAGGGAUACGAGGAGGACGCGGCACAUGUUAUCGAGAACGUCUGCAAGCGCCUACUCCAGAACUUAUGGCACGAGGCUCGGGUGCAGGCUGUUCGAGACUACUACGCCUUGCGUGGUAUCAAGAAGACCAAGCCGGCGUCCCGCGAUAAGUUCCUGAGUAAGGAGCAGUACAUGAAGGUAAUUCUUAAGGCCUUCUACUUAAGUUCCUUCAUUUAGAAAUUCUUAGCCGUAGCGCUCAAGUUUCUAUUUGCUAACUUAGGCGCCUCCGAGAUGGUGUGCGGAUCGGAUGUAAUGUUGGGAGGUGUUGGUCGAUGAGUGGUGCUCAAAAGAAUGGCUAGCCCUCCACAACGAGGCCAAGGACAAACGUGCCCAAAUGGAAGGUGUGCCACACCAUCAAGGCAGCUCCAACUUAUAUCAGUUCGGGCGCAACUGGGUAUGUGGUUUGCUUCAUGAUUCAUGCAAUUCAUUCAUCAUGCUAGCUUGAGCCCUUUAAUUACUAAUUUACAUUGUUUCUCUCUUUCAGGCACGCCACAAUAAGGUGGAUAAGGUGCCAGAGGUGUAUGACCUGUAUGCCAUGGCCCACACUGCCUCUUUCAAGAAAGUCAAGGCUUUCUCUCAGUCUGACCUCGAUGAUGCAAACAACUUCACCAACAUCUCCUCCCACAACAAGCUCGUGAGAUAUAGAGAUGAGGGGAAGGCGAGGAAAGGGGAGGACUUUAACCCGAGCCAGGGUCCCAUUGAUCUAGAGCUGGUGAUGAUAUCUGGUGGCGGGAGGUCCCAUGGCUCCAUAGCCAUUGGAGAUGGAUUUAUCCGUUGUCCUAGCACUCUACCGGAGAUCAAGGCGCGCCAGUCGAGCUCCGCUCCUGAGAUAAGGCCUCGUGAACGGCCAGUGCAACUCGCCAUCAAGGUUAGUGAUACGUACUCAGUUAUCUUUCUCCAUUACAUUGUGUGCGCUUCCAUCAAUGAUUACAAAUGGUCAUGUGAGUGGUGUUGCAGGCUUCUAUACAGAGUGAGAGAGAUAGAACGGAGAAACUUCUGGCGGAGGCGGCGGAGAGGCAGCGGGAGUUGGAGGAGAGGACGACAAAGAUGAUGGCGGAGGAGAGGGCACAGAAUGACAUGCAGGUAAGGGCCAUGUACGAGCUCCUUGUGGUAAGUUUCUUCUGCAAAUUAGCCAAAACAUUCAUGUAGUGUUUGUAUCAUUACUAACUAGUAUGACUGAGUCGUCAAAACCAAAUGUGCAGUCUGUGUGCGAGAAGACAGGUCAGACCGCUCCGCCGAUGCCAGUGAUUGCUCCUGGGACCACGGUGAGUUUUAUUUGAAUGGACAUUACUUGCUAGUCUUAACAUUUGAGUGUCAUCAUGCUAACAAGACAUUGGAAAUGAUCUUUGGUGCAGCGUAACUCCUGACAAGCAUCGCACGAUCCUUCUCCAGCUACCGACACGAGCCAGCCCGCUCCUACACCUCCUGGAUCUUGGUAAGUUUAUCUAGUGUUUUGCUUAACACAUGCAUAAAGACCUAGACUUAGCUUUAUUUCCUCCAAUGCUUACCAUAAUGACCUAGACUUAGCUUCUUCUCCUCCAAAAUGACUUAAUAAGCUUACUGACCUCCAAAACCAUCCAUUUUACCUAAGUUAGCUCUAAAACGAUCUGUACUUAGCUUACUUAUGUCAAAAAUUGCAUAAUUAGCUUAGUUAGCUCAUAGACGAUCCAUUUUACCUAAGUUAGCUCUAAAAUGACCCAUUUUACCUAGGUUAGCUUAUAAAUGAUCCAGUUCAUCCAAGUUAGCUAAAAAAUGACCCAUUUUACCUAGAUUAGCUCCUAAAUGAUCCAUUUUACCUACGUUAGCUUUAAAAUGACCCAUUUCACCUAGGUUAACUCCAAAAUGACCCAUCUUACCUAGGUUAUCUCAUAAACGAUCCAUUUCAACUACUUUAGCUCAUAAACGAUCCAUUUCACCAAGUUAGCUAAAAAACGAUCCAUUUCACCUAAAUUAGCUCUUAAAUGAUCCAUUUCACCUAAGUUAGCUCAAAAAGAUCCAUUUCAACUAAAUUAGCUCAUAAAUGAUCCAUUUCACCUAAGUUAGCUCAAAAACGAUCCAUUUCAACUAAGUUAGCUCAUAAAUGAUCCAUUUCACCUAAGUUAGCUAAAAAACGAUCCAUUUCACCUUAGUUACCUCAAAAACGAUCCAUUUGACCUUAGUUAGCUCAUAAACGACCCAUUUCAACUAAGUUAGCUCAUAAAUGAUCCAUUUCACCUUAGCUAGCUCAUAAACGACCCAUUUCAACUUAGUUAGCUCAUAUAUGAUCCAUUUCACAUAAGUUAGCUCAUAAAUGACAUACUCUUCUUGUUCUAGUCUUCUUCUUGUUCUACUCUUCUUGUUCUAGUCUUCUUCUUGUUCUACUCUUCUUGUUCUAGUCACCUAUUUCUAACUUUCUUAUUUUGCCAUUUUGCAGAUUUCAUUCACUUCAUGGAAGCUACUCUUCUUGUUCUAGUCUUCUUGUUUAUGUAUGGAUGGAACUUUGUUUAUGUAUGAAGGCUCUUUGUGAUAUGAAUGGAACUUUGUUUAUGUAUGAAGGAACUUUGUUUAUGUAUGAAGGAACUUUGUUUAUGUAUGAAGGAACUUUGUUUAUGUAUGAAGGAACUUUGUUUAUGGAUGGAAUUUUGUGAUAUGAAUGCCUGUGAAAUAUAUCUAUAUAUGUCAUAUAUAUUUGCUAUGAAAAUUGUUGGGUUUAAUAAAAAACAGAAAAAAGAGCCAAUAUGCAGGCUCUUUGCCGUCUGCCGCGGACGGCAAAGAAGACACGUGGCAUCCAGCUGUGCUUCCUGGGAGCUGACCCAUUUGGUCAGUUUGCCUACAGUGGCAGACGGCAAAGAGUAAACGAGUUUGCCGUCAGCGGCGGACGGCAAAGGCCUGCCAUGUAGUGACGUGUAGAUGACAUCAUACGGCGGACGACAAAGACACUAGAAAGUUUGCCGUCCGCUGGCAGACGGCAAAGGCACUAGAAAGUUUGUCGUCCGCGGCGGACGGCAAAGGCCUGCCGUUAGCCACUUAACAGACUGAGAGCACAAUUAUUGCCGUCCGCGGCAGACGGCAAAGGGCCUUUGCCGUCAGCCGCCAGGAAGCAGACGGCAAAGUAGCUGUUUACCUACUUUGCCGGAGCCUUUUGCCGUCCGCGGCUGACGGCAAAGGCCUUUGCCAUCCGCCGUGGCAGACGGCAAAAUAGCUGAUUCCUGUAGUGAAAGGUACGGCAUACAGGGAAAACGUUGCACAUCCAGCAUAUAUUACAGGAAGUUACAUCCAUUGGGCAAUCAAAGAUUGAUGCCAGUGCAAAUAAAUGAACAGAACCUAAUGAUCUACAACGUCACAAUCUGCACUCAGCACGGAUGACGCCCAUAAGCAUGUGGGAAGUUCUUGCUGCUUUGCUACACUCUCUCUGAAAACAUUGAUCAGUUGUUGUGUCACACGACUCUGCACCUCUGAUUCCUCCACCAUUUCCAUCAUUCCUUCAGCCAUUAAUUGGUUCACAAACAUACAUUUUUUUCGUUGCAUUCGAGAUAGAGGAUACUGAACAGAUUCAGAUGGCGAUUUGGUAGGCUUCUAUUAUUGAUAGUGGAGAGUGUCUCGACCACUGCAUCAUAACAUAAAUUAGGAGGGGAACCAAACAGAUUAAUCAUGAGUUAUUGGUAUAUUACCUGGCCUAGAUUUAUUGGAAAGAAACAAUGGGGUUGCCUUGCUGUUUUCAGAGUUUGUCUUCUUAUCUUCAGCAGCCUGCACCAAAUUAAGACACUAGCAUUGCUAUCAUUGGCCAACUCAGAUAAUAGGAAAGCAACAUUGGCACAACGAACGUUUGGGAAACUAGCCAACACCAAAUUAACACAAUAUGGCACAGCUAUCAUCAGCCAGGUAAGGUAAUAUGAAAGCAACAUUGACACAAUGAAUGAAUGGGCAACCAGAGCAGCACUACAAUUCAGUAAUGUGCAUGAUAUGAGAUAGUACACUCAUGCAGCUCAGUAUGCACAACUACCAGGUAGUUUUCUUUACAAAAAUCAACAUUGGCGCCUUUAACAUUUUGCUACAACUAAUUUUAGAUCAGACAAAGGUUGGAUUCACGCCGAUUAACAAAAUACAUGCUGAUGUAAAAAUAUAGUGAUAUACAACAGGUACUUACAUCAGCAUUGGAGCACAAAGAAUUCCCGCAAGAUGUUUUCCUCGAAUACAAUCCCAAUGAAAGAAAUCUUCUAUCAUUUAACCUUAUUUUCUAAAAGAGAUAUGGGUAAGAAACAUGUAGAAAAUAUGAUCAAAAUGCUAUAAAAUUUCAUGAUGCGAGGAUACGCACACGCUUCUUAGAAUGGAGUUGACAUUCUUUUGCUGGACUGGAGCGGACUAGUUCUUUGGCCACUGGAAUCUGCUUAUUAUCAGUGGGAGUUGGGUUUCUCUGUGCUGGAGCAGUAUCUAUGAAAAAUGGAGUUAGUUUAUUAUCUCCUGGCAUUUGGAUCUUUUGCAAAGACCUGGUUUGUAACCCUUCAGAUUCUAACAUAGCCGUCUUCCCCUUGCAUGCCUUAUAUAGAAGAAUGGUGCUUCAAUUAUAAAACAUGCUACAACAGAUAUGGAAUAGGUACUGAAGAAUAGAAAGGCAUGACAUAUUGACAUGUAUUCCCUCCAUCCGGAAAUAAAUGGAUAGGUCUAGGUGUAUUUCAGUUCUAGAUACAUCCAGUUUUAUCCAUUUCUGCGACAUGUAAUCCGGACGGAGGGAGUAUGAUGUAAGAGCUAGGGAUACGACAGGACAACACAGUAAAAAACACUGAAAACCCACUGCAGAACCAAUGUAAUCAAACCCAUUGAUAUGAGAUAGUACACUCAUGCAGCUCAGGAUGCAAAACUACCAGGCAGUUUUCCUUACAAAAAUCAACAUUGUGGCCUUUAAUCAUACAUUUUGCUACAACCAAAUUUAGAUCAGAUAAAGGUUGGAUUCACGCCGAUUAACAAAAUGCAUGUUGAUGUAAAAAAUAGUGAUAUACAACAUGUACUUACAUCUGCAUUGGAGUACAGAGAAUUCCUGCAAGAAUCUUUCCUCACAGACGAUACCAGUGCAGAAAUUCUUCUAUCUGUUAAACUUAUUUUCUAAAAGAGAGAUGGGUAAGAAACAUGUAGAAAAUAUGAUCAGCAUGCUAUAAAAUUUCAUGAUGCAAGGAUACGCACACGCUUCUUAGAAUGGAGUUGACAUAUUUUUGCUGGACUGGAGUGGACUAGUUCUUUGGCCACAGGAAUCUGCUUAUUAUCAGUAGGAGUUGGGUUUCUCUGUGCUGGAGUAGUAUCUAUAAAAACUGGAGUUGGUUUAUUAUGUCCUGGCGUUUGGAUCUUUUGCAAAGACCUGGUUUGUAACCCUUCAGAUUCUAACAUCGUCGUCUUCCCCUUGCAUGCCUUGUAUAUAAGAAUGGUGCUUCAGUUAUAAAACAUGCUACAGCAGAGAGAUGGAAUAGGUACUGAAGAAUAGAAAGGCAUGACAUAUUGACAUGUAUUCCCUCCAUCUGAAAAAAUGGAUGGGUCUAGGCGUAUUUCAGUUCUAGAUACAUCCUUUUUUAUCCAUUUCGGCAACAUGUAAUUCGGACGGAGGGAGUACGGUGUAAGAGCUAGGGAUACGACAGGACAACACAGUAAAAAAAACACUAGUUGAAUGUAAAAAUGUAUGCUAGCAGAAUACGUACAAAAAAAAACUAAGGCAGCAUACACGUGUAUGAUUGGGAAACUAAGGUGGCAUUGCAACAGAGCACUAGAACAGCACUUCAAUGUAAAAAAACAUGGUAUGGUAGACAUAUGAAGUACGUACUGAUGAAUAACAAUGCAUAAGAUAUUCAGAAGCAUGAUGUCCAAAUUAAGCAGAUGGCAUUGCGAUAGAGUAGAAUGACAGUACUUGAAUUUGAAAACAUCUUAUCAUGAAUGGAAUAGGUACUGAAAAACAGGAAGGCAUGACAUAUUUACAUGCAUGAUCAGCAUGCUAAGCACAUGGCAUUGUUACAGGGUAGAUACACUCCAAGACAUUAUAUGCAUGUUGUACCCAUAUCAUGGGCCAAGUUAGAGCAAGGACCUUAUGGGGUGAAGAGGAUUCAACAUCUUUCUGCAAGUCUUCUGAAGAACUGCCUUUAUAUGUUCCAUCAUAUUGGGUAUCAUUGACAUCAAGUUUAUUGGCCUUUACAUUGCUCUGUGAGGUUCUUGUGGAUAUAUCAGUGUGUGCAAUUAUAUCUGACAUGCAUGGAAGACAACUAGUAGUUAGAUUUAUGUAAUGAGUGCCUGUAGGAGACGACAUAAAUAGUAGGACUGGGGUUAACUAGCAGCAACAGGUCUCAAAAACUAAAGGGAGAACACAGAUGAAAGCUACAGAAUAUGUAUCGUUUGUACUCGAGAUUAACUAGAUGGCACACAAAAGUAUUAAAGAACAACAUAGGUAAUACUAGAAGUGGUAUAAUACUAUAAUCACCAGCCUGUGGGAUAGCAUUGGCUGAUGGAUGAUAACUAUAGAACAGCGUUACCUAAAGAACAAGUAUCUUAGCUGAACUAUGGAACAACGUUAACUCCUGAACAAGACCCGUAAGAGAUCAGCAUGAAUAUACAGUGAAAUGUGAUAAUCUAUUUUCCAUGCUUAGAUGAAUAACAAAGCCAUAAAUGUUGCACACAAGUAAGAUGAGGGUACAACCUAUCUGGCCGCCAUCCAUAGGAGUGAGCAUCAUGUGCUGACUUGUCGAUGGCCCUGCAGUUGUUGUGGCUGUCCAUGUCGGGCACGCGCAUUCGAUGCAGGGAACUGUUGAGUGGGGACUAUAGCUCCCUUCUGGUGUAUGCUUCCCUUGUUGGAGCAGCUGCGGUGAGUCGAAAGACGGUGCGGCUAAAGAUGCAGAUAACGCAUAAUGUUAAGAAUGACACAUCUCUUUGAUCUGAAGAAAUACACUAAGAGAUCAACAGCAAGGUACGAGAGUGGUCACACGUCUGUUGACUGAGACUAAAUUGGGGUCACAUGAUUUUGUUAUAUUUUGGUACUGUUCGAUCUACGCCGGAUGGCUUGAUGGCCGUCUUGUGCCUCCCGGCUGACACUGUUAGGAAUCUUCCCCGAAGAGCCAGCGAGNNNNNNNNNNNNNNNNNNNNNNNNNNNNNNNNNNNNNNNNNNNNNNNNNNNNNNNNNNNNNNNNNNNNNNNNNNNNNNNNNNNNNNNNNNNNNNNNNNNNNNNNNNNNNNNNNNNNNNNNNNNNNNNNNNNNNNNNNNNNNNNNNNNNNNNNNNNNNNNNNNNNNNNNNNNNNNNNNNNNNNNNNNNNNNNNNNNNNNNNNNNNNNNNNNNNNNNNNNNNNNNNNNNNNNNNNNNNNNNNNNNNNNNNNNNNNNNNNNNNNNNNNNNNNNNNNNGGCCAAUCCACAAAGACUCCCCAUCAUCUAGAUCCGGCAGCGGCAGUACCUUGAACCCACGCAACUCUAAGAUAGCCAUCUAAGCGCUGCUACCGCGACGAACUUGCGGCCCCGCGCCCUUACAUUAGAGACCAGCCAACCGGCAGCCUAGGAGCUCCACCGCCUCGAGGGGUGCUGCUUCCCAUUGGGAAUCGAUUGGCCCAGAAUAAAAAUUCAGACAACUGACGCCUAAAUAAAGUGAUUUCAGAUGAGGGUGCGACCUAUUUGGUGGCAUGGUGAAGUAGGCAGGUCCAGCUACUGAGUCGGUGAGGCCGGCGCGGUUGCGGUGGCCACCGGCGGCAGGGAAACAGCGAUGUCGCGACGGUCGACGGCUACGGGGAAGCAGCGCCGGGACUCUGGACGGAUCCGGAGUUGGAGCCGCUCCGGCGCUGUGAACAACGGCGGGGGUGAAUCGGCUCCGGUACGGUUCACACGGCCGUCGUCGAGGCAGCUCCAGCAGCACGGAGUAAGAGGCACACAGCCCAGUGCACGAUGUCAAAUGGACAGCAUCUCCGGCAUUAGGGAGGAGGGCGGCUGUGAAAUUGGUGCGGUGGGGGCGCCAUGGAGGAGGGGCUGAGGUUUCGCGGCUCGGGAGAAGGGAGCUUCCAGGGAGAAGGUGAUUUGGCGCCCACGAGGUAUGAAUGGGGGGGAUUGGGAGGGGAGUGGAACCAUGUUUUACGGACGCAUUUGUCUGAAAUGUGAGGGGGAGUUACAGUUCUACCCCUGCCUUUAGGCUUCUCGGCUUGGGUCUGUGUACUAAGGGUCGGGGAUAGUAGAGUAACUUUGCUUCUCCCCAAAUAGUGGGCGGGAGCGAUUUCGGGCUAGGAGGGCGUGUUUUGAAAUAUAGUGGGCGCGAGCGAUUUCGAGUGAGGAGAGCGUGUUUUGAAAAAGUGGGCGCGAGCUAUUUCGGGCGAGGAGAGUGUGUUUUGCUGACCAUGGUUUAUGAAUUAUUCGGCACAUGUCAUUUCGGCCGAGGAGAAGGCGCGCUUGGAUGAAGUUGCGAACCUACCCUCGAUGCACAACGGGCCAAUUAAUGCGUCUCCCACAUAGGACGGUAAUUUUGCAUCUCCCAUUUAUUUGCUCGGACGAAUUCCACCGAGCAGAGGAUGUUUAACGGUUCAUUCAAAAUUUGGGAGAACGAGCAUCCACGUCUACCUUACCAAGUCGAUUCGAAUCAAAUUUAGAAAUAUUAGCUUGCCACUUCUUUUUUAGAUGGAGAGAUGAUGCUCGGGAGUAAUGUGUUUUUACAUGCUCGUUUCUAGCGAUUUACUAUAUGACAAAUAGUUGACCCACUCAAAAACGGGAAUCAAACCCAAAAUGAAAUAUCUCGAUUCAAUGAAAUAGCUCGUUAACCAGGUCAAAAUAGUGAACUAAAUCCAAAAUUGAACACCUCAAUCGAAUAGCAUGUUGUACAGUAUUAUAGUACUCCAUGAACAUGUUGAAAGUCAAAUUAAUGAACUUGUUUGAUAUACGCAUAUAUCCGUUCAUCUGUGGAUUGCAGACAACAUGUUCUCCAAUUUAAAUAUUUGAAUGCAAGUUUAUAUCGAAACAUGGUUUAUAUCAGUCUUUGAUGCAUAAAACGCGACCUCCCCCUCUCCCGGACUCCUGCUCUCUCUCGCCGACAAUCUUCAAUUCUGUCGCACGCAUCCAACACACAAACCUUGUUGGUCCUCUCUCUUUGUCUCCAUCUCUCUCUCUCUCUCUCUUUGUGUGUGUGCGUGGGGGGGGGGGUCUUUCUAGUUCGCAUGCAUAUACACUCCAUCUAUAGUUCUCUCUCGCACACGAUGUAUGAUUCUCUAGUCCAAGCUAGAUAUCUUGGGUGCACUCAUCGUAUGCACACAAAUUCCUUGGCUCGUUGCCCGUAACUCUCUCACGCACCACUCUGUUGUCUCGGAGCUCUUCCCCCUCUCUCUCAAACUCUCCAUCUACCUGGGUCACACAUACACAUGCAUAUCUCACUCGCACUCGAUAGGCCCAUCUAAAACUCUAUCUCUCUCCGUCGUUCUCUCUCCAUCUCACAAGCACACAAACACAAUCUCAUGCCUAGCUAGCCAAGUAUGAUGGUAUCUCACUCAAUUGUAGGCACACGCAGUCCCCCCUAUAUGUAUAUGACUAGCUAAUCUUAGUCUCCAUCACAAACAUGUGCAUGGUCUAUCUCGAUUUCUCUCGGGGCAUCUUUCUAUCGCGCACGCACCUCCCUCGAUCUCCCACCCAUAUAGUCCCCUCACGAUCUCGAGGGGGUCUCUCUAUCACAAACACACCCUCUCGCCCUCCCCAUGUGUCCAUGUUCUCCAUGUGUCCCUCUCGACCUUUGUUCCUUGUUGGCCAGACCUCUAUUGGACAUGUGCUAUAGGGGUGUCUCUCUCCGUUGCAAACAAUCACACACUAGCUAUCUUCGUGUAUCUCCUCGCCUCGCUUUUCUAUCUCGGAGAUGCAUGCGUGAUAUGUUCUCCUAAGAAACGAAAAAACACACACUCUCUCUCUAAUUUAUCGUUUGUUGUCACUUUCUCUUUCACACACAUACUCUUUUUGCACACUUACUCAUUCUCCUUCACACGCACUUGAUCCCUCUCGACUUAGGCACUCUCCUCGGUCCAUAGCAUAUUGAUUUACUGAAAAGUCAAACAUCACAAAGUUUGACCAUGUACGUGGAGAAAAACAAUUACAUCUGGAACGGCAAACAUAUACCAUUAGAUUCACCAUGAGAUGUAGUUUCGUAUGAUGUAUCUUUGGUAUUGAAGACAUAAAUAACAUUUGUGUAAACCUGAUCAAAGUUUCCAAAGUUUGACUUCUAAAAAAAUUACAUGCACUGCAUUAUCGAGCGGAUGGAAUAUCUCUUUCCCUCUCUCAGCUAUCUGACGCACCACUCAGCCUUAUCGGGGCUCCUCAAUCUCUCUCAAACUUUAUAUCUCCCUGGUUCACACAUACACAUGUCUCGCUCGUGCUAUACAUAUAGACCCAUCCAACACUCUCCGCCCUUGUUCUCUCUCUAUGUGACACGCACCCCCCUAAUAAGUACCAUAGUCCCUCCCUCCAUCAUAGGCGCAAGCACUCCCCCCCUAAGUAUGAUUAUCUCUCACUAACCAUCAGGAACACACGUAUUGUCUCCUUCCAUCCAUACGUCUAUCUCGAUAUCUCUCGUGGUAUCUUCUAUCGCGCACACACCUUGUCACUCGAUCUCCCACCCAUGUAGUCCCAUCACGAUCUCCAGGGGAUCUCUCUAUGACAAACAUACACUCUCUCCUCCCCAUGUCUGCAUUUUCUCCGUACGUCUCUCUCGACCUCUCUCCCUUGUUUGUCAGACCCCUCUUGGCCACAUACUAGGGGUCUUGCUCUCUCGGUUGCAAACAACCACACACUAUCUCCUCACCUUGCUUCCGUUGUCGAAGAUGCAUGUGUGAUAUGUUUGCAUAAGACACACACGUUUUUUCUCGACUUUUAUCGAGUGUUGUCCAUGUCUCUUUCACACACGCACACACACUUUUUUCACUCACUCUUUCUAUUUCUCUCCCUCUCUCUCUCUAGUUAGGGACUCUCUCACGUCCAUAAGCAUAUGGAUGUUUUGAAAAGUCAAACCUCAGAAAAGUUUGACCAGGUAUAUGUGGAGAAAAACAUUUACAUCUGGAAAGAUCAUUAGAUUCAUCACAACAUGUACUUACUUCAUACUAUCAUUUAUCUUUGGUAUUGUAGAUAUAAGUAAUUUCUUUAUAAACUUGGUCAAAGUUUCAAAAGUUUGACUUUAAAAAAAAUGUUGGAACUACAUUAUCGAACGGAGGGAGUAGCUCUUUCUCUCUCUCUCUCUGCUAUCUCUCAUGGGCCUCCCCUCUCACACGAACACUCUAUACCGACGGAUUAUACGCUCACUAUCUUAGUGUAUAGCUCCAUAUAUUGUUUAGUUGACCGGUCAACCAGUCCACAUGCUGCUUUGUCAGCUCGUGUUCUGUAUCUUCGUGUGCUGGCCCAUGUGGCAGUGUGUGAAAAUAAGUAAACUAGAGGCCCAUCUGACACGCUGUGAAAUAAACAAAGUUGAAACCACUCGGGGUAGCACCCCGCACGCUAGUAAAUUGAGGGCGCAUUGAGGACACACUUCUUCCGCGUGGAGGACGCACUCGCGCACAAUUCACCACUGCGCGACAGCAUGCACAGAAGGACGCACUCGCACACACCCAGCACACAACACACACCAGCACACGUGUACACCGGCGUCGCCGCCAGUUGAGAUGGACGGCGAGGCAGCCAACAAGUGGAGGCGGCUCGAGCCAAAACCGCAUCCGGCGAGCCUGGACUUCAUCAGCAGCCUCCUCGACGACAUGCUGCUCGUCAUCAUUCGCCUCCUCCCCACCAAAUAUGUCGUGCGGACCGCCCUGCUCUCCCAGCGGUGGCGCCUCCUCUGGCGCCGCGUCCCCCUCAACCUCACCGUCGACAGCUGCCUCUGCGACGGGGAUUGCAUACGCAUGGCCGCAGUCUCCAAGAUCCUUUCAUCGCACCCUGGGCCAGCCAGACGCCUCAACAUCCGCAUGUUCAGUACCAACUGCAAGGUCCAACCCAAGUUUGACGAGUGGUUCUUAUCCCCCGCCCUAGAUCAGCUCGAGGAGCUCAGCUUUGAAGCUGGACGAUGUCGCUCUCUGCCGCCGUCCGCGCUCCGCCUCGCGCCAAUGCUGCGCCGCGCCAGCUUCAGCUCCUGCUAUCUUCCCCGGAUUAAUGUCGCGCCCGCCCUUCUUCUCCCUCAACUCAAGCAGCUCGACCUCUUCGACGUUGUCAUCUCGAAGAAGGCUAUGGACCACCUGCUCCGCAGCUGUACUGCGCUCGAGUACCUUCGUCUUGAGCAGAUCCACGGGUUCAUUAGCCUCCACAUCGCCUCGACGAAUCUCCGAUGGAUUUAUUCGUCUUCCUGGCCCCGCAACAAGACAUCAAUUGGGAAGAGAUCACUCCAGCUAUUCCAUGUUAUGGUCAUUGAGAAUGCGCCUUUCCUUGAGAGAUUGCUUGUAUCGGUCUACAAGGUCCAACAAAAAUCAAGGUCAUUGACGUGCCGAAAUUGACAGCGUUGGUGUACUCGUCUGCCAAAUUCUCCGAACUCUUUAUUGGAUCCGUAAUCGUUCAGGUACAACACUCAUCUUCUUCUCCGUCUUCUUAAAAUUCACAUUUUGAAAUUUCUUCUUGAUGUAUUUACGACCAUCUUCCAGAAAAUGAUUCCCACAAGCUUGAUCCAGUCUAUGCGCACAGUGAAGAUCUUGCCAAUAAAAUCUAUCGGCCCCAAUCUGGAUCAAGUUGUUGGAUUCCUUACAUGCUUUCCGUGCACGGAGAAGCUACUCAUCGAGGUGAAACUUCUUUCCUAUUAGUAAACGGUAAUCACAAUGUAGCUCAAAUUUUUCAUAAUUUUCCCAAAUUACGAUGACAAGUGUAGUGUUCAAAACUGCAUCUACGCACUGCACCAAAAGAAAUGUUUUUAGUACUUUUUCUCACGUGAUCACCGGCAUCGUUUUUUUGUUGUACUACUAUAGUAGCCUAGGCUAGUCAUAGUGGAAAGUAACUUAGACUACUCCAGUAACUCUAUGGUUACCCUAAGAGCAAGUACUACCUCCGUCCUGGUUUACUCUUCCUAUUUUGUAGUAUCAAAAUUUGACCAUAGAUUUAACUGACAAAAUGUUAAUGCAUGUCACUAAGAACUAUAUCGUUGGAUUCGUAUCUGAACAUAAUUUCAAAGGGUGUAAUUUUUAGUGACAUGCAUUGGCAUUUUCUUACAUAAAUAUAUGGUCAAAAUUUUAUACUAAAUAAGAGGUAGUACAAAAGUGGGCUAUAACGGCCCUCCACUAUGUAGGCCAAAACACGUGCCAAAUUCACUUAUGAUGCAUUUGGCAUCGAUGCCCCUCCAUUGCUCACCUGGUGCCCCAAUCUGGAUCACCUACUUUGCUUCGGUGCCAAAUUAACUCACGCAAUGAAAAACACUUGCGUGGGAGAGAGAGAGAGGACCGAGGCAAUAAAAAACACUUGUUUGGGAGAGUGAGAGGCUGGUGUGCACAGCGGUGCCAACUCUCUCACAUCGCGAGAGUGGUGCCAAAAUCUUUUGAUUUGACAUCGAUGCGUAUUAUGGUAUCAGCCACCUAGUGGAAGGCAACAAAUGCCCAAGCUCUUCACGUACUCCUAGGUAAAUGAGAGGAAAGAGAAAGAGAGAGAGAGUGAAAAAAUAACACUAGCCAGCCAACCCUAUCGUAUGAGCGAAUGAUAUUGGUACCUCUUGAUGACACGGCAAUCUUAUACAGCCAGCUGCUCUAAUAUGUUCUCUUCUUUUGCAGAUAAAAAAAGACCCGAAAGUGAAAAAUGUGCUGCACUAUAACAAUCUCAUCGAAUGCCUUGAUAUCCAUCUUACAGAAAUUGAUUUGAUCGACUACCGAGGCAGCACAUCUAAGAUUAAAUUGGCCAGGUUCUUUGUUCUGGAGGCAAGUGUGCUCAAGGUAAUGAGGUUUGGCAUUCUCUGGCGCAACAAUGAAUGGCGUGCUGACCACCGCAAGCGUCUAAGCCUAAAUGAUAAAGUCUCCGCAGAAGCUGAAUUUGUUUUUGAAACAUCAAGUGGCCAGGGACUCGAAAACUUAUUUGCCCAUUAGUGACUUGUCAGGGUGGUGAAUUUUAGUUUACGAUAAAGCUGCAUCCACCUAAAGUAACGAAAGUUCUUACGUAAACUUCUGAGUAAUUCCCUCUUCGUAGGUGCAGCAUUACUCCUAACAUUUGUAAUAUCAGUUUGAAACUUGUAAUAUUGCCAUGUCCUAUUCCUGCGUUUUCAAAAUCCUGCGAAUCAAACAGGUCCUGAGUUGGUGAUGAUGUUGUGCCUGCCAUCUUUCACCAAUAGCCGUCGGAUCUAGAUCUGACGCAUACAAACCAAACUUCUUCAGUUUUGCAAAAAGAUGCCCGCAGUUGUUCCCUAUUUACAAACAACUCCUUGUCUCUCACAAUCAGCCUUAUCUCCUCCCCACCACAUCUAGAAGGCCAUGGAAAAAUCUGGCGCGAUGGCCGCUGCCGGCGCCGUCCACCCCCCAAUCUUGGUGUUCCGUGCAAUGCAUGGGCAUCUACGCACGGGAAAUUAUGUCAAACACGGCUAGUUGUAAGCAGGCUAGGUCUACAGCCAUGAUGAUAGUGACUGCAGACGGUGGGGCUGACUAUGGUAUGCCGAACAUGGCGCCUAUACUCAGGUGUCAUCUCCGGCGUAGGGUCUUGCCACUUCACUGUGAGGAGCAGCACAUAAUAAUUUGACCAACGUGUAGUACAGUGCUACUACAUUGGUAGUACUACUACUACUAGUACUAGCACCACCGUCUGGAUUUAGUAGUACUACCACGUCCAUCUGGAUUUAGUAUUUGACUAGCAAUAUCUAGUCAUGCAUGUCACAAAAAAUGUACUACUCCCUCUGUAAAUAAAUACAUGGUGUAUUGUUUUAUUCCUAUCGGCGAGGUAACAAUGUCUUUUUGCUACUUAAUAGGAUUACAUGCAAUGAACUAACCACCGCAUGUGAUGUUUGGUAGUCUCAAGUCAUUGAAAGCAUGCACGGGCACGGAGGGGGAUGCAACUUCAUUGACUUACUGCACCUGCCUUUGGGUGUAUGACACGUGGGUCCAACGGGUGGCUGGCCAACCUGUCAUACAGCCAAAGGCGGGUGCAGUAGAGGGGCGAGGAGUAGAUGGCCAACACGCACGUGAAUUCAACGCAGUCUGCACUUCUCAUAUAAAGGCUCCCUCCAGUCCAAUCUACGAAAUCCUACGCACCUACGCACCCAAGGGCAAGAGUGAUCACUCCAAUCGCAAGAUCAGUUGACUAGAAGCUAGACCCAUGGAGGCGAUGAGCGCGAGCAUCAGCCGGCUGUGCCAGAUGGUCCACGACGCCGGCCUGCGGCCCGGCACCGAGGAACGUCUCCAGGUAGUGCUUGAGGCCGCCAGGGCGAGGGGCUGCUUGGACGACAGCUUCAUCUUCUUGUUCGACGAGGUCCUCGUCGGCUUCCUCGACAAGUUCACCGUCGUCAAGAAGCUCGCGGACGACCUUGACGUACGCCUCCAGCCCACGCGCCCAGGCUCUACGAUGCCUGCCACCCUCAACGGCCUCUAUGGUGACAACCUCUUCGACGCACUGGUGGCCCUGCGACUGCCCGCCGUCGUGCCAGAGAAUGUCCACCUCGAGGUCGCGCUCGCCGCGCAGCGCCUGGCGCAGCAAGACACCAUCGACAUAAAUACCCACGUCUACGCGCAAAUCGUCCACAAGGACUACUACAUGCAAGAGGAGGACGAUAGGACGCUGGCCUUCUUGGACCACAGGGCAACCUUGGACGGCAUUGUUCAGAAGCACGUUGAGCUUGCCGCCAACGCCGCUGCUCCUCAGACGUCGGUUGGUGACCCGAAGCACUAGGGUGUGAGGAUGUCGUUGAUGGAUCCAUAUGUAUCUUUAUCUUUCCGUCAAAUCCAUGUAGUAGUAUAUGGUACUACUAGUAAUUAUCUUACCUUUCGCAUCAACUUCAUAAUUUUCCUACGUACUCCAUGCAUGAACUGCGCCAGAACCAAACUUCUCAUUACUCUAGGGAAAUUGUUAUUUCUAUCUAUCGGUCGCCCCAUGGAGCAUAACCAAAUUUUACAAGUUACAAGUUCUAAAGGAAAAGCCUGCCGUGUUCGCGUCGCACCCCCACACGGUUUGUCCGGCACGCCGCUCAAGGGGGAAUGCGUGAUGUGUUGCAUUUUCACUUACAAGUGGGACCACAGUUGAGCAAACCGACUAUCGGCAAACCCCCACCCCGCCCACCGCGUGAUCGCUGAGAAAACAGGAGGGAGAACAGAUGGCUGUAGCUAGCACGGACUCCAAGAAAAUUGGUGUCGGAUGGGACUCGUGUGGGUGGCGUGUGUUGUACUGCUAGACAUGAAUGCUAGUUAUGGCCCAUGCCACCCCACUAUAUCGAGGUGCUGGUUACUCCACUAUAUCGAGUACGUAGAACAAAUUUCCCGGAGUCCGUGCUCAGCCCUCCUCUAUCUCUCUCCUCAGCCAGCCAGCAGACGCGCGGAGCCCAUCGUCCGUUUGCUCAUAUGCGGUCCCACAUGUCAAUGAAAACGCAAGAGGACCCACUGAACCUGCACAUCUUUCACCUCGACGUGCUGGUGAUGAAAAACAAAUCCAAUAAAGAUCUUCGAUAGCCGCUUUUGGAGUUACUCAAGCGUAGUAAGAUUCUAUUUACAGUUUAACCCAAGAUGCACAUCACGUGGCUUCACCUACCACUCUAUUUUCUUGCAUGACAUGACCUGGAUGCUGGAUGUCCCACGUGUCGGCAAAAGGAGGAAGAACUCGACCAAAUCUUCGGUUGUGCUCUCGGAUUAGACUAGUUGUGCUAACUUAAAAUUUUAUUGUGUAGAAUGGAUGCAAGUUUUGGUAUUGGGAAGAAGAGUACAACGAUAUAUUGAUAGAGCGCAAUUUAGUAGAUGUUGUAGCACUUUUAGCUAGCAUAGAGGCUAGAGAUGAGACUAGUGCACUUGUUGAUAGAAUAGAGGCUAGACACGUCUACUUCUUUACACUCAAAGAAGAAAGAAGCACGCAAGAUCGAGCCUCCGCAGAUCAACAAUGAAUGCAUCGAGAAGGCACUAAUCCAACUUACAGGAGUAGUUAUGGAAGUUGGAUAUCUUCUAAAAUGUAUUCUUCUGGUUCUUGUUUUCUUUGGUCUUGCUUUUCUAGUCAAAAUUUUGGUGAUGUAUUUCCAUGUACCAAAAAAUCAAUGAUGAAAAAAAGAUAUGUGUUUGCAAGAAAAAUGUACGCGGCCGGGAUGCGGUCACGCGUUCAGCGCACGACCACCGCAUCCGAGAAAUGGCCCGGACACGACCCCAUUGCCCUACCCAAACGGACAGAAUCCGGGCAAAACGGAGGUUCGUUUGGGGUCGUGCGUUGGAGUUGGCCUUACAAGUGGGACCGCAGUUGAGGAAACCGACUAUCGGCAAACCCCCACCUCGCCCGUCGCGCGAUGGCUGAGUUAGAGAAACGACGAGGUUGAAGAGAUUGCUGUAGCACGGACUCCAAGAAAUAUGGUGUCAGAUGGAAGUCAUGCUGGUGGCGUGUGCCGUACCCCUGGACGUGAAUGCUUGUUCUGGCCCAUGCCACCCUACUACUCCUACUACUCCUAUCGAGGAUUCGAGGUGCUGGUUACGUACAGCGAACACAUUAACAUAUGGCCCACCUCACACUGUGGCCAAAUUUCCUGGAGUUUGUGCUAGGUUAAAAAGUGUUCUUUGUGAGGAUGGGUGGCUGGUCUCAAGUUUAAAACUUGUUGUAUUACAUACGUAGACGUAGAGAUAGUGCAGCAUGUGAAGCUAGUACAAAUAGUGUACUAUUGUUGAUUGGCCCCAUCCGAUAACCUGUUGCAAUGCACGUACAAUUAUGUAUUCGGAAAACAUAUUUUUUGCCUCGUCGCAGCACCCACUCAGAGAAGCGACUCGAUAGCCAUUCAUAAAUUUAGUAAGUUUAUCACAGACAUAUCAUUUUAUUACAUACAACAGGUCAUCAACCCACAACGACAACAAGGAUACAUUAUAAAUACUAAAGUUUUCAUCACACAACAAAUAACAAGCAAUGAAAUGAACUUCAACUCAACCAAUCCUCGGCGUUGGAAAUGCUUGCUUUGAACCACAAGCGAUUCUCUCGGAAGAGCCAGCUACUGUCAAUCUCGAGACCAAUGCAGGACUGAUCAUCCAGGCUGAAGCAGCCUACUAUAUCAUGACCAGGGUAGGGAACCAACGUAAUGUCCGACGUAUAGAUACAGUUGCUUCUCAUAAAUGGUAGUAACAUUGUGUCAACAGCAGUUGGAUCGCCUUUCACCAUCAUUGGAUAGUUUUGUCCAAGGAAGAGUGAGUUUGCUCCAGGACUAUCAAUACUGUACCAGGGAGAAGGUGUUGGCGCUAGCACACUAGUAUCCAUCCCGAAUACCAUGCAACGGGUGUUGGAAUAGAUCCGGAGAGUGUGACCAUGGGAGACAACACCUGCUCCCUCAGUAGUAACAUCAGCAGUGGGCUGUAUACAGACAAGAAGGGGUGAUCCAUCGGAAGUUGCCAGGCGCCACUGAGUAUAUGGGCCCUCCUCGUCCUCAUGCUCGUGGUCAUCACCAUCUUCAUCUCCCCCUUGGUUAUAAAAAAUUUCAAGUAUAGGCGGUGGAAUGUUCACAGGACCUUGGAAACACAAGAAGAAGGUUAAUUAGUAGAGAAGGGAAACUUGCUAACUCGCAUGCAUGUGGAUGAAACAAUUAUAAUUACGGUGGAAGACAAACGUACUGAAACUACGAGGAUCCCAUGCAAAAAUAGUGCCACGAGUGGUGGCAGCAAACACAAGACCCUCGUAUUCAAUUGCAUCACAGUACACAUCCGUAUAUAGAAACUGAUUUUUGAGCAAUAUCCAUCCAGUCGAACCACGAAGGACGGCAACAAGCUUGUCGAAGAUAGCAACAACUUGAUAGUUCUUGUAAUUCCAUGAGCGGUUGGGAACUCGAGAAAUUGCUAUCUUCCGUGGACGACAGUCACCAUGAUCAUAUUUGAAUGUACGUAGAUCAUCUGUGUGCUCAACCUCAGGGCGCUCGGAGAUUUUUGGAAGUGGAAUCCGCUCACGAGUGUACACAUUCACAAGUUCCCACUCGCAAUUGUACCCAAUAUAAACAACCCAAUCUCCAUUUGCGCCUGCCCAAGCCUUGCCCUCAAGCGAUGGCAUCUUAACAUCAUAUGUAUCAUUAUCAAGCGGCAUCAACUUGCACAAGGCGAGGCUUCCCUCGUCCCCGCGUGCUACCUCUUCAGCACUGCCUUGGUUUUCCCUUGAAGAGGAAAGGGUGAUGCAACAAAGUAGCGUAAGUAUUUCCCUCAAUUUUUGAGAACCAAGGUAUCAAUCCAGUAGGAGGCCACGCACGAGCCCCUCGCACCUACACAAACAAAUAAAUCCUUGCAAACGCGACAAGGGGUUGUCAAUCCCUACACGGUCACUUACGAGAGUGAGAUCUGAUAGAUAUGAUAAGAUAAUAUUUUUGGUAUUUUUAUGAUAAGAUGAAAAGUAAAAUAAAAGGGAAUAAAAAAUAGCUAAGUCUUGGAAGAUUAAUAUGAUGGAAAAUAGACCCGUGGGCCAUAGGUUUCACUAGUGGCUUCUCUCAAGAGCAUAAGUAUUACGGUGGGUGAACAAAUUACUGUUGAGCAAUUGACAGAAUUGAGCAUAGUUAUGAGAAUAUCUAGGUAUGAUCAUGUAUAUAGGCAUCACGUCCGAGACAAGUAGACCGACUCCUGCCUGCAUCUACUACUAUUACUCCACACAUCGACCGCUAUCCAGCAUGCAUCUAGAGUAUUAAGUUCAUAAGAACAGAGUAACACUUUAAGUAAGAUGACAUGAUGUAGAGGGAUAAACUCAUGCAAUAUGAUAUAAACCCCAUCUUGUUAUCCUCGAUGGCAACAAUACAAUACGUGCCUUGCUGCCCCUAUUGUCACUGGGAAAGCACACCGCAAGAUUGAACCCAAAGCUAAGCACUUCUCCCAUUGCAAGAAAGAUCAAUCUAGUAGGCCAAACGAAACUGAUAAUUCGAAGAGACUUGCAAAGUUAACCAAUCAUACAUAAAAGAAUUCAGAGAAGAUUCAAAUAUUGUUCAUAGAUAAACUUGAUCAUAAACCCACAAUUCAUCGGUCUCAACAAACACACCGCAAAAGAAGAUUACAUCAAAUAGAUCUCCAUGAGAGAGGGGGAGAACAUUGUAUUGAGAUCCAAAAAGAGAGAAGAAGCCAUCUAGCUAAUAACUAUGGACCCGAAGGUCUGAGGUAAACUACUCACACAUCAUCGGAGAGGCUAUGGUGUUGAUGUAGAAGCCCUCCGUGAUUGAUGCCCCCUCCGGCGGAGCUCCGGAACAGGCCCCAAGAUGGGAUCUCACGGUACAGAAGGUUGCGGCGGUGGAAUUAGGUUUUUGGCUCCGUAUCUGGUAGUUUGGGGGUACAUAGGUAUAUAUAGGAGGAAGGAGUACGUCGGUGGAGCAACAGGGGGGCCACGAGGGUGGAGGGCGCGCCCUGGGAGGGUAGGCACGCCCCCCUACCUCGUGCCCUCCUGGUUGAUGUCUUGACGUAGGGUCCAAGUCCUCUGGAUCACGUUCGUUCCGAAAAUCACGUUCCCGAAGGUUUCAUUCCGUUUGGACUCCGUUUGAUAUGCUUUUUCUGCGAAACUCUGAAAUAGGCAAAAAACAGCAAUUCUGGGCUGGGCCUCCGGUUAAUAGGUUAGUCCCAAAAAUAAUAUAAAAGUGUAUAAUAAAGCCAAAUAAUGUCCAAAACAGAAUAUAAUAUAGCAUGGAACAAUAAAAAUUAUAGAUACAUUGGAGACGUAUCAAGCAUCCCCAAGCUUAAUUCCUGCUCGUCCUCGAGUAGGUAAAUGAUAAAAACAGAAUUUUUGAUGUGGAAUGCUACUUGGCAUAAUUUCAAUGUAAUUCUUCUUAAUUGUGGUGUGAAUAUUCAGAUCCGAAAGAUUCAAGACAAAAGUUUAAUAUUGACAUAAAAAUAAUAAUACUUCAAGCAUACUAACUAAGCAAUUAUGUCUUCUCAAAAUAACAUGGCUAAAGAAAGUUAUCCCUACAAAAUCAUAUAGUCUGGCUAUGCUCUAUCUUCACCACACAAAAUAUUUAAAUCAUGCACAACCUCGAUGACAAGCCAAGCAAUUGUUUCAUACUUUUGACGUUCUCAAACUUUUUCAAUCUUCACGCAAUACAUGAGCGUGAGCCAUGGACAUAGCACUAUAUGUGGAGUAGAAUGGUGGUGGUGGAGAAGACAAAAAGGAGAAGAUAGUCUCACAUCAACUAGGCGUAUCAACGGGCUAUGGAGAUGCCCGUCAAUAGAUAUCAAUGUGAGUGAGUAGGGAUUGCCAUGCAACGGAUGCACUAGAGCUAUAAGUAUAUGAAAGCUCAACAAAAGAAACUAAGUGGGUGUGCAUCCAACUCGCUUGCCCACGAAGACCUAGGGCAUUUUGAGGAAGCCCAUCAUUAGAAUAUACAAGCCAAGUUCUAUAAUGAAAAAUUCCCACUAGUAUAUGAAAGUGAUAUCAUAGGAGACUCUUUAUCAUGAAGAUCAUGGUGCUACUUUGAAGCACAAGUGUGGUAAAAGGAUAGUAACAUUGUCCCUUCUCUCUUUUUCUCUCAUUCAUUUUUUUAUUUGGGCCUUUUCUUCUUUUUUAUGGCCUCUUUUUUCGUCCGGAGUCUCAUCCCGACUUGUGGGGGAAUCAUAGUCUCCAUCAUCCUUUCCUCACUUGGGACAAUGCUCUAAAAAUGAUGAUCAUCACACUUUUAUUUUCUUACAACUCAACAAUUACAACUCAAUACUUAGAACAAAAUAUGACUAUGUGAAUGCCUCCGGCGGUGUACCAGGAUAUGCAAUCAAUCAAGAGUGACAUGUAUGAAAGAAUUAUGAACGGUGGCUUUGCCACAAAUACAAUGUCAACUACAUGAUCAUGCGAAGCAAUAUGACAAUGAUGGAGCGUGUCAUAGUAAACGGAACGGUGGUAAAUUGCAUGGCAAUAUAUCUCGGAAUGGCUAUGGAAAUGCCAUGAUAGGUAGGUAUGGUGGCUGUUUUGAGGAAGGUAUAUGGUGGGUGUAUGAUACCGGCGAAAAGUGCGCGGUAUUAGAGAGGCUAGCAAUGGUGGAAGGAAGAAAAGUGCGUAUAAUCCAUGGACUCAACAUUAGUCGUAAAGAACUCAUAUACUUAUUGCAAAAAUCCAUAAGUUAUCAAAGCAAAGUAUUACGCGCAUGCUCCUAGGGGGAUAGAUUGGUAGGAAAAGACCAUCGCUCGUCCCCGACCACCACUCAUAAGGAAGACAAUCAAUAAAUAAAUCAUGCUCCGACUUCAUCACAUAACGGUUCACCAUACGUGCAUGCUACGGGAAUCACAAACUUUAACACAAGUAUUUCUCAAAUUCAAAAACUACUCAACUAGCAUGAUUCUAAUAUCACCAUCUUCAUAUCUCAAAACAAUUAUCAAGCAUCAAACUUCUCAUAGUAUUCAACACACUCAUAAGAAUUUUCUUUUUUCCUUUUUUCUAAUCUUGAAUGCCUAUUAUUGUUAAAGCAAACUACCAUGCUAUUUUGUAGGACUCUCAAAAUAAUCUAAGUGAAGCAUGAGAGAACAAUAGUUUCUAUAAAACAAAUCCACCACCGUGCUCUAAAAGAUAUAAGUGAAGCACUAGAGCAAAAACUAUAUAACUCAAAAGAUAUAAGUGAAGGACAUAGAGUAUUCUAAUAAUUUCCGAAUCAUGUGUGUCUCUCUCAAAAGGUGUGCACAGCAAGGAUGAUUGUGGUAAACUAAAAAAUAAAGACUCAAAUAAUACAAGACGCUCCAAGCAAAACACAUAUCAUGUGGUGAAUAAAAAUAUAGCUCCAAGUAAAGUUACCGAUGGAAGUAGACGAAAGAGGGGAUGCCUUCCGGGGCAUCCCCAAGCUUUGGCUUUUAGGUGUACUUAGAUUAUCUUGGGGUGCCAUGGGCAUCCCCAAGCUUAGUCUCUUCCCACUCCUUGUUCCAUAAUCCAUCAAAUCUUUUACCCAAAACAUGAAAACUUCACAACACGAAACUCAGCAGAAAAUCUCGUAAGCUCCGUUAGCGAAAGAAAACAAAAGAUCACUUCAAGGUACUGUAAUGAACUCAUCCUUUAUUUAUAUUGGUGUUAAACCUACUGUAUUACAACUUCUAUAUGGUUUAUAAACUAUUUUACUAGCCAUAGAUUCAUCAAAAUAAGCAAACAACACACGAAAAACAGAAUCUGUCAAAAAUAGAACAGUCUGUAGUAAUCUGUAACUAACGCAAACUUCUGGAACUUCAAAAAUUCAGCCAAAAUAGGAUGACCUAGAAAAUUUGUUUGUUGAUCAUAAGCAAUUGGAAUCAAUAUUUUAUCACGUUCUGGUGAUUUUUAACAAUUAUUUUCGUGAACAGAAAGUUUCUGCAAUUUUCAGCAAGAUCAAAUAACUAUCAUCCAAGAAGAUCCUAUAGGUUUAACUACGCACAAACACUAACUAAAACAUAAAAACACAUCUAACCAGAGGCUAGAUCAAAUAUUUAUUCCUAAACAGAAGCAAAAAGAAAAAAAAAACUAAAAUAAAAUUGGGUUGCCUCCCAACAAGCGCUAUCGUUUAACGCCCCUAGCUAGCCAUAAAAGCAAGGAUAGAUCUAUGUAUUGCCAUCUUUGGUAGGCAAUCCAUAAGUGGCUCUCAUAAUAGAUUCAUAAGGUAAUUUUAUUUUCUUUCUAGGGAAGUGUUCCAUGCCUUUCCUUAACGGAAAUUGGAAUCUAAUAUUCCCUUCCUUCAUAUCAAUAAUUGCACCAAUCGUUCUAAGGAAAGGUCUACCAAGAAUAAUAGGACAUGAAGGAUUGCAAUCUAUAUCAAGAACAAUAAAGUAUACGGGCACAUAGUUCCUAUUUGCAACAAUAAGAACAUCAUUAAUUCUUCCCAUAGGUUUCUUAAUAGUGGAAUCGCAAGGUGCAAGUUUAGAGAGCAAUCAUCAAAAUCACGGAAACCUAGCAAAUCGCACAAAGUCUUUGGAAUCAUGGAAACACUAGCACCCAAAUCACACAAAGCAUAGCAUUCAUGAUCUUUAAUUUUAAUUCUAAUAGUAGGUUCCCAUUCAUCAUAAAGUUUUCUAGGGAUAGAAACUUCCAACUCAAGUUUUUCUUCAUAAGAUUGCAUCAAAGCAUCAACGAUAUGUUUGGUAAAGGCUUUAUUUUGAAUAUAAGCAUGAGGAGAAUUUAGCACGGAUUGCAACAAGGAAAUGCAAUCUAUCAAAGAGCAAUUAUCAUAAUUAAAUUCCUUGAAAUCCAAAAUAGUGGGUUCAUUAAUAUCUAAUGUUUUGAUCUCUUCAAUCCCACUUUUAUCAAUUUUAGCACCAAGAUCUAAAAACUCCGAAUUUCUGGAACGCCUUCUAGGUAAAGGUGGAUCAUAUUCAGUCCCAUCAUUAUCAAGAUUCAUAUUUCAAAACAAAGAUUUAAUAGGGGACACAUCAAUAACUUUUAGAUCUUCAUCUUUAUUUUCAUAGAAAUUUGAAGAACACGCUUUCACAAAGCAAUCUUUCUUAGCACGCAUCCUAGCGGUUCUUUCUUUGCACUCAUCAAUGGAAAUUCUCAUGGCUUUGAGAGACUCAUUGAUAUCAUGCUUAGGAGGAAUAGAUCUAAGUUUUAAAGAAUCAACAUCAAGAGAAAUUCUAUCAACGUUCCUAGCCAAUUCAUCAACUUUAAGCAAUUUUUCUUCAAGCAAAGCAUUGAAAUUCUUUUGCGAAUUCAUAAAUUCCUUAACACUAGUCUCAAAUUCAGAAGGCAUCUUAUUAAAGUUUCCAUAAGAAUUGUUGUAGGAAUUACCAUAAUUAUUAGAGGAAUUACUAGGAUAAGGCCUAGGAUUAAAGUUUCCUCUAUACGCGUUUUUACCAAAAUUAUUCCUACCAACAAAAUUCACAUCCAUAGGUUCAUUAUUAUUCUCAAUCAAAGUAGACAAAGGCAUAUCAUUAGGAUCACAAGAAACACUCUUAGUAGCAAAUAAUUUCAUAAAGUUCAUCCAUCUUUCCACUCAAAACAUUAAUUUCUUCUAUCGCAUGCACUUUUUUAUUACUAGAUCUUUCAGUGUGCCAUUGAGAAUAAUUAACCAAAAUAUUAUCUAGGAGUUUAGUAGCUUCUCCUAAAGUGAUUUCCAUAAAAGUGCCUCCCGCGGCCGAAUCUAAAAGAUUUCUUGAAGCAAAAUUCAAUCCGGCAUAAAAAUUUUGUAUAAUCAUCCACAAAUUCAAACCAUGCCUAGGGCAAUUACGUAUCAUUAAUUUCCUCCUCUCCCAAGCUUGUGCAACAUGUUCAUGAUCAAGUUGCUUAAAAUUCAUAAUAUCGUUUCUAAGAGAGAUGAUCUUAGCGGGAGGAAAAUACUUAGAGAUAAAAGCAUCUUUGCACUUAUUCCAAGAAUCAAUACUAUUUUUAGGCAAAGAUGAAAAUCAAGCUUUAGCACGAUCUCUAAGCGAAAAGGGAAAUAGCUUCAAUUUAACAAUAUCAUUGUCCACAUCUUUCUUCUUUUGCAUAUCACACAAAUCAACGAAGCUAUUUAGAUGGGGUAGCGGCAUCUUCACUAGGAAGGCCAGCGAAUUGAUCUUUCAUGACAAGAUUCAACAAAGCAACAUUGAUUUCACAAGAUUCAGUAUCGGUAAGAGGAGCAAUCGGAGUGCUAAGGAAAUCAUUAUUGUUGGUAUUGGUAAAGUCACACAAUUUGGUAUUAUCUUGAGCCAUCGUGAUAAGCAAGCAAUCCAACACACGAGCAAACAAGAAGCAAGCGAAAAAAUGGCGAAUGGAAAAGAGAGAGGGCGAAUAAAAUGGCAAGGGUGAAGUGGGGGAGAGGAAAACGAGAGGCAAAUGGUAAAUAAUGUAAUGCGGGAGAUAAGGGUUUGUGAUGGGUACUUGGUAUGUUGACUUUUGCGUAGACUCCCCAGCAACGGUGCCAGAAAUGGCUAGUUGUCGGGAGUCCAAAUCUUGACUUGACUUUGCGUAAGCCUCCCUGGCAACGGCGCCAGAAAUCAUUCUUGCUACCUCUUGAGCACUGCGUUGGUUUUCCCUUUAAGAGGAAAGGGUGAUGCAGCAAAGUAGCGUAAGUAUUUCCCUCAGUUUUUGAGAACCAAGGUAUCAAUCCAGUAGGAGGCCACGCACGAGUCCCUCGCACCUACACAAACAAAUAAAUCCUCGCAACCAAUGCGACAAGGGGUUGUCAAUCCCUACACGGUCACUUACGAGAGUGAGAUCUGAUAGAUAUGAUAAGAUAAUAUUUUUGGUAUUUUUAUGAUAAAGAUGCAAAGUAAAAUAAAAGGCAAUAAAAGAUAGCUAAGUGUUGGAAGAUUAAUAUGAUGGAAAAUAGACCCGGGGGGCAUAGGUUUCACUAGUGGCUUCUCUCAAGAGCAUAAGUAUUACGGUGGGUGAACAAAUUACUGUUGAGCAAUUGACAGAAUUGAGCAUAGUUAUGAGAAUAUCUAGGUAUGAUCAUGUAUAUAGGCAUCACGUCCGAGACAAGUAGACCGACUCCUGCCUGCAUCUACUACUAUUACUCCACACAUCGACCGCUAUCUAGCAUGCAUCUAGAGUAUUAAGUUCAUAAGAACAAAGUAACGCUUUAAGUAAGAUGACAUGAUGUAGAGGGAUAAACUCAUGCAAUAUGAUAUAAACCCCAUCUUGUUAUCCUCGAUGGCAACAAUACAAUACGUGCCUUGCUGCCCCUAUUGUCACUGGGAAAGGACACCGCAAGAUUGAACCCAAAGCUAAGCACUUCUCCCAUUGCAAGAAAGAUCAAUCUAGUAGGCCAAACGAAACUGAUAAUUCGAAGAGACUUGCAAAGAUAACCAAUCAUACAUAAAAGAAUUCAGAGAAGAUUCAAAUAUUGUUCAUAGAUAAACUUGAUCAUAAACCCACAAUUCAUCGGUCUCAACAAACACACCGCAAAAGAAGAUUACAUCGAAUAGAUCUCCACGAGAGAGGGGGAGAACAUUGUAUUGAGAUCCAAAAAGAGAGAAGAAGCCAUCUAGCUAAUAACUAUGGACCCGAAGGUCUGAGGUAAACUACUCACACAUCAUCGGAGAGGCUAUGGUGUUGAUGUAGAAGCCCUUCAUGAUCGAUGCCCCCUCCGGUGGAGCUCCGGAACAGGCUCCAAGAUGGGAUCUCACGGGUACAGAAGGUUGCGGCGGUGGAAUUAGGUUUUUGGCUCUGUAUCUGGUAGUUUGGGGGUACGUAGGUAUAUAUAGGAGGAAGGAGUAUGUCGGUGGAGCAACAGGGGGCCCACGAGGGUGGAGGGCGCCCCCUGGGGGUAGGCAUGCCCCCCUACCUCGUGCCCUCCUGGUUGAUGUCUUGACGUAGGGUCCAAGUCCUCUGGAUCACGUUCGUUCCGAAAAUCACAUUCCCGAAGGUUUCGUUCCGUUUGGACUCCGUUUGAUAUUCUUUUUCUGCGAAACUCUGAAAUAGGCAAAAAACAGCAAUUCUGGGCCAGGCCUCCGGUUAAUAGGUUAGUCCCAAAAAUAAUAUAAAAGUGUAUAAUAAAGCCCAAUAAUGUCCAAAACAGAAUAUAAUAUAGCAUGGAACAAUCAAAAAUUAUAGAUACGUUGGAGACGUAUCACCGCGCCAGUCAGCAGGAUCACAGCGAAGAAGAUAGGGGAGAUCAAACCGCUCUGGGACCCUUGGGUUCCUUGUAAUGAUGUUAUUAGUUGAGUCGAGAAUGUUCUUGAACGAACCUGCCAUGCUAGCCGAGGUGAUGACGUCGCACCGAUCAAUGAGUUCCCCCACCACGUCAUCUUUCAGAUUGGGGCAAGAAUAACGGGGUCAUUUCUAGCUUGUUCCCUCCAUGGAGAAGACGAUUGAACAAUGUCAGAAGGAAGGGUGGAGGCAAAUGGAGGAGGGAGGAAGAGCGUGCGACAGCAGUUCCAAAUCGAGAGGGAAAGGCGAAGAGUCGGUGGACGGUUGCCAGCUUGCCACGGUACACGAAGAGGCACCCCGGCCUACACGUCCUUUCGGAAAUUGUACAAAAGGACUCGCCGUCUUCUCACUGACAUGUUGGAACGGGACCACAUGUCAACGAAACAUGGUGUGUAAUUUCUCGUGCAAAAUGCGAUGUGGCCGCGUUGGCCCGAGGUGCCGCAUUAGUUAUCGACCUUUAUUUUUUAACAUACAAUCUGAGUGGAUAGCUCCUGUGGUCAUCACACGUGAGCGGAUAUAUAGGUGGGCUAGGUGGGCAGGCGGCAACAAUCUAAGUGCGAAAAGAGUUGAUCUCGAAAAAAGAGUUGAUCCAAUGCUUGGUUUUGUUUGGAUUUUCCAACUAUGCCCAUUGGAUAGAGUGAAUCAAUGGCUUACGUUCAAAGUUAUUCUCAUGCUAUAGAAUGGUAUAGGAACGUGGAGAGAUUUGGUUGAUUUUAUAUCGUUGAAUAAUAUAAAAUAUUAUGAGUGCAGACGCUCCACCCCGACGUUUGUAGCUCCUUCUUGGUCGUCGGGAAUCUAUGUUCUUACACUCUUUUGUUUAAGACAUGAGCUUUGUUCAUCCUGUUGCCGACACGCAGGACAUCUAUAUGCCUCCAUUUUACAAAAUCAUACUAUAUGCCUCCAUGACACGCGGGACAUCUAGCAUCAAGGUGGCGUGUCAUGCAAGAAAAUGGAGAUAUGCAGUGCGUAAGUGAGUCAUGCACUUCGAUGGCACCUAGUACUACGCAAUAUUCUCCUCGAUGGCACGUGAAUAGUGCAUGUACUCAAUGACAGAGCACGGGAUGGUAGCCAUGGACAUGGUCGGCCCUUUUUGAAGAGAGUACUAAUAAAUAACUUUGAUGUGUCCCGUCAACUCGCAGAACGACGAGAAGCUUGCUUACUACGCCUUCUCCCUCGCCAACGCGUGCGCGGUGGCUCGCAGCACGAGGAGAAACUUUUUUUACAAGCGGUGGACGUGUAGCAGUUCAUUUGGUGUCAGAUUGUUAGAAGUACUACUGUAGUACCAUCAUUAUUGUUUGACUUCCGGAAGAGGAGAAGAGCCAAGCGCAAGGUCACCUAUUAACCUAGUACAGUACUACUAUAGUUAAAGCCGGUCCACCAUUUUAGAGCAUGAUUAAUAAAUAUAGGCGGCUCUUGCAGUGGCACAUCAUUUAGAGCAAGUACUCUCUUCGUAGGAACAAAGGAAGUGAAACAAAAGUUGGAGUGGAUGCUAGAUUGCCAAUUAAAACAUGAUUACAUAGGGGGGGAAAUCCUAUAGCAUUCUAUCCUAUGAAUCAAACGACCAAUGUAGGAAAAUUAUGAGGGGGGUCUCUCCAACAGUGUUCCUUGGCUCGCACCUAGCAUCACGGUGGUCGAACUUGGAGUCAUUCAUCUAGUACAUGUGGCAUCCCAGAUCUGGACACAAGGUGACGCGACCUCUCACUUCCUCCGCCAUUUGAAGCGGCGCGCCGGUGGAGGGCUAGCAUACUCCAAUAUUAGGUUGGCUCUAUGUGAUGUGGCAACUUCGUAUACUAACCGGAUGCUGGCUAUACUACUACGGUACUUACACUCCAAGAAGUGACUCGAAAACCAUUCAUAAAUUGAUUCUAUGACAUGCAUUUGCAACUGAAAUGUACCAUUCAUUAAAUACAACAAGUCAUCAACACACAACGACAACGAGGAUACAUGUUGGAUUAUAGAUUAUUUCCAACAAAACAUUCUAGCAAAUACUAAAGCUUUCAUCACACAACAAAUAACAAGCAAUGAAAUGAACUUCAACUCAACCAAUCCUCGGCGUUGGAAAUGCUUGCUUUGAACCAUAGGUGCUCUGGGAAGGGCCAGCUAUUGUCAAUAUCGAGAGCAACGCGGGAAUGAUCAUCCAGGCUGAAGCGGCAUAUAUCAGGACCAGGGUAGGGAACCACCGAAAUGUCCGAGGUAUAGAUACAGUUGCUUCUCAUAAAUGGUAGUAACGUUGUGUCAACAGCAGCUGGAUCGCCUUUCACCAUCAUUGGAUAGUUUGGUCCAAGGAAGAGCGAGUUUGCUCCAAGACUAUCAAUACUGAACCAGGGAGAAGGUGUUGGCGCUAUCACACUAGUAUCCGUCCUGAAUACCAUGCAACGGGUGUUGGAAUAGGUCAGGAGAGGGCGACCAUGGGAGACAACACCUGCUUCCUCAGUAGUAACAGUCUGAGUGCACUGUAUACAGACAAGAAGAGGUGAUCCAUCAGAAUUAGUUGCCAGGCACCACUGAGUAUAUAAGUUCUGCUCCUCCUCAUGCUCGUGAUCAUCACCAUCGUCAUCUCCCCCUUGCUUAUAAAUUUUUUCAAGUAUAGGUGGUGGAAUGUUCACAGGACCUUGGAAACACAAGAAGAAGGUUAAUUAGUAAAGGGAAACUUGCUAACCCGCAUGCAUGUGGAUGAAACAAUUAUAAUUACGAUGGAAGACAAACGUACUGAAACUACGAGGAUCCCAUGCAAAAAUAGUGCCACGAGUGGUGGCAGCAAACACAAGAUCCUCGUAUUCAAUUGCAUCACAGUACACAUCAGUGUAUAGAAACUGAUUUUUGAGCAAUAUCCAUCCAGUCGAACCACGAAGGACGGCAACAAGCUUGUCGAAGAUAGCAACAAAUUGAUAGUUCUUGUAAUUCCAAGAGCGGUUGGGAACUCGACAAAUUGCUAUCUUCAGUAGACGACAGUCACCAUGAUUGUAUUUGAACGCACGUAGAUCAUCUGUGUGCUCAACCUCAGGGCACUCGAAGAUUUUUGGAAGUGGAAUCCGCUGACGAGUGUACACAUUCACAAGUUCCCACUCGCAAUUGUACCCAAUAUAAACAACCCAAUCUCCAUUUGCGCCAGCCCAGGACUUACCCUUAAGCGAUGGCAUCUUGACAUCACACGUAUCAUUAUCAAGCGGCAUCAACUUGCACAAGGCGAGGCCUCCAUCGUCCGUGCCCAUGCGAACAGGCUUAUAGCGAAGAAGAUAAGGGAGAUCAAACCGCUCCUGGACCCUUGGGUUCCUUGUAAUGAUGUUAUUAGUUGAGUCGAGAAUGGACUUGAACGAACCUUCCAUGCUAGCCGAGGUGAUGACGUCGCACCGAUCAAUGAGUUCCCCCACCACGUCAUCUUUCAGAUUGGGGCAAGAAUAAUGGGGUCGUUUCCGGAUUGUUCCCUCCAUGGAGAAGACGAUCGAACAAUGGCAGAAGGAAGGGUGAAGGCAAAUGGAGGAGGGAGGAAGAGCGUGCGACAACAGUCCCAAAUCAAGAGGGAAAGGCGAAGAGUCGGUGGACGGUUGCCAGUUUGCCACGGUACACGAAGAGGCGCCCCGGCCUACAUGUCCUUUCUGAAAUUGUACAAAAGGACUCGCCGUCGUCUCACUGACAUGUUGGAACGGGACCACAUGUCAACGAAACAUGGUGUGUAAUUUCUCGUGCAAAAUGCGAUCUGGCCGCGUUGGCCCAAGAUGCCGCAUUAUUUCUCGACUUUAUUUUUUUAAUGGCGUGCCGUUCAGUUUUGAAGCACGACUAACUGGUACUGUUUGCAGAGAAAAUAUAAACUACUCUACCACUACUCCACCUCUAGUACUAGUAGUAUAAAAAAGAUAUAUAGGCCGGAGCUUCAGAGCUUUCUUGCUAAGGGCUGCCCACUUGCUUCUCACACUAUCACCCUCUCUCCAGAUCUAAAAAAGACGGCCUCUCUCUCCCUCCUCGCCGGUGGUCAUAGAUCCGCCGGGGAAGAAAAGGACGUGCAGCGUUGACGCACUCGUCGUCGGUGAGCGAGGUCACGCACUGACGACAAGGUCGUCCUCUCAGACCUAGCGCCCCGCGCGGGAUGGCCUCCGUCCCCAAGCUCGCUGCCAUAGUGCGUGCGGAGGACGACGACCACGAGCGAAGCCACUUCCCGCCGACCCUCGGGUAUGCUGCCUCUUUUCGAACCAUACCCUUGUUCUAUUGCCCCAUCUGCCAUGUUGCUGCAUGUGGAUCUUUUUCCACUCCACCAUCUUCCCAAUUUUCUAUCCUUUGCUCUGCUGGUCACGCAGACGAAAACCUUAAUUUGCACUAUUAAAGGAAACCCUACUUCAUGCAGACUAAUCCAUGUCUGGGUUGAAUAAGGAAAGGAAGGGAGACUAUACUGUCCAAGAGAGUAGGCAUCGAACCCGCAUCUAGGUUGAAAAGGGGAAAAUCAGUAGCUAAGGAACGAGUCUCGUGUCUCUUGGUUGAAGAAGGGUAGAAAGGCAUGACAACGCAAUAGAGAAUGACCAGGUCGAUCGGCUUGUUCUCCUCACAUAGGAAAAAGGUGGCUAAACAUAACAAAAAUGGGACGUAAUCCACAUAUGCUGCCUGGAUAUUUGUUGCUCUGGGCAACCAUACCUCCCUCACCACUCUAUGCGUUCGUGGAGGUACAUCGUACUGGUGCGCCCACUGUUCGAAUGGGCCUCCCAUGCUCUUGGUGUCACUUUUUUGCUGUUAGUAUAAUGCCAGCAGUCAAGUCAAGCAAUGCUACUGCUAAAGUGAUGCCACAUUUAACUAAUGCCGCACUCAAUCUAAUGCCACCGGUAAAUUUAAGCAAUGCCAUUUAAUGUCACUGGAUUAUUUCAGGGUUAGCUGUUGAUUGUGGAUGUAUUAAAGAUUUUUCAGCUAAGGCAUUCUAAUGCUGUUGCACAGCCAGUAUACCAACGAUGAAACUUGUUACUACCUUCAGAUUUUUGCACUGUUAAUGCUUAUAGAUUACAUACCUCACUUUCAUGAGAUAAGUUAAAUUUUUUCUACAGUGUCACCAAAAUGCCAAGGCGCUGAUGUCAUUUUAUUUUGGUUAAACUGCACAAAAAAUUAUGAAGACAAGAGGAAAGGUCAAGAGUGGGCACCUCCUCCUCCGGCUGUUCUCUUGAUUCGUUCGAUCAAGUUUUUAUGUUUGAUCGAUUAUCAAGAUUGGGAUAGCAAUUUUUAAGGUCCCCCCGAGUUCGAAAUGAUAUUUACCGUGGAGGUACAUGGUUUGCAAAUUUUUUAUACUUUCAUUAGUUAAUAAUGCUAGUUACCUUCAGACUUUUGUAUUUGGUUUAAUGCUCAUGCACAGCUAGUAUACCAAUGCUGAAACAUGUUACCUUUACAUUUUGUAUUGUUAAUUCUUAUAGAAAUCUUCCAGUGCCAGAGUUUAUUGAAAUCUGUUCAGUAAAACCAUUGUAUUGUACCCUGUAAUAAAAUAACUACUCUACUGUUGCACUAGCCACUGGAUUAGUGUAUAUUUGUAGUAUUCGAAAUUUCGAAUGGUGUUGCAUUAGCGUAUGGACAUAAAUAAAGUGUGGCAAGCUUUCCCAGAUAUGUGCUCAAGAAAACUACUACCUGUUUUUCUAAAUACUAGUAGACGUUUGGGUACUUUAAACUAAACCGCGAAAACGUCUUAUAUUAAGGAACAGAGGGUGUAGAGUUCACUCAAAUUAUCCCAGUAAAGCUAGUCACACCUUUGUUAAAAUUAAUGUUCAUUAUGUUAUUGGAGGAGGUCUGUAAGUUUGUCUCUAAUGCCUGUCGACUACAUACCUGACAUCAUGAUGUAAUGUUAAGUCAUUUCCUUUUGUACAGUGUCACUGAAUUGUCAAGGCGGUGAUGGCAUUCUAUUUUAGUUGAACUGCACAAAAUAUGCUUAAAAGAAGAGGAAAGGUCAGGAAUCGAUCAUUCUUUCAGAAAGAACUAUAUAUGCCUUUCUGACAUCAGCCUCUAUUGCCUUAUUUAUUCCUUCAAACAGGUGGUUAGAAACAGUCUUGCUACCUUUUCCCAUUAAGAAAUUGGAAUGCUUAUAUUUGUGAGUCUAUGCUUCAACUAGUGCCACUUUUAUAGUAAUCACACUUUCAAUAUCUAUGCAAACAGGGAUGCUCGAUUUUAGUGGAACUGCACAAAAAGUCCAACUGGUUCAACAUUAGGAGCAUGUUUUCUUCCAAACCUUUACAUUCAAUUGGUGGCACUAUGAGCUGUUCAUUAAGAAGGUACAUGGUUUGCUACUAUCUUGCUACUCUUUUUGUACUGUCAUUAGAUAGUAAUACUAGUGGUUUGCAUGUGAAUUUAUUGGCAGGGUGGACCUACAUUGGAGGUGCAAGACAAGAUUCAAUGAUUGGAUGCUCAAUUUUGGUUGUAUCGAUUUCACCUCUUCCAUCACUGCGAACAUGGAUAUCCUUGGUCUGAUGAAGAAUAGGCGCUAUAUUUCUGCUCUGAACAAGCAAAUCAAUUCAGUAUGAAAUUGUCCAGGGCAAAACAUGACUGUAUCAAAUUGUCCAGUGCAAAACAUGACAGAUGCUAAGCGGAAGAGACAUGUUUAGACCGAAAAUACAAGGUUGGGUAUAUGUUUACUAGCUGCUUGAUAUUUGUGCAGACAGAGAUGUCUGCCCGUUUCUAUUUGGCAAACACACAAAGUGACCGCAAUUUUGGUUGAACUGCACAAGAGAAUAGUAUAGUCACUGCAUGCCGUGCCAUUUGAAAAUAGACACAGAAAGAUUGGAUAGUCACUUCAUGGACUGCAGAAAAGUAGUACUGUACUAUUUAUUGGCCAACACUAGGUGCUUCAUUGCUUUGGUCUGAUUAUACAAUGGGCAUCAUUUUGCCUAAGUUAAAGUUUGUAUUCCAAAAAUAGUCUCGCCGUGUGAUCAAGAGAAGACCAAAUCAUAUUGCAGUGGACGUUCCUCCAUCAUGUGUAGUUCAUUCUCAUGGUUCCAACUGUUGGUGAAACCAGUUACGGUUGCAAGAGGAAUUGUAGACUUCACAAAAAAAAUUGUCUUUCAGUAUGUACUGAAUGUUGGCAAAGAGAAGCAUCCAUGUUAGUAGGAAGAACAUAUGUUUUUUCCAGAUCUUUGCUUUUGGAGCUACAUAUUUGUAUAUGAUCUGUGAAUCAUUGAGAUGCAUUAACAUGUUGAUCUUAUGUAUGGGAAUCGUACUAGUUGGUUUUAGUUGUGGCUGAUCUUUGCUUUUGGAGCUACAUAUUUGUAUAUGAUCUGUGAAUCAUUGAGAUGCAUUAACAGUUCCUUAUAUCUGUUCGCUCAGUGUUUACAAGUUACUGAUCGAUCACUAGCUAGCCUAUUAAUGCGCUCCUGGCUGAUUUAGUUGCGACGCAAGAUCCGAAGUGGCAGUUUUUUAAAUAAAAAUGCCUACCUCUGAAGAAACUGACAAGCUGCUCUGAAGAAAAUGCCAUGCGAAUCUGAAGAAACUGCCAGCGAAAACGUUCGCAAAUGCCUUAUCUCCCAGCUAAAGUUCAUCAACUAAUGCCCUCGGCUGCGACUCGUUGCAAGCUGCUCCGCGUACUGGCUGCGAGCGAUUUUGAGUGCAUGCAUGCAGCUGGCCGUAAUUAAGACAGCUAACUGAUGCGAAAAAAGAUGCGCUUUAAUUAUUGUCAGCCUUUUAAAUCCGUGGAAUCAUUAUUGACAAGGAGGGAGAUGAUUCGAGCGCACUCGUUUGACCGUCAUGCCGGCGUGCGACCCAGCACGGACGGGACGGGACGGCACAAUCAGAAUUCCAGUUUCUCUAGUUUUCCACGGCAAGCUGGCGCGAUAAGCCAUGCCUGCUUAAUUAUGCAUUGAAUUCCGAUGACCGUCGCGCUACCUUCCGCCUAUAAGUACUGUUUCCCGGCCUUCUAUGGUGGCACCGUGACCCAUCUCGCCCUAUCCUCAUAUGCCCCCACCGGCCCGAUGUCGCUCGCCACUUAUCCUCGCUCUCGCCACGUCCGCCAUACCCCCGCCCGUCCGCGAUAGGCGAGGCCGGAGGCGGUCACCGCCGGAACUAGUGUUCAGUUUUUCAUCGGAAGGCAGACGGAGGGAGGAGGCAUUCUAUCGGUAUUUAGAUGGCAAUGCGGAGAUUGAGGACUUGUUGGAGCACGACCGCCUGGCGGAGGAGCAGGAGUUGUUGGAGCGCGACCGCGUGGCGGAGGAGCAUCGUAUCACCGAUUUGCGCCGCCAGCGGGACAUGGAGCAGCAGCGCACUGACGCUCUGAGUCGCGAGCAGAGCGCCCGCACCUAGGCCGACUACGUGCAGGCCGGCGCCCGGCAAACAGCCCUGGAGGCUGUCGGGCACGCACGCGUUCGUGACGCUGAUUUUUACUACCAGCUCAUCAAGUGGGUUUCCCGCUUAGAAGCCGAUGCUUCGGUGGACCACGCCGGCAUGGAAAGGGCCAACGCGCGCGAGCAACGCGCCCUAUCGCACCUCUGGCAAGUCCGAGGCCAGGCGGAGGACGCCGGUGCCGGCGUUUAGCGUGUACCGCAGAUGGCGGCCGGCAUCGUCUAGUUAGCUAAGAGUAAGUUAGUACUUGUACGCUACUAGAGUAUUAGUGGGAGUAGAUAGUUAACUUGGCUAUGAUGGUUGUCAACGUGGAAGUUCAGUACUCUAUAUGUGGAUCAGACCUGUUACUUUGCUCUGAAUGUUGAACUUUCCGUUUGAACGUAUGGAAUGGGCUGUUAUUUUUUUAAGUGGGUUGUAUUUGUCCUCCAUGGGUUUAGAGGCUGACUUGUGAGCCUACCAAGUUGACGCGUACACAAUCAGGAGAUGGUUGUACAUGGAGAGGAUGACAGCAGGGACCCGCCAAGGUCAUGGCAGUACGCAAGCAAGUGCCUCCUUAUUUCAAUCCAAUAAAAAAUGACUCCUCCUAAUGGAUUUCUGACAUGUGGGUCCCAUGCCAUUGUCAACAUAGUCAAUAAAUGAGAGAGUUGCACAACGAGCGGCUGACACCAGGGACCCAGCAGCUCGCCCAGUUAUUUUUGUUUUGGGUUAAUUUGAUAAAUGUCACUCCAAAUCUGGUGUUUCUGAGAAAUGCCACUGCAAUUUCCAAACUUUGAAAAAUGCCAUUUCAUGCCAUUUCCAGUGGCAUUUUUUGAAGUCUGGACUGGCGUUUUUCAAAGUUUGCAAAUUGCUGUGGCGUAUUCCAAAGUUUGCAAAAAUUGCAGUGGCGUUUUUCAAAGUUUGGAAAUUGCAGUGGCAUUUUUAUGAAUCGCCAUAUUUGUUGUGGCAUUUAUCUAAUUUGUUUUUGAGACAGAAGCAGGGUGUCAACUGGGCUGUGCGGGGCACUCUGGCCUGUCUAGACAGCCUUCUCUUUUAUGUUAACCACAGACCAGCCCAGUAGUUUUUUUUCUUUCUGAAAAUGGCUAGCCCAAUUUUUUUGUGAUUUGCCAAGUAAGUCACCUUGUCAGGCCUGUUGGGCUGCAAAUCUUUCAAGACGAGGAGAGCUUCAUUCGGCUGGACGAGAAAAUGGCCUAUCAGUAAUGAGAAAUGGGUUGUACAUUUUUAAAGCACAUCAAACCGGCAAUUACUUUCAAAUUUCUUUUUUUCAUUUCAAGAUUUUAAAUUGCAUUAAUUUUUAUGCGUGGACAAUUUGUUGGAUUUUAUAUUGAUAUACAUUUAUUUUUAAAAUCAGUUUGAAUGUGACUCGAAAUUUCGGGAUUAAAAACAGUUCGGACCGCACCGAAAUAUGCAACAUUUCCUAUAAUUUUUUAACCGUGGCCACAAUAUGGGCUGUAAUGCUAACAAAAAGAAUAUGGGCUCUAAAAAAACCUUAAGAAUUAGCAAAUGGGCUGUAAAUUAUUAGAAAUAAUGGCAGAUGGGAUGUAUGAUGUUUUCCACAGAUUUGAGGCUUUCCUAAAAAAAGGUUGACGCACAAGCAGUGACUAUUGGAUGUCCAUCCAAUGGUCGUCGUGCUUCUUUAAUCUCUGCUCUUCAUGCUCCAACCGCUCAAACAAGCGCCGACGGGACUACCUGCUCCCUCCUCCCCGCGGCCGGCUGUGCUGCCGCGCAGGCCUCACCGCCCCACCGUACUCCCAUCGCUGGCCUAGCCAUCCCUCUACUCACCCACACCUGCUGUUAUUCUCCGGCGAUGGCAGAUGAACCAGUAAACCCUCAUACAGUCGUACUCCCCUCCGCGUGGGAAACAACUGCUGAGUCUUCCCUGCCUCCAUGUCGUUCCCUUCCUAGGCCUCGCCGUCGUCCACCACCCUGGUGCUCUCAGCGCGGCCUGGUCAACGUGGUCAACGACCGACAUGCAUCUGAAGUGGACUGUACAUGGAGAGGCUGACAGGCCACGGCCGCACGCAAGGAAAUGCCUCCUUAUUACGUGCAAAAUAAUGAUUCCUCCACCUGACAUCUGGGACCCACCGAAAGGGCCUCUGUAUUUCGUGAAAAAAACAUUAACGCCGCUGACAGAUCGGACCCACCAGCUAUAGCUUCGCACGCAAGGAAGGGCGUCCUUAUUACGCACAAAAAAUGAAUACCCCCCUACUAGCUGGGACCCAGUAUAGUGGCAGGCUGACUUGUGGGCCUACUAAGUUGACGGGGACGGAGGGCUUUGUCAACUUAGUCAAUAUGCACGAUUCUAGCUCUAGUGACCGUAUGAUGUCCAUCCAACGGCCGUAGUGCUUCUUCAACCUUUGGUCUUCUUGCUCCAGCCGCCCAAACUAGCGCCGGCCGUGCCUCGUGCUCCUGCCUCCUGUGGCCGGCUGCGAUGCGGCGGAGGCCUCACUGCCCCCUACUACUCCCACCGCUGGCCAGGCCAUCCCUCUAUUCACCCACAUCCCCUGUUAUUCUGCGGCGACGGCAGCCUCACACCGCAGCGAACCAGUGAACCCUCAUACUCCUCUAUGCAUGGGCAUCCACUGCCACGUCUUCCCCGGCUCUGCGUCGUCCCCUUCCUAGGCCUCGCCGUCGUCCACCGCCCUGGUGCUCUCGGUGCGGUGUGGUCAACGUGGUCAAGAACGGCUUCCAUCGGACGUGGACUGUACGUGGAGAGGCUGAUAGCUGGGUCCACGGCCGCAGCAAGGAAGUGCCUCCUUAUUACGCGCAAAAUAAUUAUUCCUCCACCUGACAGCGGGGACCCACCGGACGGGCCACCGUAUUUCGCAAAAAAACGUUUCCCCCUGACUGCUGGGACCCACCAGCUACAUCUUCGCACGCAUAGAAGUGCGUCCGGGCAAAAAAACGAUUCGCCCCCCUGACUGCUGGGACCCACCAGCUACAUCUUCGCAGGCAAGGAAGUGCCUGACAGUUGGGACCCACCUAGUCGAAGAGUACGUAGCAUUGUCAUUCUGGUCGCGAACGUGUACGUACAUACUGGUCGAUGUAGAGGCGCGCACGUGUCGUAGUAGAGGCGCGCACGUAGCAUGUACACGUACGUACAGCGGCCAGGGUGCAAGAAAGAAAAUACGGCCACGUACGUACAUACGGGCAGGGUCUCGAAUGCCUACUCGUGCAUACGUACGGUCAGGGCUCGUGUACAUGGCUGGGUCGGAACGGAGAAACAGCGUCGUCGUCGUGUUCAUGGGGAGCUAACCGGCUGGGUCGGAACGGAAUGCGUCGUCGUGUUCAUUGAGAGGGCUUGGACGGAACAGCCGAUGGAAACGAGGCAUGUCGUACCGCAGAACAGAGGAAACGGCCUUGUGCUCGACCGGCCACGUUCGAAACGGGAUCCUGUUCAUCGGGGGGGUCUGGCGUACCGCAAAACGGAGGAAACGGACCUCCUAUAGUCGAAACGGGGGUCCUGUUGAUCGGGAGGGGUGUGGUGUACCGCAAAACGGAGGAAACAGACUUGUGUUGGAGCGCUACGGUCGAAACGGGGGUCCUGUUCAUCGGGAGGGGUGUGGCGUACCGCAAAACAGGACUCCACGGGAUACUGUUCAUCUCCACCGUCGACCCCCUCCAACCUCCACGGGCUAAUGUUCAUCCACCGUCGACCUCCUCCAGCCUCCACCUGCGACUGUUCAUCCACGGGCUCCUGUUCAUCCAGCCUCCACCGCGCGCUACUCCACCGGCUACUGUUCAACCAACCCUUUCCACGGGCUCCUGUUCAACCACCCCUCCACACGCUACUAUUCAUCCAGCCCUCCACCGUCUUCAUCCUGCCCUCCACGGGGUGGUCCUGUUCAUCCUGCCCUCCACAGGGUCCUGUUCAUCCAGUCCCAACCAGCUCGAUCGAUCGGGGUCAUGUUCAUCCAGAGGCAACACCACGGGGUCCUGUUCAUCCACCCCCACCAGGUACUGUUCAUCCAAACCCCCCAGCAACGCUCACUAUUCAUCCAGAGGCAGCAUCGAUCGGCUUUAGUUAGCAGCAGUAGCGAAGGAAUCGCUCGAUCGGGUUCAGUUAACAGCCAUCGAUCGAUCGCUCGGGUUCAGUAAUGCGUAGCCUGCAGUGCAAUCGCUCGGGUUCAGUUAGAGCCCAACGCCUCGCACCAACGCGCGUGCGUGUAUGAGAGAAACGCGCAUCGCUCGGCCACGACCACCCACCGUAACCGGGAACACCCCGAUAUUUUCCUCGCCCUUGCUUCUACGACGGUUUUUUCCAGCAUGGACGGCACAAAGAAUGUCAUGCAGCUGCGUCUGGCCCGCCCAAGACGAAAAGCCCAUUUUCUGUCAUGAUUUUUGUCAUAGAAGUAGGACCCCACCACAUCUAUGAUGAUGCCGGGUUUUGUCACAAUUAUCAUCAUAGAAGUGUCAUAAGUAUGACAGAAAAGAUUUUCGUUCGGCCCAAAAUGUCACGGCUGUGUCUUUUUUUGUAGUGGUACUCAGAAUCUUCGAGUGAGGGAGUCCGACGCAAGACAGCAUUCCUGGGAGGCGUGGAAUCAAACUUGAAUCUCUCUGUGAAGCCAUCGUCUUGAAGAUCAGCUUCAGCACUGAGCAAUGUCAGACUCUUCCACGACCUCCGACAGGUUUCAUGAGUGACAAAUGCAUUCUUGGUGGCAAGGUUGCGAGUGCGAUUGACAUCCACCAAGAGGCUUUGCAUCUGACGCUUCAGCCAGUUGUGAUGCUUAUCCUAUUUUUGAUGCAGGGCAACGAGAAGCUCUCGGUCAUUGAGAACACGAGAUCGCUUCCGAGGCCUUUGAGCAAUUGUGCUUUCAAUGGCUUCAGUAUGGGCACGAUGAGGUGCAUGAGUAUUGCCAGCCAAAGGAUAAACAUGAGUAGCAGCCAGAACUCCUUCAAUGAGUUGAGUGAAGCUUUGGUGAUCGGCAUUGCGAAGAUAAAUUGGCUCCUUGGCAGGUUCUGGGUAGAUGGCUUCGAUAGACAGAUCAACCACUGGCAAGAAUAUGAGAUGAUUGCACGCAGAAGGCUGAUAGUUGACAGCAGAAUAAAGCUUGAUGAGGUGCAUUACCCAUGGAGCAUAGAAUUUCAAUCCAAAAAGAUCAGAGCCAGAUGCAGCCAAUUGCCUGAUGAAGAAGUCUUGAGCAUUGAAACUGAUGUCAUUGAAGAUAUAGAAGACCAAUGUCUUCAUUGCUCCUUCAAGCUUCGCUGCAGAAGAAUGUCCCUUGACAGGCCAUAGAGUUCGCCUGAUGAUAUGAUAAAUAGUGCGGGGCAGAUACUCUAGGUCUUCAACAAAGAAUUCCCUUGGAUAUUCAGCGUCGCGUAGCAGUGGCUUCAUCAUGCUCAGCAUUUGGCUCAUGUUGGGCUCAGGCUUCUCGAAGAUGCUCUCCAAAGCAUUGCAGUGAAGCUGACAACCAGGCUCAAAGAGUUCACCUGGAGUGGGCAGGCCAGUGAGCUCAAUAAUAUCAAGAGCUUUGGCUUCGUGGUGUACAUUGCCUGUCAUCCACUCAAGGAUCCAUGUCUUCGGAUCCCUGUUGUAUCUACGAAUGUGGAGGGUGGCAUAGAAUUGUAGCAGAAGCUCUUCGUUCCAGUGCUCUUUAUCAGUCACAAAUUGCAGCAGACCAGCAUCUCAGAAACAAUCAAGGGCUUCUUCUAGGCAUGGCAGGCCAGCAAUAGCUUCGCAGUCUAGAUGCAUAUGGGGAAAGAUGCGCCCUUGAUCAUAAAGAACACAAGAGUAGUGACUGCGUUGCUGAUAGCUCCAGAACCGAUCAGAUGAAAUUCUUGGCUUGGAAUAUGGGUUCUUGGCACUGUCAAAGAAGGUGUUGUGUGCUUUGGAACCAUUUGCAUUAAAUGAUCCCGGUGAAGUAGCAGUACCUGGGAACCUUGGCAACCUGGCUUAGGCUUCUGGACCUGAGGCCUGUGCUCCACAUGAUAGUCAAAUUGUGGUCUAGCAGCAGGUGGAGGAACCAGAAUGGGCCAUCUGACAGUAACUAGCUGACCAUUAUCAAAUGCUUGCUCAAUGGUGUGUGGCCUUGGAGGCGGUACAGGAGCAGUGGCAUUGGCAUUAGCUUCAGGCUGCUGAUUGGCUUCAGGUGCAGCAUUGCCUUCAGGCACUGUAUUCACUUCAGGCGCCACAUUAGCUUCAGCCAUGACAACGUCAUUGGCUUCAGUAUUGGUGUUGGUGUCCGCCUCAGUAUUGUCAACCUCCACUUGAGUAGCUGGAGGGUCGGACACGUUCUCCUCGAGAACAACUUCAGGGUUGGACUGGGGUGUAGCAACACGUUCUUCUUCUUGACGGGGUUCUUCUUGAUCAUCGGCUGAUGCAGCCGGAAUGUCUUCAGCAGCUCUGGCUUCAGACUUUGAGACGUUCGUAGUUGGAGUAGCUUCAGGAAACACUUGGCGUGAUACUGAGUGGUGGUGCUCUUCUCCUUCUGGAACACUCAAAAGAGUGACUUGUGGCCUUGGUCCUUUGCGAAGCCUGCGAAAUGUGGGCGACGCUUGUGGAGAGGGAGUUGGCUGGCCUCAAAGUCGUCAUCAUCAAGCAUCGGAGGGGUGACUUGAGUUGGGGGAGUACUUGGUGAUUCUUCUUCACUGGGGGAGUCUUGAGGGUGAUCAGCCCAUGAAUCAUCCUGAGCAAUUGGCGUCAAAGGACGACCAAUGCUGAUGAGUUCGCUGUUCGUGAGAACAGGCGAUGAUACCAUUUGGUGCUCGAUCUGAGGAAGGAUUUCAUCAUCAUCUACAUUGUCUUGGGGACCAAUGUCUUCAGCUGUGGUGUGGUCAACAGCUAGAUCUUCUUGAGCUUCAGGAGCCUCUGUGGUAGCAGGCUCGUGAACUAUCAACUGACGCUCUCGGUGUUCUGACGCAGGAUGAGCAACUAAGAUUGGCUGAAUGACAAGGGGCUCUGUGGGAGCAGCCCAAUCUUUCUUCUUAGUCUUUCUCUUCUUGGUCGGUGGAGCAUCGUCAGUGGUGUUCUUGUUCUUGCGCUUUCUGGCUUCGGCUUCGGCUGACCUUGUUUUCUUGAGUUCUGAAGCUACUGUGGGGACCUUAGGCUUCACGCCUGUCAUGCUGGCGGGGAAGACAAUGCGAGGUUCUUCCCGCCUGGAUGCUUCAGCUGGGGCCACAACAGGCUUCUUCUUCUUGGCAGCCAUCUUGGGGCCGAUGCCAGAACGCCCAAGUGCCUUGCGCUUCUCGGCUUCAUUGUAAGCUUGAACACAUUUGGCAGCGAGGUGUUUCAUGCACUCUCGUGAACCUUUAGCUUCGUCACGUUUCUUGUGAAAUGCCUCCUUGAGCUCAUGCAUCAUUUGCUUGAAGUUUUGGACAUCAGUCACACUGAGCUUGGCCAUGUGCUUCUUGAAUUGGGCUUUUUCAUAGUCAAUUUUGUUCUUCAGUUCAACAAUCCUCUGAGCUAGAGCCACCUCAGGAGCAAUGGCUCCGUGGAAGGAGACGCUGAGGCCAAUUGGGAGCUGAAGAUCAUCAAAACUGAGUUUGGGCUGUCAAACCACUCAUCAAUGAACUUGUUCAGGAUGUCCACAUCGAAAAGGGGGAGAUCGUUGAAGAUUUCCACCUCUUGCUUGCUCUUUAUCAGCAGCUUGAGAGCAUCGUCGCCAAGGUCGUCAUCACUUGACAGAUCAAUGGCUUCGUUCUCAUUCCUCGGAACGGUAGCUGGGGUCAGUGCUUGACCAGUAAUCUGCAUGGGCUUCUUCUUCUUCUCAGUCUUGGAGAUACGAGAAAGAUCUUCAGAAUGCACACUUGGUGCAGGAGGAGCAGUGGCUAGAGGCAUCGCACGUGAAGCUCUUGGUGCAGUGGAGGGCUUUGAAGCCUUGGGUUUCUUCUGCUUCCGUGGUUUUGGCGGAGCAGGCGCUUCAUCAGAAUCAGCGUCAUCUGCAGAGUGCUCCACGGCUGCCCCUUGAACCGCAAUGUGAGUGAUGAGACCUUCAAGGUUGUAGAAGGGCCUGACGAUAUUGGGUUCAGCAUCGCGUGUGCCAUCGGCCCGAGGAGCAGAUGGACCGGGGUUGAAGUCUAAUCCCAGCGACUUCUUGUUCUUCGCUGCAGAGUCCUCGACAAACUUGUAGUUGCGCUUGAACGGAUUGUCUUCACGGCACCAUAGCAGAGAAGAUGGGUCAGCAUUCUCUGGCUGUGGUCCGCGAACAAUGCAAGGAUAGAAUCCUUGAGCAAUGGCUUCAGUUCUGGACCUGGGUGGAAGAUUUUUGUAUAAGAUAUCUCCCCAAGGUCGCUUGAUGGCAUUGUUCUCAGCAUAUUCAGCAGUGAUGAAUCUGUAUUUGUACCAUUCCUCUGCCAAUAUCUUCGAAUCCACUGGAUUCGAGUCUUGCGUUCACCAUAGGUUUCUUCUGGGUCUGUUUUGUACAUCUCAUACAGAUCUGGUGGCAAAUCCUUCGAUGUAUUCCCACGGCGUUGUCUGCCUCCCUUCCUUGCUGACUUUUCUGUGGCCAUGUAGUUCAGACUGAAUGGCUUCAAAGCUGUCAAAGGCUUCCGUCUGCUGGUCAGACAAGAACUAGCUUCGGGAGAAUUGAUGUGAUGCUGUAAGAAUUCUGCAAAUGAAUGCAGACUAUGAGAACCAAGGAAUUCUCCCACGGACAUGUACCUGUGACAGCAUUAGAGAUGCGAAGGAAGGGAAAGAGGUCAUAUGCAUUCUCAGAAGAUUUUGAAGAUAAAUCAGUUUUGAAGACAUUGACCUCAUAGCGCGAAGACAUUCACUUAUAUGUUGAGAGUCGGUUCCAGAUUUGUACGAAUCCGAGAAUAGGUACAAGUGAGGAAUCUAACUAUGUGUGAAGCAUAAGUGAAUAUACUCGGCAUAUUAUGAGAUGCAGAACAGGAUAGAUCCAAAUUUGUGGCCACAGAAACCACUUUUGGUGAAGAAAGAUGAAUCUAUCGGAUCAAAAAGGCAGUAAAAGAGAGUUUUAAUUACCACACGAAGAACUGCUAGACGGAGUAGAGAGGAGGCCGAGCAGUUCGAUCUUUCGUGCCCUAACUUGGCGACGGAGGACACCUAUGGCGACGGCGGAGAAGACGAUGUCCGCGGCCGGCGUGAGGACGGCGUCGGUGAGGUCGCGGCAGCUAAGCGCUUCGUCGCCGGCGUCGUCGAGAGCUAGCGGUGGCGCUAGGGUUUGUCUGAGGUGGAGAGGUGGAAGAAGGAUUUUGAUCGUGAUGUGAUGUGUAUUUAUAAGGAAAGGGAAGCACAGUGCAAUUAUGCAGGUGCCCCUGGCGGUUCACAUCUGAGGGACACGUGGCGAACAUGCAACACAUUGGAAGUUGUUCCAUGUUCCCACGCACGCCUGGACUAUCGGGUGGUCAUUCCGGCUUCUCCGGGUUUCAGGCAAUAAGGAUUGAGCAUUUAAAACAGAUUCAAUGUUUGUCUCUGUAUCUUCUGUAGACAAGGACAUGGAGAAGACAUUCGACAGUUUCAAUAGAAUGCAUAUGAUUUGGAUAGAUAGAGUUUGAGGUAGAAGCAUAGAAGAGGUUAGGGUCCGAUCACAUUCACUUAGUCUAAAAGAUUCAAACAAGAAGACAUAGCCAUAAGUGAAUGCUGUAGAGGACAUAACACAAAUAUACGUAUAUAUCUGAGUAAGACUAAAUCAACAAAGUGAAGAUCAACAUGUAGACAAAUCAAUGUUGAAGAUAAAUCAAAUGUGAAGACUUAGCAAAUGCAACGCCAAGAGAAAACACUCCAAACAAAAGUUUGGUGGUGGCGUUACCCAUCGUAUAGGAAGUAUUAGACCCAGACACGGCGCACAAUUAUCAUGGCGCUCCGAAGUCAAAUUUUGCAUUAAUGUAUUCACACUCACUGUGUAAGUCUUCAUUGAUUGAAGAUAUACAUUACUUCGUGUGUUGCACAUCUAAGUCAUCAACAUGCAUAAGUGUUAGGAUGUGUGCCUAAUCACAGGACAUUCGAGGAUUCCAAGAUAUUUAGCUCACACCGCAACUUGCAAAACCUUUUCUCAUCCAAGGGCUUUGUGAAGAUAUCUGCCAAUUGCUCUUCAGUGUUGACGUGAAUGAUAUCAAUAUCUUCCUUCAUGACAUGAUCUCUGAGAAAGUGAUGACGAAUUUCAAUGUGCUUUGUCUUCGAGUGCUGAGUUGGGUUGUUGGCGAUCUUGAUGGCGCUUUCAUUAUCGCAGUAGAGUGGUACUUGCUUCAGAUGGAUGCCAUAGUCCUUCAGAGUUUGCUUCAUCCAUAGAAGCUGAGCGUAGCAAGAUCCAGCAGCAAUGUAUUCAGAUUCAGCAGUGGAGAGCGAUACACAGUUCUGCUUCUUUGAAGACCAACAGACAAGUGAUCGUCUCAGAAAGUGACAUGUGCCUGAUGUAGACUUGCGAUCCACCUUGUCACCAGCAUAAUCAGCAUCCGAGAAUCCAACUAGAUCAAACUCUGAGCCCUUUGGAUACCAUAAUCCCAGUGUUGGGGUGUAAGCCAAAUAUCGAAGAAUUCGCUUCAUAGCUAAGUGAUGCGAUUCCUUCGGUGCCGCUUGGAAUCGGGCACAUAUGCAAACACUAAGCAUGAUAUCUGGCCUAGAUGCACAUAAAUAAAGCAAAGAACCAAUCAUGGAGAGGUAUACCUUUUGAUUGAACUCUUUACCAUUGGCAUCAGGACCCAGAUGACUUUUGGUUGGCAUUGGCGUCGUGUAACCUUUGCAGUCUUGCAUUCCAAACUUCUUCAGGCAGUCUUUGAGAUAUUUCUCUUGAGAUAUGAAGAUGACGUUGCUUUGCUGACGGAUUUGAAGACCAAGGAAGAACUUCAGCUCACCCAUCAUGGACAUCUAAUAUUGCUCUUGCAUCAUGUGUCCAAACUCAUCACUGUAUUUCUGGUUAGUGCAGCCGAAGAUAAUGUCAUCCACAUAGAUUUGGCACACAAACAGUUCACCAUCAUAUGUCUUCGUGAAGAGAGUGGGAUCCAGGGAACCAGGUUUGAAGCCUUUGCUCUUCAGGAAGUCUUUGAGUGUGUCAUACCAAGCGCGAGGGGAUUGUUUGAGGCCAUACACUGCCUUGUUAAGCUUGUAUACCAUAUCAGGAUAUUUUGGAUCUUCAAAGCCAGGUGGUUGUGCAACAUACACUUCUUCUUCAAUCUUGCCAUUGAUAAAGGCACUCUUCACAUCCAUUUGAUACAGAAGGAUGUUGUGAUGAUUUGCGUAGGCUAGCAGUAUGCGAAUGGCUUCAAGCCUAGCCACAGGAGCAAAUGUUUCGUUGAAGUCAAUCCCUUCAACUUGAGUGUAUCCUUGAGCUACGAGACGAGCCUUGUUUCUGACAACUUGACCAUGCUCAUCUUGCUUGUUGCGAUAUAUCCAUUUGGUGCCAAUGAUAUUGUGCUUACGAGGAUCAGGACGCUUGACUAGUUCCCACACAUUGUUCAGCUUGAAUUGUUGAAGCUCUUCUUGCAUAGCUUGAAUCCAUUCAGGUUCCAUGAAGGCUUCAGCAACUUUCUUGGGUUCUGAUAUUGAGACAAAUGCAAAGUGCCCACAGAAAUUUGCUAGCUGUGUUGCUCUUGAACGAGUGAGUGGACCUGGUGCAUUGAUGCUAUCAAUUAUCUUCUCAAUCUGUACUUCAUUUGCAACACGAGGAUGAACUGGACGAAGAUUUUGCUCUUGCUGAUCAUUUUCUUCAUUUCGAGCGUUGUCUACAGGCUGAGCAUUGUCUUCAGGUUGAUUACGUGCAGAAAUGAUAAGUUCCUCUUCAGGCUGUGCCUCAGAAGGUAUGAUCUCUCCAGUACCCAUGAGCUUGAUGGAUUCACCAGGAGGAACUUCAUCUAGCACAUUUGGCAGGUGCUCUCAGUUAGGAGUUCAUAGGAUGUCUUCUUCAGAAGCUUGUGAAAAUAAACACGGUUAAUGACAUGGCAUGCGGUAUCAAUGGCUUCGGGCCAGAACUUUCUUGGAGUCUUGUAUUCAUCAAGCAUCGUCCGAGCCAUCUCAAUGAGUGUUUUGUUCUUGCGCUCCACGAUGCCAUUCUGCUGAGGUGUGUACGGAGCGGAGAACUCAUGAGUGAUUCCCAGCAUAUCAAGAUAAGUGUCGAGGCCUGUGUUCUUGAACUCUGUGCCGUUGUCACUCCUGAUGUGCUUGAUCUUGAUGCCAUAGUUCGUCAUGGCACGAUUUGUGAAGCGUCUGAAGACAUCCUGCACUUCAUUCUUGUAAAGGAUUAUAUGCACCCAUGUAUAUCUUGAAUAAUCAUCAACUAUGACGAAGCCAUAGACAAGCAGUAGUAGUGAGAGUAGAGUAGUGAAUAGGGCCAAAUAAGUCCAUGUGUAGCAGCUCGAUGGGUUGAGAUGUCAUCAUGAUUGUCUUCGAGGGAUGCUUGGCCCUAGUCAUCUUUCCAGCUUCGCAGGCUCCGCAUAGAUGAUCUUUCUUGAACUUGACGCCCUCGAUGCCUACAACGUGUUUCUUCUUCGCGAGAGUGUACAGGUUCCUCAUGCCAGCAUGCCCCAGCCUCCGAUGCCAGAGCCAGCACUCUGAAGAUUUUGCUAGAAGACAUACGGCAAGUUGUGGUCCUACUGAGAAAUCUACCAUGUACAAAUCAUCUUUCCGAUAACCUUCAAAGACUAGAGACUUGUCAGAUCCCAUUAGUACAAGGCAAUGAUAUUUUCCAAAUAUCACAAUCAUGUUCAAGUCACAAAGCAUUGAGACAGACAUUAAGUUGAAACCAAGGGAUUCAACAAGCAUCACUUUAUCCAUGUGCUGAUCCUUUGAGAUUGCAACUCUACCUAGACCCAAUACCUUACUUUUACCAGUGUCAGCAAAUGUGAUGUGACUCUUGUCAGAUGGACGUAAGGUUGAGUCCAUGAGAAGACUUUGAUCGCCAGUCAUAUGAUUAGUGCAUCCGCUGUCCAUAAUCCAUUCUGAAGCAUGAGGUGUCAUACCCUACAGUACAGUUAGGGGGAUAGGCUUCACCAAGAAUAUUGUGAAGCAUAAACAUUUGACGCACAAGAGGAUUAUCAAAGCUCAGAUCAAGGUUAGGACAGAUAGAAUGAUUGGCAAGCGAUUCAGGAACAAAAUACAUAGUGAGACCAUUUGGGCAUUUUAUCUUGUGCCCCACAAGAUGUUUUAGGUCCCCAGCUAUAGCAUCGGACGCCUUUGAUUUACGGCUGGAGACCUUUCCCUGCAAAAGAGAGUUAAGAUUUCUUAACCACCCACAUUUUCAGGGGUGGCUUCGAAGCAAUGAGUCUAAGUGCAGCAUCUGUGAACUUCGGCUUUGGAGCCCUAGCAAAUAGCCUUGCAGGAGGUGAAUAGUACUCAUAUGAAUAAGCAGAGUAGUUCUUAGUCUUAUGAACAUAGCGGUUUGAUGAUACACGCUCAUAUUCAUAAGUCUGAGUAUGAUUUCCCUGCAAAACAUUGCCGUUAGGGUGACUCAGGUGAGUCCUCUAUCUGUAUGAAGCCUUUGUGCCAUAUGAAGCCUUUGGUCUGGGGUUUGUCUUCUUCCCUUGUGGUGUCAUGAUGACAUUCACAGGAAGAUUCUCAAGACACCUUUUGGGCAUCCAGAUCUUCUUCAUAGGUGGUCCAUUCCUGCAGUUAGUACCAAUAUACCUGGCAAACACUUCACCAUUCUGAUUCUCAAACAGUUUAUAGUUUGCAUCAAAGGAUUCAUCAAUGAUAAUAGGGUUAGCACAAGUGAAGCCAGAUAAGGUGGAUGGAUCCACUGAAGGUCCCUUUGCAGCAACCCAUGUGGUUUUGGGGUACUGCUCAGGCUUCCAGUAGGAACCAUCAACAUUCAUUUUCCUCUCGAACCCAACACCCUCUUUCCUAGGGUUUCGGUUCAGAAUCUGCUUUUUGAGGACAUCGCACAGUGUCUGAUGCCCUUUGAGAUUUUUGUACAUCCCUGUCUCAAGCAAUGUCUUCAACCUAGCAUUUUCAUCAGCAAUAGUAGUGGCAUCCUCAGCAGAGGGGUUAGUUACCACAUCAACAGUUGAAGAUAUUGCACCAGUAGCAGCAGUAGAACAUUCAGCAACAGAAGUAGCGUUAUCACGCUCAAGGCAUUUUAGACAUGGUGGUUCAAAUUCUUCCUGAGCGGAACUGAUCUGUUGAGCGCGAAGUGACUCGUUUUCUUUUUGAAGAUCUUCAUGAACUGCUCUCAAUUUCUCAAGUUCUUGAUUCCUUUGAAGAUAAUCAUAGGAAAGCUUUUCAUGAGUUGUUGAGAGCGUUUCAUGACGACUUUCAAGUUCCUCAUACUUAACAUGAAGAUUUUUUAUGUCUUCAAUUAAGGACUAAGAAUGGGUCAUUUCCGCGUCCAACAGGUCAACGCUUUUGUCUAACAGUUUUUGAAUAUGUUCCAUAGCUUUCUGUUGUUCAGUUGCAAUUUUAGCAAGAGUUUUGUAGCUGGGUUUGGAUUCACAAUCAGAGUCAUCUUCACUUGAUGUUUGAAAGUAAGCAUCGCGUGAGUUUACCUUCGCACCACAUGCCAUGAAGCAGUAGGUGGGAGCGGAGUCGUCCUUGUCAUUAGCAUCAUCGUUGGUGACGGAGCCAUUGUCUUCAGUGUUUAAGAUGGACUUGGCAACGUAGGCUGUGGCUAGAGCCAGACUUGCAACACCAGAGUCGGACUCCUCCUCAGACUCCACCUCCGCCUCCUCUGAAGCAGACUCCUCCUCUGAAUCCAUCUCCUUGCCAACAAAAGCACGAGCCUUGCCAGAUGAGCUCUUCUUGUAUGAUGAAGACUUGGAUGAAGACUUGGAAGAAGACUUUGAGGAUUUCUUCUUCUUCUUAUCAUCAGAAUCAUAUUCCUUGCUCUUCUUCUUGUUGUUGUUUUCAUUGUCCCACUGCGGACACACAGAGAUGUAGUGACCAGGUUUCUUGCACUUGUGGCAUGUUCUCUUCUUGUGGUCAUGAGUAGAAGCUUCAUCAUUUCUUGAGCUGGAUCAUGAAGACUUUCUGAAGCCUUUCUUCUUUGUGAAUUUCUGGAACUUCUUCACAAGCAUAGCAAGCUCCUUUCCAAUGUCUUCAGGAUCACCGGAACUGCAGUCAGAUUCUUCUUCAGAUGAGGAAACAGCCUUCGCCUUCAAAGCACGAGUUCGGCCAUAGUUGGGACCAUAGAUAUCUCUUUUCUCAGAUAACUAAAACUCAUGUGUGUUGAGCCUCUCAAGUAUGUCAGAUGGAUCGAGUGUCUUGAAGUCAGGGUGUUCUUGAAUCAUCAGGGCUAGGGUGUCAAACGAGCUGUCAAGUGAUCUCAGGAGUGUCUUGACGAUUUCAUGCUUGGUGAUCUCAGUGGCGCCGAGAGCAUGAAGCUCAUUUGUGAUGUUAGUGAGGCGAUCAAACGUGAGCUGGACAUUCUCAUUAUCGUUCCUCUUGAAGCGGUUGAAGAGGUUGCGAAGAACACUGAUCCUUUGACCUCUCUAGGUUGAGACGCCUUCGUUGACCUUGGAGAGCCAGUCCCAGACUAGCUUCGACGUUUCCAGAGCACUCACACGGCCAUACUAUCCUUUGGUCAGAUGACCACAGAUGAUGUUCUUGGCAGUAGAAUCCAGUUGAACGAACUUCUUGACAUCAGCAGGGGUGACACCUUCACCAGUCUUGGGAACGCCAUUCUUGACGACAUACCAUAGAUCAACAUCAAUGGCUUCAAGAUGCAUGCGCAUCUUAUUCUUCCAGUAGGGGUAAUCAGUGCCAUCGAAGACAGUGCACACAGCGGAGACUUUGAUUAUCCCUGCAGUUGACAUAUCUAAAACUCCAGGUGGUUAAACCGAAUCACACAGAACAAGGAAGUACCUUGCUCUGAUACCAAUUGAAAGUGCUAGUUAUCGACUAGAGGGGGGUGAAUAGGCGAUUUUUAUGAAAGUCUUCAAAACAUGGAAGUUUUGAAGACAAACGGUAGAAAUGUACCUAUUAACAUGCAGCGAAGGUAGACUACACUAGGCAAGCCAUAGACCAGUAUUCAAUGAAGUGAAAGCACGAAGACUAUUAGCAGCUAGGCAGUAUGGAUCAGGAUGGAAGAUAGUAUGAAGCCAAUUAGAACAAGUAGUCACACAGUGAAGUCAAACAGAUAAUGCAAACAUGCAAAGACUUCCCGAAGACAAACUGUAAGUAAAGAGAGGGAGAAGAUAGAACCAAUCUCUUGGAGAGGACAAGGAUUUGUUGGACCAGUUCCAGUUGCUGUGACAACUGUACGUCAGGUUAGGGAGGCUGAGAUUCAACUCAGAAGACCGCGUCUUCACCUUAUUCCCCUUGAGCUAAGGACACCCAGUCCUCGCCCAAUCACUCUCGUAAGUCUUCAAGGUAGACUUCCGAACCUUCACAGACUUCGUUCACCAGCGAUACACAAUGACUCUUGGAUGCUCAGAACGCGACGCCUAACUGGCUGGAGGAUUCACAGUCCUCAAGUGUAACAAGUCUUCAGGUCACGCGGACAGAAAGACUUCAGUGAUGCCUAACACUCUUUGGCUCUGGGUGUUUUGGGCUUUGUCCUCGCGAGGAUCUCUCUCAAAGGCUUCGGAGGUGGGUUGCUCUCAAACGACAAAAGUCGUGCACUAACUCUGAGCAGCCACAAAUUUAUGGUGUAGGGGGUGGGCUAUUUAUAGCCAGGAGGCAACCCAACAUGAUAUGUCCGAAAUGACCCUGGGUCACUAAGGAACUGACACGUGUCCAACGGUCGGAUUUGAAACACACGCGACAGCUUGACUUGGGCUACAAGCAAAGCUGACUCAUCCAGCUCUGGAUAAGAUUUGCUCUCAUUGUCUUCCUCGAAGACAUAGGAUUUUGGUUGAGCAUCACAUCAGUCAUUCUGACUUUGUUCACUUGGACCCCACUUAACAGUACGGUGGUUCCUAUGACUCAAUAAAGAAGCAAAGAAGACUAUGAAACAACUAUGUCUUUGCACUCCAUAGUCUUCAAGUGAAUGUCUUCACAUGUCAUAAUCUUCAUCAUAAAUGUCUUCAUGAACCACCAUUGUCUUUAAUGUCUUCACAAUUUGAUCGAGGUGUCAUCCACAAUGGUCGUACAAACCACUAUAGCUUCAAGAUGAAAGGGAAGGAGUUUGUGCUACGACCUAUGUCUCCAAGCCAAUUGCUCGCCGACAAGCAAAACACCCAUCGUGGAGAGAAUAGUGAGAGAGCGAACCACCAAAAAGAGAGUGAGCGCCACAAGCCCAAAUUGAGUGCCUCCACGAUGAGGGAUAAGAAAAACUUAGUUCUCUUUGCCACCAAACGUGAUAUGAGAGAAGUGUGUGAGAACCCAUCAAGUGUCCUACACUAUGUCCUAUUGUGCAAGGACGAGGCACCAAAAGCUAACACCUCUCACAAUCUUCCUUUAGUGUUAUCUUCUUUAUUGCAGGAAUUCCAAGAUGUUUUCCUCGAUGAGCUACCUUCGGGUCUACCUCCACUACGAGGCAUUGAGCACCGAAUCGACCUCAUUCCCGGAGCGCCACUUCCAAACAAGGCUCCCUACCGUGUCAACCCCGAAGAAACCAAAGAAAUACAAAGGCAAGUAAAGCAUCUCAUAGACCAAGGACAUGUGCGCAAAAGUUUGAGUCCUUGUGCCGUACCGGUCAUUCUUGUGCCAAAAAGAGACGGUAGUUUUCGCAUGUUUUCCGAUUGUAGACCCAUCAAUGUUAUCACCGUUCGCUAUAGGUACCCCGUUCCACGCCUUGAUGGUAUGCUUGAUGAACUUAGCAGUGCCACUAUCUUUUCAAAAAUUGAUCUUAAAAGUGGUUACUAUCAAAUACACAUACAAGAGGGUGAUGAAUGGAAAACCGCUUUCAAAACAAAAUUUGGUUUGUAUGAGUGGUUAGUCAUGCCUAUGGGUUUAUCGGAAGCACCCGGUACUUUCAUGCGUCUUAUGCAUUAUGUGUUGCGCCCUUACAUUGGUGAAUUUAUUGUUCUCUCCUUCGAUGAUAUCCUUGUGUUUAGCAAAUCUCUCAAAGAGCAUGUCACCCACCUUCGCACCGUGCUACAAACUCUUCAAAAAGAGCAACUUUAUGCUAAUAUGGAAAAAUGCCUCUUUGGUGUUGAUAAGCAUGUUUUCUUGGGUUUCGUAGUAUCUUCUAAGGGUGUUCAUGUUGAUGAAUCUAAGAUCAAUGCUAUUAAAACUUGGCCCCAACCAACCAAUUUGCAACAAGUGUGUAGUUUUCUUGGUCUAGCCGGUUUCUACCGUAGAUUUGUGAAGGAUUUUAGCACCAUUGCUUCACCUUUACAUGCUUUGAGCAAGAAGAAUGCACCCUUUGUUUGGGGACCAUCACACACUACAAAAAAAAGACACAUCCGUGACAUUUUGGGCCGAACGAAAAAAAAAUCUGUCAUACAUAUGACACUUCUAUGACGAUAAUUGUGACAAAACCCGGGAUCAUCAUAGAUGUGGUGGGCUCCUACUUGUAUGACAAAAAAUCAUGACAGAAAAUGGGCUUUUCGUCCUGGGCGGGCCGGAGACGCAGCUGCAUGACAUUCUUUGGUCGUCCAUGACGGAAAAAACCAUGGUAGAAGCGAGGGGGAGGAAAAUUUCGGGGAGUUCCCGGUUACGGUGGGAGGUCGGGGGCCGAGCGAUGUGCGUUUCUCUCGUACACGUACGCGCGUGUGUGCAAGGCGUUGGCUCUAACUAAACCCGAGCGAGGCGUUGGGCUCUAAUUGAACCCGAGCGAUUGCACCGCAGGCUACGCGUUACUGAACCCGAGCGAUCGAUCGAUGGCUAUUAACUGAACCCGAUCGAGCGAUUCCUUCGCUACUGCUGCUAACUGAAGCCGAUCGAUUGGAUGAACAGUGAGCGUUGCGGGGGGGUUUGGAUGAACAGUGAGCGGUGGCGUUGCCUCUGGAUGAACAGGACCCCGUGGUGUGGAGGGCUGGAUGAACAGUAGACGGUGGAGGGGUGCCCGUGGAGGGGUGGUUGAACAGGACCCCGUGGUGUGGAGGGCUGGAUGAAUAGUAGAUGGUGGAGGGGUGCCCAUGGAGGGGUGGUUGAACAGUAGCCGGUGGAGUAGCGCGCGGUGGAGGCUGGAUGAACAGGAGCCCGUGGAGGCUGGAGGAGGUCAACGGUAGCCCGUGGAGGCUGGAGGAGGUCGACGGUAGCCCGUGGAGGCUGGAGGAGGUCGACGGUGGAGAUGAACAGUAUCCCGUGGAAUCCCGUUUUGCAGUACGCCACACCCCUCCCGAUCAACAGAACCCCUGUUUCGACCGUAGCGCUCCAACACAAGUCCGUUUCCUCCGUUUUGCGGUACGCCACACCCCUCCCGAUCAACAGGACCCUCGUUUCGACCGUAGGAGGUCCGUUUCCUCCGUUUUGCGGUACGCCAGACCCCUCCCGAUGAACAGGAUCCCGUUUCAAACAUGGCCGGUCGAACACAAGGCCGUUUCCUCCGUUUUGCGGUACGCCAGGCCUCGUUUCCAUCACCUGUCUCGUCCAAGCCCUCCCGAUGAACACGACCACGCAUUCCGUUCCGACCCAGCCGGUUGGCUCCCACGCGUUCUGUUGCCUCCCGAUGAACACGACGCAUUCCGUUGCCUCCCCAUGAACACGACGCAUUCCGUUGCCUCCCCAUGAACACGAUGACGACGCUGUUUCUCCGUUCCGACCCAGCCAUGUACACGAGCCCUGGCCGUACGUAUGCGCGAGUAGGCGUUCGAGACCCUGCCCGUAUGUACGUACGUGGCCGUAUUUUCUUUCUUGCACCCUGGCCGCUGUACAUAUGUGUACAUGCUACGUGCGCGCCUCUACUACGACACGUACGCGCCUCUACUACGACACGUGCGCGCCUCUACAUCGACUAGUAUAUAUGUACGUACACGUUCACGACCAGAAUGACAACGCUACGUACGCUUCGACCAGGUGGGUCCCGACUGUCAGGCACUUCCUUGCCUGUGAAGAUGUAGCUGGUGGGUCCCAGCAGUCAGGGGGGCGAAUCGUUUUGUUUUUUGUUUUGCCCGGACGCACUUCCUUGCGUGCGAAGGUGUAGCUGCUGGGUCCCAGCAGUCCGGGGGGAAUCAUUUUGUUUUUUCUGCCCGGAUGCACUUCCUUGCGUGCGAAGAUGUAGCUGGUGGGUCCCAGCAGUCAGGGGGGCGAAUCGUUUUUUUUUCGGAUGCACUUCCUUGCGUGCGAAGACGUAGCUGGAGGGUCCCAAUAGUCAGGGGGGCGAAUCGUUUUUUUGAUGCACUUCCUUGCGUGCGAAGAUGUAGCUGGUGGGUCCUAGCAGUCAGGGGGAAACGUUUUUUUUGCGAAAUACGGUGGCCCAUCCGGUGGGUCCCCGCUGUCAGGUGGAGGAAUAAUUAUUUUGCACGUAAUAAGGAGGCACUUCCUUGCUGCAGCCGUGGACCCAGCUGUCAGCCUCUCCACGUACAGUUCACGUCCGAUGGAAGCCAUUCCUUGACCACAUUGACCACGCCGCGCCGAGAGCACCAGGGCGGUGGACGACGGCGAGGCCUAGGAAGGGGACGACGCGGAGCCGGGGAAGAUGCGGCAGUGGAUGCCCACGCAUAGAGGAGUAUGAGGGUUCACUCGUUCGGCUGCGGUGUGAGGCUGCCGUCGCCGCAGAAUAAUAGGGGGUGUGGGUGCGUAGAGGGAUGGCCUGGCAAGCGGUGGGAGUAGUAGGGGGCGGUGAGGCCUCCGCGGCAUCACAGUCGGCCACGGGCGGCAGGAGCAGGCGGCACGACCGGCGCUGCUUUGGGCAGCUGGAGCAAGAAGACCAGAGGUUGAAGAAGCACUACGGUCGUUGGAUGGACAUCGUACGGUCACUGGAUCUAGAAUCGUUCAUAUAUUGAUUAAAGUUGACAAAGGCCACCGUCCCAGUCAACUUAGUAGGCCCACAAGUCAGCCUCCCACCAAGGUGGGUCCCAGCUAGCAGGGGGUAUUCAUUUUUUUGUGCGUAAUAAGGAGGCACUUCCGGUGGAUCCGAGCUGACAGCGGGGGGAACGUUUUUUUCGCGAAAUACGGUGGCCCGUCCAGUGGGUCCCAGCAGUCAGGGGGAAAUUUUUUUUUCGCGAAAUACUGGUGGCCCGUCCGGUGGGUCCCUGCUCUCAGGUGGAGGAAUAAUUAUUUUCCGCGUAAUAAGAAGGCACAUAAAUAUAUAUUUUGACAGAGAUAUACUCCCUCUGUAAAGAAAUAUACAAAUCUUUUAUAUCACAGGAUCACCUUGCCGAGAAAUAUACUCCCUCUGCAACGCACGGGCAUUAUGGGGGUUCAGCUUUUUUUAUGGGAGUUCAGCUGAGAAUAUAAUACUCAGAUAGGCUCACGGUUCUGGACUUUGGGCCGCAGGUCGACCCUGCAUGUUUGGGGGCCCAUGUGUUCUACCUCAGCGCUUUUCAUAUUGCAAGCGAUCGGUACGGCACUGGUUUUAGAUGCUGUCGCAAGGCGAAUACACAAAAUUGAAUAAAGCACGCCAGCUGUUGGAAUGAAAUCGAACGAUAGUUCCUAACCAGCAAUCAGAGUUGCAAUUCUAUCAACGAUAUACCAUGUGAUAAAUAAUACUGUCGUACUACUUAUACACAUAGGACACUUGUUUCACCAUGCCAGAUUAUUACAUCAAAAUCUCUCGGAGGAUAGAUCAGUUCGGCAGUUGUGUGCUGCUACUGAAGAAUUUCAAAGUUGAUUUGGACCAGCUCUCCUUGCCGAGAAAGUUCGAUUUUGACAUCAUCCCCUACCGCAAGAUAUGAUUUAGAUUUGAACCUUGACCAUCCUUUAGCAUCAAUCAUCAUGCGACCAUCCUUUGUACUUACGGUAUAUUGAGCAGGUUCAUUCACACCAAGGCUGCGCAUGGUAAGAGAAACUUGGCCGCGGUCGCCCGGAUUGUUGAACGACUCCCUGGUUGCUCUAGGAAUUCUCUGUUUGCAAACAAGAAGACAUACCCAAACAGUUAGAUCAACACAGUGAAUCAUGUGAAACAACAUGGAAAGAAAAAAGAACGAAGCACUUGGGCGGCCAAUGCUUACCAAGAAGGUGGACAUGUCGGUUUUUGUAAGGACUUUGGUAUAUGAAGUGCGAACUGCAGCCCAGUCUGUUGCCGGUGCAACUGCACGGGCCGGAGCAGAUGCAAGUGCAAGUGUUGGCGCAGGUGCCGAAGCCACUGCUGCUGCCAGAGAUGGUGCUCCUUGUAGAGCUGGUGCCAGUGUCGGAGCAGGUGCCGGUGUCGAUGCCCGAUCCUCCGGUAGAUCAGACUGAUCCGCUGACGUGGUCGGUGCCCAAUCCUCAGCUGGAUCAGACUGAGCUGCUGCCGCUGUCAGUGCUAGAGCAACUGCCGGUGCUCGAUCUGUGCGAGACAGCGGCGAUCGUGUCUGGUCUGCUAUGAUCAGCUUUCUAACUUGACUAGGAUCCGUGACCGUGAUCCAAUUUUUUUCUUCAUUUCUUUUAAACGCGAGAAGGACUAAUUGUGGCGUUUUUCUUAAACCAAACUACAGUUCAUCAUAGGGAUUCAGCUUGUACUCAGACAACAGACUGAUCCAAUUUUUUCCAGUAACAUAAGUGAUGGACAGUGCCUUCGUUACUGACACGACAUAAGAAUUGAAACCUGCAAAAAUAGCCAUCGUAGAGCAAACCAAACAGUUUAUUCUGUGAUGAAUGUCACAUGGAAAAACCUGCAUCGUAAAAUUGCAGGAAAAGAAAGAAAACAUGACAUUAAAUCAAUAAGAUUUAGACAGUAAAUCAAUAAGAUUUACUUGAUGUGACACGAGUGAAUCCUUACCAGGAAAUCACUAUGUUGAAGUACUAAACAGAAGAUUGAUCGUCCAACUACGCGUGGCAUGCAGGGGCCCCGCCUACUCCCACAAGCAGGACAGUCCAAAGGUCGUGACAAAUCGUAUGGACCGAACAUCCAUGGGACUGGAAAUCCUGGUGGGUGCGAUAAACCCUGCAAUGCAUACAGAUAUUGGAGUGUAACCAUAAUUGAUAAACCGUCCUCACAAAAAAUAUGAUCUGGAUACUUCAAAAUAUACAGACUGAAUUGAGUGGACAGACAUUAGCAUAGACCUUUCACACACCAAAAGCGGCAGUACUAAUAAACAAUACAGGGUUCACAAACACAAAUCAAGUACUGAACAAUAGUACUUACUACAGACAAGCAAAGUUGCACUAACUAAACUCUGCAGACUAUUUCUUGCCACCGACCUACGGGAUGAACCCCGCAUAACUGACUAGGCCAUGGACUUCGUGUGAGAUGUCUACAUGCACCAUCACCAUCUUGUCAACCUUGGAGAACCUAACAGAGUGGUCUUUCCACUCAUAAACAUGAUGAUGAAGACAGGCCGCAUCAGAUUUGUUGGGAAGCUUUACAAGAACCACACCCUUCGUAAUCGAAGGCACAGCUAGGAAAUUGUUGUGAUCAAGUACAGCCUCGAGAACACGCCUGACAACAAUGCUACAGGAAAACACUAGUUCAGGACACGUGGCGACAAGGACACAGCAGCGGAUAGUUCAGCAGUAGAACUCAUCAUCAGGUCUUCCAGUUCACACGGCAUGACUUUGAGAACUUCAUCUCCACCGCGGACCUGGUUCUAAUUCAAACAGAAACCAUAUUUUAUUACUACCUCCGUUCAGAAAUAUAAGAUGAUUUUUGAUAUUAUACUCCAUAUAUGAUUACAUAUAUGCACAGAAAUGAGUGAACAAAGACACUAGAACAUGUCUUCAAAGGCAUGAGAGCAGAGGGAUUACAUGCAAUAUCCAUAACACAAGUUACUGAGGCAAAUAUACCCUCUUAAAAGGUAGCAUUGAUGUUCAUAAAGUACUCCCUCCGUCCCGUCUUAGAUUUGUCUAGAUACGGAUGUAUCAAGUCACAUUUUAGUAUUAGAUACAUCCGUAUCUAGACAAAUCUAAGACAAGAAAUUUGGGACAGAGGGAGUAGUUGAAAGUAAUCUAUAAGAAAUCAGUGUCAACCUCUCGCAUGUUUUGGUCAAAAGAGGAAUUUAGAACCGUCAUUUGGCACACUAAAAUCACAUGCAAGAUCACCCAGAAAGUUGUACUACCAGUACUAGUACUGCGUGUUAGAUGAAAAAACACGAUCAAGAUCGAGAAAAAGAUCGUCAACAAGAGACAUUACCUGGACUUGCUUAAUGAGGGAUCCCGGAGAGGGGGGCUUGGACAGGGCGAUGGCUUUGAGCUUGUCUGCGGUAGUCUUGGCGGGGUGCUUGCACUUCUUCGUACCAUGAGCCUCGACGGUUUUGGCCAGAGCCAUAGACAUCACGUCGGCCGGUGCUCCGGCGUCCAUCCAAGAGAGGAAGCUGAGAGAGAAGAGUGAAAGGAGGAACGAGAUGAGGGAGAAAUGAAGCGAGUGGGGGUUUUCUUCAAGAGAGGAAGCUGAGAGAGAAGAGUGACAUGAUGGUUUCUUCGUCCGUCCAACUUACUGCUGGAAAGGAGGGGGUUUUGUGAUUUGACGGCUCAUUGGGCAUUACUGCGGCGGUUCGAUCGGGGUAGUCUACCAUCACUCUACUACGGAGUAAUUUAGUGCAUGGCUGGUGGACCCAGGUGCUGGCUGUCCCACACGUCGGCGAAAGUGAGUAAUUUAGUGCAUGGCUGGAGGAGGAUCCGCACGGUAGAGCGUGUCCACUGUUUUUCUGAAGAAAAAAAUGAUUACAGCAAACGUUUCCACUCUUACGACGGAGGAGUGUGAAACACGGCAGCCACUUGAACAUACACAGUGCUCCUACUACUAGGCAUGUGCAGUGGUUCAUACGUCAGUACUACACAAUCUUGUUGCUAGUGUAGUAAGAUAUGACGAUAACAAAUGAUGUUGUGCACAUGUCAACUACUCCUAUAUGUAACAUAGUACCGCUUUUUCGACUGUCCGGUCGAGAAUGAACGGUGAGAUCAAUGUUAACAGAACUAGGUCCAUAGCGCACGGAGAGUACGGUGCUACAGUACUCCACGAAACAUGAACCAUAUGAAGCACGAAUAGUGUUAGGCAGGGUGUAUGAAGGGUGCACGGGAUGGGAGCAAAAGUUCCCUUCUCGACCCACUUUUGGGUGUUUGGCAGAGUGCAUGAAGGGUGCAUGAGUCCACACUAGUAGGUUGAAAAAAAUACACGAAGAGGAAACAACUAUAUUGAGAUGAGAAUGCAACCAAACACACCCACACGCUUUGUGCUACAGUGACUGAUCUGCACCGUCUGAGUUUGAUCCAACGGUCAUGUUGCGCCGAGACAUGGACAUGCCCAUGCAGAGGGCGCCUAAACACCACCGAAGUCCCUCUGCUUCUCGAGGCGCAUGACGUUGGUGAUGCAGGGUGCAACCGCCCGCAGAGCCCGCUCCCGGUCGACGGGAGCCAGCUCGUCAAAGACGGCGUCCAAUGGUACGAAUGGAUUCCGGUGACGGAGCCCUGAAAGGAUUCGCCCGGUAACGGCGGUGGCAGCCCGCAACCCCUCCUUGUCCAGCUCAGCCCCCACCAUCGCGCGGAGACGGCUCAGAUCCUCGGAGAUAUAGGUGAAGAAGGAGACCAGGUCAGGAAGCCACAGCUCGUUGAAGUUGAUCGGGUGGUCGAACGGGUUUAGCCCGACGGCCGGCAUCGUCGCGCUGGCACGACGGUAGGCAUCGCAGCCGCAACACGUGCGUGGCAACUUGGUUCACCAAGUGGCUGAGGCGAUCCUGGACCUCGUCACGAUCGGCCCGCUCGCGCUCCAGCCGGCUCCCCUGACGGCCUAUCGUAUCUCCCGCUUUCUGCAACAACGCCGCCGACGCCUCGAGCAUCUUUGUGGUGGACGCCUGCCACUUUUGAAGCUCCGUGAACUCCCGCACAUAAUGGAGGAGCAUGGCACUCCUCUCCUCCUUGAGCUCACGGAGCUCCACGUCCUUGGCCCUGAGCUCCGCAUCCUUGGCAUGGAGCUCCUGUGUCAGGCGCCUCACCUCGGACUCCGUGAUCUGCUGCGCCGCCAUGGCACCAGGUAGAAGCAAUGGGGAGAGGAAGGAAAGGGGGCGAAACGGCUGAAAGCCAAUGCAAUCUACGGGAAGGCGGAGGGAGCGGGGAAUCUUUUGGUUUUCACCACGGUAAAACACCAGUCGACGACUUCUCACAUCAGGGAGCAGUGGGUUUUUACAGGCGGAGUCAUCAUGACUAAUUGCUGCCGCGCCUGCUCCCGUCAAUCAAAAAAUUAAAAAUCCUCCCGCGCCUGCUCCCGUCAAUCAAAAAAUUAAAAAUCCUGCCGCACCUAAACACCAGAGCAACGCCGCGGUGGAUAUUUAAAUUUACCUGCCGGCAAGUAGAUAAAAAAGGGGUGAAAAAACAAAUGUGGCGGCGGCCUAGCUAAUCGGUCGAACUAGCCCAACUAGCUAGCCACCCUACUUCACUGAUGUACUCGGCGGGAAAGGUGGUCUUUCGUGAUUUGAGGACUCAUUUACUUGCUUCGGCGCUACGACCGAGGAGGACCCAGAAAUCGCGCGGUAGGGCGUCCCACGUCAGGAAGAAUAUAUGCGUGCACCACCCGGGAGGACCCCGAAACUGCGCGGUAGGGUGUGCCACGUCUCGGCACGGAGGAAAAAUGUGCGUGUAAAAAUAUACUGUAUCAGACGUAGUACCUAUGGUUCGACCUCGGGACCCAGCCAGUCGGUCGAAAACACCCCACUAUCCACACAGGUUCAUCAUGCAAACGUGGCACGGAGGAUAGAUGUGGUUAGCUCCGUCUCGACCAGCCACAACGUCUCUUGUUCUAGGCGAUUCUUCUAUUUUCCAAGCUUUUUUUAGUUGUAAUAACACCACGGCAAGCUAGCGCCGCUCUUCGUGUGUGCCCGUGCAAAGGUUAGACGAUGGAGAGAAGAGAGAUUGAGAUCGCAGACCUGGGACCCACCUGUAAGUGAGACAACGGUCAUGCACGUGUUGACGAGGCACUCCCUCUACUCUACUCAACGCAAGUACUGUAUAAAAUCAAGUUAUGGGACAAAGCCAACAACCGUUCAUUUUUUUCAGGCUAUCGACUUACGCUUUGUAGUCCAGGUUGCCAGUUUGAAUCUCGUCUUUCAGAUUUGUUAGUUUUAGGUCCAAAUUUGAUUAAUGACAAGUGGGACCCCCGUGUGUUGUUCCGAUAUUUCAGUGUAGGAUGGUUUUUUUGAACAAACACUUUGCGCGGUUAGACAAGUAACGGCACGAGUUACACGUAUUUUGCAAGUUUACGAACAAAAAUGACAGCGGCAUAGAAUAUCACAUCCACCCCGUAGCUUAGAUACUAUGGUGAUACGAGUUUUUACACCGUUGGAAGUGAGAUCCAAUGGCUUGGGAGUAGUCUUUGUAAUUAUGCGCAAUUUCCAAACUCUCCAAAGGUUUUUUUUGCAAAUAAAACAUUCAGGCCUCGUGUGUGCCGCUGCAUCUUCGGUCCAACAGCUCCCCGGUGCUCAUAUUAGGUGCUCCCCGUAGCUUAAUUACCCGCUACGGUGAUAUGAGCAUCUAGGUCGUAUGAUCAGCGAUCAGAUGGCACAUGCGUAGUACUUGUACUUUCUGCGCAUUUCCCAAACUCUAUCAGCCAUAUAUUGCAAAAACAUUCAAACCUCCUACUGUGGGCCGUUAGAUCUCAGUGAACUCGUAUCACCAUAGAAUCUACGGUGCGAGAGCACCUCAUACUCUCCCGUGCGAGAAAACUUAAGGUGCUAUCGCAACUUGGAUGCUACGGUGAUACGAGCUUGGAGGUCGUUUGAUCUGGGAUCCAAUGGCAUCUGAGCAGUCUUUGUGCUUGUAAGCAGUGGCCGAACUCUUUUGGGGCUUUUCUGCAAAAAACCAUUCGAACCACCGAGGAGGUGUUGGGUCACAAAUCCAACGCCGCCGAAGAGCUUGUAUCACCAAAGCAUCUAAGGUGUGGUAGCACAUGAUAUUCUUACAUACAGGAGAAUAUGAUGUCCUCCUUCAUCUUAGAUGCUACGGUGAUACGAGCUUCGAGGUCGUUGGAUAUGGGAUCAAAGGGCAUCUAAGUAGUUUUUGUACAAAUUGUGUGCAAUUCUCAAACUCAUCAAGGUUUCCUGCAAAAAUAUUAAGACACAUCAUGUGAGCUUCUAUAUCUCAGAUCUACAAGCUCCAAGCAACUCGUAUCGGCAUAUAGCAUCUAAGGUAUGGGGGCACAUGAUAUUCUCCCGGGGAGGAGGGGUGGGGGUGCACAACCAAUCGGUGGUUGGGAGGGUGGGGACAAAUAUAAUCUAAACAACCCUAAACAGAGCUCCACAAUUUUAUCUAAGGUCGAGGGGUUGACCCCCGACAAUCAUAGCUCCGCCUAAACACAACAUUUGCAUGUACUGUAGUACUAGAAUUAAUAUUCAUGUUUCAGUUUCAUGUUCAUUUUAAAUAUUGAACUGAGGACCAUGGAUGUCUUACAUUUUACUCCCUUCAUUCCUAGAUAUUAGUCUUUUUAGAGGCUUCAAAUGGACUGGCACAUACGGAUGUAUAUAGACAUAUUUUAGAGUCUAGAUUCACUCAUUUUUCUCCGUAUGUAGUCACUUGUUGAACUCUCUAAAAGACUAAUAUUUAGGAAUAGAAGGAGUAUUUUUGAAUUCGUGUUAUACAUGCAUGGUUUGGAAAAAUAGAUGCACUAUACUUAUUGGAUUGUUGUUGUGUUCGUGCGUGUGUGUCUGUGUGUGUGUGUGUGGUCAUAUGCUUGAUACAUACAAAGUUUUCUCACCUCCAUAUUGUUCAUCUUUUAAAUUUGAAUUUGCAUUGGAAAACUUACUAGGGAUACCAUGAAAUGUGAAAUCCACGUUGAGAUCACUAUAUCACAAACUCACUCUAAUUCAACAACUCGUCAUAAAUAAAUUACCACGUUGAGAUUAGUAUUUGCAAGGAAAAUACGGGUAUUGUAAUACACAUAGAUUCGUUCGACAAUUUAAAAGGUUCCUUUCGUAUUCUCGAAUGGUAGGACCCAACGGUGUACCAGCCAGACCUUGGCUCGUGUUGAUCCUAAAAAAACCGGGCUCGUGUCCUUUGGUGGCGUGCGUGGUACGCACAUUAGGCAACCCCAACCAGUCGAGCCUCAGCGUUUCAAGUCGAAAUAUCUGGCGGCCAGAAUUCCAGCCCUAGGAAAUUCCCCUCAUGUCCCCGGUCCAUAAUGACUACCGAUGAACAACGGAGGGAUGCUUUAGUAACUAGACAACAUUACCAACCGUGCCGAGCACGGUUCAAUUCCCUCGGUCGCCGCUCAUCAAGGUCACGCGUCAACUGCAUUGCCUAGUACUACUACUACUACACCAGGAUGAGCACAGAAUUGAGCCCAUCUGUUCGUGCCUAGUACUUGAGUUAAUAUAUCAGGCAAUGCACUGGUAUGGAGGGAUUAUCCUUUUACUCUGCAUAUAUAACUUGUCUGAAGUCUAACUAAGCAAAAUGUUUGACCAAAUCCUUUCUUAAGAAAUACAACAGGACAGAUGUACGGCUUGAAAAUUUAUUGCAUGAUGCAGGUUAUGAUAUUGUUUCGAAUCCUGGAUCUUAAAUUUCAGAAAAUCCAAAAGUGAGCAUAAAUUCUUGAAACUAAGCAUGGUCACGUGAUAUGGCACAAAUAUUACUUCGUAAGUUUUUUCUUCAAUUUGAGACAAGCUGCUUAGGACAAGUUGCACAAAUGAAGAGCCAAGGUAUUUUGGAACAAAGACCUGUCACGUUAAGGCGAACGCUUUCACUAUUAAAACCGUGGGCGUUUACGUGCCGCCACGAGUCCCCGCUUCUCAUCGGCAGGUGCCGUCCGAGCAAGCGUGUGAGUCGAUGGGAGGCGUGCGAGCAGACCGCUGCGCCGGCUGUCAGGGAGGCGUGCCAGCAGACCAUUGUGCAGGCUCACCAGGAGGCGAGCCCUUUGACCAGGCUCCGCCGCCCACCGUCGUCCCAACUGCUCCCACUUUUAAUGUCGCCGGCGCCGCAGUUUAAAAUCAACCCCGCACUACCCGGUAUCGCUACAAUCCUCUCUCUUCCUCUCCGAUUCUCCUGUCGUCUACCUCCAACUAGCCUGACCUAAACGUACGCCAUGCCGCAUCACGAUGGUCUGCCCUUAGUGUUCCAGUUUCCUGAGGAAGACACCCAGCCGGAGUCCCAAGAACAUAAGGCGCUUUCGGACGAGCUUGAACUGGCCUUGCGGGAAGACGCCGCGCCUGUCCCCGCUCCCGUUCCGGCUCCCGUCGCCCCGACUGCACCAGCGCCCAUCCCCGUGGCAUUGAUGGGCUGGGAGCCGCACAUUGUCGCCGAGCUUGAUCCCACUUGGUUCCACGAGGUCCCCGCCGACUUUCACGCGCCCGUGCACCUGCCAGCGCAUGCGCCUGCGCGUGCACUGACGCGCACGCCCGUGUCGGUGCCCGUGCACCUGCCAGCGCAUGCGCCUGCGCGUGCACUGACGUGCGCGCCCGUGCACACAAAUGUCUCCGCCGCGCCGUUGACAGCGCCUGUCCCCUCGCGGGUGCCAGUGCCCCCCUCAGCGGCAUAGAUGGCCGCCGUCGACCGCUUCCUUGCACCAACGCCAGUCGCCUCCUCCCGCCAGUUGACUCGCUCCGAAGUCCAGAACAUUUUGGCCUUCCUUGAAGCUAGGCCAACGUCCAGGAGUACGCCAACAACGGCGCAAGACGCCGCCGUCGCCAUCGGUCAGUGGCCCGACGACACACAGAGCACGGCAGAGGAGCCGCUUCCCACCACGAGACGCCCCCGCCGCCGCCACGUAAUCUAAAUUUGCCAUGAAAAACGUUCGGAUUGCCAUGCUUAAAAUCCGAACGUUUAUCAUUUCUGUUUAUUUUAUAUCGAUUGUCGUAUAAUUUAAAGUCGGAGUCAGACUGAACGAAAUGUAUGGUUUGAUCGAUUGAAUGUUCUGCUAGAGCCGUAUCAAAUUAAAUAUAAAACGUCAUCAAGCCACAUGUAUUCCUUGUCAUCCAACGACCUAGACUGCUUCAAUGUCGAGCGCUCAACACGUUUAGCGUGCAGUUAAUUUCAUGCCAAAAAUAGUGCUAAUCACAUGACAACACGCAAAUAAUAUCCUAGUAGUUAAUAUCCGCAUGCACUUAAUAUACUUCCAAAUUAACGUGCAUUGCACGUACACACUGACUAGUGCUGCUAGUACGUGAAACUGGUGUGAACGCGUCCAGAUAUGGUCAACGACAACAUCGCCCACGAGUUCUUCCUGUUUGCCCGUGCGUCUAAACGCAGAAGGGGAGGAGAGAGAGAGCACACAUGGAACCCACCAGUAAGUGAAGGCGAAUAGUACUAAAAAUAAUAUUACAUCUUAUCCAUUAAUUAGGUUGUGGUAAUAUAAAAACAUUAUGUGAACAAAGGGGGUACAACAAACAUUGCUAUUCUACGUAUGUUGCCUAUUGACGUGCGGCUUGAAGGCCCGGUCGCAUGUUCGAUCCUCGUCCUUUAUUUUUUAAUAUGUAUAUGGGUCCAAAUUUGUUUCAUGACAUGUGGGCCCCUCGGUGUGUAGUUUGUAGCACUUUAAUUUGUGGGUCGAAAUUUGUUCCAUUCCAAGUGGACUAUCGGUGUGUAGUUUUGUAGCUUAUUUAUAAUAAUUAAAGAGAACAACAUAGUUUUUUCAAUAAUACCAUGGUGCGACGUUGAAGGCAAGAAAGGACGUGCGAGAGAGCGAUGACCGAGCCAGAGGGAAAUCAACUAGGGGAGUUGCGUGGGUUGCAACGGUGUUUGGAGUAGUUGUGGGCCGAAUGCUACGAAAAUAUAAUCUAAACCGACCGGAAUGAAUGCCUACACAAAUUAAUCCAAAGUUGGAGUCCCCCUCGCAAUGUAAAUAGCUCCGGCUUUGCGAGGGAUGGAGAGGUAGUAGCUUCAACACGUGGAAGAUACGGUGUGAGAAAGCGAGGUCAAUCGAGAGACAUAUAGAUAGAGAGACAAAGUGAGUGUGGUCCGACAUUCAUUGAACAAAUAUAUAUGCUCUGGAGAGAUAUUGUCCGAUUGAGCUUUUUGGCAAGGGUGAGGGCUGUAAGAUAGGGCUUGAGAGAUGAUCCAGUCACAGACGUGUAGAUAUAUUUUGUGCAUGGGAGGAAGCAAGGUCAACCGAUCACAUAGGGUCGCCGUGCGAUCGAAAGAGUGAGACGGGUUGGAGAGAGUGACCUAGAUAGACGAUGUGCGUGAGAGAGUAUACAAUGUGAAUAGGUCGAAUUGGGCUCAAACAUGGUGAUAUAUCGUUUUUGUCCGAGAAAGAGCGAGGUCAAUCGAGACAUAUGGAGAGAGAGAGAGAGAUUGAGUGAGCGUGGCCCACCAUGAGGUCGAAAGAGUGGUGGCGGCUUGGAUGGACUGACCUAGAUAGACAAUCUGCGUGAGAGAGUAUAGAGUGUGUCGAUCGAGGCCCGAACAGGGAGAUAUAUCAUUUGUGUGUGAAAGAAAACGAGGUUAAACGAGACUCAGAUAAAGAGAGCGAGAUUGAGCGAGUGUGGCCCGCCGUGCGGAAGAAAGAGUGAGACAGUCUCGAGGGAGUGACCUAGAUAUACAACGUGCGUGCGUGCGCACGAGAGGUUGGGGGGCUAGAUAGGCAAUGCAUGUAUUUAGCACGAGAGGGUGAGAGGGAGAGGGGGGAGAGAGAGAGCUCGGCAUGGGGUGCAAUGGUGGGUGUGUGAGGUAAAUACAUUUGGUAACAGAGUGGAAAAAGGGGUUGUGUAGUUGAGAGACUUAGAGAUCGAAACAUGGAGAGAAACAAUGAACGUGUGUUGGAAACCGAUAGCUUCCUAAGGUGGUUAGGAGAGGAAGAUUGACCGAUACAGGAAGUAUGUAGCGUUUGUGCGGGGGGGGCUAAAAACAACAUUUGAAUGUACAUAGUACGAGACUUAAUAUCGAUGUUUCAAUUCGGUGUACAUUGUAAUAUCGAUGUAAUUAUUUCGAAUUCGUGCCAUACUAAGUUUCGAAAAUUUGACAUUGACUCAGUUUGUUGUGCUAUUUUGUAGGUCAUAUGUUUGAAUCCAUCCAAAAGUUUUCUCACUACCAUGGUGUUCAUCAUAUACAUAUGAAUUUGUAUUAAAAAAGUAGCAUGGAUACAGUGAAAUGCGAAAUCCACGUUAGAAUUGGAGAUAGCUACGUGACACACACUCUAAUUCAAAUAACUAACUACGUGACACACACUCUAAUUCAAAUAACUAAUUAUGUGACACACACUCUAAUCCACGUUAGCGUGGGUACCGUUUCAAUUUUUUUUCAAAUAACUCCUCAUUAAUUAAUUUAUAGUACUCCCUCUGUUGACUUUUAUAAGACCUUGAAGACAUUUCAGACAAUGUGCAAAACAGUUCAUUUUAAGUUGUCUGAAACGACUUACAAAAGUGAACGGAUGGUGUAUCUCGUUUCGAAUGACUAAUUAUUGCAAGGAAAACACGGGCAUGGUAAUACAUACAGAUUCGUUUGCAAAUGAAAGAAGAUUUGUUUGCAUUCUCAAAUGUAGGCGCACCAGGCAGACCAGGGUCGUGUCGGGGUGGACGCUGCUUCGGUGCCUUAAAGGCAACUACCUUUGGGUCACUGACAUGUGGGCCAGCCACCUGUUGGGCCCACAUGUCAUGGACACAAAGGCGGGUGCCUUAAGGCACCGAAGCAUAGUCCUGUCGGGGUGGUCGCGUGUGUCGGACGGACGCGUAGCACCCAGCCACCCACCCCUCCCCCCAAAAAAGGACGACGACAAUAUAAGUUCGUGCUUCCACGUUUCGGAUUGAAAUAUCUGGCGGCCCCAAUUCUAGCCCUGCAAAAUCUCUCUUCUCCACCGUCCCCUUCUGCGCCCAGAUUGCUCAAAUCCCUAAUUCGCCGCCAACCCUCGAAUCGCCCCUCGUCUCGUCUCUUUCCCCACCGUUCCCCACCUCUGUGCCAGACGACGACAACGAAGACGACGGUCGCGCUUCACCACCGCACCGAAGCUACCUCAUCUACGCCCUCGUCCACCGCACCAGGUGGUCCACCGACAACGUCGGCCGCCGCAACCGACGUGCCUCACAGACACCGAGUUCCACCGCAUCAGGUGCGCUUCACCGACGUCGUCUCCCAGCUCACCGGGGCUACUUCACCGAGCACAUCAUCGCACCUCCGCCCCCCGAGGCCGUUGGGGCUUCACCAACGGUCUCGUCCACCGCAUCGUAGCGCUCCGCUGCCACUCAAGAUCUGCAUCCGUGCGCGGCCAGCCAACACCAGCGCAUCACCCUCAAUGGCUCUGAAGUGACCCGCACUCUAGCUAGACGAGCAUGCCCAAACGCCGGCCCGAACUAGGUAUCCACACAUCACUCCCCUGUGCACUAUUCCGACGAUGUUUGGAUAUCCUUUCACUGCUCUCUUAGCUUACACGCCUAUGCAACUCUGACUUUAACUCUUAUUUCUUCUGGAGAUAUCAUCUGAAACAGGCAAAUCCAUUUUUUAGCGAAGCAUGACGGCGCUACGGGAUCUGGUACACAUCCUGCACACCCGUAUAACCUUGUAAGUAUCUGUCCUUCGGUACAACAUCAAGGUCGAUUCCUCUUAUUUGAUCAACCAUUCGUCGUGUCAAAAAUGCAGAGGGGGAUGCAAGGAGCACAAGGCCUGCACAUCCAAGCAAGUGGUAACAUGGACUUGUACAUGGAACAUCCCAAGCGCAAGCAGAGCUGCAGUGAGCCUGUACAACGAGCUAACGUAAGUCCCUGCAUUUCAUUUAAUUCGUACUGGCAUUCGUGUAUGAUUUGUGUGCAGUGGCUGAUCCACGAAUUCAAGUUACCAGGUGCGAACAUUUAACUUAAAAAAUAUGAAGGCACUUGCACUCCAGAAAUCAACAUAACUUGAGAAAUGUGAAGCUACAUGCACUUUGAAAACCAGCUAAUGAUCCAAAGUAGUUCAGAUUAUAAACACUAAAUGAUGCAUGCACCAAAAAACACAAAAUGCAAGAUGGUGUACAAGGACUACAAACAUGGUCUGUACCUGCUUGAAUUAUUCGUUCUCUGGCUGAAAAUAUCGAAGUGUAAUUGCACGUAUAACCAGUGCGCAAACUGCAUAUCAAUAUAUCUAUCCUGCACAAGUAUGCCAAUAGUUUCAAACAACAUAUUAGAAAAGUAUUUAUGCUAUGUUGUCAUGAUACGGGGACUUUCUGGUAGAUGGCCUCGACGUUUCCUCAAGCUAUGAAAAUGCACUAUAAUUUGCUUGUCAUCAAUGCCUGCAAAUCUCUGUCUCUCUCAACAUAGUAGAUCAUCAUUAGACACUAAAUCCUUCAAUGAGCUUGCAAAAUGCUUGCAUUAGAUCCCUCAUUAGACACUAUAUGUUCAUCACCAGGAGCAUGUAAAAUGUUUGCAUCAAAUCCUUCAUUAGCAGUCUGUUCAUUAGACACUUCAGGCUCAAGAAGAACAUGAGCUUGUAUGUUUGCACCGGAAACUUGAUUAGAUACAUCAGAUUCAAUCAGUUCAGUAUUGAUUGGGGGAGUUAUAAAAUAAGUAGAAAUUGGUUUCAUUUUCUCAUAGAUUCCCUACAUACAAGCAGUUUUACAACACCGUCAGGUUCAACUAUUGGCCAGAAAUUGAAGAGUUGAAUUAGAUAUAAUCAGGGAUGUGAUGUACCUGCUCAUUGCGCAUGCUACUCUUGCAAGCUGCGACUGUCCGUUUGCGCAAGCUCGAUGCCAUGCCCGUGCUGCCGCCGCUGCCUCCCACGCAGGCUACACCCAGGGUUGGAUCUUCAUCUUAUUGUCCUUUCGUUCGCUUGAAGCCCGGCGACCGCCCUCCAACGAGGGCGCGAGGAAGUGCUGUGUCGGUCUGUCCAGCGGCGCCUAGGUUAGGAGCGAACCAGACUGGAGGCUGGAGCGAAUGAAUUGGGAUUUUUCCUGCUGUCGAUCGAUAUGGGAGGCGCUCGUUUGGGCCGCGAGCCUGCUAUAAGGCCUGCCUUGCACUUAUGUUAUGGGCCCAUCCAAAUUGAAACAUUUUUCUUCAUUUUUUACAUUGCCUGCUCGUGCGUUGGGACGACCAAAACUAGCAUGGGCCAACCUGGACAACUCAAACUAGGUGCACACUUUCCAGCCACCUGAGGCGGCCGCCUAUACCAGCCCCUACGGUGGCGUCGCCCCUUUUUGCGUGUAUGAUUGGAUAGUGAAAAAUAUUCCAGUGGCGCUUUCGAUUUACCCACAGAAUGGUUGAAUUGCUUGUUUCUACGAACUGAGUUCGCCAAUAAUGUGAAGGAUGCCAGUCUUUUCAUCCUAUUGUAGAUUGCUUAGAUCUCGAUAUGCCAAAAGUAAUCGCAUGAAAUAUACAGUAAAAGCCAGUGUGAUGUGUUUGGCUACAACUAGUCUGACUACACGUCCUCAUAUAACAUAUCAAGGACGCACCAUCUUACCAGAUUAACCAUUCAACUUACCCAUGCAGUGUGGGAAGAAAGAAGUAUUGGGACUGCGUAUCCAAGCAAUUGAUGCCAUGGACUCCUUCGUACAACCUUGUAAGCGAGAAAGAAGUUGCAGUGUGCUUGUACAAAGAACUAGCAUAAGUUCAGUUACCUGCUUCUCAGAAUUUUAGUUAGCCACUUAUUGCAAAAAAUUUCAAUUACGUUGCUUGGCUUAAUUUAGUUUGCUACUGAUUACAUAAUGGCACGGCCUGUUAAUCAUAUUGUAGACUACGCCUAUCUAUGUGUUUGAUACUUACUGUUAAGAAUUACCUGUUUGCCUUAACUUAAAUAUCUACUUGUUUGUUUAACUGCUUUGCUGCUGCAACAGCGGGUUACAAUGAUGUUAAUAACUACUUUUCAGCAUCCAAUUGAAACUCUUUAAUUCCUUGUUUGUUUAACUGGUUUGCUGUUAUAACUCCCAGUUGAGAUGUUUUGCUAACUUCAACUUUUCUGAAUCCAAUCGAAACUUUAAUGGCAAAACAGGUUAGCCCAAGAUCAAAGAGCGAGGUCCCCAUGGACGUUGCAUCAUCCCACAGCAGUGGCACCGUCCCAAUCGUGCAUUAUGAAUUGCCAACUGCUGAUGCUCUAGAGGCUAAACUAGUGGUAGAAAGAGAUUCUGCUUUUGCACUUAGAGAUGAAGUUGACAUGUUGAGGAAGCAAACAGCACAGUCACAAGCAGUACUCAAGACAACCAUUAAAUAUUUGGUGGAUUUCAAAACGAAGCAAGCUGAGACUGACCAGAUUGUUAAGGUCCUGAAGGAAAAAAGGAAAUUAAAUUCCUACUUGGUAAAUCAUAGGUGACAUGUUCUUUCCAUAGUUGAAUAACCUUUGUGUUGUCUGUUCAUGUAAUCAAUCAAACCAUUUGUUUUAGAGAUCAUGUAAUAAUUGUUUUUUUUUGUUUGUAAUUUUAUUUGAGCACAAGUCUGUAUUAAUUGAUAAGACUCGGAGACAUUUCAUUUGGAUUGCUGUGCCAGACCUACAAAUAUGCCAAUCGGGCUGAAUGUGAAUUCAGCAAUAGUAGUAGUAUAGAUGGACCAUAAGUGGCACGCAUCGGAAAGGGCCAAGAUGCUGGCUAAAAAAAGGAUGUUGUUGUAGCCAAAAAAAAGUACAGCGGCUCGGCUUAUGUAUGUUAGUUCAUAUUAUUGAUCCAUAUACUCUAUAAGUGUUUAUAUGUCUGUUAGUUCUGUACAUUCUUGGUUGAUUGACUCGGUAUUUGAAUCUUGAUACAUCGCUUGUGUACAUAUCUAAAUGGGAGUACACAUUAUGCUGCGUGUGACAUUUGAGUUGGACAUGAAGUGUUCCAAAUAUUCGAAUUCACCUUAAACUGGAUUCUAGUUUCUAAAUUUGAGUAUCGGCAUCUGUAAACCAUAUUCAUAUAUGACAGUGGAAUACAUCUUUGUCAUCCUUUUGAAGAUAUAUAAAAACACAUAGAAUGAUUUAUAAAGAUUCAUAUAGGAAUACAAAAUGGAUUCAAAUUUAGUUGCCAGGGUAAACAUGGAUGCUUAUUGUCCCAAAAUUCGAAAGAAGCAGCAAAAUGUCCACUCCCACGUCGGCUGCCCGAAGCCAAGUGUUUGGGAGAUGGAAAUUACUGUCUACCCAUUACACGGACAAUCCAUCGGCCCGAUUUCCACUGCUCUAAAUAGGGGUAGGUUAGUAACUUCAAUUAGACGUGACAUGACCGCCUCUGAGCCCAUUCCGACACGGUGGGCGUCAAACAUGGGCGGCAAAACUCAUUUGAUUCAAGCUCGUCCGAAAGACCUCUGUCUCUCCCUCCAUUACCCAUUCAUACACGGUGGGCGGCAAAACAAACUCGACUGGGCCGAAAUUGAUGUAGGCAAAUAUUUUCAAUAGGGGCAGGUUUGUAACUUCACUCAGACGUGACACAACCGCCCUACCUGUCAGCCCCGUUCAUACACCGUGGGCGCCAACCAUGGGCGCCAACCACCCUCUCCUCGCCCGAAAUCGCUCUGGGCAAAUAUUGGCGAGAUGCGAGAUUACCGUCCUAUCCCCAACCGACGAGACGUCCAAAUUUUAAACGGGGGCUAAGUUCGUAACUUUCCCAUAUUUCAGACAGACGCGUCCCAAAAACAUGGUUCCCCGUACCUCUCCCUCCAUUUUCCCAUUCAUACACCGUCCACGCUAGAACACCCCAUCCCCACACCAGCCUCCGUCCGCCACCCCAUCCAUUGCCGCCGUCCUCCACCACAUCCAUCGCCACCGUCCUCCACCAUGCCGGAGCGCCUACCAAGACCGCGUCGUCCACUGCUAGAGAUGGACGUUUCUCAUCCACGGCAACGGACCAAUAGCCUUGCAUCGCGUCCUCUCACUUCAUCGGCGCCGUCGUCCUCUUUGCCGGGGCCGCUCACACGACCUUCUCUUCCACCGCAACGGGACUUAUCCCCCGAUGCACCCGUCUACCGUCGCAGAUCUGCUUCAACGCCACCGACAGCCAUCGCACCCCCGAUGCCUACACGGUGCCGCAAGAGAAGUGGUACUUCAUAUGUCCUCAACUUUUUGAUCUCAACCAGAAAAUAGAUCUUAACUUGGUUACUCUACUUUCUUUUCAGCUCUUAGAAUUUAGUUCUUAGUUCGAAGCAAACAAUGGAUGCUAAAUAUCAUUUCUCCAGUUUGUAGCUUCAAAUCUGCCAUGGCACAGCCAUAAUACGGUUUAAUUGAUCAUGCUUAGGGUUUGAUUGAUCAUGUUGGUUCCGUGGUGGUUUCUUUAAUAGAAAUCGGAGGGGAAACCCUCUUUUGCUAAAAAAAUAUGCUUAGAGUUCCCCCUUUUAUGAUCACUAUACGAUCAGAAUACGUGCUUCGUGUCAUAAUAACACUGCUCCACCCAUCAAGCUAAACAAAGUUGUUUAAUUGGUCAGCUAAAUGUUCCUAAAUUAGUUUCGAAAAUGCAUGUUCGCCGCUCGGGUGUGUAUCUCUACAGGGUGCCCACGGUGGGCCGGCCCACCCUGGGAUUUUGGGUCGUCCCAGGCCCCGAUUCCCCUCUGUUCAGCUGCGCGCUUCCGAUCUCUACUCGCCCCCAGCCGCCUGCCUCGCCGGCGACUUGCCGUCCCGGGACGGCAUGACUCUAGGAGGAGACGCCGGACUAACAGGAGGCCAGGAGCCGCUCGCCCAACAGCGUCACCGCUGCCCGGGCGCGCCGCCGUGCCUACCUUCCCAGUCCGUUCAGGGCUCAGGCGUGCAGCACCCACCAAGCCAACCCAAUUUAUCCUGAGAUACGUCCUCAACACUCAGCAGCCACUCCUCAUCACCCAUUUUCUAAUUGAUUCAUUACUCAUUAGGCAGGACUGUCAUUAGGGUUUGUUGUGUGCUCAGUGCUACCUACACUUAAUGGUUCAGAUGUAUUUCGGUAAUCUUUAGUACCUCUAAAGUUCACAGGGUUUUCAAAAUUCCGGCCCUCGGAACAGAAACUAGUCAUUUUGGAUUGUUGGUCGUAGUGACAUUGACCCAGAUUACUACUGCAAGCCAGGUUUGUUGACAAUUUUACUUGUCUUUCUUACUCAUUCAAUAUAAUAUCCAAUUAUUCACGUCGAUUAGUUGCAAACAAUAAGUGCUAGACAAACUUCUUCAUUCAGAUUUUGGACGGUCUCUUACUGCAGUUACAAUUCUGCAUACUUGUCCUAGUAAGCUCACAAGUAAAUGAUUGAUUCGCUACAUCUAUGCUUGCCUUGUCAUAUUUGUUGUCAAUAUUCUUUUAGGGUGGACCACCCUGUUUCUAAAUACUGGAACCGUAGACAUGAGUGAAUAGUAUUUCUCUAUGUGAUCUCUUCCAUCAUGUGUGGGUAACGAACACUGCAUUGUAUAGAAAGAAAGUGUCAUUUCCAGCUUUUACAUAGGUUUCCAUCUUUUACAUGGAAUACAAUCUGCCUACUUGCUUUGUGUCGCACUACCAACACUCCACCCUUGAAGCUAAACAUUACGCCACUCAUAAUUGCUUAGUUUAUUUGUUCAAAUACGAAUUUCAUAUGAUUCUAAUGUUCCUACUUCAGUUUUGAAAUGUGUGCCUGCCUGUUAUAGAGACAUAAGGGGUUUGUAUUUCUGUGUGUGGUCUGGUCAGCACGGUUGGGGAGGUGAACUUUGCAUAUGCAGGGGUUUAUAGGGAGACACUCUCCGAGUUGAAUCCGCAAUGCAUUCCAUAGAUAAAUUUACUACUUUUUAUGUUUUCAUGAAUCUCAGAUUCUGAACAGCAUCAUAAUGAUGAUGAGCUUGCGCGCAUGAAAAGAAUAAAGCAGAACAAUGCCAUGGCUGUCAAACUUGGCAUUAAGGGACUAAAAUCAAGUCUGGAUGCAAUGCAAUGCAAACGCUCUCCACCUACAGAUUCAUGCUCAGAAUAUGAUCCUAAAGUGAUUCUGAGCUAGAGGGAGACCUAAGUCAAUGUAGCUCCCUAGUGGAGGAGUCAGAGGAAGAUGCCCUAUCUUAUUCACCCAUCAAGGUACUUGCUCUAACUUUCCAAGGUUACAUUGCUCGCACAUAUCUUGCAACUGAUGCUUUGCAUUGCUUCUACUUUGUUGAAUUGCCAUUAGCUUAGUUUACACAUCGUGUAUGUGAAUACGCCCUGCCUAUCCAUUUUCAGUACAUAUUCCAUCUGUCAUCAUACCAUAUUUAUCCAUUCAAAUGAUGUUCUUGUGUAUUAGACGUUCAAAAGGAAGAGGGCGAUUGCUUAUCGUGGAGGAGCACAAGCAAAGUAUUUGGAAAAGGUAGUGGCACCUGAUAAAUCAAAUAGCCCAUUAGGUGUAGUUGCAAUAUCACCUGACCCACAAAAUACCCCAACUCUAGCAGACUCUAGCCCUACUACACUGGUCAUUUCUGAUGCCCCAACUUAGCAGACCCCAACUGCAGCAAACAAUAUGAUUAUGCCAGUUGACAUAGCACCAGCUGUACGACGCAAAACCCCCAUUCCAGCAAAGUGUACACCAAAUUCAGUUGCCAAAUCCCUUUUCGAACCAGAGAGAGCCCCAAUUGCAGCAAAUGGACACCUGUUCCAUUUCUUCCCAGUUUAGAAGACGAAGCUUAUGUUGUUGUCAGGAACUUUGUGCGCAUCUUUCCUUCAUGGAAAGAUUAUACAGCAUACAUAGAACAAUUUCCAGUCUUCCUCCGCAACUUACGCGUAAGUAAUGUACUAAUGUUAUUCAUGGUCAUUACUGCAUAUGUUUCUGCUGACAGAAGACAGAAGAUUUCAUUCUUUUAAAUAGGCGAGGAGCAAACUGGAUUGUGAUGACGAGCAAGGGUUGGUUGCGCUUUUCAAGCACUCGUUGAUGAAGUAUCAUUCCUACCUGAGGCAAGCGCACUUCGAUGGCAAGCCUCUGAACGAAAUUUAUGUAAAGUCUCCGGUGCUACAUUUAUCCGACGGUGACUGGAAUAAUCUUGUUACACAUUGGUCUCGGCUGCAGCGUAAGGUACUGUCUAUGAUAUCACAUCACAAUUUGAAUUACAUUUCUGCAUUUGCCUUAAUGUCUCACUUGUACGAAAACUGUUAGCAGAAGAACAUUCAUUCUCAAGGGACCACAGAAUCUCGCAACUAUACUGCACACUGCAUUGCUCUUGUGAGUACCUCUUGCCCUGUAUGACCAUACUUACUUUCAUAGCUGUUUGAUUAUGUAGCAUCACUGCACAUGUUAGCCUCGUAAUCGUCCAUUUGGUGGACAUUAUAAGAUCCGUAUGGACUCUUACAUAAAUUUAGAAUCAACCCAAUGCUUUUGAAGAGGUUUAGCUCUGCAGUCCUCUUGUAAGGACUGAACGUGGUCUAUCACUAUACUUACAUUAACAACUACUCCCUCCGUCCCAUAAUAUAAGAACAUUUUGUACAGUACACCAGUGUUCAAAACACUCUUGUAUUAUGGGAAGAGGGAUUGGUUCAUUUUGUAGCAUUCUGCAUCUUAUCUCCCUCGCCCACCAUUUACUAAAAAAGAUCAGAUCUAUAUUUAAUCUUACCAACAAGUAGAAUACACAGACAAUGUCAGUGAAGAAGUGUAGCCCAUUGCUCUUGUCAGUACAUUUUGUCCUGUAACGCUUGUACUUCCAGGGAUUGGUAGUUGAUUAUGUAGCAUCAAUCUGCAUCUUAUCUUCAUUAUCCUCUAUCCCUUCCAGUAUUAUCAUAUCUAUAAUUACUCUCUACAAAAUGUAGAGUACAGGCAAUGCUUAUGAAGAAGAUUAUGUGCUGAAAUUCUUGAGUUAUCCUUCCCUCAACAUGGAGAAGGGCAUUAUAAAGCCGGUGUUAACUAUGAAUGUAAGUCAGUCCUUCUAAAGCCUUUAUCCUCAACUACUGUUUAAUUUGCUCAUACUCCCUAUCGUUUACUGCUGUUUAGUUUGCUGUUUCUACCAAAAUGCAUGUUCGUAAGAACCGUAAGUUCUAAGUUUUACUUGUAAAACCAAAUUCCUUAUUCAUACCAUGCACAUUACUUAAUACUCCCUAGAUGUAUGCUUGUUUUGUGGAUCUAUAAUCCAGUGUGUGGUGAAGCAGCCCACGUUUGCACCUUGUCAUCUCCUGUUUUAUCUUACUGAUGUGGCUGAUGAUAUGAACAACAUGCCAUGCACAUUAUCCAAAAUAGAUACAAUGAUUUUCUUUGCCCUUCAUCUAUGCUUGUUAUGUUGACAUGGUAAUCCAGUAGUGUGGUGAAGCUCCCCGCAUUAUGAACAAUGCCAAAUUAUGCUAUUGAUAUUUUGAACUUACUCUUUAUUUUCUAAUUUGAAAUUGGAUAGAAUUGACAGAACAGUUAUCAUCUUUGUUUAUACACGUGCAAAACCUGUCAUCUGUCUGCUUUGUUUCAGGGUGAUAUGCCUGAUGGCAUGCACAAGUCUGCUGAAGGCUGUGAGACAAACCCAACAUAUAUUGCAGCAAAGAAGGCAAAACAUCUUGAAGAUAGCGAGACAACCCCAAAGUCUUGUCUUGAUGCAGUGUUCAAGUUACUUGAGACUAACAGUCAGACAAGCUCACAGAAUUCGUUGUCUGAAUCAGUUCGACUUCUUCAGUCCCAAGUUCUAGCAGAAAGGCAUUCUGCAACUCAACUUCGACUUGAAGUCCUAUCUCUAAGAAAGAUUGCGGAGAACACCAAUGAGAACCUCAUCGCUAAACAGCUACACCUAGAAGCUAUGACCGACAUGCUAGGCCGGUCUCACAGCCUUGCUCAGCAGCUUGUGCAGCUGUUCCCCCGCAAGGCUAACCUUUCUUGAACUGUCUUGGAAGUGGUCUCGGUUCAGUAUUAUUUUGUUACGCUGCAAUGGUGCCCAGUUUUUGUAAUCUGCUUCUUCGUUGCGCUUUAUGAUCACUGGUGGCGAACUUCGAUGCCCAGUGGAUGUAAUAUACCUUAAAUCCUUUAUUGUAUAGUGUAGGUUUAUUCUUAGUUACUAUGCCGUAAUUUCUUUAUUGUAUAGAGUAGGUUUGUUCUUAAUUCCUACUAGUUACUGCCAUCAUUCGCUAUCUGAAAAAAAAAUCAGAUGUAGUCGACCGGACCGAAAUAUUCGACUCUAACGGGCCAGGUUUUUAGCGGGCCACAAUUGGGACGGCCUGCGUCUUUCUUGGGCCCGAAUGAUUGGGGCCUUCACACAUUGCGCCAGGCCCAAACUUACACCGGCCCUAUAUUUUAGUUGGGCCUUUUGUCGACCCAGCGCUUAGUUUGGCCCAGGUAGCGUUGGGCCAUUAACAGGCUGAAUAUUGUACUGGCCUGUUACGGCCGAGAUGAAACCACGGGCCUUUAGCAGGCCAAAAUGCAUGUUGGGCCUCAAUUUUCACUAGUCGUCGAGGGGCCUUCAGCAGGCCGAAAUGUAGACCGGGCCGUUUCGGGCCCAGUUAGCUCACGGGCCGUUACCAGGCCGAAACAUAUCUCGGGCCUUAGUUGGCCCACUGAUAUCAUGGGCCUUUAAGAGGCCGAAAGCUUAGCACAGGCAUCAACGGGCCGAAUUACGCGACAGGCCUUUAACAGGCCCAAAGUCACGUUGGGCUUAACUGUUUCCACCUUUAGCACGGGCCGUUAGUUGGCCCGAUGUCCCGUCGUACCAUAUAUGGCCCAUGGGCAGCACGGGCCAUUCCCAGGCCGAAAGUCACACCGGGCUGAAAUGGGCACAUGUCUACAUCAGGCCUCUAAUAGGCCGAAAGUCACUGGGCUGUAGUUGGGCCCAAAUAUUCGGCGAACAAUUAACGGGCCAGAUCUGGCUUCGGGCCUGGGUCCAGAUGAUCCGGGCCUGGGUCCAGAUGAUCCGGCUUCAUGUUGAAUCUUCGGGUGUCGUUGGGCAUUGUAGUCGGAUCAUCCGGGCUGGGGUCCGGAUCGUCUGGACGGCGGUCCGGAUCGUCCGGGCUUCUGCUGACUUAGCCCUUCUUCUUCUUCUCCGUCUUCACGUCCAUCUUCGUCUUCGGAUUCUCCUUGCUCCUUGGCGUCUCCAUGGCUAACUCCUUGGUACCUGAGCAUGCACAAUGUCUCCGUUUGAGGUAGUAGCCAUGUCUCAUGUUCAUCGAAGUGGAAUUGUGAGAGGAGAGAUGUCACCUCGGUUUCGAGAGCUCUUGCACGUGAUCGAGUCAUGGGUCCACUAGGCACUUGGUGAGACGAUGGUAGGUCCAUGGGGAUGACCUUAGGAUGCUCCGCAUCAUCUCCCCUCCCUUGGGAAAGAUCCGACCUCUGAUCAAAAUCCUCAUCACCAUGGUACGGGGAGAGAUCUUUGACGUUGAAGAUGUCGCUCACGGAGUACUUGUCACGUGGGAUGUCGAUCUUGUAUGCGUUGUUGUUGUAGCAUGCAAGCACCUUGAAUGGUCCAUCGGCUCGUGGUAGAAGUUUGGACUUGCGUUCGUUGGGGAAGCGGUCCUUGCGAAGGUGUAGCCACACAAGAUCUCCAAUGUUGAAUAUCAUGGGUUGCUUGUUGACGUUGAGCUUGGUCGCGAGUCAUUGUACUUGGCGCUCGAUGGUGUGCCUUGUAUCUUCAUGCAUCUUCUUGAGGUGGUUGACUCGGGCACUCGCGUCCAUGUUUGUGCGCUCUUGGAGUGGUAGGGGUAGAAUGUCCAAUGGGGACAACGGGUUGAAACCGUAGACGACCUCGAAGGGGGACUUGCCGGUAGUCCUGUGUCUUGCUCGGUUGUAGGCGUACUCAGCGAUAGGUAGGCACUCCUCCCACUGCUUGAUGUUCUUCUUUAUCAACACGCGUAGGAGAGUGGGGAGUGUUCGGUUCGUCACCUCCGUUUGGCCUCGGUUUGUGGAUGAUAUGCCGUGGAGAAUAGUAGCUUGAUUCCGAGCUUGGCGCAUAAGGUCUUCCAAAAGUAACUCAAGAACUUGACGUCGCGGUCCGAGACAAUCGUCUUGGGUAUUCCAUGAAGUCGCAAGAUUUCCCUACAAAAGAGACCGGCAACAUGUGAAGCAUCGUCUAUCUUGUUGCAAGGAAUGAAAUGUGCCAUUUUGGAGAAUCGGUCCACAACAACAAAAAUGGAAUCCUUGCCAUUUCUAGUUCUAGGCAAACCAAGCACAAAAUCCAUGCUAAUAUCUUCGCAUGGUUGAAAUGGAAUUGGAAGAGGCAUAUAUAAUCCAUGAGAUUGAGCUUUAGACUUAGCUUUGCGACAUGUAGAGCAUCGGUUGGUGAAGCGGUUGACGUCACGAAAUAUCUUUGGCCAAAAGUAGUUCUUGGAGAGCGUAGCAAGGGUCUUGUCGCGUCCAAAAUGUCCCAUUAGUCCUCCUCCAUGAGAUUCUUGCAAAAUUAACAAACGAAGAGAAGACUCGGGGAUGCAAAGUUUGUUAGCUCUCAUAAGAUAUCCAUCUUCGAUGUAAUGGCGUUCCAAGAUGUAUGCGUCAAACAUUUGGCAUAAGGAAUGGCAAAAGUAGGAUCAUGCUCAUACAAGUCUUUUAUGUGCUCAAAACCAAUGACAUUCAAUUCAAGUUUAGUAACAAGCAUGCAUAUACGGGAAAGCGCAUCCGCCACAACAUUUUCCUUACCUUUAAUAUACUUGAUGACAUAAGGAAAAGACUCAAUAAAUUCACUCCACUUAGCAUGACGCUUGUUCAACUUAGUUUGACCCUUAAGCUAUUUAAGUGUUUCAUGAUCGGUGUGGAUGAUGAACUUAUGAGGGCGGAGGUAAUGUUCCCAUUCACGCAAGACUCGUACUAAAGCAUAUAGCUCUUUGUCAUAGAUGGGGUAAUUGAGUUGCGCUCCGGAAAGUUUCUCACUAAAGUAUGCUAUGGGGCGCUUCUCUUGAGUUAAUACACCUCCUAUUCCAUUACCACUAGCAUCACAAUGUAUGUCAAAGGGUUUGUCAAAGUUGGGUAAUGCAAGCACGGGAGCAUGAGUAAGCAAAUUCUUAAGCUCAUUGAAUGCGCUAUCUUGUGAUGGUCCCCAAACAAAGGGUGCAUUCUUCUUGCUCAAAGCAUGUAAAGGUGAAGCAAUGGUGCUAAAAUCCUUCACAAAUCUACGGUAGAAACCGGCUAGACCAAGAAAACUACACACUUGUUGCAAAUUGGUUGGUUGGGGCCAAGUUUUAAUAGCAUUGAUCUUAGAUUCAUCAACAUGAACACCCUUAGAAGAUACUAUGAAACCCAAGAAAACAAGCUUAUAAACACCAAAGAGGCAUUUUUCCAUAUUAGCAUAAAGUUACUCUUUUCGAAGAGUUUGUAGCACGGUGCAAAGGUGGGUGACAUGCUCUUUGAGAGAUUUGCUAAACACAAGGAUAUCAUCAAAGUAUACAACAACAAAUUCACCAAUGUAAGGGCGAAACACAUAAUGCAUAAGAUGCAUGAAAGUACCGGGUGCUUCCGAUAAACCCAUAGGCAUGACUAAUCACUCAUACAAACCAAAUUUUGUUUUGAAAGUGGUUUUCCAUUCAUCACCCUCUUGUAUGUGUAUUUGAUAGUAACCACUUUUAAUAUCAAUUUUUGAAAAGAUAGUGGCACCGCUAAGUUCAUCAAGCAUAUCAUCAAGGCGUGGAAUGGGGUACCUAUAGCGAACGGUGAUAGCAUUGAUGGGUCUACAAUCGGAACACAUGCAAAAACUACCGUCUCUUUUUGGCACAAGAAUGACCGGUACGGCACAAGGACUCAAACUUUUGCGCACAUGUCCUUGGUCUAUGAGAUGCUUUACUUGCCUUUGUAUUUCUUUGGUUUCUUCGGGGUUGACACGGUAGGGAGCCUUGUUUGGAAGUGGCGCUCCGGGAAUGAGGUCGAUUCGGUGCUCAAUGCCUCGUACUGGAGGUAGACCCGGAGGUAGCUCAUCGGGGAAAACAUCUUGGAAUUCCUGCAAUAAAGAAGAUAACACUAGAGGAAGAUUGUGAGAGGUGUUAGCUUUUGGUGCCUCGUCCUUGCACAAUAGGACAUAUUGUAGGACACUUGAUGGGUUCUCACACACUUCUCUCAUCUCACGUUUGGUGGCAAAGAGAACUAAGUUUUUCUUGUCGCUCCUCGUGGAGGCACUCAAUUUGGGCUUGUGGCGCUCACUCUCUUUUUUGUGGUUCGCUCUCUCACUAUUCUCUCCACGAUGGGUGUUUUGCUUGUCGGAGAGCAAUUGGCUUGGAGACAUAGGUCGUAGCACAAACUCCUUCCCUUUCAUCUUGAAGUUAUAGUGGUUUGUACAACCAUUGUGGAUGACACCUCGGUCAAAUUGCCAUGGCCGUCCAAGAAGGAGGUGGCAAACGGUCAUCGGAAGGACAUCACACUCCAAAGUGUCUCCGUAAGCUCCGAUCUUGAAAGAGACUUGUACCCUAUGCUCGACUUGGAUGGUGCCGGUUUCGCUUAGCCAUUGAACCUUGUAGGGGUGCGGGUGCUUCAUCUUGACCAAUUGGAGUUUGGAGCAUAGUUCUUCACUCGCUAAGUUAUGGCAACUCCCUCCAUCGAUGAUGACCUUGAGGGACCUUCCAUUGAUUCCGGCCUUGGUGUGGAAGAUAUGGCAUCUUUGAUCUUCGUCUUGUUGAUGUUGAAGAGUCAAGACCUUGGAGACAACGAGAGAGCGAGACUUGGAUCUUCAUCACAAAAGAUUUGAUCAUCUUCGUCUUCGUUGUUCACUUGGCGGUGCAUGGCCACUUGCUCAAGGGCUUCCAUUUCUCCUUCACUCAUUGAGUCAUAGGUUCCAUCGUCGUUGAGGAUCAUGGUGCGCUUGUUUGUGCACUCAAAAGACUUGUGGCCUCGGCCGCCGCAUGUGAAGCAUUUGAAGGAACUUGUCUUGAUGGUCUCAUCGGUUGGGGUAGAGGAUGAUGAAGCUCUCAGCUUGGAGUUGCUUGUAGUAGGAGGACGACUUGAGCUUGUCGAAGCUUUCUUGUAACUUGACUUGUCGGCGUUGCUUGUAGAUGGCUUGGUUGAGGUAGAAGGUGUUGGAGUCGUUGAUGCUUGGGUGUUGGAGAAGCGUAGGACUUGGAUGAGAACUUGGCAUACUUGAAGUCUUCUUGUACUUGUCGUUCCGCUUUGGUUUCUUGGUGCACUAGCUCAAUGAGGUUCGAGUAUGGUUGGAAGUCGGCAAUCUUCUUGAUAGGAUGAUUGAGUCCAUUCAAGAAAUGUGCCAUAGUUUGCUCAUCAUCUUCCGUAACAUUGGCUCGUAUCAUGGCAAUCUCCAUUUCCUUGUAGUACUCUUCAACGCUCUUGGUUCCUUGCUUGAGGAGUUGGAGUUUCUUGAAGAGGUCGCGGUUGUAGUAGUUUGGCAUGAAUCGUGCUCUCAUGACAUCCUUCAUUUGUGCCCAAGUGGUGAUGGGUGGUUCACCUCUUGCCUCUCGGCGCUCAAUGACUUGUUCCCACCAAAUGAGGACGUAGUCUUGGAAUUCGAGGGAUGCCAUCGCAAUCUUCUUCUCUUCUUCGUAGUUGUGCAAGCGGAAGAUUUUGUCAACCUUCAAUGCCCAUGAUAUGUACUCUUCGGGGUCAUUGCUUCCGGUAAACUUGGGCAUGGUGAACUUUAGCUUGCCAUAUCGUUGCUCUUCAUUGUGUUGGGGUCGGGGAUGAUGACGCCCAUGUCGUUGAGGGUUGACAAUCUCAUGUUGCUCUUGGCGAGGGGGGUUGUCUUCCUCAUGUUGCUCUUGGCGAGGAGGGUUUUCGACCUCAUGUUGCUCUUGACGAUGAGGGUUGUCGACCUCAUGUUGCUCUUGUCUAGGAGGGGGUCCAUUGUCUUCAUGCUCUCGAUGGACUUAACGUUCUUGUCUCGCUUGAGGAGGAGCUUGUCGAUUUUGAAGAGGAGCUUGUCGAUGCACACGUGCUUGGUAAAUCCUUUCUUGAGCUUCGUCGCGAAGUGCUUCUUGAUGUAGACGAGCUUGUCGGCCUCGGUUGGCUAUGUUGGGGAUCGUAGCAGAAUUUUACAAUUUCCUACGCAUCACCAAGAUCCAUCUAUGGAGUAUACUAGCAACGAGGGGAAAGGAGUGCAUCUACAUACCCUUGUAGAUCGCGAGCGGAAGCGUUCCAAUGAACGGGGUUGAUGGAGUCGUACUCGCCUUGAUCCAAAUCACCGAUGACCGAGUGCCGAACGGACGGCACCUCCGCGUUCAACACACGUACGGAGCAGCGACGUCUCCUCCUUCUUGAUCGAGCAAGGGGAAAGGAGAGGUUGAUGGAGAUCCAGCAGCACGACGGCGUGGUGGUGGAAGUAGCGGGAUCCCGGCAGGGCUUCGCCAAGCACAAGCGGGAGGGAGAGGUGUUGCAGGGGGAGAGGGAGGCGCCAGGGGCUGUGGUGCUGCUGCCCUCCCUCCCCCCCCCCACUAUAUAUAGGCCCCCUGGGGGGGCGCCGGCCCUGGAUCCCAUCUACAAGGGGGGCGGCGGCCAGGGGGGAAACUUGCCCCCCAAGUCAGGUGGGGCGCCCCCCACCCCUAGGGUUUCCAACCCUAGGCGCAGGGGGAGGCCCAUGGGGGGGCUCCCCAGCCCACUAGGGGCUGGUUCCCUUCCCACUUCAGCCCAUGGGGCCCUCCGGGAUAGGUGGCCCCACCCGGUGGACCCCCGGGACCCUUCCGGUGGUCCUGGUACAAUACCGGUGACCCCCGAAACUUUCCCGGUGGCCGAAACUUGACUUCCUAUAUAUAAUUCUUCACCUCCGGGCCAUUCCGGAACUCCUUGUGACGUCCGGGAUCUCAUCCAGGACUCCGAACAACUUUCGGGUUUCUGCAUACUAAUAUCUCUACAACCCUAGCGUCACCGAACCUUAAGUGUGUAGACCCUAUGGGUUCGGGAGACAUACAGACAUGACCGAGACGCCUCUCCGGUCAAUAACCAACAGCGGGAUCUGGAUACCCAUGUUGGCUCCCACAUGUUCCACGAUGAUCUCAUCGGAUGAACCACGAUGUCGAGGAUUCAAUCAAUCCCGUAUACAAUUCCCUUUGUCAAUCGGUACGUUACUUGCCCGAGAUUCGAUCGUCGGUAUCCCAAUACCUUGUUCAAUCUCGUUACCGGCAAGUCACUUUACUCGUACCACAAUGCAUGAUUCCGUGACUAACUCCUUAGUCACAUUGAGCUCAUUAUGAUGAUGCAUUACCAAGUGGGCCUAGAGAUACCUCUCCGUCAUACGGAGUGACAAAUCCCAGUUUCGAUCCGUGCCAACUCAACAGACACUUUCGGAGAUACCCGUAGUGCACCUUUAUAGCCACCCAGUUACGUUGUGACGUUUGGUACACCCAAAGCAUUCCUACAGUAUCCGGGAGUUGCACAAUCUCAUGGUCUAAGGAAAUGAUACUUGUCAUUAGAAAAGCUCUUAGCAAACGAACUACACGAUCUUGUGCUAGGCUUAGGAUUGGGUCUUGUCCAUCACAUCAUUCUCCUAAUGAUGUGAUCCCGUUAUCAACGACAUCCAAUGUCCAUGGUCAGGAAACCGUAACCAUCUAUUGAUCAACGAGCUAGUCAACUAGAGGCUUACUAGGGACAUGGUGUUGUCUAUGUAUCCACACAUGUAUCUGAGUUUCCUAUCAAUACAAUUCUAGCAUGGAUAAUAAACGAUUAUCAUGAACAAGGAAAUAUAAUAAUAACCAAUUUAUUAUUGCCUCUAGGGCAUAUUUCCAACAGUCUCCCACUUGCACUAGAGUCAAUAAUCUAGUUCACAUCACCAUGUGAUUAACACUCACAGGUCACAUCACCAUGUGACCAACAUCCAAAGAGUUUACUAGAGCCAACAAUCUAGUUCACAUCACUAUGUGAUUAACACUCAAUGAGUUCUGGUUUGAUCAUGUUAUGCUUUGUGAGAGAGGUUAUUAGUCGACGGGUCUGAACCUUUCAGAUCCGUGUGUGCUUUACGAAUAUCUAUGUCAUCUUGUGGAUGCUACCACGCGCUACUUGGAGCCAUUUCAAAUAACUGCUCUACUAUACGAAUCCGGUUUACUACUCAGAGUCAUCCGGAUUAGUGCCAAAGUUCGCAUCGACGUAACCCUUUACGACGAACUCCUUUUCACCUCCAUAAUCGAGAAAAUUCCUUAGUCCACUAGAUACUAAGCAUAAGUUCGACCGCUGUCAUGUGAUCCAUUCCCGGAUCACUAUUGUACCCCUUGACCAACUCAUGGCAAGGCACACUUCAUGUGCGGUACACAGCAUAGCAUACUGUAGAGCCCAUGUCUAAAGCAUAGGGGACGACCUUCGUCCUUUCCCUCUCUUCUGCUGUGGUCAGGUCUUGAGUCUUACUCAAUAAUCACACCUUGUAACACAGCCAAGAACUCCUUCUUUGCUGAUCUAUUUUGAACUCUUUCAAAAUCAGGUGUGCGUUCUUUGAAAGUAUCAUCAGGCGUCUUGAUCUAUCUCUAUAGAUCUUGAUGCCCAAUAUGUAAGCAGCUUUAUCCAGGUCUUCCUUUGAAAAACUCCUUUCAAACAACCCUUUAUGCUUUCCAGAAAUUUUUACAUCAUUUCGGAUCAACAAUAUGUCAUUCACAUAUACUUAUCAGAAAUGUUGUAGCGCUCCCACUCACUUUAUUGUAAAUACAAGUUUCUAACAAACUUUGUAUAAACCCAAAAACUUUGAUCAAUCCAUCAAAGCGUAUAUUCUGAUUCCGAGAUGCUUGCUCUAGUCCAUGGAAGGAUCGCUAGAGCUAGCAUACCUUUUAGCAUCCUUAGGAUCGACAAAACCUUUCUGAUUGUAUCACAUACAACCUUUCCUUACGAAAACUGGUAAGGAAACUUGUUUUGACAUCCAUCUGCCAAAUUUCAUAAAUGCAGCUAAUGCUAACAUGAUUCCGAUGGACUUAAGCAUCGCUACGGAUGAGAAAAUCUCAUCGUAGUCAACUCCUUGAACUUGUGAAAACACUCUUUGCCACAAGUCGAGCUUCAUAGACGGUAAUCUUACUGUCCACGUCUGUCUUCUUCUUAAAGAUCCAUUUAUCUCAAUGGCUUGCCGAUCAUCGGGCAAGUUCACCAAAGUCCAUGCUUUGUUCUGAUACAUGGAUCCUAUCUCUGAUUUCAUGGCCUCGAGCCAUUCGUCAGAAUCCGGGCCCACCAUCGCUUCUCCACAGCUCAUAGGUUCAUCGUUGUCCAACAACAUGACUUCCAAGACAGGAUUACCGUACCACUCAGGAGUAGUACAUAUCCUUGUCGACCUACGAGGUUUGGUAGUGAGUUGAUCCGAAGUUUCAUGAUCACUAUCAUAAGCUUCCACCUCAAUUGGUGUAGGUGCCACAGGAACAACUUCCUGUGCCCUGCUACACACUAGUUGAAUUGAUGGUUCAAUAACCUCAUCAAGUCUCCACCAUCCUCCCACUCAAUUUUUUCGAGAGAAACUUUUCCUCGAGAAAGGAACCGUUUCUAGAAGCAAUUACUUUUGCUUCCAGAUCUGAAAUAGGAGGUAUACCCAACUGUUUUGGGUAUUCUUAUGAAGAUGCAUUUAUCCACUUUGGGUUCGAGCUUAUCAGCCUGAAACUUUUUCACAUAAGCAUCGCUGCCCCAAACUUUUAAGAAACGACAACUUAGGUUUCUCUAAACGGUGUCGUCUCAACGGAAUUGCGUGGUGCCCUAUUUAAAGUGAAUGCGGUUGUCUCUAAUGCCUAACCCAUAAACGGUAGUGGUAAUUCGAUAAGAGACAUCAUGGUAUGCACCAUAUCCCAUAGGGUGCAAUUAUGAUGUUCGAACACACCAUCACACUGUGGUGUUCCAGGCAGUAUUAAUUGUGAAACACUUUCCACAAUGUCUUAAUUGUGUGCCAAACUCGUAACUCAGAUAUCUCUAUGAUCAUAUCAUAGACAUUUUAUCCUCUUAUCACGGCGAUCUUCAAUUUCACUCUGAAAUUACUUGAACCUUUCAAUAAUUCAGACUUGUGUUUCAUCAAGUAAAUAUUCUCAGCAUCUACUCAAAUCAUCUGUGAAGUAAGAACAUAACGAUAUCCACUGCAUGCCUCAGCACUCAUUGGACUGCACACAUCAAGAUGUAUUACUUCCAACCAGUUGCUCUAUUGUUCCAUCUUACUGAAAACGAGGCCUUUCAGUCAUCUUGCCCAUGUGGUAUGAUUUGCAUGUCUCAAGUGAUUCAAAAUCAAGUGAGUCCAAACGGUCCAUCUGCAUGGAGUUUCUUCAUGCAUAUAUACCAAUAGACAUGGUUCGCAUGUCUCAAUCUUUUCAAAAACGAGUGAGUCCAAAGAUCCAUCUACAUGGAGCUUCUUCAUGCGUUUUAUACCAAUAUGACUCAAGUGGCAGUACCACAAGUAUGUGGUACUAUCAUUACUAUCUUAUAUCUUUUGGCAUGAACAUGUGUAUCACUACGAUCGAGAUUCAUUUUAGGUGCAAGACCAUUGAAGGUAUUAUUCAAAUAAACAGAGUAACCAUUAUUCUCCUUAAAUGAAUAACCAUAUUGCGAUAAACAUAAUCCAAUCAUGCUCAACGCAAACACCAAAUCUCGAUGGUAGAGGGAGCAUGCGAUGCUUGAUCACAUCAACCUUGGAAACACUUCGAACACAUAUCGUCAUCUCACCUUUAGCUAGUCUCCAUUUAUUCCGCAGCUUUUAUUUCGAGUUACUAACACUUAGCAACCGAAUCGGUAUCUAAUACCCUGGUGCUGCUCGGAGUACUAGUAAAGUACACAUUCAUAUAAUGUAUAUCCAAUAUACUUCUGUCGACCUUGCCUGCCUUCUCAUCUACCAAGUAUCUAGGGUAGUUCUGCUUCAGUGACCGUUCCCCUCAUUACAGAAGCACUUAGUCUCGGGUUUGGGUUCAACCUUGGGAUUCUUCACUAGAGCAGCAAAUGAUUUGUUGUUUCAUGAAGUAUCCCUUUUGCCCUUGCCCUUCUAGAAACUAGUGGUUUCACCAACCAUCAACAAUUGAUGCUCCUAUUUGAUUUCUACUUUCACGGUGUCAAACAUCGUGAAUAGCUCAAGAAUCAUCAUCUAUCCCUGAUAUGUUAUAGUUCAUCACGAAGCUCUAAUAGCUUGGUGGCAGUGACUAUGGAGAACCAUCACUAUCUCAUCUGGAAGAUUAACUCCCACUCGAUUCAAGCGAUUGCAGUACUCAUACAAUCUGAGCACAUGCUCAACGAUUGAGCUUUUCUCCCUUAGUUUGCAGGCUUAAGAAACUUGUCAGAGGUCUCAUACCUCUUGACGUGGGCACUAGUCUGAAAUCCCAAUUUCAGUCUUCGGAACAUCUCAUAUGUUCUGCGACGUUUCAAAACCGUCUUUUCGCCACAAUUCUAAACCGUUAGCAUUACGCACUGAACUAUCAUGUAAUCAUCAAAACGUGUAUGUCGGAUGUUCCGCAACAUCUACAGACGACGCUGAGGUUCAGCACACUGAGCGGUGCAUUAAGGACAUAAGCCUUCUGUGCAGCAAUGAGGACAAUCCUCAGUUUACGGACCCAGUCCGCAUAAUUGCUACUAUUAACUUUCAACUAAAUUUUCUCUAGGAACAUAUCUUAAACAGUAGAACUAAAGCGUAAGCUAUGACAUAAUUUGCAAAGACCUUUUGACUAUGUUCAUGAUAAUUGAGUUCAUCUGAUUAAUGAACUCCCACUCAGAUAGACAUCCCUCUAGUCAUCUAAGUGAUACAUGAUCCGAGUCAAACUAGGCCGUGUCCGAUCAUCACGUGAGACGGACUAGUCAUCAUCGGUGAACAUCUCCAUGUUGAUCGCAUCUACUAUACGACUCAUGUUCGACCUUUCGAUCUCUUGUGUUCCGAGGCCAUGUCUGUACAUGCUAGGCUCGUCAAGUCAACCUAAGUGUUUUGCAUGUGUUCCGAGGCCAUGUCUGUACAUGCUAGGCUCGUCAACACCCGUUGUAUUCGAACGUUAGAAUCUAUCACACCUGAUCAUCACGUGGUGCUUCGAAACAACGAACCUUCGCAACGGUGCACAGUUAGGGGGAACACUUUCUUGAAAUUAUUAUAAGGGAUCAUCUUACUUACUACCGUCGUUCUAAGCAAAUAAGAUGCAAAACAUGAUAAACAUCACAUGCAAUCAAAUAGUGACAUGAUAUGGCCAAUAUCAUUCUGCUCCUUUGAUCUCCAUCUUCGGGGCGUCAUGAUCAUCUUCGUCACCGGCAUGACACCAUGAUCUCCAUCAUUGUGUCUUCAUGAAGUUGUCAUGCCAACGAUUACUUCUACUUCUAUGGCUAACGCGUUUAGCAAUAAAGUAAAGUAAUUUACAUGGCGUUCUUCAAUGACACGCAGGUCAUACAAAAAAUAAAGACAACUCCUAUGGCUCCUGCCGGUUGUCAUACUCAUCGACAUGCAAGUCGUGAUUCCUAUUACAAGAAUAUGAUCAAUCUCAUACAUCACAUAUAUCAUUCAUCACAUCUUCUGGCCAUAUCACAUCACAAGGCACAUGCUGCAAAAACAAGUUAGACGUCCUCUAAUUGUUGUUGCAAGUUUUUACGUGGCUUGUAUAGGUUUUUAGCAAGAACGUUUCUUACCUACGUAAAACCACAACGUGAUAUGCCAAUUUCUAUUUACCCUUCAUAAGGACCCUUUUCAUCGAAUCCGUUCCGACUAAAGUGGGAGAGACAGACACCCGCUAGCCACCUUAUGCAACUAGUGCAUGUCAGUCGGUGGAACCUGUCUCACGUAAGAGUACGUGUAAGGUCGGUCCGGGCCGCUUCAUCCCACAAUACCGCCGAAACAAGAUAAGACUAGUAGCGGCAAGAAGAAUUGGCAACAUCUACGCCCACAACUGCUAUGUGUUCUACUCGUGCAUAGUAACUACGCAUAGACCUGGCUCAUGAUGCCACUGUUGGGGAUCGUAGCAGAAUUUUAAAAUUUCCUACGCAUCACCAAGAUCCAUCUAUGGAGUAUACUAGCAACGAGGGGAAAGGAGUGCAUCUACAUACCCUUGUAGAUCGUGAGCGGAAGCGUUCCAAUGAACGGGGUUGAUGGAGUCGUACUCGCCGUGAUCCAAAUCACCGAUGACCGAGUGCCGAACGGACGGCACCUCCGCGUUCAACACACGUACGGAGCAGCGACGUCUCCUCCUUCUUGAUCCGGCAAGGGGAAAGGAGAGGUUGAUGGAGAUCCAGCAGCACGACGGCGUGGUGGUGGAAGUAGCGGGAUCCCGGCAGGGCUUCGCCAAGCACAAGCGGGAGGGAGAGGUGUUGCAGGGGGAGAGGGAGGCGCCAGGGGCUGUGGUGCUGCUGCCCUCCCUCCCCCCCCACUAUAUAUAGGCCCCCUGGGGGGCGCCGGCCCUGGAUCCCAUCUACAAGGGGGGCCGGCGGCCAGGGGGGAAACUUGCCCCCCAAGUCAGGUGGGGCGCCCCCCACCCCUAGGGUUUCCAACCCUAGGCGCAGGGGGAGGCCCAUGGGGGGGCGCCCCAGCCCACUAGGGGCUGGUUCCCUUCCCACUUCAGCCCAUGGGGCCCUCCGGGAUAGGUGGACCCCCGGGACCCUUCCGGUGGUCCCGGUACAAUACCGGUGACCCCCGAAACUUUCCCGGUGGCCGAAACUUGACUUCCUAUAUAUAAUUCUUCACCUCCGGACCAUUCCGGAACUCCUCGUGAUGUCCGGGAUCUCAUCCGGGACUCCGAACAACUUUCGGGUUUCCGCAUACUAAUAUCUCUACAACCCUAGCGUCACCGAACCUUAAGUGUGUAGACCCUACGGGUUCGGGAGACAUACAGACAUGACCGAGACGCCUCUCCGGUCAAUAACCAACAUCGGGAUCUGGAUACCCAUGUUGGCUCCCACAUGUUCCACGAUGAUCUCAUCGGAUGAACCACGAUGCCGAGGAUUCAAUCAAUCCCGUAUACAAUUCCCUUUGUCAAUCGGUACGUUACUUGCCCGAGAUUCGAUCGUCGGUAUCCCAAUACCUUGUUCAAUCUCGUUACCGGCAAGUCACUUUACUCGUACCGCAAUGCAUGAUCCCGUGACUAACUCCUUAGUCACAUUGAGCUCAUUAUGAUGAUGCAUUACCGAGUGGGCCCAGAGAUACCUCUCCGUCAUACGGAGUGACAAAUCCCAGUCUCGAUCCGUGCCAACUCAACAGACACUUUCGGAGAUACCCGUAGUGCACCUUUAUAGCCACCCAGUUACGUUGUGACGUUUGGUACACCCAAAGCAUUCCUACGGUAUCCGGGAGUUGCACAAUCUCAUGGUCUAAGGAAAUGAUACUUGACAUUAGAAAAGCUCUUAGCAAACGAACUACAUGAUCUUGUGCUAGGCUUAGGAUUGGGUCUUGUCCAUCACAUCAUUCUCCUAAUGAUGUGAUCCCGUUAUCAACGACAUCCAAUGUCCCUUGUCAGGAAACUGUAACCAUCUAUUGAUCAACGAGCUAGUCAACUAGAGGCUUACUAGGGACAUGGUGUUGUCUAUGUAUCCACACAUGUAUCUGAGUUUCCUAUCAAUAUAAUUCUAGCAUGGAUAAUAAACGAUUAUCAUGAACAAGGAAAUAUAAUAAUAACCAAUUUAUUAUUGCCUCUAGGGCAUAUUUCCAACAGGCUACGGCUCGACUUGAGUCUCGAAGGGCACGUUGCGCCUCAAGUGCUUGAGGUUCACGUAGUUGUUGUUCUUGGCGUUGUGCCUCGGCGUCUUGUGCAUCUUGGUGUUGUCGCGCUCGCUCCUCUUUUUCUUGUUGGCGUUGACGUUGUCGUUCUCGUGCUUGCAUGAAUGUAUCUUGGUUUUGACGAUGUCAAAGCUCUUGAGAGUCGGUGUCGUGUAGAGGAUUGCGGUUAGCUUGACGGUCUUGACGCGCGGCACGACGAAGAGUAUUCGAUGUCGGUGUACUUGAACCGGAGAUAGUGUCGUCGGAGUGUCGACUUGAGCGGCUCCGUCUUGAAGAGGACGAAGUUGUAGAAGAACAUUUGACCAUCAUGGUUCGGAUAUCUUCUUUGAGGGAACUCAUGGAUGUGUCGAAGUAGUCUCUUGUACGUUGCUCGGAUUGUCAUAGGUCGGUGGCGAGAUUGUCGAUGCGAUCGCCCAAAGUAAGUUGUUCUUGAUGCAAAGCUCGAUGUGCACCAAAUAGUUGCGCCUUGGUGACGUAGGAGGUCAUGUCAGCGUCUUGCUCCAAGAAGAGUGGGUCGGUAGAAGUACUUGGCCUAUCCAUCAUUCCAAACAAAGAUAUGUGAGUGGGAGAAAAAGAAGAACCAAUACCAAAUGUACCUUGACCGAUGUUGCAGAUGGAUCAAUGAUCACUCCAAUGUGUAACAAGGAAAUAGCACAAUUGGUACCAAUUCUUGUCGGUUCCUCACACCUACACAAGUAAAAGCUUAUGGUGGAGCUUGGUUAGGAUGGUGGCACAAUUUUUUAUGUGAAAGUAAGCAAGAUUCAAUAAUGUUGGAAAAGAUUCGUGACUUCUAAAUGCAACAAGUAGACCAAUAGCAAGAUAUGGUACAUGGAAACACAACACACGGAAAGAUAAAUGGGGUCGUGCGACCAAGGGUGAGCCAAAAUGUGGAAUCCAUGAAAAUGCUCUUGCUGCACAACACUAGAGAGACGCUAGCACGAUUGCACAAUAGGCGGAUACGAAUUUGUGCACAACCUACUAAGCAAAAAUGCAACAACUUCUAUCCCAAGUAUGCUCUAUGUAUAAUGUUCCGAUGAUAAGAUCCAAGAUGAUCGAGUAUGACAACCUUAAUGUUGUAUGAUGCUAUGGUUCUUGCUUAUAAGCUCUUUGCUUAUCUUUCCUUUUUGCUUAAAAGCUUGUUUGGCUCUUUGUUGUUUGAGCUCUUUUCUCAUGCAAUGCUUCACGAAGCAAGAUAGCAAUUGUGUAUGCAAUGACAACUUUGUGACACAAGAGAUGAUUCCAAGAUAUGCAACACGAUGAUAGUAUGUAUGCUAUGGGAAGUAUGAUCACUAAUGUCCACAAGUCACGUUGCCGGCAAUACUCAAAGGCUAGUCUCGAUGGGUAAGCUACGCAAAAGUAAGGCUAUGGGGUUAUCGAUGCAAAUGCAAGAGAGUAUGAUGAUAUCACAAGGUGUAGUCGUUCGUAGUAGUCCUUGGCGAAGAUGAGCGGUGGUGAUGUUGAUGUCGAACCGUCCCUAAGUAGCCGAAACACGAUAGGAAACGGUGAGCCACAACUCAAAUUCUCAAAAUCAAAAGCGACAAAAUGUAGUGGAGUUGGUAGCGGUCAAGUGGUGGUAUGGUUUGGGUUUGUGGUAGGGUUUGCGGAAGUUAGGUGGUGGUGGUCGAAGUGGGUAUUCGGAGGCGUAGGCGGUGGUGUCAAAAACUGCAGAAAAUGCAGUUUCGUCAGGGGAAGCCGGAUGAUCCGGGCCAGGAGCCGGAUGAUCCGGGCGGGUCAAUCUCGCUCGGGGAUGGCUCGGGAUGAACACGAAAAUGGCCACAAAUUCGGGGAAUUCGCGGAUUUUGGAGGGAUUGCGAGGUGGAGAUGGUGGGGGGAGGUAAGAUCCACUUGCAACACAACAAAUUCACGGAUCAAAACCAACAAAACAUCAUCAAAACUCACAAAUCACAAGAAAAUUUUUUGGGGCUAUUUUUUGUGGGGAUUUUCGGAUUAGGACGAAAAACAACAAAAUCAAGCUAGAAAAUGAAGAGGGGAGGCUCCGAAAUCGUGAUCAACGUGGCUCAUGAUACCAAGAUGAUGUAGGGUGGAACCCUAUACGACCGAUCUUUCACGAAAGGAGCGGAUCCCUACUAAGGACACGAAGAACACGAGGGGAAAACGAGAGAAAACACAAGAGGAAACACGAGAGAAUCACUCAACCAACAAGAAUAGAUCACACAUGCGCUAGAUCGAUGAACACAAAGGUGAGAUACAAGAUCCAAAGUCAAAAACGGACGAUACAAACGGUAACCGGUUCUUCUCCUAGAGGAGGUCUUGAUGGGGCCACCCAAGAGGGGGUCUUGAAUCCAAGGGGAUCUUCUUCGUAGAGGGGCUGCGGUCACUCUCGAGGAGACGAUCCGUAUGGAUGAGCAAAAGCUAUCCUCACAUAUGAGCUACUACUUUGCUAACCCUAAAAAUGGGGAGGAGAAGGUCUAUUUAUAGCCCAAGGGGCGAGGGGGUAAGUGAGGGGACGAAACGGGUACACGGGCCUCGGCCCAAGUCACGCACGCAGGCGGUGGCCAGAUGAUCCGGGAGUUGGUCCGGAUGAUCCGGGCUUCGGUGGUCCGGAUGAUCCGGGUCGGCGUCCGGAUGAUCCAGCUGUGUUGGAGCAGCUGCGGGAGGGCCGGAUGUCCGGGUCCUGGUCCGGACGUCCGGGUGUGGCCGGAUGAUCCGGUUUCAUGUUGAAGCUUCGGGUGUCGUUGGGCAUUGUAGCUGGAUCGUCCGGGCCGGGGUCCGGAUCAUUAGGGCUGGGGCCGGAUCGUCCGGACGGCGGUCCGAAUCGUCCAGGCUUCUGCUGACUUAGCCCUUCUUCUACUCCGUCUUCACGUCCAUCUUCGUCUUCGGAUUCUCCUUGCUCCUUGGCGUCUCCAUGGCUAACUCCUUGGUACCUGAGCAUGCACAAUGUCUCCGUUUGAGGUAGUAGCCAUGUCUCAUGUUCAUCGAAGUGGAAUUGUGAGAGGAGAGAUGUCACCUCGGUUUUGAGAGCUCUUGCACGUGAUCGAGUCAUGGGUCCACUAGGCACUUGGUGAGACGAUGGUAGGUUCAUGGGGAUGACCUUGGGAUGCUCCGCAUCAGGGUUGCUCUCAAACGACAAAAGCCGUGCACUAACUCUGAGCAGCCACCAAUUUAUGGUGUAGGGGGUGGGCUAUUUAUAGCCACUAGGCAACCCGACCUGAUUUGUCCGAAAUGACCCUGGGUCACUAAGGAACUGACACAUGUUCCAACGGUCAGAUUUCAAACACACACGGCAGCUUGACUUGGGCUACAAGUAAAGCUGACUCAUCCAGCUCUGGAUAAGAUUUGCUCUCAUUGUCUUCGCUCGAAGACAUAGGAUUUGGUUGAGCAUCACUUCAGUCACUCUGACUUUGUUCACUUGGACCCCACUUAGCAGUACGGUGGUUCCUAUGACUGUGACGCCCAGAUAAUUAGGCUACAGUAAUCCCACGUUAAUGAUGCCAUGUCACCCCGGUUUCUGUGCUAAUCUCGCGUUAGUUCGAAAAAAAAACGAUUCAAAUUAAAAAUUUAAAAUAAAAACAAACAACAAAAGUUUUCAAACACUAAAAACUAAAAUGUUCACAAUAUUGCAAAAAUUACCAAAGCUGUUAUAAAAAUAAAACCAACAAUUUAGAAACUCCAGAAAUGCCCCUAGAAAUUAAAACAGUGGACCAACGGCACAUCACUUGGCCUUUUCGAUUUUUAAAAUAAUUAAACCUUUUUGAAAGACCUUCAGCUUUUUGUGGCAUUGCUAUAUAAUGCAAUGAUGUUCAUGUGACAAGCUCCAUGAUUUACAAAAGUCCUUUGGUGGUUAAGCAAUUAACAAACCAGAGCAAAAAUAAAAUAAAAACUGUAGAAAAGAAAAAAAAGAAAAAAAAGAAGCCCCCCCCGACUGGGCCUUGGCCCAGUUGGCCGAAGGAGCCAGUCGGCCCAGCCGACUCACUCCCGCACCCCCUGGCCUACUAGGCCUCCUCCACCCCCCGAAACCCUAACCCCCCCACUCCCCCUCUCGCUCCCCAUCCCCCCGAUCCAGAANNNNNNNNNNNNNNNNNNNNNNNNNNNNNNNNNNNNNNNNNNNNNNNNNNNNNNNNNNNNNNNNNNNNNNNNNNNNNNNNNNNNNNNNNNNNNNNNNNNNNNNNNNNNNNNNNNNNNNNNNNNNNNNNNNNNNNNNNNNNNNNNNNNNNNNNNNNNNNNNNNNNNNNNNNNNNNNNNNNNNNNNNNNNNNNNNNNNNNNNNNNNNNNNNNNNNNNNNNNNNNNNNNNNNNNNNNNNNNNNNNNNNNNNNNNNNNNNNNNNNNNNNNNNNNNNNNNNNNNNNNNNNNNNNNNNNNNNNNNNNNNNNNNNNNNNNNNNNNNNNNNNNNNNNNNNNNNNNNNNNNNNNNNNNNNNNNNNNNNNNNNNNNNNNNNNNNNNNNNNNNNNNNNNNNNNNNNNNNNNNNNNNNNNNNNNNNNNNNNNNNNNNNNNNNNNNNNNNNNNNNNNNNNNNNNNNNNNNNNNNNNNNNNNNNNNNNNNNNNNNNNNNNNNNNNNNNNNNNNNNNNNNNNNNNNNNNNNNNNNNNNNNNNNNNNNNNNNNNNNNNNNNNNNNNNNNNNNNNNNNNNNNNNNNNNNNNNNNNNNNNNNNNNNNNNNNNNNNNNNNNNNNNNNNNNNNNNNNNNNNNNNNNNNNNNNNNNNNNNNNNNNNNNNNNNNNNNNNNNNNNNNNNNNNNNNNNNNNNNNNNNNNNNNNNNNNNNNNNNNNNNNNNNNNNNNNNNNNNNNNNNNNNNNNNNNNNNNNNNNNNNNNNNNNNNNNNNNNNNNNNNNNNNNNNNNNNNNNNNNNNNNNNNNNNNNNNNNNNNNNNNNNNNNNNNNNNNNNNNNNNNNNNNNNNNNNNNNNNNNNNNNNNNNNNNNNNNNNNNNNNNNNNNNNNNNNNNNNCGCUUCGACCUGGGGGCCACGCCGUGCCGCCCCCACGUGCUGGUCGCCGCUCAGGCUUGACCCCGCCCGCGGCGCUCGUCGCCGGGUCCGCCCGCACCACCGCCCAUCGCCCACGCCCGCCUGUGGCCCCUCGGCCACUGCCAGGUGGGGCCUCGCGCCCCUGAGCCACCGCCCCUGGGCCCGAACCCCCUAUGGGCCACAGACAGGUGGGCCCCGCUCCCAGAACGUAAUAAAAAAAUGAUUUAAAAAAAUUAAAUAAAUAAAAAUAUAUAAAUAAAUAAUUAAGAUAAUUAAUUAACUUAAUUAAUCCUGUUAAUAUUAACUAAUUAAGAUUAAUUAACUUAAUAACUAAUUAACCUAAUUAACUACUGUUAAUUAGCUAACAGUCCCUGACAGGUGGGACCCACCUGUCAGGUUGACCAGGUCAACGGUCAAUGUUGACUGCUGACGUCAUGCUGAUGCAUUAAUUAAAUUUCGAAUUAAAUUAAUUUAUGAAAUUCUAAAAAUAAUUUAAAUCUUUAAAAUUUAAUAUAAAAUAAACCGUAGCUCGGAUGGAAAAACUUUGUACAUGAAAGUUGCUCAGAACGACGAGACGAAUCCGGAUACGCAGCCCGUUCAUCCACCACACAUCCCUAACCUAUCGAACUCGCAACUUUCCCCCUCCAUUUCAUCUGUCCGAAAAUGCGAAACAUCGGGAAUACUUUCCCGGAUGUUCCCCCCCUUCGCCGGUACCACCUACUGCCGCGUUAGGACACACCUAGCACCGCUCAUUGUCAUGUCACGCAUCGUCAUGCUUAUGUUUGCAUUGUAUUUACUGUUUCUUCCCCCUCUUCUCUCCAGUAGACUACGAGACCGACACUGCUGCUGUCCAGUUCGACUACGGAGUUGACGACCCCUCCUACUUGCAAGAGCAACCAGGCAAGCCCCCCCCCCCCUUGAUCACCAGAUAUCGCCUAUUCUUCUCUAUACUGCUUGCAUUAGAGUAGUGUAACAUGUUACCGCUUUCCGUUAAUCCUAUCCUGAUGCAUAGCCUGUCCUUGCUUCUACUGUUGUUACCUUUACCUGCAAUCCUACAUGCUUAGUAUAGGAUGCUAGUUUUCCAUCAGUGGNNNNNNNNNNNNNNNNNNNNNNNNNNNNNNNNNNNNNNNNNNNNNNNNNNNNNNNNNNNNNNNNNNNNNNNNNNNNNNNNNNNNNNNNNNNNNNNNNNNNNNNNNNNNNNNNNNNNNNNNNNNNNNNNNNNNNNNNNNNNNNNNNNNNNNNNNNNNNNNNUACUGCUUGCAUUAGAGUAGUGUAGCAUGUUACUGCUUUCCGUUAAUCCUAUCCUGAUGCAUAGCCUGUCCUUGCUUCUACUGUUGUUACCUUUACCUGCAAUCCUACAUGCUUAGUAUAGGAUGCUAGUUUUCCAUCAGUGGCCCUACAUUCUUGUCCGUCUGCUGUGCUAUACUAUCGGGUCGUGAUCACUUGGGCGGUGAUCACGGGUAUAUACUUAUAUACUAUAUACAUGACACAUGUGGUGACUAAAGUCGGGUCGGCUUGUAGGAGUACCCGCAAGUGGAUCUUUGUGGCGGAGCGACAGGGCAGGUUGAGACCACCUAGGAGAGAGGUGGGUCUGGCCCUGGACGGCGCCCGCGGUUACUUCAAUAUAACACGCUUAACGAGUUCUUGGUAUUUGAUCUGAGUCUGGCCAUUUGGUCUAUACGCACUAACCAGCUACGCGGGAACAGUUAUGGGCACUCGACGUCGUGGUAUCAGCCGAAGCUCUUUUUGACGUCAGCGACGGAGCGGCGCGCGCCGGAUUGGACUGGAAUGCCACUAGGCUAGGUCUGCUUCCGGCCGCCCUCGCAACAUGCAGGUGUGCAAUGGGCGAUGGGCCCAGACCCCUGCGCGCAUAGGAUUUAGACCGGCGUGUUGACCUCUCUGUUGAGCCUAGGUGGGGUUGCGACGUGUUGAUCUUCCGAGGCCGGGCAUGACCCAGAAAAGUGUGUCCGGCCAAAUGGGAUCGAGCGUGUUGGGUUAUGUGGUGCACCCCUGCAGGGAAGUUUAUCUAUUCGAAUAGCCGUGUCCCUCGGUAAAAGGACGACCCGGAGUUGUACCUUGACCUUAUGACAACUAGAACCGGAUACUGAAUAAAAUACACCCUUCCAAGUGCCAGAUACAACCCGGUGAUCGCUCUCUAACAGGGCGACGAGGAGGGGAUCACCGGGUAGGAUUAUGCUAUGCGAUGCUACUUGGAGGACUUCAAUCUACUCUCUUCUACAUGCUGCAAGAUGGAGAUGGCCAGAAGCGUAGUCUUCGACAGGAUUAGCUAUCCCCCUCUUAUUCUGGCAUUCUGCAGUUCAGCCCACUGAUAUGCCCCUUUACACAUACCCAUGCAUAUGUAGUGUAGCCCCUUGCUUGCGAGUACUUUGGAUGAGUACUCACGGUUGCUUUUCUCCCUCUUUUCCCCCUUUCCUUUCUACCUGGUUGUCGCAACCAGAUGUUGGAGUCCAGGAGCCAGACGCCACCGUCGACGACGACUCCUACGGCACUGGAGGAGCCUACUACUACGUGCAGCCCGGUGACGACGACCAGGAGUAGUUAGGAGGAUCCCAGGCAGGAGGCCUGCGCCUCGUUCGAUCUGUAUCCCAGUUUGUGCUAGCCUUCUUAAGGCAAACUUGUUUAACUUAUGUCUGUACUCAGAUAUUAUUGCUUCCGCUGACUCGUCUAUGAUCGAGCACUUGUGUUCGAGCCCUCGAGGCCCCUAGCUUGUAUUAUGAUGCUUGUAUGACUUAUUUAUGUUUUAGAGUUGUGUUGUGAUAUCUUCCCGUGAGUCCCUGAUCUUGGUCGUACACAUUUGCGUGCAUGAUUAGUGUACGGUCAAACCGGGGGCAUCACAAUGACUCAACAAAGAAGAAAAGGAAACUACGAAACAACUAUGUCUUCGCACUCCAUAGUCUUCACGUGAAUGUCUUCUCGAGUCAUAAACUUCGAUGUGAUUGUCUUCAUAUACCACCAUUGUCUUCAAUGUCUUCAUACAUUUUUAGGGGUCAUCUCCGGUAGGUAAACCGAAUCAAUGAGGGACUACUACCUGUGUUAUCCUGCAAUUCUCACAAACACAUUAGUCCCUCAACCAGGUUUUUCGUCAAUACUCCAAAACCAACUAGGGGUGGCACUAGAUGCACUUACAAACACCAACUUCCCUGACUUGCUUGCUGAAAUCCACGCCUCCCCUCCCCGCUACCGCCAUAUUAGAUGGCUAUGCGUGGAGGUUCUUGCCUGGACGCUUUGGACCGUCCCCAAUAAGCUUGUCAUUCAGAAAGUGCCUCUUCGACGUGCAACUGACGCAAUCUUCAAAAUGUGUGGUUACUUGCAGCUCCGGCGGCUGCUUAGCCGCCCUCAGGACCGGGACACCAUCAACACUCUCCUAGCCGACCUUCGGUCGAUGGCCUUCCGCUUGGCGCCCCCGCUCCCUCCGCCUCCCCCGGAGCCCGACUAGUUCCUCUUUCUGCGCUCCGUGUGUGCGAGUUUUUUUUUCUGUUUUCAGGGCUUGUUGAGUUGUGCCCUCAGCACUAACCCUUGGAUACCUCUCUAUUUGUGAGACUUGUGUGUGUGUGUGUGUGUGAACCUUGUUGGAUGUUUGGUUUGGGCGGUUGCUUUAUAAUAUAAAGCGGGACGAAAGCCUUUUUCGGUAACUUUCUUGAUAGGCUUGCCAUCGUUGUAAAGUUGGCGCUUGACCAUGUCGCAUGCCUCCGUACCAGGCAUCCAGGGAAGGUGUUGCCUGCCACCAUCACCGUCCUCCAUGUCGAUGACCUCUCCCAUGCACUAGCAGUGUUGUGGCUGCCCGCCGUCAAACUGGAGGACGCCCGCCUCAAGGUCCCGUUGGCUGCCAGCUAAGUCAAGCCAGUGUGCACGACGUCUUUCGUGCGGCAAAAAACAACAAACUUAUAGAAAAACACAACCGUCUUAAUAAAAAAAAUGCCCACGAAACAGACCGCCUCGUCACAAACUGGCAAGCAAAAGCAAAGGCUCCGCGGUCAAGUCCGUUAAACGUCAAGAGAACAUCGAGCCAGGCGCACAUGCAUACGCAUGUCAAACAAAGUGCCAGGCCAGCUUCACCAUCACCUCACUGCUGCAAAAGAAGGUGGAGACUGAAUGAACACUAGCAGUGGCACGCUCGAUCGUGCUGGCGCGAUGGGGAGCUCGCGGGCGCAGACACGACUUGCAUGUCACGAUCGAACCAGCCCGAACGGUGCAAAAGCGCCGACAUGAGGGUUCGGUUGGACCAUUGCGCGCGACCGGCGUCACGAGCGGCACGUACGACCCGACUGUCGUGCCCGCACCAACCUAGUGCGGGGGCAAAGACAGUCGAUAGGCGGGUCCGUGGCCCGCUGUGCACGGGGUUGCGCGCGGGAUGCCACGGCCAACGCCGCCGGGCGGUGUCUAUUUCUUAGCUCACUGAUUCUUUUUCCUCGACCGGCUGAGCGUUUCGCGUGAACGAGGCAAGACAGCUAGGACCAAAGGUUGCCAACGCCAACGGUGUUAAUAGCUGCCCCCUAUGAGACACGGGCGGCGGAUGCAACGCGUGGGCCGGCCAGCGCCGCGGGUGCAAUGCAGAGCUUGGCCGACCUAACUGGCUCGCCCACAUGCGCCGGCUCACUCAAGUGUGACACAGGACCCACGCGCGAGCCAGCGCAGGCGAGUGCGACACACGCCUCACAUGUCGCGACCGGACCAUCCCUGCAUGGGACUAGGAUGCCGACAGACGGGUCCGGCUCACACGUCGGGCACGAGACAAUGCGUGAAAAGGUCAUCACAUGUGCGCCCUCCGCCGCGCAAUGACAAUGGCCCAGGACGCACCUUAGGUCCACCCGUCAUGGACCAUGGAGGCGGGUCUCCUUGGCGCGCGUCACCCGGGAAGAUCGGACAACGCGGAGAGCCCCUCGUGGCAUGCCAACCAGAAAUGGACAGUGCCGAGGCUCUCUUUGCCCUCGAAGCUCCCGAAGAGGCGGGUACUCUAGAAUGCUUUUAUAGGAGUAAUGACACACACGUCAUGCGUUCUCGAGAAAAAAAAGGAAGCAACAUAAACACCAACGAUUAGAUUCAACAACUAUUAGAGACAUCAACAAGGUGUACUACAACAAACAGGAAUGCUAAGCAAAUAUACAAGAAGAACGAACCUUUUUAGGAAAAUCUUUGGGGAUUUUCAGCAAAUAUACUUCUAUGGUUGUUCAUAUUUGUUUGUCGUGUGUACAAAACACAACGCCAGGGGCAAGGGAUGCCCCCUUUCCUUGUUUGGUGAACACAGCGCCAGGGGCAAGGGAUGCCCCCUUUCCUUGUUUGGUGAGGGGCACAGCUUUACUAAAGACUAUCUCUACAAGAUGGUGAUUUUAUCCAGGUUCGAACAACUGAGAAGUGUGACACCCUACGUCCUGCUAGAUUUAUUCAUUGGAAAUAGUGAAUGAAGUUUACAAGUCAGUUUAUGUUACCGGGGCUAGCUGGGACUAGGAAACGAUCUCUAACGUACUGGAGUGAACUCUCUCGGAGUCGAACCCUUAUAUACGUAGCUUGGGCUUCCUUUUAUCAUUGCAAGGGGUCGCCACAGUAGCUACAAUGUAGUGGGUAUAGUAUUGGUACAAUUGAAUACCCACCACAUUAAAUGCGGGGUAUGUGGCGCUGUAUCAUGUUGUCGAGAGUAGGCACAUGUUUCAUCGCACCGGCUUUAUUGACAGCCCACCAUUUACCGUGACAUGCAGCGGGUGAGGUGUCGCGCAUGGGGUAAAAGGGAUGGUGUGAAUCACCUCGCAUGCCACCUAAUCUCUAGGGAUGCCCUGUCUGUUUCACAACUCGCCCCGCGCCACCGUAGGCCGUCGCAUGCCUAUGUUACAACUGCUCUGCCAUAGACCCAAGCUAUCCCGCAGCCACACCCACCGUUGACUGGUCAUUGGUGGGCAGGAUGUUCACAGGAGGUGGACGCCAGGGCAGCCAUUGCCAGGAGGCAAUCCCUUGUCAAGGCAAUCUUGGUCUUGACAUUGUCAACGGUGUCAGAGGGCACCUCCUCAAGCAUGUUGUUGUUGGCAGUGAGAGUCUUUUACAAGGGUUUCACCACACCAAGACACGAGGGCCGUCCUCUUGUGGCGGCCGCCUCUAGCGAUGAGAGGACCCUCCAAAGCAAGCAAGAACGAGACUCGUGAGAACGAUUCUUCAAAGAGAAACACGGCUGCACAAACCAGAGAAACAAAACCCUGCAACCACCAGGACAUAAACAUUGCCGGGUCCAACCCUGAGUUUGCCGCCUCGCUUAAUUCUUGCAAAGGUUAUCACAGGGUAUUUUACUAGAUGUGAUACUAACGAUUUAUUCGUUUCUAAUCCGAUAAAGGACAUUUGUUGUUAUCAAGAAAAACUAUCAAAACAUACGAAGUAGGAAAGUAAGGGUGUCCCGAUUCAACUUCUCACGAAUGAGAAUAUUAGUUCAUAUUCACAUUAUUAGUUUUCUUUCGAAAAAGAGCAGCUACCAACCAGCAGCAAGAUUACACGAGUGAGGAGGUAAAUCCUUUGAAAAAAGAGAAAAAAUAGAGAGAGAGAAAGAAAGAAGCAAAAUACUGAAUGCGUCAGUCUGCUUUAGUGUAUUGAUAAGAAACGUUACUCCAAAAUGGCACUCAUAGUAAAACAGAACGUAACCCUUCGCCCUUGCCGGCGGAAGGGCUCCGUUUUAGAUGCUUUUCUGAAUUUUGUUAGGGUUUGCGCCAUGCUCAAGAAGAUGAGGCGGCGUCGGCUUCUUGAAGAUGGAAUAAGGUCCUCCCCGCCUAGCCCCAGUUCCUGUGAUGUUUUAAGCAUCGUCGGAAGGCGUGUGGGGGUUUGUCUCUGGCGGAUCUCGUGGGAUCCGGUAGGCGUUUGUCUUCGGUGGAUCCGACUGGAUCCGGUUUUCGUUCGUCUACGUCUGUGUGCCUGCAGGUUGGAUCCUUCCGGUCUAUUCUUCUCUUCAUCGACGAUGGUUACUGUUCUGGUGCGCUGGUCCUAUGGGGCCUUAGCACGACGACUUUCCGACUGUCUACUACAACAAUGUUUGCCCGACUCCGACGAGGGAGGGCGAUGACGAUGGCGUGCCUUCGGCUCGCUUCAGUGCUUGCAGUCGUCGCUAGGUGGUCUACGAACUUGGAUGUAAAAUUUACAUCUAGUGUUCUUUGUACUACCUUGACAGUUGAUGAAUAGAUCGAAAGUUUCUCGAAAAAAAAUGGCACUCAUAGUGCUUCCUUUUAACAAUGGAGAAAUAAACCCGCAAAAAAGAAACCAAUGGAGAAAAUGAAAGGGGAGGGAAACGGAGAGACGGACGCAGGAGAGACAGAGGAUAGAAAAGUGACGACGCGCUUCCUCUCUGUGAGCUGUGACCGUCGUCCAGAAGAAAACCCACCUCCGCCCGCAUCGCACCUCCGGGACCCUUACGGACGCCGGCCGAGGAAGCCCCCGAAUUCAGGUCUCUCUCUUCCCGUUGCUUCUUCACUUCUUCGUCCCGUUGCCGCAGACCGCGCGCUUGGCAUCCUCACUUGUUCUUGUUCUGGAGUAGAGGGUUUUUCAGGCUCCCACUUUCUCAUUUUUGACGAAACAGGGAUUCAGGGUUUUUGCGCUGCAAGUUCAUCUUGGCUUUCUUUCGUGAUCGAUCGACGGGUAGCUUUUUAAUCGAUCUGCUCGUGGAGUGGGAUUUCUACUUCUUGUUCUCUUUUCUUUAUUUUUUUCGCGGGUAAUAAUUUUGACGAGCCGAGCCGUGGCAAUUAUUUUGACCAAGAUUGGCUCUGCCUCUCAAGAUUCUGCAUGUUCUUAACCCUCAUCGACAAUGUGCUGCUCCCCGCGGAGUAGGAGAGUAUUUAGUAGCAGCGUGGGGGUAUUCACUUACCCUUUCUGGCUUUUCCCCACUCUUUCUCCAAGCCCCCAAAACCCUCUUUUCCCCUCCUCCUCUUCUUCUUCCUCUGCUCUGCUCCCGGAUUCUGCUUUGCUUGUUGGUGUUGCUAGGUAUCUCGAGGACCCAAGCACACAAUCCAUCUCCCCCUCUGUUUAUUUUGCUCUUUGUUUUGUGUUCUUAGUUAUUGUCGCUCUCUGCUUCUGCCCUAUCUUGCUCCUGAUCGUUCUUCGGUCUCUACUCUACUGAGUGUUGCGCUUCGUCGAGGCCCUCUGCCCUAUCUUGAUUCCUUCUCCUUCCGUUGCCUUCACUUUACUCCAUCUGUUUUGUGUGGUAUUUUGCAUCAUCUGCUUCUACCUUUACCUGACAUGUGGUAUGAUUUAAUCUCACUUGUAGAGGAGAAGAGAAGAGGAAGGGGCAGAUCUAUCAUCUAUGGGCAACUGCAAGAGUUCAUGUAUGUAGCUCUCUUAUAAACUGAAAGUUAGGUGCAAUUUACAGCAUUAAUUCCUUGGCAAAAGUCAGGGUAAGAAGAUGACAUCCUAGCUCUGAAUUGAAGAGCACUUACUCUCACCAUCAUGCUCAUAAAUUAGCAAGAUGCCUAGCUAGUCAUGUGUUGAGUAUAUCACUCUCCUUAUGUAGAAACACAAAGCUGUUUGAGUGCUGGUCUUGAUGUCUUAUUGGUUAGAAGCAAUACUACAAUGCUAAUGACAUAGUACUAGAAGCAAGUACCUGAAUGAUAUCUUGUUGAUUGGAAACACAGUGUCUUCUGCCUUAUUCUACCCCUGAUUGGUGACAUGAAUAAAUAUGUGCAUCCAAGAUUUUGAUUCAUUUAUUAAUCAGAAGAUAAAAAACUUAUAUGCAUGUAUCCCAUUCUUGCGGUAGUCGAUAUUGUAGUUUGUUUAUUUGGAUCUGCAACAUGACAUGAAUUUUAUCAUAGCCUGUUCUCUCUUUCUUUGUUUUGUAAUUUUAAGUUAUUGCAUUUGUGCAAAUAUCAGCUCGGGCACUGCUAGGAAAAGCCCAUGUUGUUCCGGAUGCUGAAUGGAGGAUGCAGGACUUUGGAAAGACCCAUGUUCCAGAUCUAGAAUGGAGGAUUCAUGACUUCUCAUCGCUGCUUGAGACGGGAGCUAAGUCAGCAACAUCUGCCACUUUUCACUGCUCUGGGUAUAACUGGUAUGCACCAUAAUUGCAAAAGAAACUCUGCAAAAUUCAGGUAUUAGAUGUACUAGUAGGUAUAUACACGUGCAAUGCACGUCUUAAUAUAACGGAGUGAUUUUGGUAAAAGAAAUAAAAAAGGUCAAAGAUUUGCUAAUAGAUUCGGGCAAAAAGAAAUAUAGUGAUGUACGAAUGCAGAUAUUAAUUAAGUAGGAAUUAAUAUUCGUUCCUCCUGCAAAAGAAAAGAAUUAGUACUCAUACAAAAACUGUACAUUCACAUCUAAAACAACUAUAGGUUCAUGUAGAAAGUUGUAUGUUACUCUAUUUUCUUUUUCUCCUCAUUCUCCUCCCAAACCAUCAUGCCUGGGCUCAAGUAGUCAUGCGCUCAAGCAGCACUGCAGCAAGCCGGCAAUAUGGCCCAUGAGGCACCGCAUUUUUUUUAUGGGCUUCUUUUCUCUGGAAGGGCCACAUGAAUGUUCUAUAACACAGAAGAGGCAAUAGCAGUCUACUGUUCAUGGCGAAUCCUACUGAUCUUAGCCCUUGGAUUUUGGGGACCAACAGUUAUGAUUGAUGCUCUAGAUCCAAUUCAAAACUGGUACACUAUAUAGUAGUGGAGAAAUGCCAUCUGGUUUGUUUUAGUAGAAAAGGUAAUUAUAUGUUAUCCAUAUACACAUUGAUUUAGGAUGACAUUUACUCACAAUGAUGUUUCGAUGUAAUCAAAUUAGUAAUCACAAUCUCAUAAACAAACAGUCAGACGCUAAAACUUGAUAUGGUGCAGGAAGUGAAGAAAUUAGACUUCAUUCCUACUUCAGUUAUGAAUUCUAGACUGACUUUGGCUUCUUCGCAUGAUUUCAUUUACCAGGCACCUGCAAGUAAUUCCAAUGCAUAAAGAAACAGGUUCUGAAACGCCAUAUGUUGCUCUUCAUCUUAUGACAUCCCAAGAAAGGAUGGUGCCAGGUCACACGGUGCAUGUGGUUUUUGAGUUGUCAAUAUACAACCAUUCAAAAGGAAUGUACUGUGGAUGCAAAGGUAGUCUCAUGGAUGUGUUUUUUCAAUCACAUCCAUCAUAUUGCAGCUACAAAUCCAUACUCAUAUGUGUGUCAUAAGUUUGGGAUAUAAAUACCAUGAUUCCACCAUCAUUACAAGGCAAUAUUUGUAAAUAUUGAAAUAUGAUCAAAUACAACGUUUUCCCAUUAACAAGUCACUUUCUAUUUGCUUUGCUGUCAAGUUUCUCUGUAGAUCUUCAGGAAUGUGUCACAUUUGAGACUACUAUGGUUCAAAACGGCAUACACAUGUUCUCUUAAAAUUUGAUUAUCAUUAUUUGGACGUAAAUAUUUGGUGCAAGGUUGGUUAGAUUAUUUGGUAAUAUUUGCUUCUUGCAUACAAGUUGUCGUUCUCUAAUCUUCUAAGUUCUAACCUUUACCUAAAUGCAGCUGGCUGCAACUUUGAUUUCAAGAAUGCCCACUCGAAGGAAAAUUGCUUGAUUCCUCUCCAGGAGCUACUGAACUCAUCUGCUUUUCUAGUUGAUGAUAACUGUGUCUUUGCUGUGGAGAUAUUAAAAAUUGAUGCCUCUUCUCCUAAAAAGAAGGCUGUUGUGCUUCAGAAGAAAGCUACCACAGUUCAGAACCUAUUUGUCCAGAGGAAGGGGUUUGUCAAAGGGACAUACACUUGGACCAUGAACAAUUUCCUUGAACUGGACUUGAAGUACUUCGUCCGUUCUCCUACAUUUGAAGCUGGCGGACAGAAAUGGUAUACAUCUGUUACCACUUAGGCAGUUACAUCACAAAUGAUGUAUAUAAACAGUGCAUGUGUAAUCCAACAUUUUAGCUUAUAUGUAUCCUUUAGCUUACCAUACCUGGUCGGUUCACUAGUUUCAUAGUGGAAAGAAGCUUCCUGUUUAAUGUUUUAUGCCAACGGACAUUAGCGAUGGCGGGAUUUUUGUGGAAGGCAAGGUCCUUGAGAUAUUCCAACUAGAUAGUUUAGCUUGAUCUCUAAGCAUGAAACCAAACUGUACUUCUAGUAUAUUUACAGAUAUGCGGUAGCACAUUCCAAUUUCAAUAGAAAGGGGUUUUGUCAUCAUGAUGUACCGAAAUUCAGGAACCAAUUUGAAACAAUGUAGUACUAAAAUCUAUGUUGGCAUAUAAAAAUUUCAUGGUCAUAUGUUAUGUUGUUUAGGAGAUUUUUCCCAGAAAUUUUGUUCUCAUGUAUAUAUGUGGUAUCACUGGUUCUGGUAUGUUCUCCCAGAAAUUUCAUUCUCAUGCAUAUAUUUUGUAUCACUGGUUCUGGUAUGUGUCACAUACCAUCAAUUAUUUUGGCAGAUUGUUUUUGCUGAACAUUGUAUUAUCUUGUACUGUAGUCAUGGUUUGCUUAGAUUUUUUGUACAAUUUAGUAAUACCACGAAGUUGUGUCCAAAGAUAAUGGCAUUCUACACCCAAACUCAGCCACAACUUUCUUAUUUCAAUAGCUAACCACAUUCUGCAAAUACAUUUUCCGGGGUACUUAAUUAUAUUUUUGUCAACAGGUACAUCGGCAUGUAUCCGCGUGGUGACUUGUACAGCACUGAUUGCCUCAGUUUGUACUUAUACCUGGAUGCCUGGGAUGAGCUCCGUCUUGAGUCCAAGAAGGUGGUUGUAAUGACUCUGUCCAUCCUGGACCAAAAGAAUGGGAAGCACUUGACUGUAACUUCAGGUUCAGCUCUCCUUAGCAAGUAUCACUGCUAUUGAUAUGUGUGAUUUAAGAAGCUAGUGUCUGUAACCUCAUUAUUAUUACAGUUGAUCUUACUUUUUUCUUGAUCACAGGUCUCUGGGUGUUUACGGGUGGACAUGGCUUGGGAUGGGCUGAUUUCCUUAGACUCAGUCAACUCAAGGACCCUUCUGGAGGCUAUGUUGUGGGAUCGAGCUGCAUUGUGAAGCUAGAUGUUUACCUCAUGGCCUGAUGGAGAGAUAAUGCUAUUUAAUCCUAGCUACUAAUAACCGGACUUAUAUAUGAGACAAUGUUGUGGUAGCAGUACUAAGAACUUGUGGAAUGAUUAGUAGUAGUAAUGAAAGCCGGAUUUGAGAAGUGAGAUGAUUUCACGCAUAUAUAUUUCUACGUAUAUGUGUCGGACAGAAAUAUGUUACUGGAAGUACUUGUAUAUGCAUGGAUGAUACAGCUAUGUCGUUCUGCUUGCCUCGAUUACAUGCAUGCUGGAUUCAGCUGAACACUUUGGUUAUCUUUCGCUUGGUUUAUGCGGAUCAUGUCCCCAAUAGAUAACAGGAUAGGAGUCUAGGGAGCUUAUCCUCUUUUCUGCCUUACCGGUUGUACUUUUAUUUUCUUUGUCUUUGCUCUGCUUGCGAGCUGUAAUACCUUCAUGACUUUGGGAUACUUCGAGAAUUUUUAAUAAGAUGGCUGCAUGCAUCAUUAUGAUGCAGAGGCCGAGGGCACGCCUCCAUUUUCAAAAAAAA